This 316864-nucleotide long non-coding RNA is filed under the name Citrus maxima (pomelo). RNAcentral's name for it is "long non-coding RNA (CMAX_LNC000229)". The stretch from base 86298 to 86404 matches the Rfam family "Plant small nucleolar RNA R71". The record is from RNAcentral. Lineage: Eukaryota; Viridiplantae; Streptophyta; Magnoliopsida; Sapindales; Rutaceae.
GCAGGAAAACUUCUAGAACAGACAAGGUUUUCCAUCUACAGCCAUCUAUUGACAACAGAUACAUUUUCAUUCAGCAAACACUGUUAGCAUUCAAGAUACUGGCAGAUUCACUUGAUUCUUAUUAGUUUGAUUAGUAGCAAAGCAUAUAACCUGUAUUUCUAAGCCAAGUUGUGCUAUUGAUUAUGUUAACUUUAUUGUUCUCAUAAAGUGAUAUGGAGGAAAUAAUCAAUGUAGGAAAAUUAGGUGAAGAGAUGAUGUCAAAUCUUGAACCUCUUACAAAAUUCCAAGUUCUUUACUUGAAGAAGCUACCAAAUUUGAACAGGGUCCACUGGAAGGCCUUGCCAUUCCCUGAUGCAUGCAGAAUUUUUGUAUUUAAAUGCCCAGAGCUUAAGAAGCUGCCGCUGGAUCUUGAAAGGGAGGCCAAGGUAAAAUUCUUAUCAAGGGAAAGGAAGAUUGGUGGAAACAACUUCAAUGGGAGGAUCAAGUAACUCCGAAAGCAUUGCUUCCAUUUUUAAAAUCAACCAACAAGUGAUUGAGGGGGCAUCAUCAACAUCAUCAACAUGGAUGGAGAGAUUUUGGAGCAGAUCAGCCGGGUUUAGUACGACCUGUGGUGGUUUCUUUUUUGUGACUUUUUUCCCUUUCAUUUUUUCACUUCCUGUCAUAUUAUCAUUUCUUUGUCUCUGUUUCUAUUGCUGGUGUUGCUGCAUGCUUGCAGCCCUUGACAAAGUUAGCUAGUUUUUUUGUUUAUUAAAUUUUGUAUGUUCGGUCGGGACAGUCACAAAGUACUACUUGUUCUAUAUGGGGGUGAUGUGAAUCAACUUUUCAAUUAAAUAUUCUGUGGUAAUUGUGAAUUCAAUUUCAUUUGUCUCCUGCAAAUUAUGAAGAAAGUGCAGAGUUACAAUAUGGAAAAGUUCACUGGCAAAUACUUUGUAAAAGCUUCGGAGUGAAACAGGGAAUGCACUUGCAACUAAGGACAAAUUGGUGGCCAGCUAAUUCAUUCAUUUUAUGUACAUUCAUCUUUUUAAUUAUUGAAGAUAAGUGGUUCGUUGCUUUUGUUGUAGAUAAAAUCCAGACGACCUCAAUUGUGAGAUUGAAAAUAUUUAAAAUAUCUCUUAAAUUAUUAUAAACUUUAAUUUAUCUUAAUUUUAUUUAAAAGAUAAAAGAAAAAUGUGGUUUAUGGAUAAAUUUUUUUUUUAUCUUGUUAAUAAAAUGAAAUAAAUUAAAAUUUACAAUAAUUUAAAGUAUUUUAAAAAUUAUUAUUUCAUAAGAGAUUAAUAUGAAAUUAAUCCUUUUUACUUUUUGAAUGUGAAAGGACAAGAAAAGAGAAAGCAAGUGUCACUGCUUUUUAUUUUAUUUGAAAUCGGAGUUAUCCCAUAUACUUUACUACUUUAGCUCUCUCCUCAAGGUGAGAUGCGUGAGUUGGGUGAAGAUUUGGUGAGUCACCCGUAUAUAUAUAUAUAUAUAUAUAUAUUAUCUGCUCGGUGAAAUUUUUUUUAAUCUGAGCUUAGAAUCUAGGAUUAAAAUUAUGGAAAAAUUUAAGUAUUACACACACGCACACUAUUCGGUCAAUUUUUUUUUAAUCUGAGUUUAGAUGUAGAAUUAAAGUUCAAAAUGAAUUUACUGUGUGAUAAAUCAAUUUUUACAAUGUUGUAAACUGAUUUAUGGUAUUAUAAAUCCAUCUUAAAUUUUAAUCUCAGAUUCUAAGUUCGGAUCUAAUAAACACUCUCUCCAAUUAUGUUGUCUAUAAUUUUGCAUUCAAAGAAACUUCACGAAAAAUAUAAUAUCAUGUGUAGCCCCAGAAAAUUUAAUAACAAUAAAAAAGAUAUCAUAAGAAAAGAAAACUCAUAAUUGUUCAGAUAUUUAUAAAUUAGUGGCCGUUGGAAAUUUAACUGCAAGUGCCAAUCCGAGUGCACAAAAGACUUUUAGCCAUACUUUUAGCCAUAUGUCAUUCAUUGUUUGUUUGCUGCAUUCCCUCUCAUUUUCUUAAUUAUUGAAGACAGGUUGCUCAUAGCAUGUAAUUUUCAAAUGUGGAACCGCAGCUAAUGUCACUAUUUUAAUUUGGAAUUAAAUUAGGGCCCAUGUAUAAAAUUUAUAACAGUAUAUUGCAGCGUGAACUAACUUUUAUGUUUAUCUAAACACCUUAAAUUUAAGGCAAAUUAUGGCAUAAAUAAGAAUUAUAACAGAACAUUUAUGAUGUAUAGCAAAAGAGUUGUGAUGAAGAUCUUGAAGACAUAAUAUUAGCGCCGAAUUAAGUAACUAAGAACACCCCUGAACUGAAUAUUGGUUAUCAAAAUUGUGUUACUUGCACUCCUAUUAACUAAAAGUUUGGUUCUGUUCCAUUUGAGUUUUUAUCUUCAAAUUUCAAAAUCUUGCUAAGUUUUGACAAUCACAAAGGCUCAGUUUGCUUGUUCUAUAUUUGUAUGAUACGAAUCCAAAUUUUUGUGUUCUAUUUUCUCAAUUUUGAAUACAGAUUCUUUUCUUCUCCCGCAAACCAGAAAGAAAUGUUGUAUUAAAAAAAAUGGAAAUAACUUCAUGACAACAAAAAUUAGGAAAAAUAAUAUAAACCAAAUUAAGAUAAAUAAUAUCAUUUUCUAGACAAACAGGCAAAAAUGGAAAAGGAUAUUUCAAUUUCUAAAUUUUCUUUCAUGUUUGCUUCUCGCAUAGAAUCAUUUGGUAUUAACAAAUUUUUUACUUAUUAAACAAAAGUUUUUAAGAUUUUUUUGUUUCCUGCUGUUAAUCUAUGAAUGGUUUCAUUGUUGGAGUUUCUUUCAGAAGACAAGAAUACUUUGGUUAAGUGUUUGGCUAAGUACUAAAUUAAAGGUUGUUAGAUAGAAGAAAUUAAAAAAAAAAUUCCUAACCCUUUAUUCAGUGUUUAAUCAGCAAAUAUUCAACUCAACAUGAAUCUUAAUCAUCUUUAAAAAAAAAUUAUUCAAUUUUCUAAUAAUAUUUAUGCAGGUACUAGAAAUUAAAACCCUAUUUACAUGGAUGCGUGCCCAUCGGUCCAAUUUAAAAAAAAAAAGAGAAAAAAUAAAUGUAAUCCAUGAAUUUGGUUAAUUUUCCUUUGUUUGUUUCUUUCUGUUCUCCUCCCCCCCCCCCCCCCCCCCCCCUCAAUAUCAUUCCUUUUUGGCCGCCCAAGGACAUUUUCACAAAUACCUUUUGUGCAGAAGUCUUUUAAACCAUCAAUCGGAAGAAACAUGCUUCCAGUGAUACCUCCAAUUAUCAUUGAUGACUUUUCUUACUCUAAUGCUAUGUCAAUUCCAACAUUUGUAUGUUAAUAUAACAUAAUCAAUGAUUUGGAUAAUUGAUUACUUUUACGGAUUGUGGACUUUUGCGGAUUUUCAAUCUAAUCCAAUCCACCAAUUCACAAAUUCAGAUUUUUACUGAUUAGAUUUCUACAUAUCAAAUGAAUUGAGCAGACUAGAUUGGAUUUUGAACAUUGCUAAUUUGUAUGUUAAUUAUAAGAUAAUCAAUUAUUUGGAUAAUCCCUUGUGUUUUAUCUCUAAUUAGAACAUCAAUCUUCACAAUAUCUACAAUGCUACAAUGGCUAUAAAACAAAACCUGCUUGCAAAUUGUCAAGGAUACUUAUCCUUUCGCUUGACAAGUCAUUUGGAAAAAUAUUGUCCCUUGGCGGCUCCAUGUCUUCUCUGCCCCUCCUUUUGGUCUUAAUGUACGGUUGCAUAGUGAUAGUUUAGGCCCUUAGGGACUACUUUCCCUGGUGUUGUUAAGUCUUAGCUUGUGCUAGGCUUGUGUUUCUUACCAAAAGAAAAGGAAUACUUCUCCGAAAUAAUCUCUAUAUAUAGGAUGGUUGGAUUCACUUGUUUAUAUAACAGAUCAAUUAGUUCUCUGUAAGUAGAGAGUUUCUAGUAUGAGAGAAACGGUAGGUCUAUUGAGAUAUUAUGUGUUAUUAGGAUUUUGGUUGUGAAGAAAAAUACUAGAGUGAUUGUGUUAAUUUUCUAUGUAGUGGAUUUUUCUAUCGUCAUCUUUGUGGCUGUGAUUUUUCUUUCAUAUAGAAGUUUCCCACGUAAAUUCUUAUGUUGUGUGAUUAGUUUUAUUCUCUAUCUAUUUUUUUGUUUAUUAUUUGUUUGAUAUUUUAUUUGUAAGAUGUUGGAUGGGAUAAAAUUCCUUAACAAAUAACGGAUUAAAAAUCUUGAAGAAAAAGCUCAAGAGAUCUUCAAGAUUUGAAGUGUGAACAAGUUCAUAUUACUGCUAGAUGAUAUAUGGGAGCGGGUUGAUUUAGUAAAAAUGGGUGUCCCUCUUCCUAGAUCAGAAAACAGCACAUCCAAAGUGAUAUUUACAAACCCGUUCUGAGGAAGUUUGCAGCUUAAUGGAAGCUCGUAGGAGUUUUAAAGUGGCGUGCUUAUCAAAUAAAGAUGCUUGGGAAUUGUUUCGAUACAAAGUUGGGGAAGAAACUUUGAACAAUCAUCCGUUAAGGGGUGUGGUGGUUUGCCACUUGCACUUUUUACCAUCGGCCGAUCUAUGGCAUGCAAGAAGACACAGCCGAAGAAUGGAGAUAUGCUAUUCAAGUGUUCACUUCGUCCGCUUCCCGUUUCCAGGUCUGGAAGAAGGGAUAUAUACUCUUGUAAAAUUUAGUUAUGAUAGUUUACCCAAUGACACAAUGACACCUUGUUUGUUAUAUUGUAGUUUAUAUCCAGAAGAUUGUUGCAUUUCUAAAGAGAAUUUGGUAGAUUGUGAGAUCAGUGGAGGAUUUUUGAAUGAAUUGAAAGUGACUGGUUUGGAGAAAAAAAUCAAGCAUACGUCAUUUUGGGCAUUCUUCUUCAUGUUUUUUUUUUUUUUUUUUUAUGGAAAAUGGAGGAGAUUGUGAAGUGAAAAAUGCAUGCAUGACGUUAUUCGUGAUAUGGCUUUGUGGAUCGCAUGCGACUAUGAGAAGGAGAAGGAGAACUUUUUGGUUUAAGUUGGUGUUGGUUUAACUAAGGCACCAGAUAUUAGAGAUUGGGAAAAGGUGAGGAGAUUGUCAUUGAUGAAAAAUAAAAAUGAGAAUCUAACUGAGGCUCAUACAUGCUGUAACGCCACAAAUUUCCAUAAUAUUAAAUUAUAGAAAUUGGGCUUUCAUUGAGAAUUAUGGGUGGCCUAUAACCCUUAUUAAGAAAGGGAUAUUAAAUUAUAAAUAGAGGUUAUUUAUGAGAUAGUUUUGAAAAAGGGUUAUUUUUCCUAAUUAAAUAGGGUUUCUUAAGACUCCCUAUAAAUUCAUACUUUUUCCUUUCCAUAACCCUAAGUUCACGACGUUUAUUCUUCUUCUCUGCUGCUCUUUACGCUCCUAACGCUCCUACCCAAAUCUUAGGAUUCAAACCUUUGUUUAGGAGAGAAUCAAAACGACGGGUAAGUUAUUCUCUCUAUUCUCAAAAGAUUUCUAAUCAUUCUAUCUAGGGUUUAUAUUGGCACGAUUCUAGAUGGUUAUAGAUCAUAAUGCAUUAUUUAGAAUGUAUUUAGGCUUUGUUUAGAGUUUUGACUUAUUAUGAGUUUAGUUAAUCAAUCCUUGACGUAUUAAGCACAUAGGAUAAUUCUGGACAGCAUGAGUAUCUCGAAUUUAAACCUAUAUUUUCUGAACGAGCUUUCUUAUGAAAUUUAUAUUUCUGGAAACUAGACAUGUAGGGCUUCUUGAAUAAAUUUUAUUUCAUUAAAUUCGACUUCUUUUUCAAUUUUACAUGUAUUUUCGAAAUAGAAACCACUGCACUGGAAAACUGCGAUUCCAGCAUUGCAAUCGGAUUCACAAGAUUAUUUGUACCACCAAAUGAACUCUGAAAAUUAUGAAAUUUUAUAUGUAGGUUAAUAUAUAUGUCUAGGAUUCCCAGUUUUAAUUUCAUAAUUUUCUAAUUUUUAUUUUAUUUUAUAAAAAUCACAGAACCCGUUCUGUUUGGUUUAGGUUAUGCGAAAACAGUUUCGAAUUUGUUGAGAAAUAAAUAGUUUUGAAAAUGUUUUUGAUUUCGGAUCCUCUUGAAAAUUUUACAUGGGGUACUCAUGGAUAUCCAGAAUAGUUUCAUAGAACAUUAUGUCAUUAUGAGUUUUAGAUUAAGAGUCAAAAUUCUGAGAAUCAGACCUGUACGGUUAUGAAUUAGAAAAUCAGAUUCUUAGAAUAAGUUAUUAAUUGUCAUAUCUUGUACUUCUUUAAGGUGUUGGAGGUGAUUGAGACUCUUAGAGGCUUAGAGGCGUGUUAAUUCAAAUUCUUUAGUCGAGGUAAGUAACUUCAUUCCUAAUAUACUGUAUAUGUAUAAGUAUUUUGAUAUUAUUAUUAUAAGUAUAAAUGUUUUCAUACUACUUAGAAGAUUAAUGGAUUUUCAUAACAAAAUUAGCAUAUGAAAUGUUUUCAAAACCUAAAUUCUUUUUAACAAAGCAUUUUAUAAAUACUUUUUAAAUAUGUAAGUUAUUUUGUUACAUGCCUACUUUUAUGAUUUUAUUUAUAAAAUAUUUUGCAAGCCUAAAUUAUUGUUAUGGACUUUUAUGAAUCUGAUACGAAGGUUUUGUGCCUAUAUAUGAUUUCAAUUAUAUAUGAUUGUACGGGGGCCACCUCCUGGGACUAUAUGGGCGCCACCACUUGAAGGCCACAGCGUCGCAAAGUGCCACGUAUAAAUCAUUAUGUUUUGGCUCAUUGUCCGUAGUCAUUUUGAUUCUGAUUCUGAUUGUAUAAUACGAUAUAUGUCUGUUCUAGACCAGUACUGGGUUUCUGUUCUGAGUGUGCACACGAUAUUCUGAUUCUGUUCUGGCUGGGUCACCGGGACUAUAGGUGACACUAUGUGACAUAAGCUAACAUUGAAACGACUCGUCCCGAAUCCCCCCAAGCGAGUCUAUCUAGUCUCAUCAAAACGGACUUGAUAAUAAUUCUAUUCGUAAAGAUUCUGCCGAAAAUUUGGCAGAGUCUCCUUUAUAUAUAUAACACUCCCAAUCUACAAAUAUGAAUAUAACACUCCCAAUACAAUUCAAUAUACAACAAACUCCAGUGCUCAACAUCCUCGACAAAAAUGCUGAGUUUUAUUUCUCUAGAGUCUUAAAAGAUAAUAUUAUAACGAAUAUUAAUAUCUCAAUUUAUUCUUAAUCUCAAAAGAAUAAUAUAACAAAAUUAUACAAUCCCAAAAGAACAAGAUGACUAAGAUGUCCUAACAAAAACAUUUAUAUCUUCUAACACCAUCACGUGGCCAAGACUCAAAAUAUAUUUACAGUCGCUGGGUCGGUCUGGUGUACCUGCAACCUCUUGGUGAGGGGGAGAAAAUAUAAUAAAAACGGGGUGAGUUUAAAACUCAGUGAGAUCAGUGAGUGGAUAGUAGUUUUGAAAAUUAAUUCUUACUUUAAAAGAAAUAAUCAUAUCAUUUCCAAACAUGAUUUCAUUAAACCAUAAGCGAGAAACCAGUAAUAAAUCAUUAAACAUUUAAAUCAGAUUACUAACCAUAGAAAUCAUCUUACAAUAUCAUAUAGAAUUCACAAAUUUGAAAAUCAUCACCAAACAAGUACCCAGGGAAAUAAUCUCGUCAUAUCCGGACCUCAACGAACGGGCAAUGAUGUACUAUCUGGGUAACGUCACUCCCCGGAGCUACACGGAUAGACAGGGAAAUACCAUAUCAUAUCUCAUCAUAUCUGUGCAUGCAUAAUCUAGUCCCCAAGGGAUAAAAGCGCCCAAGCACACGGCCCAAAGCCUCUGUGUGUACUUAGACGGGCCCCAAAGGCCUGUAUCUCAUCUGUAUCAUAUGUAUCAUUUGUAUCUCAAUAUUUGUCUGUAUCUCAUAUUUGUAUCUCUCUAAUCAUCAUACCGCAUGCAUAUGCCCCCAAAAGACAAAAACGCCCAAACACACGGCCCAAAGCCUCUAUGUGUGUUCAGACGGGCCCCAAAGGCCUCUCAUCUCAUAUCAUCUGUAUCACUGUAUUUGGAGGGGAAGGGUACUAGCUAAUGAUUUCAAAAACAAUCAUUAUACUCAUAUUCACAUACCUCUUAACCAUAUUUUAAAUCAUACCAUAUUUGAAUUGUCUUUUCUUAUCUUUAAAGUAUUAUCAUGCUUUAUUCAAAAUCGAUACGCAAAAUCAUCAACCAAACAUUUCGAGAAAUCAUUAAAUCAGAACAUUUAAAAUACUUAUUUCGCAAACAUGCUUUACUAUCAUAAUUAACUAUGAAAAUAGGUUUUGUAUAUUCCACUCACAGUGACGGUGUUCACGGUCGGUUAUCGUCCACGUCCGCGGACCGAUUCUCGCUCGCGGAUUCUCCUAAAUCAAGGAAACGACAUAAUUAUUUUUUGUAAAUCGGAAUUAUGACUAAAUUUAUGCAAUAAACUCGAAACGAACAUUUAUCCAUAAUUUACAACUCCCGUGUCGAUAAAAUUACUAAAAUGCCCUUUUGUUAUUGUUAUGUUUUGGAAGAGAUUAUUUAGUGUUAGACGUUGGAAUUUGUGGAUUUGUUUGAAUAAGAAUUUAAGGUAUUUCAGUUAGGAAUUUAUGAGUCAGGAUUACGAUUUAUAAGUAACAUCCUUCUUCACGUGCUCCGCACGUGUUAGUUUUGCGGUGUUACACAUGCCCUCAUCUCCUCACUUUCUUUCUUGACGAUAAUGAGUUUCGGAAGAUCCCCAGUGACUUCUUCCAGUUUAUGCCUUCUCUCACUGUUUUAAACUUGUCAUGUAUUAAACUAAAGUCAGUUCCUUUAGGGACUUCAAGGUUGGUUCCACUACAACAACUCGAUCAUUCAUAUUGAAGCAUAAAAGAGUUGCAAGAAGAGUUAAAUGCCCUGAUUAAACUUAAAUGCUUGAGUAUAGAUCAUGUAGAAGAGCUAAUUACAGUUCCACAACAACGGAUAUUUAAUUUUUAAGGUUACAUGUGUUGAGAAUGUUCGAUACUAUUAGUUUAAAUUUUCAAGAAGCAUUAAAUAAAGACAGCAUUUUAUUUGGUGGGGAGGAAGUUUUAGCAGAGGAGUUGCUCGGUUUGAAAUAUUUGGAGGUAUUGAGCUUCACUUGAGAAGUGUUCGUGCUCUCCAAUUUAUUUCGAGCUCACAUAAGCUACGAAGUUGUACUCAAGCGCUGUUCCUCCAAUCCUUCAAUGAUUCGACAUGGCUUGAUGUUUCACUUUUGGCAGAGUUAAAAGCACCACUACAGAUUUAAGUAUUUUUGGGUGUAGAAAAUUGGAGGACUUGAAGAUGGAAUAUACUGGGGGAGCGAAAAGCAAGCGGCAACCUUGUGUUUUCUAAGGCCUACAUACAGUUCACAGAGAGGUUUGUUCUAAAUUGAAGGACUUUGACAUUCCUUGUUUUUGCUCCAAAUCUCAAGAACUUGUAAAUACAAAAUUGCCCUGCUGUGGAAGCAAUCAUCGGUGUGGGAGAAUUUGCGGAAGCUCUAGAGGCGGUGGAAAAUCUAAACCCAUUUGCAAAACUCAGUAUCUUGGACUAGAAAAUCAGCCAAAUGUGGAGAGCAUCUAUUGCAAGUCUCUGCCCUUUCAGAAAUGACUGUGGAUAGUUGCCGUUGUCUUAAAAAGCUUCCUCUCUACUCCAACAGUGUAAAAGAGUGGACAAUUGUUAUUUCAUCAUUCGGAGAAUUAAUGGUGCAAUGAGAUUUAGCAGUUAACUCUCGUGGGAAGAGCUUGAAUGGGAAGACGAAGCCGCUCCAAUUGCUUUUCAUUCCUGUUUCAAAUCUCUGAUCGGAUUGGAGAUUGCAUUUCGCCUCAGGUUCGUGCUUUUCUUGAAUUUUUCUCGUUAACUUCAUUUGUUCAUUUAUCCAUUUUUUUUAAGGAAUCAGAAGGGUUAAUAUUUUUGGUUGUGUUAGGUCGACUUCUAAUCACGAGGCAGAAGGAGUUGAGAUGAAGUUUAAUUUUGGUGGAGAAAUUGUUUGAUUUAAAAAAUUUAAAUGAGUUGACCAUCAUUCUUUAGCAUAUUUGUAUGAACAGGAGUGUGAAAAUAUGCAAACUGUCCAGCUGUAUGUGUAUAACGUAAUAAUUUUGAGGAGUUAAAACAUUGAAGAAUAUUGAUGUUUCCAUUGUCAGACCAAAUAUACUUAAUUACUUGAGGAUAACGAUUACUGCUAAUACGUUUGCAAAGAAAAAACAUGCCUAUUGAAAAACUCAUCUUAUUAGCAACAGUAUUAUAAGUAGUAUCCAAUCAUAGUUUCAUGCAAGAUUUUGAGAUUUUUCAAAUGCUGAUUCCGGGAAUGGAGAUUAAUAGAUAAUGGAGACAGGUUGACUGCAAUGGCUAAUUGCAAGAGGGAAUUUUAGUCGUAAAAAAAGACCAACUAGCAAAGCAAAUUCCAAAUCUCGGAAUGAAGUAGCAAAAAAAAGAAACAAACAAAUGGCAAGAGGAAGUGACUAUACAAUAAUAACAUCGACUUGCAAUUCAACAUUUAUACAGUUUUACACACCAAGAAAGGAAAAAAUUACAAUAGAAAUUUGGCCACUAAAAGAUGCUCGUUCAUGCUUAUGCCUGUCAUAUGGAUUUGAAACAUGGAGUAAAAGCAUUUAGAGUGGCUUCAUCCUUCCACUGCAGCUCAUUCCACCAGUGUUGCUCUCCCCUAAUAACAAGUUUUUGUUCCUUGGCACUGUUGUAAUCGAGUGGAAGCUUCUUGAGAUUCGGGCAGCCAGAUACAAACAAUUCCAAGAGAUUUGGAAAGGGCAAUGCAUUCAAACAGAUCUUCUUCAAAUUUCUUAGAACUUGCAACCGAAGAUAUUGGAGUUUCGCAAAAGGUUUUAGCCCGGGAACUUCUUCCACUUUCCAAACACUGAUUAUUUCUUCCAUCCCAUAACAACGUUCUAUAUGGACCACCUUGAGAUUUGGAGCAAAAACAAGCCAUGUCAUCUCCCUCAAUUUACUGCAACCGUCUAUGGUAACACUUUGAAGGCUGUUGAAACCCUACGGUUCUCUUGUUGUUUGAACUUCUGCAUAGUCAACCUUUAGCUCUUCCAAACUUGUACAAUGCACAAAAUCUAGUUUGUCAAGAUACUUGAGAUCUGCUAUGGACAAAAUAUUCCAUGACCUUGAAUCCUCACAGCGGCGAAGCUCUAAAGCAUAUUUACAACUCUUAUACUGUUGGCGGCUCAAAAGUCUUCGUAGAGCAUAAAAACUUCUUAACGUGACGCUUAAUACAUUUAAAUGUUCCAAAGUAAUCAACUCCUCUACCAAAAUUUCACUACCACCAAAUAGAACGCUAUCUUCUGGAACUGUAUCGGCAGAGCCACAAUCUAGCAUCCUCAACACCUUUAACCCAGAAAAAUUACAAAGCAGUUGCCGUGGAAUCGUAUGGAGAUAACGCAUGUACUCCAAGUUCAAACACUUUAGAUUUUUCAAGGCCUUUAGUUCAUGUGGCAACUCUUUGAUGAAAGUUUCUGAAAGAUUAAGAUAUUGUAGUGAAACCAAUUUUGAAAUUCCUGAAGGCAAUUGACUCAAGGAGCGAUUCUUUGAUAGGUUUAAAACUUUAAGAGAAGGCAUAAAAUCGAAGAAAUCACUAGGGAUAGUAUCUAACAUAUUAAUUCCGAGGAACAAAGUUAUAAGAUGAGGGCAUAUUGGAGUUAUUGGUAAAAUCACAAUUUUAUUUCUCAUCAACGGUAUCCUUCUCUUAUCUUCCCAUUUUUUAACCUCGGGUGGUUCAGUUAAUUCAAUACCGGCAGAAACCAAAAAGUUUUCAUUCUCCACUUCACAGGCUAUCCACAAGGUCAUAUCACGAAUCACAUCAUGCAGUUUUACAUAAUCUGAUCCUGCUUCUUCCAAUAGGCAUGCAUGAACAAGAACACCAAUAAUGCAGUAUCCUUGGUUAUGUACUCCAUUAAUUCCUUCAUUUUCCUUCAGAAAACCCUCACCAAUCCAACACUUUAUCAAUUCAGUUUUGCUAAUUUGAUAAUCCUCAGGAAAUAAACUACAGUAUAACAGACAAGAUCUAAGGACGUCACUAGACAAACUAUCAUAACUGAAUUUUAAAAGACGAAACACCUCUUUCUCCAUACCUGGAAAUUCAUAAGCUGAUCUCCUUAACAUCUGAAUUGCAUAGCUCCGUUCUUCGGGUCUCUUCUUGCUGCUCAUGGCACGACUAGUGGUAAUAAGUGCAAGUGGCAAACCACUACACUCCUUUGCCACAGUUUGGGCUAACUCCGGAAUAUCGGGAUGACUUUCAAGAGUCUCUUGUCCGACCUUCUUUAGGAACAAUUCCCAAGCAUCUUGAUCUGCGAAACACUCCACCUUGAACGUUUUUUGAGCUUCCAUGAGGCCACAGACGUCCACAAGACGAGUCGUAAAGACUAUCUUUGAUGCAUUUCUUGAACUCGCAGGAAAAGGGACACCCACUUUGGCUAAAUCAAUUCUUUCCCAUAUAUCAUCUAACAAUAGCAGAAAUUUCAUUUUGCUCAAUAAAUUGAAUAUACCUGAUGCUUUCUCUUCAAAGCUUCAAUUCUGAAGCCAUCCUAUUCUUUCUCCGAUUUUUUGUUGAAUUCUCUCAAGUUGCAUGUCUUUUGACACCACCACCCAAAUCACAAUAUCAAAAUAAUAGUGUAGUCUUGCCGACUCCCCCCAUGCCAUAAAGUCCGAUGAUUCCAAAUUGUCCUUCUACAAGACAUCUCCAAACUUUAUCAAAUGUUGAUUCUAGGCCGAUUAUUGUUGGCUGAAGAGGCCUUUUAUCCACUGCUGGUUGUGGUACCUUUUCAGCUACCACAGCAAAAUCCCCAUCGUCUAUUAAAGUAGCCACAAGCUGCAGCUUUUUGGACACCUUUUUCCCAAACUUGUAGCUUGACUUGCAGUUCUUGGAGCAGUAGCCUCCAAGGCAUAGUUUUUCAAUUUCUUGAGAGGUGUCCCUUGUCAAUUCACCUACUUCAGCUUCCACAGCCUCCACCCUUGAAAGCCAACCUUGCACUCUGUUCAGCCGUCUUAGUUAUUGUUGCUCAGCAUUAGCGACCCUCAUCAUCACAUCGUUCUUUGUUUCAAUUAGUUUCUGCAAUUCGGUCUGGACGGCAACCAGGUUAUUUUCAAGCUGGCUUAGAUAUGCUGCUUUUCUGCGGAUACAAUUUAUGAAGCCAGUGGAAAGGGCAUCACAUGUAAGUUGGAUUCCCAAAAUAUUACCCAUAGUUUGUAUGAGAUUCAGAGUACAAUAGAAGGAAUGCAACACAGUAUGUAUUCGGUUGUGGUGUCUAUGAUUUUACAGUCGCAGAAGCUUAUUCACCUUGUGAGAGCUGAUCAGGUGGGCACCAUCACUCUCCUUACGCUUUAUAGAGAGCGAUAGUCCAUGUGGUCAGAUCUCAUUCAGAUAACUAGCCAAGUGGGCAAUCGCUCCACCUUAUCAAAAUUCUUCAUCUAUAAUAAUAUCAUGAGUAGGCCUUGAAUUUUUCUUUUAAUUUUAACAUUUAAAAGGUAGAGGUGAAAAAGUCUAAAUAGUAUUUUUGUCCUCGUACUUUAAUAACAUUUCUUGAAAGUCACUCGAUCUCAAAAUUUAAUUAAGAAGAUAUUAUAGAUUUAUAAGCAAGCCUUUAAAAUUUAUUUGCAAGUAAGCCCAUAAGACUUACUAAAAGUCGUCAACUCGUCAUGACCAAAAUUGAAAAUUCUUCCGCGUGUGAAAUACGGCAUGCACAGACGUAUUAAAAACAAAGGCCAGCUAUGAUAUUCUUCGUAUAUUUGCAUUCCCUAUUAUCUUAUUAAUAAUUUCAGACACGUAGUUCGUUGCUUGUGAUUUUUCAUAUGCAAAAGCACAGUCAGUGUUACAAUUUACAAUUACAAUUGAGUGCCACCUAUAUACUCCUUCAUUCUUUUCAAAAUAUGUUGUAGGAUGGGUAAUCGUGACAAAAGUGAUUUUUAAAAAGAUUUGUUAUAAUAUUAAAAUUAACUUUUAAUUUUUUUUAAAUUACUUUUGAGAUUUGUGAAAAAAAUCCUAAACGGGUCUCAGAAGUAUAAUUAGAACCACGAAUUUAUAAAAUGAUCAAAGGAAUCCAUUGCCUAAUAUUAUAGUACGCAAUUGAUUGCUAUAAACUAAACUUCUAUGAUCUCACUUCAUAAUAAUUUAUUUUCAAUCUCCAUCAUGGUAGAAAAAUUUCAUCAAUCAACAUACCCUACCACCACCCAGUAGUCGACCAUUUAUCAUCUUCUAUCCGUAAAAAAAAGGAAAAAAAAAAAAGAAAGGAAAAAUUUAGUCCAGAAAAGAAAAUAUCGCAAGACCAAACAGAGAGAGAAAAUAGAAAAAGCAAAGAGCUGUACUGAAUACCGGCAGUGAUGGCUCCGUACUUGACCAUUUAGGUUUGAUUCUGCAUUAACAUAAUAUUUUUUCUGCACUGCAUUCACAUCACAACCAUUGAAUAGUCGUGAUCUAUUUUUCUAAAGCGAAUAAUACUAUCUUCUCGUGUCGGUGGCUUGAUCAUAUAACAAAAUAGACUAAUAAUGUUUCAAUAGACAUUUUGGUAAAUGGAAGAAGUUAUGAUCUGUCCAUUUUUAUGUUACUUUAUUUUAAUUUGUUAAUUACUAUUAAUAUCUUUGAGUGUGGCAGAAUCUUGACCUAAGAUAUGACUAGGCUCCACAUGUUAUAUAUUAAUUUGAUUAAGCCUAGCUAAUUGUUAAUUAUUAAUUUGAUUGCGGCUUUUUAUUUUACCCACAUUUUUUACGCGUGAAAUCUUUCUUAGUGAAAAACUACACGUAUGUGCAAAUAUUCGGAAUGGACAUUUUAGAAAGAAAAAAAAGUAAAAGAAAAUGUUUGAGGGAAAAAUAGGAAAGGCAAUAGAGCGCCACGUGUCAACCAAUGGAAUGAUUUCAGCACAAUCGGAGGUACCCUACACAAUCCGAGGUGCCCGGCAUGACUUGAGGUACCCCGUAUAAAUAGAGGUAUCCCACACAAAUAGAGGUACCUCAUAUAAUAUGAGGUACCCCAUAUGAAUAGAGGUACCCCAUACAAAUAGGGGUACUCCGCGUAAUAGGGGGUACCCCACGUAACUCGAGGUACCCGGCAAAGCGGAUGCAAGAGAAUCCACCGAAAAUACCCGCCAUGAGAAACGUCUCCGCCUCCUAAAAGAUAUCAUUUGAUUUUGUCAGAAUUAGGAAUCAAAAGCGACGUGCUAAAAGGAGGGACAGCCGCCUGCUACCUCUGCCAAAAGUGAAGGACACUGUCCCAAGGACAGUGGUCCCUAGCCGCCUACCCGACAGCUACUGCAGAGGUACCCUGGACCACUCUCCAGCGCGCGCCACGUUUUCAAAAGAUGAGAUACGCCGCGAACAUGCAAAUAACGGCCCAAAAAAUUAUAAAAAGGUAAAAGGACGUUAGCCAAAAAGGGUACGCCACGUGGUAGCUGAGGUACUCCAUAUAUAAAGGCGCCUAGGUUUCAUCCUCCAAGAGGCUCUCAUUCGCCCAAAAACACUCACACUCCAGAAAAUAGGUUUUCUUCAACCUUAAACCCUAAUUUACAAAGGGCUAGCUAGCUCUCUUUACCAUAAAAGCUUGAGUUUGCUAACUUGAGCGUCGGAGUGUGAACGCCGGGGUACCCCGGCUUCACCUCUAACCUCCAUUUCACUGUUUUGCAGGUGUGGAGCCCAUCUCGAAGGAUACCUCUCUUAGUUCUAAACCUUUCACCAUUGAUACCACUCUCUCUCCCUUUCUCACCUCCCCCAAAUCUUAGAUACACCGCACCGCACACAAUAAACUAGUGAGGUACCCCAUCUCCCCCAAAAAUAUAAAUUUAUUGUUCUAGAUUGGUUUGACUUUUCCUACCCCAAAAUCAGUUGAAAACAGAAAAUGACUAAAAAGUAAAAGAAAAUAGACACCCAAUUGUAAUUACGAGUACAAUAGAAGGAAUGCAACACAAUACCGAUUUUGCAGUCGCUGAAGCUUAUUCACCCUAUGAGGGCUGAUCAGGUGGGGGCCGUCGCUCUCCUUACACUCUUAUAGAGAGUUAUAGUCCAUGAUCUCAUUGGGAGAACUAGCCAAGUGGGCAAUCGCUCCACCUGAUCAAAAUUCUUCAUCUUAUAAUAAUAUCUUGAGUAGGCCUUCAAUUUUAAUCUUUAAAAGGUAGAAGAGGUGAAAAAGUUAAAUAAUAUUUUUGUCCUCCUAUAUAACAUUUUUUGAAAAUCACUCGAUCUUAAAAAUUAAUUAAGAAAAUAUUAUAGAUUUUUAAGUUAGUGGCCCUUAAAAUUUAUUUGCAAGUAACAAUUAGAGAAAAGUCGUCAUGCCCAAAUGACUUACUAAAAGUCUGCAACUCGUCAUGACCAAAAUUCUUCCGAGUGUGAAAUACGGCAUGCGCAGAUGCAUUAAAAACAAAGGCCAGCUAUGAUAAUCUUUGUAUACUUGCCUUCCCUAUUAUCUUAUUAAUAAUUUCAGACGCGUCGUUCGUUGCCUGUGACUUUUCAUAUGCAAAAGCGGAGUCAGUGUUACUUGCAUUCCCUGUCACCUUAUUAAUAAUUUCAGACACAUCGUUGGUUGCCUGUGAUUUUCAUAUGCAAAAGCACAGUCAGAAUUACAAUUUACAUUUGGAAUUGAGUGCCAUCUAUUUAUUCUAGCUGGAUCUAAAAUGAUAUUGCAUUAUUGCACUGACUUUUUAGUCACAGCGUUUCUCUAUGAAUUCCUUAAACUUUAAACACAUCAUGGAAUAAUUAUUUUCUUAAAGACCAAAUUAACAUAAUUCUUAAAUCAUUUAUAAAACAACAUUUAUCAUAUAACAAAUCGUACAUGAAUAAAUUUACCUUGAACCGUAGCAAACAAACAAGAAUCUCAACCACAUCAAUAUCAUAAUCCCUUCUGACCUUAACAGUAAUUUUAUUCGUCCUUAAUUCAUAGGUAUAAGUAUCCCAAUAUAUACUUGAUGUCAACCUUUACAAUUCUUUACAGAAUUGCAGCAGACCAAAUUUGUAUACAAAACUGAAAUCAUACAGUAAUUGAUGUUUUCGAUAGAUUUUAGGGUAGGAAAAGCCAAACCAAUCUAGAACAAUGAAUUUGUAUUUUUGGGGGAGACGGCGUACCUCACUAGUUUGUUGUGUGCAGUGUGGUGUAUCUGAAAUUCGGGGGAGGUGAGAAGGGGAGAGGGAGUAGCAACAAUGGAGAAAGGUCAAAACCAAGAGAGAUAUCCUUAAAAAUGAGCUUCACGCCUGCAAAACAGUGAAAUAGAGGUUAGAGGUGAAGCCGGGGUACCCUGGCGUUCACACUCCGACACUCAAGUUAGCAAACUCAAGCUUUUAUGAUAAAGAGAGUUGGCUAACCCUCUGUAAAUUAGGGUUUAUGGUUGAAGAAAACCUAUUUUUUAGAGUGUGAGUGAGAGCAUCCAUGGAGAAUAAAAUAUAGGCACAUUUAUAUAUGGAGUACCUUAGUUGCCAUGUGGCAUACCCUUUUUGGCUAACGUCUUUUUACCUUUUAUGAUUUUGGGGCCGUUAUGUGCAUGUUCGCGGCGUAUCUCAUCCUUUGGAGACGUGGCGCACGCUGUGGUCCAAGGUACCUCUGCAGUAGCUGUCGGGUAGGCGACUGAGGACCACUGUCCUUGGGACAAUGUCCUUCACUUUUGGCAGAGGUAGUAGGCGGUUGUCCCCCCCUUUUGGUACUACGUUUUUUAUUCCUAAUUCUGACAAAAUCAAAUAUUAUCCUUCAAGAUAUGGAGAUAUUUCCUAUAGUGGACUUUUUCAGAGGAUUCUCCUGAGACAGACCUAUCGGGUACCUCAAGUUAUAUGGGGUACCUCGAUCCAUGUGGGGUACCUCGAGUUAAUCUGGAGUGAAGUGGGGUAUCUCUGAUUAUGCUGGGUACCUUUAAUUAUGUGGGAUACCUCUAAUCAAGCCGGUACUUCUAAUUACGCCGGGUACCUCUAAUUGCGCGGGGUACCUCUAAUCAAGCCGCGUACCUCUAAUUACGUCGGGUACCUCUAAUCAUGCAGGGUACCUCUAAAUCAGGCAGGGUACCUCUAAUCACGUCGGGUACCUCUAAUCAUGUUGGGCACCUCAAGUUAUUCCGAGUACCUUAAAUUAUGUUGAAGUUAUUCUGGGUACCUUGAAUUAUGCUGGAGUUAUUCCGAGUACCUCGAAUUAUACGGGGUACCCCAGUCUAUGUGGGGUACCUCUGACCGUGCCAGGUACCUCAAAUCAUGGCAUGUACCUCUAAUCGUGCGGGGUACCUCUAAUCAUGUCGGGUACCUCAGAUUGCACUAAAGUUAUUCCAUUUGUCGACACGUGGCGUUCUGCUAUCUUUCUUAUUUUUCCCCCAAACAAUUGAAUACAGUGAAAAUAGACAUGAUGGGAAUUAGUAUAUAUAAAUAUCUUAAUAAUUUAAAAGUUUCUUAAACUGAUUUUACAUAUCUGAAAAAUUAUAGAAAUCGGAACUGCUGCAGAAAUCAUAAUUUUCCAGCGAAUGUGUUACAACUUCAGAAACUCAUAAGAAAUUAAAUUCUUGGGAUCACAAAAUAAUUCAAUAGAAAGCUUAAGAUGUCUAGUUCAUAAAAUCUGAAUUUUUUUUUUAAUAAGAUCUUUGGAAUUUAAGAGAUUCAGCAGUACUUUUAUUACAUCAAUUCUUCAAACAAUCACCAAUCUAACAUUCAUCAAAAUUAAGUCAUAAAAGUCAUGUGGUUUAUAAAAAGAAUUACCUGAAAAAGAUUAGCCUUCCCCUUUCAAAAGCAACGUGAAACUCCAAAAACUCUUCUUCCAUUACCUAUUCAAACAUGAAAAAAAAAAAAAAAUUUGGUGUCUCUUCUUUAAAUGCGUGAUGAGUGUGCUCUGUUUUCUCUGUUUUCUCUGUUCUUCUCUUUCUUUUUUAGAUUUCGAAAACCUAAAGAGUGUUGGAGUCUUUAUUUUCUAAAAACAAGACUUUUCCAUGUAUUCAGUUAAAUUAAAUUACGUCCAAAUGCUAUGUCAGUUCCAUCAUUAGCAUUUUUUUUUCCUUUUAACACCAACAUUAGCGUAUGUUAAGUGUCAUAAUCCAUAGUUGGACAAUUUGAAAUCUCUUCGUGUUUUAUCUCAAAGUAGAGCUUCAAACAAUUUGUACCUCACAAAUUUACAAUAUCUAUGAGGGCUAAUAAGACCAAACUCAGGCAUAUUGUCAAAUGUGCUUAUACUUUCGCUUGACAAGUCAUUUUAAAAUUGUCUUUCAAUGCCAAAAAACCACAUAAACUAAUGGUCCACUACUUUAAUUUGAAAGCAUGCAUGCGAUCGCCAUUAAUCAAGGAUGUUAGGGUCAUGCUGCAGAGUAUAGAACUUGAUUUUAUGGGAUAGCCUUCUUUCUUUAUAAUUUUUAAGUUUAAUACUGUUACGCAAGUAGCACAUAAGUUGGAAAACAUAACAUAAAUUUUGAAAAAUGUAUAGUUUUCGUUCCCUUUUUUCCCCUCUAAAAAUGGGAAAAAAGAACGUAAUUUUGAUUUAUUUAAAUUACUGUUGUGAUAACAAUUUUUAUUUUAUUGAUUAUUUACCCAUACAUGUGGCAAAUUUUUUAAGAUAAGGUGAAGGAUGAAGCUCAAAAAUAUAAAUUAUAGAAUUAAUUACCCUCUGUAGUAAGUUUAAAGUUUAUUAUUUUUAACUACAUAUUUAUAAUUUAUUUUUAUUAUGUGUUAAUCUAUAGAUCUAAAUUCACUUCGGAACCAUAUACAUAUUUAGACAUAAUGUGCAUGUUAAUCUAUAGAUCUAAAUUCACUUUAGAUCUAUAUGAGUAUUUAGACAUAACGUAUUGCAACCAUAUUGGCAUGUUCUCACUAUAGUAUUGGUGUAUUGACAUUAUAUCUAAUUGUCCCUAUAAAUCCAAAAAUAAUCUAGAUAUACAAAUUAACAUAAAAUAAAGAUAAUUGGUAGAAAAUGCAAAUUAUAAACAUAUAAUUGAAAACGAUAAAUUUAAAUUUACUUAAGAAAGUAAUUAAUCACUUAUUUCUUUUUUAUAAUAUGACAAAUAUUAUAAUAAAUAUUAAUUAAUAAUAAUUAGAAUAACAAAUUAAGGAUAUUUUAAUAACUUAAAAUAAUUUAUUUUGAUUUCGAGACAAAAUAAACACAUGAAUCGCAAUACAACUCAUUCUGAUUCCACUCAUUUAGAUUUCAACAUAUUUUAAUUAAUUCAAGUGCUCUCCAUUAUAAUUGAAGCCGCUGCCCCACUCGUGAUUCCAAACUUUAUCUUUUUCCUUUUUAAAAUUAAUGCAAGCAGCCGCUGUCCUUUUUAUUAAUUAAUUAAUUAAUUCGGCCGCCCACAUUUCUUUUCCUAAUGUCUUCGGCUUUCGAUUUUCUUUUGUUUUCUCUUUAUUCUUAAAACUGUGAAAAUAAUAUAUAAAUUAUGAGCGUAUCAAUCAAUAAAUUAAAAAUAAUAAUUUUUAUUUUUAUUAAAUAUAUAUUUUUCAGUAUUAAUCAGUUAUCUAAGUAACUAAAAUCAGUUAAAAAUAAAUAAAUAAAUUAUUCUUAAAAAAAAAACUUUUUAUACCACUCACUAUGCUGGCUGUCAAGGGUAGAAGCUUUGGGGACUGAAGUUGGUAACUUCUACAAGUAGUCUUAAGUUGACUGGCAACAACUAUAUUGGCAUUUAGACAUAAUGUUCGGCAACCAUAUUGGCAUGUUCAAAUGUUCUUCCUAUUGUAUUGGUGUGUCGCUCUAACUGCCUUAUAGAUCCAAAAAUGAUCUAAAUUUACAAUUUAACAUAAAAUAAAAUAAUUGGUAGAAAACAAUUAUGGUUCAUUUACUUAUUAGUAAUUAGAAUAGACUGAACUUAGCAUGAGUUGUAUUGCCGUUAAUAUGUUUAUGUUGUCCUCAAAUCGGAAUGAAUUAUUUUAAGUUACUAAAAUACCCUUGGUUUGUUACUCUAAUUAUUAUUAUUUAAUAUUUAUUUUAGUAUUGUCAUAUUAUUAAAAAGAAAUAAUAAUGAUGAUAAUAUUAUCAUUAUUGUUUGUUAUAUUAUUAUUAUUAAAAAAAUUAUUGUUAAUAACAAUAAUAACUUUAUUUCAAUAAUAAAAAUGAUAAAAUUAAUAAUAACAAUCAUGACAACAACAAUAAUUAUUUAUUAUGCCAAAAAUAACAAUAAUAAUAAGAAUAAUAAUCAUCAUCCUUUUUUCCCAAAGAAGCAUUAUCAUCAUCAUUUCAAAAAAAAAAAAAAAUCAUCAUCAUCAUCAUUUUUGUAGUGGCUGCCUAUCGGCUGCUGCUUUCAUGCAAGAUUGACUUGCGACGCUUCAACUGCUAUUAUUUCUGGCAAUGUCAGGUGUUGUUGUUUCAAUGUGGGGAGAAGCUGUUUCGGUGCGCUAACGAUGGGAAGUGUUGUGGCUGCGAUUCGGGGAGCUACUGGUUCAGUGCACUAAUGACGGCAGGUGUUGCUGCUCAAUGCGAGGUCCAUGGCCAGUUGUCUUGUUUUACAGCCAGCUCUUGUAGGAAAUUCUUCAUCCAAAAUAUUUUUUUGUAACCUUCAAUAAUUGUAAUAUCAUUUGCUUCCGUGGUAGAAAAGACAACUCAUUGCUAAAGUCUAGAUUGUGAUGAGACUGCUCUCCCAGCAAAAGUGAGCAAAUAUCCUAGUAGGAAUUUUUCAAAAUCAAUAUCUCCUGUCAUAUCUACACACGUUUGUCACCACCAAAAUAUAAACAUAUUCUGGAAAUGCCUCUAAGAUAUCUGAGAGUUCAUUUCACUGUUGUCCAGUGCUCUUUGCCGAGAUUGAAGAGAAACCGACUGACUACACUAACUGCAUAGGCAAUAGCUGGUCUUGUACAAAAAAUGGUGUACGCCAAACUGCCAAUUGCCAAACACUGAGAAAUGGGUUUUGCUCUUGAGAUUUUUGGGAACAUGAAGAAUAAAGAUGUAAUUUCUUGGACUACCAUUGUUUCGGGGUAUAUAAAUAGAGGACAAGUCGAUAUAGCUCGACAGUAUUUUGCUCAGAUGCCAGAACGAGAUUAUGUCUUAUGGACUGCCAUGAUUGAUGGGUACCUUCGAGUGAAUAGGUUCAGAGAGGCUUUGACACUUUUCCGGGAGAUGCAAACUUCAAAUAUAAGGCGAGACGAGUUUACCACUGUUAGGAUUCUUACAACUUGUGCGAAUCUGGGGGCACUAGAACUGGGAGAAUGGAUAAAGACUUACAUUGAAAAAAAAAAGUCAACAAUGAUAUAUUUGUGGGGAUUGCUUUGAUAGACAUGUACUGUAAAUGCGGAGAUGUUGAGAAAGCUCAAAGGGUAUUCUGGAAGAUGCUUCGAAAGGACAAAUUCACAUGGACGGCCAUGAUUGUUGGCCUUGCCAUCAGUGGCCAUGGUGAUACAGCUCUUGAUAUGUUUUCCCAAAUGCUUAGGGCUUCGAUCAGACUAGAUGAGGUAACUUAUGUUGGUGUUCUGUCUGCCUGUACUCACAAUGGUAACGAAAAUUUUGUGAUAAAUAGAUGCAACUUAAGGUGAGAAUUGGAGGAAACGAAAUAGACUGAAGUUGUUCAAUCAUCGGUGGUUGCUAUAUGAUUUUAAGUUGUUCAAUCAUCGGUCGUCUCUAUUUGGUUUUCUCCAAUAUCUCAUCUCCAGUUUUGACUCAGAUUCUGUCUUACCGCUAGUAAUUACAUAGACUUGCUGCCAAAGGUAAGAAUGGGAAUAAAUUAAAUAGAUUAUGUCGAUAACGAAAUAGAUUUACUAUUGCUAUGUGCAUUCUAUUUGGUUCCUGCAAAAUAUUUUCUCCUGCCUAAAAUUUUUUGAAUAAGUAAGUUUUUACCUUACGCAAGAAUUGUGCUAAGAGUAAUUCCAGUCUCUCUAUGUUUCAAUGAAGACGUAAAACUUGUGUUUUAGAGCACCAAUGUUAUGCUUCUUACAAUUGGAUUUUAAUUUACUUCGUAAAACUUUUGUCAAAAUGUACUACGGGUGUAUUUGAAAAUGAGGUACUGUAGCUUUUAAGCUACAGCUGCUAUGGAAAAAAAAAACUAACUAUGAAAUAAAAGUUAAUAAUAUAUAGUAAAUAUAAAUUUUAAAUAAUAAUUUUGAUAAAAUUAUUAAAGAUAUAAUAGUUUUUUUAUUAUACAAGUGAAAAAUUAUAUAAACAUAGUUUUCAAGUUACAGCAGCUAGUGUUUACCAAACACUUUAGUACUGUACUUUUUAAGUUACAGCUGCCCAACAUCAAUCUCAAACGCACCUUAAGGAGUAGUGCGCCAAACACCAACUUUAUUACAGAGAGGACUUUGGUUAAACUUUAAGAAAAACACCGAUGGUUGUCGAAGCCAACAAAUAUAAAUUCCUACUCUAAAUAAAUUGUAUAUAGUGAUUGAGCAGGGUCGUGUCCACAGAAAUCGGUAAUUAUUUAAAUCCUUUUAAAACGUAAAACAUAAAAUGGGGGUUUUGUUGACAAUAAUAAAAAUCAAAUUAAAAUAAUAAGAAUGCAAAUUAAAGUUGUAAUUCAAAUUAGAGAAAGCUCUGGUUGAAGGAAUUAACUCAGCUUGAUUCGACUACUGAUCAUUGAUUCAAAUAUAGAUUAUUAUUACUCAUGAAUAGACCGGUUAUAGCUACUGAGACCCUCUAAUAGCCAAUCUCUCCUUAACUAGUCGAUAACCAAGGUACGACCGUUGGUUAUUUCCCUAAUCAAUAGACAACCCUAGAUACGAUCAUAGGAUUUAAUCAAUUGACAGCCUGAAAAACCAGAGAGACCCAAAUCCUAAUCAACACAUAUGAUGAUUCAUUUAAAUUAGAUUGUUUAUUCUCACAACACAACUCUCUGCUAUGUUAUUUGUCACAAACAUUAAAUUCUUCAUACGAUGAAUCCUUUAAUUGACAAUAGAUUAAGUUGAUAAUUAAAUAGUGGCCAAUUACCUAAUUAACAAACAUAAUCAUGAAAAUAAUUCAGAGAAUAAACAAAUACCCAAAAAUUAAUAAAACAAUUAAAGCACAAGAAAAAUCUCACAGUAGUGAUGAAUCAAAGCUUCAUUAACCUUCAACCAGAAAAAUAGGUUUAGUUCCUCAUAGAGAGAAGAGAAAAAUUAGAUCUAGGGUUUCUUUCUUUUUCUCCAAUCCAAAUCUCCCAUUUUCAAAAUAGAUUCCUCCCUUAAAUACUCUCUCUCUCUUCUCCUCUAGAAUUCUAUUUAAAAUAAAAUACUAGUAUCUGAAAUAUUAAAUUCGUAAUUACAAAAAUAACCAAAAAUACAAAACACGUUAAACUAAAAACUGCAGGUCCGCAGUUGACAGCACGCGCCCACGCCUUAUCAACAAAGUUCUUCUGCCGCUCAUAAUUUCUCCAAGAGAACAAUCAUCCUUAAACAUCAUCUUGUAACUCAAUUUUAUCACCAAUAAAUAGAAUUGCACCUACAAAAGUAAAUCACAAGUAAAUCACUAUUAUUAAGUGCAAAACAUCGAUAUUAAGGGAAGUAAACAAUGCAAAACUAGUGCAUAAAUUGCACUCUAACAAACACUCAAAGGAAGAGUUAUAAAUUAUUAUAGAAAUAUUUCACAUAAAUAAAAGCCAUUCCACAAUGCGAAGAUCGUGCUAUCAUCACCAGAAACCAUCGGGAGCAUUCAGGGUUUCCAUGAAAACGCCAUUUCAUUCCAAGAGUCAAUGGUGAGUAGAAAGUGGUGCAAACGAUAAUCAUUCUUAAUGCUAUAAGUUUUUGCUAAAUUAUGUCUUACCCAAAAUGAUGAUUUAAUUUCCAUUCUCAAUUAAUUUUCAAGUUUCAACACUUUUCUUUGUAGCAUGACAUUGGAAAGAUCUUGUACUACUAAAAGCUAGCACCACACGUUAAUUAUUGUUAAGUUCUUUUUCAACGUGAAAUAAAGGAAGUAGUCCUUCGUUAAAACCAUUAUAGCCAAAUUUCAUGUAAUUGGACACUUACAGACUUUCAUUUCAAGCUGGAAUUUGGUCCAACGUUUCAAAGUUGACCCAACUAAUUGUCUGAUCAAGUCCUACACAACUAAGACCCUCAAUGAAUGAGGGUGAGACUGCUAAAAAUUACGACAGUUGAUAUUAUUAUUAUUAUUUUGGGAUAAAUCCUUACCAAGGUGAGUGAGGAGAUUUUAUCAAAAUAAAAAUAAAAUAUAACAAGAAAACUAGCUAAAUUAAAAUAUUACAAAAGCUAGAUGAACUGAAAGGCAGCCUAAAAACAACCUUAUGCAAAAGAGAAGCAACAUGCUAGUAUUCCAAGCUUCUUGUUAUAAAAGUGUAGAAUGAAGUAGGUGACGUAGUUUUAAGUUACACCUCCAUGCCCAAUCACAAUAUCAAAUAAUGCUUAAAGUAGUUAUAUUAACUCUUAAAUUUAUAAAUAAUUAAAUUUUUAAAAGUAUGGAUUUAUAUUAAAAAAUUUCUAUAUAAAUAAAUAAUAUAUGCAUUUUUACAACAUAGUCUUUAAAUUUAAACUUUUCUAGAAAAAUCUUCUGGAUAUCUUUUCUAUUAAAAAAGAGUUUCUCAAAAUUUAUAAAAGUAACUUAAAGUUUUGUCUUCCCUUUUCUUUUAGCUUAUACAUAUGUGUGUGUAUUCUUUUAUAGCAAUAACUAACGUUAUUUAUUUUUAAAUCAUAAAAAAAUUAUGAAAAAAAAAAUGUACCAAAUUUAAUUGGACACAGCACAAUGCACAUGCAUAGAACACAUUCUGAAAAGCCAUGCUAUUCGGAAAUUGACGAAUGGAAAGUGAAGAGGCAGCAGUCAAUGCCAUUUCGGCUUGGCCCAAAAUUUCACCAGUUUGUUAAUCAGUGUUCUGCAGCUCUUGCUGCUUUCCUAGAGAUUCUGCAUCUUUUGCAAUUUGAUUGAUUAAAAAAAAAAAAUUAGUGGCCAUUUGGAAUGGAGGAGAGAUUUGUGUGAAUGGUAUAGGUGAAAAAUUGGAUGAAAAUAAACAGGCAACCGUCCGUAUAAAACAACAAUAACAAUAUACAAAAAGAUAAGUAAUUCACGAAAGGAAAUUUACGGUUGUUUCUAAAAAACAUACACAUUAAUUUCACUUAUACUCUAAGAUUUGCCAUCAUGACUGGACUUGUGAGGAAUUUGGAAACAUGUAUGAUGUAGAAAUGCUGAAGUAGCUUGAACCAGAUGGUGAAAUCGUCUAGCGGUCAGCGGGACAUGAAGCUAUAGGGGUUGUUAGUUGUGUUUUGGAUAUUUACAGACAUGCUGAGUUUGAGUUUAUAUCUUAACUUAAAAUUUGUAGUUUUCACUUGAAAAGAUUCAGUUAAAAAUUGAUUGGUGGAAUUGUUAAAAAGUCUAAAUUUUUAGUUCAAACCUAUUGCAUAUUUAAGAACAUCUCAAAUGAAUUGCUUACUGCUAUCGUCGUCAUCAUUGCCCAUAUAAUAAUAAUAAUUAUUAUUAUUAUGCCUUUAUAAUUAUUAGUAUCGCUGUUAUUAUUUUUAUGGGUAAAUGGUUUUUCUAUCCUGGCAAUUUAAGCCAAUUACCUAACUAAUCCAUGUAAGUUUAAAAAUGUUUCAAAAGAUCUUUAUUUUAUAUAUGUUUCCACUAAAAUUUAUUUAAUUAUUCUUUAUUUUUCAAUUAUUGCAUGUUCGAUUUUUUUGAGUUCUAAGCUAUAUCAAUAGAAAUGUUAUCUUAUCCAUAAAAAGUUAGAUCCAACAAUUAUGAAAAUUACUAUGGAGCUGCUUUGAAUAAUUUUUAAAAAAUACCACAAGUAAAUAAUAAUUAGUUUAAAUAGUGGAGACUAAAAAGCAUUCACCCUUAUUCUUUAUCUGUUAUUUGUUUUUUUUUUCCGUUAAUGCACAUGUUAUACAUUUGAAACAUUCCGUUAAUUGCCAAUUAUGUAAGCGAGAUAGUAAUUUAAUUUUUUUUUUAAAAAAGUGAAAAUUAAUCCUAUGCAAUGUGAAUAAAUUUCUUUCCAUUUUCCUUCUCUCUUUUUAUUUGAUAAUUAAGUUUCAACCUAUGUACCCAAAAUUUCUGCAACAGGUAAAAAACAUAAAAAUAUAUGAUUGUUAAUGUAAACACGCGGAAGUUCAUCAUUUCAAUGUUCAGUAUUUCCAAUUUUGGCAUACGAAUAUAUUCCACUCAGAAAGCCAAAUAUUAAAAUUCUGAUUUUAAUUCAUUCAUCAUAUCUCAUUUCAAUCCCAAAAUAUUCAAGAGGAUCCAAGUUACCAUAAGACUUCAGAGGCUCGAGCCUUAGCCAGAGACGGUUAAUUGAUAGACUAUGUGCACUGGAAGCCUGCAAUGCAGACUGAUUGAUUUAUCAGUUUGAAGUGUGCCAGGAAUGAAGAACUGGAAUAUCACCGUCAAGCAAGCACCCAGUGAAGCAAUACCAUGGAAUGCACAAUCCGGCCUUGCUAGGUGACACUGGAGGCUUUUUGAAAAGUGCUUCAUGCUCACUUGCACAGAUUGAGCAUCCCCUCUGGAUAUUGCCCUCUCUGAUCGAGUCUGAGCACUCAAAUUUCGGUCCUCAGAUGGAGCUACAGCUUUCUCUCCAAUAACCAACAAUUUUCUAAACUCAGCACCUAGUGUGAUCAGAGUUGUUGAUAUUUGUAAAUGGAGAUCCCCAUAUUUGCAAAUGGAGACAUUUAACAAAUCACCAACAUGCUUCAUCCGGUCUACGAAAUUCUGCAGCUGAUUCAAAUCCGGAACCUGAACCAGAGUCGAAGGUAAAUCUUGAGCCAUAUCUAAAGCAGUUUGAAGUUCAAGUACUUGAGCCCUUGACAGUGGUUUUGAAAUUGGAACAUCUUGAAUUACUGCAGACUUGUACCCUUUGGUUUCAAAGGUAAGGAAAGGCAUUGCUUGAGUACAAUUUGGAGGCAGCUUCUUCACCAAUUUUAUUUGGAGGCGAUUGGCAGUGGAUCCAGCUGCACCAAUUUCAGAGCAAAUACUGACACUACUUCAAACAGCACACUGAAGAAGCACUAUGUCUAUGGCAAAGGCAAUGCAGUCCUCAUUUUGGCUUGAGAUGCGGUAAUCAUCGAAGAGAGUUUCCUUAUGAAACUGGGCAACACAUUGAAUCCCUUCACCACUGAGAAGGUUGUGGAGGAAGUACGCUUUCUCUCUAGUGAGGAAGAGGUGGCAUACCUUCCCCAUUUUGUCUAGGGCAGUUAGGAAUCUUUUUUCUAAGAGAUUUACUCCAUUCUCUGUGAGAAAUGCUUUGAACUUCAUCCCUCUGUCUCUAUCCUCACUUAUCAGUAAAACAGUUGAAAGUGAUACAAGGAGAGAAAAGGAGAGUACUAAGAUAUAUAGACAAGAAAAACAUUAGGUGUCGAUCUUACAUGUUAAUACUUCAAACAGUAUCCUAGAAAGCUAAAAACUGCAGAAUGGCUUGAAAUUUGAAAAGAACACAUGCUUUUCCUCCUUAACUUGAGAAAAUGUUUAACAUAGCGCGCCUUACAGAAGCAAGCAAUUAGAACUUUGCACAAAAACAUUCAAGAAGACCAAUAUUUCAACUAUUUUACUGAUGAAAAUCUCAAAGCACAAAUGGCAUUGCAUUUUGUCCUCAACUGUAAUAUUUCUUGAUGAAAAUCAGUACAGGUCCCUCAUUUGUUAUGGAAAGCUUUCUUGUAGUCUGACCGGUUAAUUCACGGGUCUAUAAUCAUCUUGCAAAGUUACGGACAUUUCUUUCGAUUUAAAGUCUUUGCAUCACCACCUCAUCACACACCAAGCCAAUAUUCUGUCUACCUCUACAACAAAAAGUUUUAAGUAAACGAUCCUAAUGCACGCAGCCAAAUAAAAUGCAGUAAGAAUAUUCAACUUAAAAAUCUGAAAGUCAUCUUGGUGAAUUACCUUCUUAGGGGAAGUUCCAUGAUUUACUAUACUAGACAGAACUGAGCAAAAGCUUCCAUUCGACAGAUUUUGACAAUAAUGAUGCCAACAGAUCCUCAUUAAAUCCAUUAAAACUCCUAAGGUUCAUUGUUCAUGGAUGUUUACAGAGUUUUGGUCAUCAAAUAGCUCAGACCACAAUCCCAAACAAAAGACGAGUGAAAGUUAGAUAACGAGCAGCUAAUUGUAAAUUCUAACUUAACUCUUCAUCUCCAUUGUAAAAAGGAAACAAAAUGGAGACGCGCAAAAUGAAUAAGGAGAACAUUUGAACUCAAAUGAAAUGAGGGCGCGAAAGCAAACAAAUGGCAUGCACAAACAAACCAAGCCUCAAUCAAAAACUAAUUGACCAUUAAAAAAAAUAAAAAUUGGUCAGAGAAUGAACUCCAAAUUCGGGAGUGAAGCAAGAAGCUUUCACUAUUUCAGAAGCUCCUGUACAAAUUAAUAAGUUAUGCUCUUUGGAGACAAUCCUAAAUUCCAAGAGAAACAGAGCUCAAAAAAAUUUUGCAAUUAUGAGCAAAGGAAGUGAAGCACAGCAUUCUACCACACACAGGAAUUGUAUAACAUGAGAUCGAUAUAUCGAAUUGGAAGAACUCAAUUCUAAUUUGUGUCAAAAAUCAAAAUUAGAAGAUUUCAUAUUUCGACAGGAACAAGCAACAGGGGAGGUUCAAAAUUUCAGCCAUAACAUGCUAAAAUUGCUACAUUUAACGGUUUAUUUUCAUGGAUUUUCUCCGGAAACAAACAGAAAAUUACGGUUUAGAGAGCUGACUGACCCUUUGGCUUUUAGAAUUGAGAAGAUCGCGCGCCAAAUUGGAAGAGGGGAAGUGAAAGUGCGAGUUUUAAACUUUUAAUAUGGGUAUUAGAUAAGGAAAUUUCAUUAGGUUGCGAGGGUAAAAAAGGAAAGAGAUAUCAUUAUUUUAUUAUCGAUAAUUAUUAACUUUUUUUUCCCCAAAAAAAAGAACAAGCAAGGAUAUUUUAUUGUCAUUUGCAACCUUUAAUUUUUUUAAAUGCUAUUAGAAACACAAGACAACAAAGAAAUGCUUAUUUUUUCCAAAAAUUAAAAUCAAUUGUUUAACUUGUUAUUUCAUAAUCCAACUCCACCACUAAGUUAAAGAAAAUUGUUUUAAAAUUACUCGAGUCAUAUCCUAUGGACCAACAAAAUACUUAUUUUUGUUUUUAUUUAUUUUUGCAGGAAAUUAAUAACUUAAAAAUACUGAAAGCUAUUGUAAAAAUUUUUAUUGUUUUUAUUUUUACUGGAAAUUAAUAACUUAAAAAUAUUGAAAGCUAUUGUAAAAAUUUUUAUUAUCAACCUCAUAAUUUUUUUUUUUUUUGGGGGGAGGAGAAUUCAAACAUUUUUUUAAAAAAUUUCCAAGAAUUCUUGACACCCAUCUUAAUUAAAAGCUAUAUUUUUAUUCAAGAGUCAUGCUAUUCAUUCACUCACAGACCAAAGGCUUUCCGCAGCAAUAUUAUUAUUUAAAUUACAACAAAGGGGAAAUCGAAUACGUCAUACAGAAACUUAAAGCUCAAUCUACAAAAUCUAGAGCUCUGAGCUACAUAAAUUACACUUGAUGAUCCUCUACAAGAUGAAGCUUGUUCAAUAUCUCGUCCAAAGCUUGCAAAGUAACCUUGUAACGAUCUUGAGAUUGCCGGCCUUCCUCAACGACCUGCACGAUGCGUUUGUACAAUCAUCAUACCUGUGCACCGGAUUUUUAAUAUCAAUGGCACUGCAGCUGUGAUCAAGAACAUACGAGUGUUUAACAUCUUUUCUCCAUCGAGAAAGAAUGUAGUGAGAUGGGAUCUCCUGCAUGCCACUCUGGUUUAGAACACAAAGAAUGUGCCUGCAUAAAUAUCCCCUGAAAUUGAACAACCCACAAACACAAAGCACCUCCAAGUCGGAGGCAUUGUACAAAACAUCGAAAGCCCUUGAAUCCUUCUUGUUGCCACCAACCUCGAAUUCUUCCUUCACUAUGUAUGUUAUAGGUCCAUCAGAACUAAUAUGUUUUGUGCUAUAGCAAGAGUACAUAGCCUCCACCUCCGUCUGAAACUUCCUUAACAUUUCAUUUGUGUACAGUUUUGAGAGUUGAAAUUCAUAGUAACAUCUUGGUUUCCGGAUACAACUUGAAUUUCUUGAAUCCAUAUCUGCCAAGGCUUCCAGUUGAUAAUUCGCCUGCAGUGCUUGAUCAUACUUGUCUAAGAAUUCUUUCAAAGGAGUAUUCUUAUCAAGAUAUCCUUCAAAGUAUGAAGUAGAAACCUCAUUCUGCAGGAAUGAAAACACUCCUGAUAAAAAUGCUUCCUUCAAAUAAACAGGAGCCCACCCUUUACGAUCUUCAUAUAAAGUUUGAAUCCAUCCAUGAUCCUUCAUUCCAUGACGUUGAAUCGUGUCCUCCCAAGCUGUCUCAAAUUCCUCAGGCCUAAGAGAGUGAUAAAUUGCCCUAUGCAAUGCAGCUCUAAUAGCUUCAUAUUCAAAAUGUCCUUGGAGAUUCUCUGGAAUUUUUUGCGUGACACAUGACAAUGAAAAACAAUGAUAAGCUCUUGGGAAAACAUCGCCGACAGCAGUUUGCAAGAUUCUACAUUGGUCAGUGAUGAUUGUUUGUGGAAAGCGUCCUAACAUACAUGUAAGCCACACCCUAAACAACCAUGUAUAUGAUUCUAUAGUCUCACUGGCAAGUAAACCACAGCCCAACAGCACUGAUUGUCCAUGAUGAUUCACCCCAAUGAACGAAACCAGCGGUACAUCAUAUCUUUCUGCCAAGCAUGUAGUAUCAAUUAAGACUACAUCACCAAAGUACCUAUAGGCAACUCUUGACCUGGUAUCAGUCCAGAAGAGGUUUCUCAGGCAUACCUUUUCAUUUAGAUCCACCACAUUAAAAAAGUUUGGAUGUGUCAACUGCAAACGACAAAAGAAACUCUGGACAGCUUGUGCAUCUCCUGGUUUAAGCUUCAAUUGAUUUGAGCUAUUAACAUCAUUUCCAAAUACUCCAUUGGCAUCUACAUUACCAUUUCCCUCGGCAUCAAUGAUAAGAGUUCGAAACAGUAAUUUUUUGAACUUCUUGAGCACCAUCUAAGAGCAAUGUUCUUUUGGUUCCAAUACCCAUGUGCUUAUGAGACUUGUAAAACUUCCCGCUUCUUGGGCUUAACAAGUGGUUAUGCUCAAGCUCGACUUCAAUGAUUCUCCAUCUUUUGGUUUCCAUCAACCUAAACUUUAUCAUUGCUGGACAGCCAGUUCUUGUUUCUGGUCUUGGGUGGUUUGCCUCGCUUUUCUUCUUGAAGCCUGCAUUACUACAGCUGAGCUUUCCUCUAUACUUUUCUCUACUCUUUCGGUACCAUGUAUUGCUAACUCUAACACCAAAACCCUGUUCCUUGGCAUAGCAAUUAUAAAAGUAAUAUACGUCAUCAUACGUCUCAAACUCCAUUCCAACAGCAGGAGGCAAUGGAUUUUGGAUUAUCCCAGUUUGUCCAACAUAUUCAGUCAUCGCACAAUCUCCUACGACCUCAAAAUCAUCAGCUUCAUCAUCACCUACUGGUUUAGUAUUCAGAGAAACUUCAUCCACCUACAAUAGAUGUUUAAUGAAGUGCGCUUUAAGGAGAAAAAGCAAAAUCAGUUCAAGGAAUGAUAAUAUAGCCAUACAGUUACUUUCAUAAAGCUGCGUAUUUCAUCAAUACUUUAACAACAUACAACUGCCUGAGAACAUAUAGACAUGUCAUAGACGCUUGAAUUAAGUAUUGGUACAAAUUAGCACACAUCAUGUGGGACAAAAUUUCAGUCACUAAACCCAAUGCCCUUUUUUUUCACAUCAUACCAAGGAACGGAUUAAACCCAAUACCUUCUUUUACACCAUACCAAAGAACAGAUUAAAUCAUCAAUGAAAAUUAAUCACAUAAUAAUUUAACUAGACAAUUGAAGAGCUUGAAACAGCACAAAACUUGAAUCUGAUUAUGAUAAUUGUUGAGUCCUGGUAUCGACAGCUUUCCCUCAAUGAUAAGACAAUGAACAUAAACUUCACACAAAAAAAUUAUUUAAACUGACAGCCCAUGAUAUAAAUCAAUCAAAAUUAACUCCUUUUACAAAUUACAUCUUGUAUUCAUUUACAUCGAAACACAAAAAGGAAGCAGGAGCCAGAAAAAAACAACAGCAGAGAAACUUAUUUCCAUAAGGUUUACGAAAUAAGGAAUUUAUUAAGACACAAAAUUUGAGGUCACCAAUAAGAAUUUGGUUCUCAUUCUCUUUUUCUUCAUUUUUCACUUAUUGAUGGAGUUAGCGUACAAUCCUAAAUGAUAAAACCCCAUCUCCAUCUUUUUCAACUAGAGCUAAAGCAAAGCUUUUUAAGAUGUUUUUCCCUAAAAAACUCAAUCGUACAAUGUUUUUCAAUAUUAAAUACACAACUCAAUCUUCUCCUAACUAACUCUAAUAAUCUCUUAACUAAGGAAGAUUAAGCUCCACUUGUAAGCUAAAACAAGUUUCUUAAAUCAAGCCCCAAUGCUCUAUACUAUUCAACAAGGCCUCAUAAAUGAUAAAACUACCUCUACAAAGAUACCCAUUUUAAUUUCGCAAACUAAAAUCAAACUCCUGAAACGUAACGAGCAUUAAAACAAACAAGUCCGAACAAGAACUGAAAAAUGAUACGUAAACCCGUUUCGACAAACAGUUUCCAAUCAAUGAGCAAAAAAGUUAAUGGAAAACAUGAAAUUCAAACGAAACAUACCUUAGGUUGAUAAAUUAGUAGGGCAAAAGAAAUUUUAGCGAGAUAUGGGAUCAGGGAUUUUGCCACGGUGAUGUUAAUUGCGACAUUCGGGUGGCUCAGCAGCCUUCGAGGCUGAAACUUUGAUUGACCAAAAGCUUCCCGUUCGUUGAUUCUCUAAUUGCAGAAACGAAACUGGCAGUGUACAGAAGAAGUACGCUGAUUUGAUAAUUCUGUGAAAAUCAUUGUUUUUUUUUCAGAUUUUUAAUGUGUUCGAUAAAAUAUCAAAAUCUCAAAAACUUUUGUCUUUCAUUUUGGGGGGGAAAAACCCAUUGAGAUCCUUAUUUUUUUUUCUUAUAUAAUCUGGGUUAAUAAUUUGCAAAGUCUAUUACUUUGCACCCAUGCAUGCUGCGUUUCAAUUUACAAAAUUGUACGUGAGUGCAUCGAGCUAAAAUUUGUAAAAAGAAAAUAAUAAUAACAUGUUAAAAAUGUGAUUAUUAUGAAGAAAUUUUAAUUUAGUUAAAUAGGUGACGAUGGAUAGGUAUAAAAUCUGAGAUCUUUUAUGAGAUUAAUAAAUAUGUUGAGUUUGGAUUAGUUCAAUUUUGCAUAAUACAGAAUAAACACAACCUACUAAUCUAAGUUACCAUCUUUUCCCGUCAUCAGUAGGGAUGGCAAUGGGCACCGCCCGCAGCGGGUUUGCCAUUACCAAAUUCAAACCCGCACAAAAUUUAAAUUACCAAACCCACCCGCAACCCGCAGCGGGUUUUAAUUUUUUUAUAAAAACCCACCCGCAGCGGGUUUUAACAAUUACCAAACCCGCAAUGGUAUCCGGCGGAUUUUUUGCGGGUUUCCGUAUUUAAAAUCACAAAUGUUUAAUAUAUAAAUUUAUAAUAAUAACCUCAAAUUCCAUAUAACAUACUCAAUUUUAUAUUUAAAUAAUGUAAAUGAAAAAUUAAAAUUUCCACAUCAAUUCAACACAAAUUCUCAAAUUUAAGUAUAAAUUACACAAAUCCAUUUAAAAAACACAAACUAGUAUCUAAAAAUAAUAAUUACAUUUCAUAUUAUCAUUUAAAACAAGCUCCAAGAGAAGAUAUUCAUUUCAUUCACCACCAUAAGCACCCAUCCAACACAAUGCCUAUAAUAAUAAUUAAGAUUAAUAUUUUCAAAUACUAAUUCGAAGGAAAAUGCCUCUAGUUUUCUUUAGAUUAUGACUUUAGAAUAGGAGAUAGGUCACAUACACACAUACACAACUUUGAGCCUUUGGCUAUUUGGUAAUUUGAUUAAUGACAUUAUUUUCUUUAUACAUUUUUAGAUUAAAAUUAAAUUAAAAAUAUUUGGAAAAAAUAUUGCGGGUUUGGUGGAUAUCCAUGCGGGUAUCCACCGGAUAUAAGGUUAAUACCAAACCCACCCGCAUCCAUGUGCGGGUUUUAAUUUAUAAUACUAAAUCCGCCCGCAACGGGCGGGUUUUGGCGGGUGGGUUUGGGCGGGUUUGCGGGUUUGCGGGUACAAUUGCCAUCCCUAGUCAUCAGGUACCUGUUUGAAAAAUAAUUAUAUACAAUUUUAUUUGCGUCUUCUCUCUAAAAAUUUGGGACUCAAAUGUUAUUUCUAAUUGUUAAAAUUACAAAAAUGCCACCUUUCUCUUCAGCUAAAGGAGUGCAAGGUCAUCUGUAUAAUUGAAUCUGCAUCAUCAACAUCAAUUUCUAUUGCCGGUGUUACUGCAUGCUUACAGUUGCUUGACAAAGUGAGCCAGUUUUUUGUUUAUUAAUUUUUUUUCUUGUCGAGACAGUCACAAAGUAUUACUUGUUCCAUAUGAGAAUGAUGUGAAUCAAUUUUUCAAUUAUACAUUCUGUGGUAAUUAUUGUGAAUUUAGUUUCAUUUGUCUUGUCUCCCGCAAAUUAUGAAGAAAAUGCAGACAUACAAACUUACAAUAUGUAUUUGCGUUAGUAUAAAAACAAUUGUUAGAUGAUUAAAGCGAUUUUUUUUUUUACAGCAUUUGAUUGUAUUAGUUAAAAUCAUUUUUUAAGGAUAAAAAUAAGUAGAAAAUUAUUCUCAUGUAGUGUGGAAAUCUUUUCUAAUUUCUUGUUGACUUGUACAUUUAUUUCAGAAUUUCCAUUCAUUAGUUCUACUGUUUUAAUCUUUGACUUAGCUACCGUAGUUGACUUUUUAUAUCAAAGGCUUAAACAGCAUGCAUUUUUGAAUUGACUGAGAAUAAUUUGGUGGACAAAUUACUCUUUAAAUGGCUUAAAGAGUAAUUUAAAUGGCUUAAACAGCAUGCAUUUUCAUGCCCAAGUCACUCGUCACGUCCUUUCAUCGAAACAAAGUGCCCGGUGCAAAUGGUGUGAUGUAAAACACUUUUUUAAAUUGUCAUUUUUUUCCUUUGCUUUUGCUUUAAGUUUCUAAAUGCUCAACGCCAUAAAUCCAUGCAUUCUUAAUUUUCGUUUGCUGUAUUGAUUCCCAACCCUCUAUGUCACAAGGUUUUGAAUGCCAGUAAUUAAGUUAAAUUAAACAUAUUUUAAGUCCUACUUUAAAUUAUUGAAAAAUGUAUUAUGGUUGAACUGAAUUUUAACUAAAAAAUAUAUACAAAAUAAAAGAUUAAUCAUAUCUUUUUAUGAGGAAGGUUCUGACCACAGCCACUUAAAAUUAAUUGAGUGGAAUAUUGCAAAAUAUAUAUAAACCAUGCCAAAACUAGAUGUUUGAGUAAUGAAAACGAGAAUUCAUAUGACUCAGAAAUAUGGUUGCUUUCCUUUUUCUGAAAGGAAAAAAAAAAGGGGGACCAAAAAGGACCAAAAUGAACAAAAAUGGAAGGCGAAGGUAAGCAGACAUGUUAUUUGUUUUACCUAAGAUGCCAGAUGCAACUCCCCAUUGAUGGUGAUCGAACAUUAUGGCCAUUUUCUUAGUAAACAAAAAAUGAAUUUUGAACACUCAACAACGAAAUUUGAGCAGAAGAUCAAGCAAGGGCCUCGAUCUCAAAGAAGAUACUAUGAAACCCUACUUAAUGGUUAAAUAACUGAUACACCUCUCUGCAACCAAGGCUGUAUCGAUAAAUUGGCACUCUUCGAGUGAGGGCUGACUCCAAAAGAAAUUCACAAAGAUGAGCAAGAGUGGGGAGAGAGAUGGAGAGUGAGAGAAGAAUAGAGAAAAGUUAAAAAGAAAUGAUUCAUUCUGGAUUCCUUUUGCACGAAUUAGUUAUGCUAUACAUAUACUCCUCUGUCUUUUGGCCUUUAAAAGAAUACAGCUCAGCAUAACUUUGUAACAGAAAAUAUGACAGCAACAUAAACCAGCAAAAUAUAAAGCUCUAUCAAUUUCACUAUACGACAUAAUCUUUAAACCACACAGGGGGUCUUCUCACUCUUGUGCCGGUAUACCCUUCCUCACGAGCUACUUCUACUUCAACUUGUGAUGAGGCUUCCUUCAUGGGCUGCACACAAUUAGACUCAUCGAUGAGCUGCCCUUCUCGUAAAUAAUCCGGUUGAUCCAGCUGAAUGUGGAAGGUUGUAUCAUCCCCUCCAGCUUCAAAAUUCACCUUGUCCUCAAGGUGAAAAUCGGGAUAAAGUUUACAGAAGGUGUCGAACUCUUCCCAAGUAGAAUCUUCAGGCGAACUGGCCAGCCAUUGAACCAGAAUUUGGCGACAUCUCAUUCCUUGUUUAAGCACGGUUCUAAUAGCGCAAACUGCAGCAGGGAGAUAUAAUGGCUGAUUGUCCACACUAGUUAAUGGCAAGGAAUGGUGAUCAGGUGUAUGAGAACCAAGAAAGGGUUUGAGAAGUGAAAUGUGAAACACUGGAUGGAUCUUGGAACCACUGGGCAAGGCAAGCUUAUAAGCUACAGGGCCAACUCGAGCGAGUACAGGAAAGGGGCCAUAAUACCGUUUAGCUAGCUUUUGACAAGAACGAGAUGCCACUGUAUUUUGGCGGUAUGGCUGAAUCCUCACUAGAACCUGGUCCCCAACAGCAAACUGAGCUUCGCGUCUAUGUGCAUUAACCUUUUGAAUCAUGCGAUGUUGAGCUUGACGCAAAUUCUCUUUCAAGGUACGAAGUAAUGCAUCCCGUUCACUUAAUGCUUCAUCAAGAGCUUGGAUUGAAGUAGAGCCCUUCGAGUAAGGAGGAAUUGCUAGAGGUGGUCGCCCAAAAAGAGCUUGAAAAGGAGACAUUUUGAUGCUGCUGUGAUAAGUAGAAUUGUAGGAAAACUCAGCCCACCCAAGUAGAGAUACCCAUGAGUGUGGUUUGUCUUGGGUGAAAGUGCGAAGAUAUUGCUCCAAGCCGCGAUUGACAACCUCCGAUUGCCCAUCUGUUUGUGGGUGAUAGGCUGUACUGUGUCGAAGGGUAGUGCCACUUAACUCAAAUAACUUCUUCCAAAAAUUGCUCAAGAACACAGGGUCGCGAUCAGAAAUAAUAGAAGUCGAAAACCCAUGAAGCUUUAUUACCAUAUCCACGAAUAAUUUGGCAGUCUUCACUGCUGUAAAUUGAGUGGGAAGGGAUCCGAAGUGUGCUGAUUUCGUAAGGUGAUCAACCACUACUAAUAUCACCGUGAAACCUCGCGAAACUGGAAGGCCAGUAAUGAAAUCCAUAGUGAGUUCGUCCCAAACUAAAGUGGGGAUAGGAAGCGGCUGCAGUGGACCUGCUGGUGCUUGAGUAGAAUAUUUAGUCUGUUGGCACACAAGGCAUUCGGCCACGAAUCGCUCAACGUCCAUACGCAUUUUAGGCCAAAAAAAAUUAGAUGCCAAGCGGACCAGCGUGCGUUUGAUGCCUACAUGCCCUGCAAGUGGAGUAGAGUGGAAUUCAGCCAAUAGAACUGCUUUCAAGGAUGAUGAUGGGCUGAUAUAGUAACGAUUGCGAUAAAAAAGGACCCCAUUAUGCAGCGAAUAAUCCCGUGAAAGAGACCCCACAGCAAACUGCUGAUGAAGAUCAAUCAUUUCCGGAAGUGUGGAAUUCUCUAGUGUUAGAGUUGCUAACAACUCAAACGACGGGCGACUAAGGAGGGGCAAACAAGAAGCAGUCACUGUUGGUGUUACCUCACCAGCCUCGUCAUGAAUUCGUGAUAAGGCGUCGGCUGCAAGAUUGGUACAGCCCGGUUUAUACUCAAUGCGGAAGUGAUAGCCUAGUAAUUUUCUGAUGUAGACUUGCUGAUCCGGAGUUUGAACUACCUGCUGGAGAAGUUCCUUAAUGCUCUUAUGGUCAGUUCGGAUUACAAAAAAUCUACCCAAUAAGUAUUGUCGCCAUUUAUGCACCGCUUCAACAAUAGCGGUUAAUUCCUUGAUGUAGGUAAAAGAAGCCCGAAGUCGAGGACCUAAUUUCUUACUGAAAUAAGAUAUGGGGUGCCCCAAUUGCAUAAGCACAGCCCCGAUACCCACAUUAGAGGCGUCAGUCUCAAGAAUGAAGUCGGAGUCAAAAUCUAGUAGCCGUAACACAGGGGCUUCCACCAUUGCUCUCUUAAGAGCUUCAAAUGCGUCAGCUGCUGCUGGUGUCCACUGGAAGGCAUCUUUACAAAGCAAAUCAGUAAGUGGGGCUGCUAAAGACGCAUAUCUGCGAAUAAACCGCCGAUAAUAACCCGUCAAACCCAAAAAACCUCGAAGUUUUUUAGUAGUAUGAGGAGUUGGCCAACAAACCAUAGCUGCAAUUUUCUGAGGAUCGGCUCACACACCAAAGGCCGAAACAAUGUGGCCCAGGUAAUCGAUAGCGUCUUGGCAAAACAAGCAUUUGGAUAGCUUGACAAAGAACUGGUGAAAAUGAAGGCACCACAAGACUUGCUGAAGGUGACGCAAAUGUUCCUCUGCUGUAGCACUAUAAACCAAAAUGUCAUAAAAAAAAAUAAUCACAAAUUUACGCAAAAAGAAAGCGAAAAUCUGGUUCAUAGUAGCUUGGAAGGUAGAAGGCGCGUUUGUUAACCCAAACGGCAUGACGAGGAACUCGUAAUGGCCCUCAUGAGUGCGAAAAGCCGUUUUAUAAAUGUCUCGGUGGUGCACGCGAAUCUAAUGGUAACCAGCCCGUAAAUCCAACUUGCUAAAGAUUGCUGCCCCGCCUAAUUCAUCGAAUAAUUCGUCGAUAGUUGGAAUGGGGAAUUUAUCUUUAAUGGUGGCGGCAUUCAAAGCCCUGUAAUCAACACAGAAACGAUAGGUCCCAUCUUUUUUUUUUUACCAACAAGACCGGUGACGAAAAUGGACUUUGACUCGGUUGAAUGAUGCCUUGUUCUAACAUUUCACGGAUUAGUUCUUCCAUCUCAUUUUUUUUGGAAAUGGGGGUGGCGAUAUGGGCGCACAUUUAUGGGAGUAGUGUUGGGGAGGAGGUGGAUUCUGUGAUCAAUUGUGCGAUGUGGCGGCAGGGUAGUAGGUGGAAGAAAUAAGUUGCGGUAAGUGUGUAGAAGAUCAACAAAUGGUGUGGUUAAAUGUGGAGGUAAUUCGAAGGAAGAACUCUCGGGAUUGCUUUCCGAUUCCUCCCCGGGUAUAGGUACCUGUUGCAGAGCAUACAAACUAUAAAUAUCAGCACUGUGGACUAGAGAUUGCAACUGAUGAAAGGUGAUUAGGGAGGGAGUAAUGGAUAGUUCGCCGCGAAGAGUCACUGGUGCCCAACAAAAUUCCAUAGAGAGGGCAGAGUAAUCAUGAGAGACACGACCCAAGAGUUGCAGCCAUUGUAUUCCCAACACCACAUCAGGCCCCUCAAUGGGCAGAACAAAGAGGUCCAAAGUGAAGAUUGUUCCCUGCAUCGUGAGAGCAACUUGAGGGCAAACAUAUUUGCACACUAGAAAAUCCCCAUUGCCAAUAUAAACACGGAAAUUUGUUGUUGGUUGUAUCGGUAAGCCCAAACACUCUGCCACUGCUGGUUUGAUAAAGUUGUGGGUACUUCCGCUAUCGAUCAAUACUUGAAAGCUGUGAGAACCAACUUUGCCAACCAAACGGAGUGAGCGGGGAUUGAUUUGACCCGCCAAAGCAUUCAAACUAGAAAUAUCCCCUGUUAUGACCUCUUCGACAGGAUCCAGUGGCAACUCUUGUUCACAAGAAGCAAGUUCAUUAUCAUCAGUACCCAUGAGAAGCAAAAACUUACUGCGACAGCGAUGAUUAGCACUAUAUUUUUUAUCGCAGUUAUAACACAAUCCCUUCUCACGCUUGUCACGUAGCUCUGCUGGAGUAAGGCGGCGAAUCGUUAAGUUGGGUGUGGGUAGAAGUGGUGGUAAUGUGUUUGGUUUCGGGGGUGGGGAAGUAUUGUGGGAGUGAGAUAUGGUUUGGGCCAUACCAGUGGAAUGGUGCGGCUGGGUUGAAGCAAUGGGAUAUGUGUUAAGCUGAAAUUUGGGUGACGGGAAGGUUGUGGUAUGAGUAGGUGACAUGGUGUUCCAUUUUGGUAAAAAACGGUGUCCUUGUUUGGCUUCCUCAGCAUGGGCUUCAUAGGCACGAGCUAGUGCAAAUGCUUCCAUUAGAGAAGAAGGCCGAGCAAAAAGCAGCUCACGACGAAUAUCGGAUUUCAAUCCCGUGAUAAAAAAACUUAUCAGAAGCGGUUCUGAAAUUCCAGUCACGUGAUUCAUUAAAUCUUCAAAAGAGGUCUGAAAUUCUGCCACUGUUGUAGUUUGGGAUAACUUAGACAAAUUUCCUUGAGGAUCUUCAUAGAGGGAGGCACCAAAACGAUGUUUAAGGUUCUGCAAAAAUUCUUUCCAUGUUGUAAGCAAGCUGUUCAUUUUCAUCCAUUGAUACCACGCUGCCGCGCGUCCUUCCAUAUGAAAAGAAACAAUUCGCAAACGAAGAGUUUUUGGUGUACCGUGGAAAUCAAAGAACUCCUCAAUUCGAAAAACCCACCCGUUUGGGUCAGAUCCAUCAAACUUAGGAACCUCCAUCUUCAUAGAACGGAGCACAGGGGACAGCUCAAUACCACUGGAAUUUACCUCAGUCGAAGAAGAGGUUAGGUGUGGUGGAUUAGGAACCCGACCCGAGUGAUUGGAAGACUCAUGGAUCUGUGAACGCAAAUCAUCAAGGCGAGAAUCCACCGUGGCCAUAUACUGUUGCAGCGUUUGAUGUAAGGACAAUGUUUGGCUCUCGAACUGUUCUUGGAUCGUCUUUAAAAGGUCAGAAUCCGUCAUAACGAUAGCAAUGAAAGCACCACUGAUACACCUCUCUGCAACCAAGGCUGUAUCGAUAAAUUGGCACUCUUAGAGUGAGGGCUGACUCCAAAAGAAAUUCACAAAGAUGAGCAAGAGUGGGGAGAGAGAUGGAGAGUGAGGGAAGAAUAGAGAAAAGUUAAAAAAAAAUGAUUCAUUCUGGAUUCCUUUUGCACGAAUUAGUUAUGCUAUACAUAUACUCCUCUGUCUUUUGGCCUUUAAAAGAAUACAGCUCAGCAUAACUUUGUAACAGAAAAUAUGACAGCAACAUAAACCAGUAAAAUAUAAAGCUCUAUCAAUUUCACUAUAUGACAUAAUCUUUAAACCACCCAGGGGGUCUUCUCACUCUUGUAUCGGUAUACCCUUCCUCACGAGCUACUUCGACUUCAACUUGUGAUGAGGCUUCCUUCAUGGGCUGCACACAAUUAGACUCAUCGAUGGGCUGCCCUUCUCGUAAAUAAUCCGGUUGAUCCAGCUGAAUGUGGAAGGUUGUAUCAAUAACUUUCAUUCAGCUUUGGACCUUAUUUCGUGAUACGGAAAGACAAACCUUUCUUGGCCAGCAGUGUCCCAAAUCUGAGCUUUGAUGAUGAUCUUGCCGUUGAUGGUGACAGUUCUGGUUUGGAACUCGACGCCAAUGGUUUAUUUCGAUUCAAAGCAAAACUCAUUCUUGGUGAAUCUCGAAAGAAUCUGAGACUUGCCCACGGCCGAGUCACCGAUCACCACUACCUUGAAUACAAAGUCUAUUUUGUCAGGAAUCAUAUUCUCUCGUUGUUGAUGACGAUGAUCGGUGCCAUCACCACUCAUUUCUUCGUUCAUUCAUUCUAUGUCCAUUGAUCUUUUUGAAUUAUUGAAGACAAGUGGCUCACCGCUUUUAGUAUUGGUAAAAUUCAGAUAAUCUCUAUUCCGAAAUAAUAAUAUUCAAAAUAUAUCUUAAAUCAUUAUAAACCUCAAAUCUAUUUUAAUUUUAUUUAAAAGAUAAAAGAAAAAUAGGUUAUGUUGGUGAUUUUUUAUUAUCUUUUUAAUAAAAAUGGAAUAAAUUGAUGUUUAUAAUUAUUUAAAGUAUUUUAAAGAUUGCUAUUUUAUGAGAGAAUAAUAUUUCACUUUUUUUUAGUGUGAAAGACCGAAAAAGGACAAAGCAAGUUUCCCUAAUUUUUAUUUUAUUUGAAAUUGGUCAUCUCAUAUACUUCACCCUUCAACACUAUAAUUUUUUUUGUUAUAAUUUUAUUAUUUUUUUCUCUUUUACACAUGCAUGUGAAUUACUUUUCUUUAAGCUCCUGAAUAUUUAAGACAAAUCAUGGAAGAGAUGAGAGUAUAACAAGAUGAUCAAAAUAUGUAACAAAAAAAUUUUAGAAGUGAAAAAUAUGUUAGAGUCGAAGUAAAACUCUGAGGUGAUGUUUGAUUUGAAGAAAAUGGAGGAGAGGAAAAGAGUGAAAUGGAGAGUAAAAGAGAGAAAAGGAGAGGAGAGGAGAGUGAAAUUUUUUUCUAAUGUUUGGUUUGUCACAUAAUUAUACAAAGAAAGGAAAUCUCUAAUUUUUUAUUUAGACAAUUUUAACCUUAAUAAGUAUUAAGCUUUCAAUAUUUAUCAUGUGUAUAAUUUAAAAAAAGUAAAUGGUAGAAAGCGGUUUCUGAUUCCGGCCACAUCGCCGGCAAUGGAAGGUACUUAUCAGAACAUCAAGAGCCGGCCAUCAUUCCCUAGCCAUCACUGCUGUCGGAACACUGCCAGAAAGCUACCGAUUGAACCGCGAAAAGUUGUGGAAAUCGCUGCCUCAAAUCGGUGAGUUUCGCCUUUUUCUGGUCACGUCGUCGCCUUGGCUUUGUCCAUCAAGGCUGCCACUUCCAUUUUCAACCAUCCAUAGCCACUAUUAACCGCCAAAUCACCGCCGAUCAGCGGGAUCUGUGGAAGUUAAAAAGUUUCUAAAAUUUUUUAAUUGGAUUUGAACAACAUACAACCAUUUUUUGAUCUUGAUAACGAUGUAGUAAUGUUGAUCGUUGGUCGGCAAGUCGAAUGGUAGUGGCAGUGAGUAACACGCGCCAAUGACAUCGGCGGCGGCGGCGGCACUAUCCGGCAACUGUUAAAAUUAAUAUUUUAUAUUUGUAGAUUAAAUAAAUUUAUUUUAUUAAACUUUUUAAAUCAUUAUUUAAAUUUAAUUAAUUUAAAUUAUCUAUAAUGUUGAAUUGAUAAAAUAAAUUUAUAAAUAGUAAUUAUGUGAUUACAUUAAAUAAGUUAAAAAGUUGAAGGGUUAUUUUUGGAAGAUUUAGUUUCCAACACAAAGGGAAUUUGAAUUCUUCACUUCUUAGUGUGGAAUUCAAAUUCUAUAUUGUAAUGGAUAUUAAAUUCCAAUAGAAAUUAAAUUCUUAUAAGUUAUGUCAAACCAAACAACGGAAAUAAAAAAAAAAGAAUUUAAAUUAUUUUCCUUUCCUCCACCCUCUCCUUCCAACCAAAUACAUCCUGAAAAUAGAGAUAUUGAUUAAUUUAGAAGAGAUGCAAGCAAAAGAUAUUCCACAAAAAAAAAAAAGCAAUAUGUCCCUUUGGAGGGCAAACUUGUCAGUUUUAAAAAAGUACAUGCUUUGGAUUGAUAGUUGUAGGAUAUUUGUUUUGUCACUAUGUAUUAGUUGGAGAAGUCAAGCCUUGUGAAGAAUGUUAUGAAAGAGCAAAGGAUAUUCCUGAUAGCUGAUAGAGCUCUAUUUGAUUAUGUAUCCAGUGAAUGGAUGUGUUGUUGGAAGAUAUUUGAGUGCAUUAGUUCAUAUGUGUCUGUCAAUGUGAUUUUAAUGAUUUUUCCACUUGUUUGUUGUAAAAGAUUAUUGUAAAUUGAAAUGAACUUGAUGUUGUAAUAUUUUCUCCUUAGUAGAAUUUCACCUAGUAUGUAUUCAGUUGUGUUGUCUAUAAUUUUGCAUUUGAAUAAGUUUCACCUAAAAUAUUAGCAUGAGUAGUGGCCCUUGAAACUUUGGUCAAAAUUAUUGUUAUUAUUUCCGACUAGAUGUAAAUUUUUUAUUAAAUCUCGUUAACACAAUUCUUAAUUAAAAGUAUAGGUUAGUGUUGGUGCAAGAUUUGCCACACCAAAUUCUGCCUAGCUGUCAAAAGUGCAAAACAAAUGAAGAGAAAGCACAAAUACAAGACUUGAAUAAGGAUACAACGAAACUUAAAUUCAAGAGAAAAUGAUAGCUAUAUCUCAAGAUUUGAAAAAAUGGCCAUGUAGAUUUUUAAGAUUUCAAUAAGCGACUGAGAUUCAAAUAAUAUCCUUUAAUUCUAUUAACAAAAAACAAAGACUCAAAUAUUUUAUGAUAAAUAAAAAUAUAAUAUUAAAAUAUAUGUGAUAAUAUACACAUUUUAAAUACUUUCAAUCCAAAAAAAUAGUUAUGUUUUACAAUCUAUUAGACAUAUUUUAUUAAAUUAAUAUAAAUUUUCUAUAAAAUAAGAAUAUAAUAUUAAAAUAAAUUUACAAAAAUUUAAAGAAUUUUGAAUGUAAAAUAAUUUUAAUAUAUUAAUACGUGAGUUUUUUUAUUAAUAUAAAAAUUAUUUAACUUUAAGAUUUUUAAAAUCUUUACAAUAAGUAUAACUAUAUUAUUUACAUUUAAAAAUAUUUAAAUAUUAUUAACCUACAAUUAUAUUUGCAUUUGUUAGAAAUUUUUUAAGUCAAAUAUUUUGCACUUCUAUAUUAUUAGAAUUAUUGCACACAAAGAAAGAAACAUAUACCUUUAGAAAUUGUUUUAUUUUAAAAUAGAGAUGAUGAUUAGUAUAAGGAUGAAAAAAAGGAUAAAGAAUAUUAAUGAUUAACGAAAUCUCUAUACAAAUUGAUUUUAGUAGGAAAAGAAUGAGAUGAAUGAAUUCUUUUACAGUUAGAAACAUAGAUGAUGAUUAUUAUAACGAAGAAAAAAGAUAAAGAAUAUUAAUUAUUAAUGGAAUCUCUAUGCAAAUUGAUUUUAGUAGGAAAAAAAUGAGUUAAAUGAUUUAGAGUGCGUUUGGAAUUGAGAUUGGGCAGCCAUAGAUUUUAAGUUACAACACUGAAGUGUUUGGUAAAUACUAGCUGCUGCAGAUUGAAAGUUAUGUUGAUAUGAUUUUUCACAUGUAUCAUAGAAAAUAUAUUACAUCUUUAAUAAUUUUUUUAAAAUUUAUAUUUGCUAUAUAUUAUUAAUUUUUUUAUAGUUAUAAUUUUUUUUCCACAGCAGCUGUAGCUUAAAAGUCACAGCACCUCAAUCUCAAACAAAUCCUUAGACAUUCAUAGUGUGUUUAUUUUUUGGAUUGGUGAAUCAAAAUUAUUGACAACGCUAACUUCAUCUUCAUUGUUCGCAAUCCAACAGCAGCAAUUGUCACAAAUAAUGAUAUCUCCAAUGAUGAUGACAAUUAUUAUUAUUAUUAUUAUUAUUAUUAUUAUUAUUAUUAUUAUUAUUAUUAUUAUUAUUAUUAUUAUUAUUAUUAUUAUUUAUUAAUUAAUUAAUUAAUAUAUUAAUGUUAAUAUUAUUAUUAUUAUUAAGAUUAACAAUAAUUAUUAGUAAUACAAUUUUUUGAAUAAAAAUAAUCACAAUAAUUAAAAUACAAAUGAAUAAUUAUGACAAUAGUUAAUUAAUAUCUUUUUAGUAAUUUGUAAUAAUCUAACUCAUUUUGAUUCUGAUUAUUAUAGUUUAAGUAAAUAAAUUAUUAUGAUUUUUAUUCUCCUUUCCCAUUUUAACUCACUUCGAUUCCAGUCUAUUCCGAUUUCUAUCUAAUAAAUGCACCAUUAGUGCUAAAGUAAUAUUUCAUACAUAGAAAAAUAAAAACUACACCUAAGGUUAAGGGAAAGGACUUCAAAACUCUCUUUUGAUCAUAAUACAUUUUGUCCUAAUUAACUUAAAGAUUUUGAAUCUAAUAUUUUAUAAUAAAUAAAAAUAUAUUCCUAAAAUAAAUAUAAUAUCAAUAUUUAAAAUAUGUUUUAAUAUUUUACAAUCUAUCAUACACAUUUUAUUAUAUUAAAGUAGAUUUUAUAAUAAAUAUAUAAAAAAUUUAGAAAAUUUAGAAUAUUAUAUAAAAUAAUUUUAAUAUAAUGCGUGAGAUAUAUUUUAUUAAUUUAAAAUGUUAUUUUACCUAAAAAAUAUGAUAAAUUAAUAAUUACAUAUUUGAAGCUAUUUCAAAUAUUAAAAAAAUUUAAUAUUAUUAAUCUUUUAGAUAGAUUAAAUUAUUUUUUAUAAGAGAGAUUAAAUUAUUUUAAAAUGCCUUAAUUGUUUUUACUUUUAACGUUACCGGCCUUUCUUUUAUUUUAUUGCAAAUUAAUGCUAACAAGAAAAAGCUAGAUCAUAUUCCACAAAAGUAAAAGUGACAAACACAACCAGCUGGAAUCUUUUAUAAAACUACAAAUUAAAAUGGAUUUUUUUUUUGUUGAUAAAGUACACGUGAAAGUGGAUUCUUUUAUUUUUUUUUAAUGUGUAGACUCUUUUAUUGAGCACAAAUAUAGAGUAGUCGAGACGAUUAGGGUCUUUUAUUAAACUACAAAUUGUAUAGUCUUUUUCAAAUUGUUCAGAUAUUUCUAAAUUGGUGGCCCCUACAAUCCUCGAUAAUUGUACCGAUAUUCACAAGUUGGUGGCCCCUACAAUUAUCAACUGUGCAAGUGCUCAUUCACAAUCUUCCAGGUCAUGCUCUUAAUAAUUGUUUUUUUUUUUUCCUGCAUUCCCUUUCAUGCUCUUAAUAAUUGAAGAGCAUACUUUUCAAAUGUGGAGCCGCGGCUAAUGUCGCUAAUUUAAUUUGGGAUUAAAUCAAGGGACCAUUAUAUUGCAGUGUGCAUUAAUUUUUGUGUUUAUCUAAACUCCUUAAAUUUAAGACAUAUUAUGGCAUAAAUAAGAAUAUAACAAUAGCAAAAGAGUUAGAAAGUGUAGAGAAGAUCUUGCAGAAAUAUAAAUAAUAUCUAUUUUUAAAAUAAUAUCAAUUUUUAAAAUAAUUUUUAAUAUUUUAUGAUCCAUUAGGUAUAUUUUAUUAUAUUAAAGUAAAUUUUAUAAUAAAUAAAAAUAUUCUUAAUUAUGUAAAUCAUAAUUUUUUUAUUAAUUUUAAUUUAAAUUAUGUGAAUAAAAAUUAUUAAUAAUAGCAACACAAAUGAAACAUUAUUAUUAAUAAUAUAGUACAAAAUUAAUAUUUUUUUACAAUAAAAUAUUUAUUAUUAUUAAUUAAAUAAAUAAUUAAUAUUUAUUAAAAUUAAUGUUUAAUAUUAUUAAUUUAAAUAUAAUAUUUAUUUAUUUUUAUUUUAUUAAAUUUAAUAAAAUAAAUAUGUUAUAAUUAUUAUUUUUAAUAAAUAUGAUAUUAUUUAUUUUAUUAAAUAUUAUUUAUUUAUUUUAAUUAUGAGGGUAAAAAGGAAAGAGGGGGGAGUGGAUUUCCACUCCCACCUCCUCCCAUGGGAGUGAGAAUCCCACUCCCCACUCCAAAAUUAGGUGGGAUCCAUGGAGUGGGAAUCCCACUCUCUCCUUAAAAAUGGUAAGUAAACACUAGAAUGUGAGGAAUCCACAUUUUACACUUUCAUUCCAAAAAAUAAACACUACCUAACUAGUUUUUAUUAAAGGCAAGUACAAACUAGUCAAGAAUCGAAUAGUCUUUUUCAAAUUCUUGUUUUAUUAUUUUUCAAAAUUAGUUUUUAGUAAUUACAAUCGGGUCAUUCAUUAAUCAUUAUUCAGAAGUUAGUGUGGGUAAAGGAUAAUUACUAACUGUUUUUCCUUCAAAAGUUAGUGUGGCUCAUGUUUGCAGGUGCGAAUGUGCGAUGCUCUCUUUUUAAAGGCAAUUACAGUGGGUCCCGAAUCAUUACUAAAAUUUGUCUUCCACAGCCCACCGCAGCUUCAGUUAAUCAAACUCCAUCAAUUUUCUUUCUUAACAAAAUUCUAAAGAUGUGUAGCAUUUUUCAGAUCACAUGCGAUGGUGCUUUUUUCAAUCGUUGCUUGGAUUGCUUUCUUGGAAAAGCAGCAUACAUACGUAACCUCCAAGAUAAUCUUGUAGCCUUGCAGACUGAAUUGGGAAAUCUGAUCGCUAAAAAGAACGAUGUGAUGAGGAGGGUUGACAAUGCUGAACGGCAACAAAUGAUAAGGCUGGAAGGAGUGCAAGUGUGGGUUUCGAGAGUAGAAGCUGUUAAAACUGAAGCUGAUCAAUUUAUAAGAGACGGCUCUCGAGAAAUUGAAAAAUUAUGUGUUGGAGGCUACUGUUCCAAGAAUUGCAUGUCAAGCUACAAGUUCGGGAAAAAAGUGGCUAAAAAGCUACGGGAUGUGCGGACUUUAAUCAGUGAAGGAGUUUUUGAGGUGGUGGCUGACAGAGCUCCAGAGUCUGUAGCAGAUGAAAGACCUACUGAGCGAACAGUAGUAGGCUUGCAAUCACAACUUGAACAAGUCUGGAGAUGUCUUGUAGAAGAAUCAGCGGGAAUCAUUGGCCUAUAUGGUAUGGGCGGUGUUGGUAAAACUACACUACUGACCCAUAUCAACAAUAAAUUUCUCGAGAGUCCAACCAACUUUGAUUGUGUGAUUUGGGUUGUAGUUUCAAAAGACCUGCGACUCGAAAAAAUUCAAGAAGAUAUUGGGAAAAAGAUAGGUUUGGUUGGUGAUUCAUGGAAGAGUAAAAGUGUAGAGGAGAAAGCUGUCGACAUCUUCCGGAGUUUAAGAGAGAAGCGAUUUGUAUUGUUGUUAGAUGAUAUAUGGGAGCGGGUUGAUUUAACAAAGGUGGGCGUUACACUUCCCAGACCAAAAAAUACUACCUCAAAAGUCGUAUUCACAACCCGUUUCAUCGAUGUUUGUGGUAGCAUGGAAGUUGACAGGAAGUUUCAAGUAGCAUGCUUAUCAGAAAAGGAUGCUUGGGAACUGUUUCGAGAAAAAGUUGGGGAAGAAACUCUUCAGAGUCAUCAUGAUAUCGUUGAGCUAGCCCAAACUGUGGCCAGAGAGUGUGAUGGUUUGCCACUCGCACUUAUUACUAUUGGUCGAGCUAUGGCCUGCAAAAGGACAGCCGAGGAGUGGAGACACGCAGUUGAAGAGUUAAGGAGAUCAGCUUCUGAGUUUGCAGGUUUGGGAGAAAAGGUGUACUCUCUUUUAAAAUUCAGCUAUGAUAGUUUGCAGAAUGAGACGAUUAAAUCUUGUUUCUUAUAUUGUUGUUUAUAUCCCGAAGAUUAUGGAAUUCUUAAAUGGGACUUGAUUGAUUGUUGGAUUGGCGAGGGAUUUUUGGGGGAAUCUGACAGGUCUGGUGCAGAAAACCAAGGAUAUGACAUUUUGGACACUCUUGUUCGUGCAUGUUUAUUAGAAGAGGUGGAAGAUAGAGUAAAAAUGCAUGACGUUAUUCGUGAUAUGGCUCUAUGGAUAACUUGUGAAAUUGAGAAGGAGAAGAGAAACUUUUUGGUUCGUGCAGGUGCUGGAUUAAAAGAGGCACCGGGUGUUAAAGGAUGGGAAAAUGUGAGAAGAUUGUCAUUGAUGCAAAACCAAAUUGAAACUCUGUCAGAGGUUCCCACAUGCCCUCAUCUCCUCACUUUAUUUCUUGACUUUAAUCAGGAGUUGGAGAUGAUCGCGGAUGGCUUCUUCCAACUUAUGCCUUCUCUCAAAGUUUUGAAGAUGUCAAACUGUUCGAAUUUGAAAUUACCUGUUGGGAUGUCAGAGUUGGGUUCAUCACUAGAACUUCUCGAUAUUUCAGAAAACAGCAUAACAGAGUUACCGGAAGAGUUAAAGAAGUUGGUAAAUCUGAAAUGUUUGAAUUUGAGGUGGACACAGCAUUUAAAUAAAAUUCCACGGCAACUAAUAUCAAAUUCUUCAAGGUUACGUGUGUUGAGAAUGUUCGCUACUGGCCGGUUCAAUUUUCAUGAAGCACCAGAAGACAGCGUUUUAUUUGGUGGGGGUGAAGUUUUGAUACAGGAAUUGCUCGGUUUGAAAUAUUUAGAGGUAUUGGAGUUGACCUUGGGAAGUUAUCAUGCUCUCCAAAUUCUUUUGAGCUCAAAUAAGUUAAAAAGUUGUAUUCGAUCUCUUUACCUCCAGUUGACCGGAGAUACAACGUCAAUUAUUGAUGCUACGGCUUUCGCAGAUCUAAACCACCUCAAUGAAUUAUAUAUUUAUAAAGGUAUUGAGUUGGAAGAAUUGAAGAUUGAUUAUACGGAGAUAGUACGAAAAAGGCGGGAACCUUUUGUUUUCCGUAGCCUUCACUGUGUUACUAUGAUUUCGUGCCGUAAAUUGAAAGAUGUGACAUUCCUCGUUUUUGCUCCAAACCUCAAGUCUCUUCGGCUAUUCGAUUGCGGUGCUAUGGAAGAAAUAAUCAGCGUCGGAAAAAUUGCUGAGACUCCUGAGAUGAUGGGACAUAUAAGCCCUUUUGAAAAUCUCCAAAUGCUUCAUCUAUCGUUAUUGCGAAAUUUUAAGAGCAUCUACUGGAAGCCAUUGCCUUUCGCUCAUCUAAAAGAAAUGAUGGUGCAUCGGUGCGAUCAGCUUGAAAAGCUUCCACUCGAUUCCAACAGUGCAAAGGAGCGUAAAUUUGUUAUUCGUGGAGACACACAGUGGUGGAACCGACUUCAAUGGGAGGAUGAAGCCACUCAAAUUGCUUUUCGUUCCUGUUUCCAACCUCAGUCCUGAGCGGUGGUCGCAAAAUUUGAUUUCUGGUGAGUGCGGUUGUCUUUUAAAAGAAGAAUUUAAAAGAAAUUUAUUCUUGUCGUUUUCUUCUCUGUUUUUAUUUCAGUUUCUUUCUCUCUCUCUCUCUUUUUGUCUUCUGCAAAUCACAAUUAAAUGUUGAAUUAAUGGAAUUAAUGCUUCAUAAAUUUGCCGGCACUGCCAUUACUUUUUUUUUUUUAAUACAAAUUGAUACUUUAUUUAUAUCUUCUUAGCGAUAUAAUUUCCUGUCAAUUGACGAACGAGAAGAACAUAUGACUUAAACCAAUUCUCGCAUAAACUUGCUGUAAAAAGAUAUAAUCUCACUGAAAUGCACACGUCUAGAAUGAAUAGAAUUAAAACAGGGAAAAUAUUAGGUAUAUUAGCCUUCUUUACUGAAAAUCAAAUGACAAUAAAUUUUUUGAAGUUUUGAUUUUCUAUGGUCAAUUCCACCUUUUGCAAUUUCUUCUGUUCUAACAAAAACCAAUUUCUUUGUUCAAGUAUUUUCGUUUGGGUAUUAAUAAUUCUCCACCGAAAGAGUGAACUCUUGGAUGCUGCUCUUUUGUUCUCUGUUUUUAUUUCCCCUUUUUUCUUUUGGUCUUCUGCAAAUCACAAUCAAAUGUUGAAUUUGUUGAAAAAAUAGCAUAACAUGCUAUUUUGAGAGCACAUUUUGAGUGGGUCCCACUUAACAAAAGUGAAAAAUAUUGUGAGGUUCGGAUUCUACUCCGUUGAUACUUCAAUAGUAUAAUUUUAUUUUCUCAAAAUGGUGCUUGGGUGAAUGAGAAAUUGUCUCUCAAAGUUCACCCUUGAAGUUGAAAAUUCGAAAGGAAAUGAGUCUUAUCCCACAUGGGAAAAAGAAGCCUAGGAAUUAGUGUUUAAAUAUAAAUACUUAACCAUACAUGAGUAAGAAUUAUAAGGAUAGAGGCUCUCUCCACACGCGUGCGUGCGCAGGGGGGGUGCGAAUCCAAGCUUGAUUUGGUUGAACUCGUGUGCGUCCUGCGUACACGAAUGUCAGCCCAAAAUCAUCCAUGCAAGCUAGGCACCUUUUGAAUUCAAAUAAAUUGGUGACAGCUUUUUAGCUGUUAUUCACGUUUUUUUUAAAUUGAUUUGGCUGUUAUAACAAGGCACCUUCACUUCUGUUUUUUCCACUUGCAAAAACGAGCACAAAGCACACUUGUUUUCCCUUCAUUCUUCUUCGUCUUUCUCUGAUCGAGUUCGCUGUUGUGGUUCGCCGGAAAUUCUAGCCUGUGCUUGACUGGAAGUUCGUACCCGUUGCAUCCUGGGAAACAAAUACCAAUAAACCUUAAGCACUCCGAAUAGGUGGUAAAUCUGUUUUAAGGAGACUGUUUUGUGCAGGCCUCGGGUUCCUUUCUUUUUAUUUCAAUUCGGUUUCUUCCUCUUCUGUUCUUCAUUUAUUGUUUCCGAUUGCUAGUUUACACUAGCUAACAUAUAAUUUGUUAUCUCACUGUUUUAUUUUCUUACAGAAUUAAAUGGAAUUAAUUCUUUAUAAAUUUGCCUGCAUUGCUUUUUUUUUUUGGGGUCGGGGGGGGGGGGGGGGGGGGGGGGGGGGGGGGGGGGCGAAUUGAUGCUCUGGUUUUUGACUUUUUGUUGUCAAAUUUUACUCUGUUUUUUCAAAUUGAUGCUUCAAUAUUUGAAUCAAAUUAAUGCUCACGUAAAUUUGUCUAGUUGCCGUAAAAGAUAUAAUUAGACUGAAAUACACACUUUUAGAAUCAAUAGAAUUAAACAGAGAAAACAUUAAGUAUAAUAGCCAUCUUCACAUAAAAUCAUGUCAUAAACACAUGAUUAACAUUAAGUUAAAAUUUUGAAGUUUUGAUUUUCGAUGGUCAAUCAUACCCUUUAUAAUUUCUUCUGUUCUAACCACAAUAAAAUUUUUGGUUCCAGGAUUUUUAUUUGGGGUAUUAAUAAUAGUCCACCAAAAGAGUGAACAGUUGGAUGCUGCUCUAAGGGUCUCUAAUGUAAUCAAUAGCUGGAAGCAAUUGAGAAGGCGGUCGCUACUGUGUGCAAAGCCAUGCAGUAUUUGUUAUUCAUCUUAGUAAUUAUGAAGCUUCGGUAAAAUUUUCAUGAAUUUGUAUGAAUAUCGUUGUUCCAUUGAGUUGUAUAUGAAUUCAAAUGUAAAAUAUUCUUUGGUUUUCAAUUUUGAAUUCAAUUUCUUUUUCUUAAGCAUGUUGUGCAGAAAUGAUUUCUAUUAAAUCAUUUUUGAUAAACUAUUUAAAUUAAACAACUGGAAUAAGAACUGUAAGGAUUUAUCGUAAGCAGUCUAAUAUGAUAAUUCUGAAACUAUUAAUUAUUUUUUUCAAUUUGUUGCAGGGAAAGCCAAAUUUUGCGUUUUUCAGUUUUAUCUGAUAUGGAAUUUAUUUCCUCUACACUAGCUACCUAAAGAUUUAUCAAAUUGCUUCUCUUCCCUGCUUCAAAUAUCUUCAUGGCAUCAUAGGAAAAGAGAGUUUGGGUUGUAUUUAUUAGAGUUUUUAUUUUUUUCGUUAUAAGCAAAUUUAUUUUAAAUACUUUAGUAGUAACAGUUUUUAUUGAAUAAUAAUGGGGGAUGGUUAUUAUAGGUUCAAAUAGUUGUUAGAACAUUAUAAAAAGUCUAUUUACUAUCAAAUGUUUUAAAUUGAUGCAACGUGAUAAUUGUCUCAUAUAAUUUUUUUAUAAUAUAUAUGUCCCAUAAUCUUAACAUGAAUAAAUGAAUUUCAACGGUUAAAUUUGACACGAUUAUUAAAUAGAUCAUAUCUAUAUUAAUUCGAUUUAAAAUUUGGCCACAUUUGGAUUUAGAGUUUCUAACAUGAUAACUUGUUUUAUAACAUGAUUUACUAAUCAAUUAAUAAUAAAUCAAAUGUUAGUCAAUUAAAUAUGUGGUACAUUUGUCAUAUUUUAAAAUUAUUUAUUUAUGUUUGAAAUAAAUUUGACUAGACUUUGUGCAGGUAAUAUUGCAUAAUUUCUAAAAAAAAUGUAAUAAAAACAUGUUAAAAUGUUAUUUUUAUGAAGAAAAAUUGAAAUUUUAUUAAAUAGGUGACACAAUAAUAAAUGGAUGCUUGUAAAAAUUGAAAUUAUUGAUAUAAUUAUUAAAUAGAUUGGAUUGAAGUUAGUUUAAUUUUGACAAGAUAAUAAGACGACGCGACACAAAUACAGCCAACCGGUCAACCCAAAUUGCCACCUUUUAUUUUCUUCUUUGUGUUACUUCUCUAAAAAUUUGUGCCAUCGCUUACACUUUUAAAUCUAUCAAAGAACCGUUACUUGGGAAGAUUGCCAUCAGGAAUUUCGAAAUUGAUUUCACUACAAUACGUUAGUCUUUCAGAUACUUCCAUCACUGAGUUGCCAAAAGAGCUAAAAGCCUUGGUAAAUCUUAGGGCAUGUUUGGCACGCGGUAAUAUAUAGGAUAAGGACUCCGCAUUGCAUUAGAAUUAUACAAUCUCGUGUUUGGCAGUUACAGCUCAUUGCAUUAACUAAAAUUUAUAAUGCGGUAACACCCGCAUAAACUACACCCGACCACCCCCCCCCCCCCCCCCCCCCACGGGUUUAUACGGGUUUGCAAUAGAUCUUUCUCCUUCCCUCAACUUUCUCCUUCUUUAUGCUCUCUCACGAACACAGCGCUCCACACCAGGCCAUCGUCCUUCGCCGCGCAACACCCAGCUCCACCACCACCCCAUCCCGCAACACCACUGCCUUCUCUUUUAACUUGCUGACGCACGACACUCGACCACCAUGCAAUCUUCUAUCUCUGCGUGACAGCCAGCUCCGUCACCACCCCACUGUGCAAUACCACCGCCAUGCUUGCCUUCGCCUCCUGAAUCAACGAACUACAACUUUGAUUUUUGAAAAGGUCUUUCUCUUUAUUUCUUCUCACGAUUUCUGUAACAAAACAGAGGCUAAAUAUCACAUGUCUCUUUCUCAUACUAUUCCAAGCUAAAUAGCAAAAGCAAUAGAUUCUCAGACUCAUAUAUGAUCUUCAAGAAGCCGGAGGUUCUCGAUUUAUUUAAUUUCUCUUUAUAUAUAUUUUUUCCAACUGUUAACUUUAAUUUUUUAUGUAAAUGCUUCACAACAUGUUGGAAUUGCUAUUUCUUUGAUAAUUUGGGGAAAUUGAACCCUAACGAAGCAAAGUGAGGGGAAAUUUUCUAUUGGGUCUUGUCUGAGGAGUGUGUAGGGAUUCUUGUGUUGCUGUUGGCUUUCGCUUUGAAUUUGAUGACUGUGGGUUUUUGUUUUGGUUUUUUGGUUUCGUGAGUGGAGGGGAUUGUAAAGCAAAAACAGAAAGCGCGAUAGGAAAUGGAGGGAAGGUGUUUCAUGGUUGUUCUCACUGACAUUUUGUUGUUCUGUUCAUGCUUUAAUUUUCGUUUGAUUUUCGAACAUGCUGCAGUUUGAACUUUGAUGAACUGAGCUUUGCAAGUUAGACACAUGUCUCGUCAUCGGUUCAACGGCGUUCUUUACCAUAGAAAUUUGUGUUUUAUUGUUGUUGUUGUUGUAAGCUUUUCUUGAUUUUGCAGUGAGGCUUGAGGAAAAGAAAAGGAAAAGCAAUGUUGAUUUCAUUCAAUGGCAUUAUUCUAAGACGUAAAAACAAAUAAUCUGGACCAAAUUGAAACGAUCAUAUCACUAUAUUUUCAUUAAACAUAGGCUUUUUGGUUACCAAAUUGAAACAAUAAAAGAAUGAAAAAGAUUUUAAGUUUAUGGAUUAAGCAAUCCUAGAAUUUGAAUUUAUGAAAUUAGAAGACCAAAAAUUGUAAAAAUAUUGUCAGUAUAAAAUUAAUGUUGUAAAAAUAAAUGUUAUACUGACAAAAAUUUAAAGUUAUAAAGUUUGAUUUUUAUGAAGAAUUAUGAUAUUAAAAAAUAAUGUUAAAUUUCUCAAUUUUAAAAUUUUUGAUAUUUAGUAUUUUUUUAAGUAUUAAUAAAUAUUAUUUUUUAAAAUAUGUAAUCAAAAUUAAUCAUUAAAAAAUUAAUACAGUACAAUGCGGCACCAAACAUAGUAUAACUAAAAAUUAAUACAAUACAGUGUAAUACCAAAUAUUGUACAACAUUAUUAUAAUACAAUGCUAAUGCAAUACCGCAUAAUACAAUACACCUGCAUUAAAAUAAUGUAAUAUAACAUAAUACAAUACAGUGUGCCAAACGCACCCUUAAGUGUUUGAACUGGAGUAAAUGUAUAUCGAACCAUCGGUGCGAAAGCUACGAUCAAAGACGACCAACGGUCGAUCGAACUCAUCAGCGCUGGGGAGUCUAAGUGGGGUCUCAACAUCAUGAUGGCGGAUAAUGUAGGCCCCAACUAAGCCAGCCAAAAGGUUGAUCCUAGUCAAGCCCAUGGCAUGAUCAUGGUACCACAAAUUCCCCGGCUGUUGCAUGUUGUGAAAGUGGUAAGUUUUCUUAGUCCAAGUGGGUCCCUUUUCUUUAAAUCCAGCGGUGAACCAUGAAUUUGAGUUUCCAUCACUCUCGGGUUCAUCAAUGCCUCCAUGGAGGUGCACUACAGUAGGAAUUCCCUUCUUGCGUGGAAUGGCAGUUGGAAUUGUGGGGUCCCAUGGAAGUAUGUGUUUUGAAGGGAGAUGAUUUUGCCACGUCACGUAGGUGUCAAUCCCAUGGAGGGCCUCGAUGGUUGGACCAGGGACGGUUGCUGUGUGCUUCGAUGUACCGUAGGCAUACACUGGGGUUUGGAGGUAUAGGUCUCUGUGGAAUUUCUGCACUAGAAAGAAAAAAGAUAAGCCAGAAAUCGUUGAUUAAGAAUAGAAUAAUAAUGAAUUGGAAGAAUUAACUAUAUUUUUUAGAAUAGAAAAUAUUUUGAGUGGUGGGCUAUCAUUAUUUUUAAUUAAAAUAUAAGUUUUUAUAUUUUUUAAAAGUUAAAUUUAAAUUUUAUAGGGAUUUAUAUUUUAUAGCAACUAUUUUAAUAAAUUUAAUAGGAAUUAGUUAGAAAAUUAAAAUAUUUUUCCCUUUUAUUUAUUUAUUUUUUUUUGGCCAGUGCAUCCGUCCCUGUCUGGGUCCCCCACAUUGACUAAACAAAAUCAAUGUACAGAGAAAACUAAGGCAAAAAAAUUAAGGACAUGUGUGAUGUGGGCUUGUGGCCUAAAUAAAAUGCUUGUAGAUAAAGUACCCCUUUUUUUUUUUUUUUUAUUAAGGUGAUUUUUCUCAUGAACACGAAUGCAUCCUAAUUCUACUGUGUACAAAGCAAAUAAAAUGAUUUUUCUCAUGAGCAAGAUCGUAGAUUUCCAAAACAACCAAUUUGUUGCUUGGUAAAUCUUAAUCAAUGGCAGGAAGCAAUUGAGAAGGUGGUAGCUACUGUGUACAAAGCCAUGCAGUAUUUGCUAUUCAUCUUAAUAAUUGUUAAGCUUUGGUAAAAUUUUCAAAAUAAGUUGACAUAUUAUUUUGAGAUUUGGUUCAUGAUUUUGUAUGAAUAUUGUUGUUCCGUUUGAGUUGGAUGUGAAUUCAAACCUAAAUAUUCUUUGGUUUUCAAUUUUGAAUUCAAUUUCUUUUUCUCAAGAAUGUUAUGCAGAAAUGAUUUUUACAAAAUCAUUUUUGAUCAAUUAUUUAAAUUAAACAAUUGGAAUAAGAAUUGUAACGGUUUAUCAUAAGCAUGCUAAUAUGAUAACUUGUUUUACGAACGAUUAAUUAAUCAAUUAAUAUUAAAUUAUAUAUUAGUCAAUUAGAUAUGUGUUAUAUUUGUCAUAUUGUAAAAACUAUUUAUUUAUAUUUCAAAUAAAUUUGACCAGAGGUUACGUAGGUAAUACUACAUAAUUUCUAAAGGAAUGUAAAAAUUUAAAAUUUUAUUAAAUAGGUGACUCAACCAUAAAUGGAUUUCUGCAAGAAUUGAGAUUCUCGAGAUAAUUAUUACAUAGGGGGAAUUUUGGUUGGUUCAAUUUUGACAUGAUAAGAAGACAACACAGCGCAGAAAACCCAAAUUGCCACUUCUACAGUUGUAAUAAAAGAUACCUGUUUGAAAAGUAAUUAUAAACUAUCUUCUUUGUGUUAUUUCUCAAAACUUUUGUGGCACAAAUGUUAUUUCCCUAGUGAAAAGUACGAAAUACCCUCUUUCACGUCGGCAGAAGCAAAGCAAAGCUAUGAGCUAUCUCUGUAUACUUGAAACGCCAUUGCUAAACGAUUCUCGAUGAUGGGUGCCACUGGGCCAGUGUUGUCGCUGAUUUGCAUGAUUUAUUAGUUGUCCACAUGCCAGAGAAACCAUGGUGGCAUUGAAGUUGCCCAGUUGGUUAGUUUUCUGAUCAUUUUUUUAUUCAAUUAUUUAUUUUUUUAGAAAAAUGUAAGAAAUAUGUAGAAAUGUUGACAGCUAUGAUUUUGAAACUUUGCCUAAAAUUGUUAUCAUCACUUAUUUAAAGAGAAAUCCUAGAAACAUGACAUGAUUAGUAGCCUAAUUCAAAAUUAGACGUGAUUACAACAAGAGAAAAGUGGAGAGAACUUGAUAAUCGAGUGCAUUUAGAAUUUAAUUUUUCUUUUAGCUGCCGAUCAUUAAAUUUUUUAUUUCAGAAAAUUAUACCUAGAAUAUUUCAAGGAUAUACUAUGAAGAUUAUGAAGGUUUGAUUACAUGUCACUAUCAAUUGCCCCAAUCAUUUGUAGUAAAUUAAUUGAUCAUUUUGAUGCAAAUGAUUCCCUACUAAAAAAUUCAAGUCAAAGCUGAAUUGCACAGUAGUUAGUCGAGCUUGCACUUCAAAUUAAGUAUUGUAUUUUCUGCCUGGUUUGGUUGAUUAAAGUGUGUGCAUUUGCUUAUGAACGUUGUAGUAUAGAAAUCGAAACAUUUGUUUUUCGCUAAGCCCAGAAGCAAAGUUCUUUGUACUGUACUCAUCACUUCUCUUCGUUCUCUUUGUUGAAAUUUUAUCCAAACAGCGGUUUCUUCGAAUUUGUGCCUUCUCUUACACUUUUAAAUCUAUCAAAGAACCGUUACCUGAGAAGAUUGCCAUCAGGAAUUUCUAAAUUGAUUUCACUAUAAUACCUUAAUCUUUCAGAUACUCCUGUCACUGGGUUGCCAAAAGUGCUAAAAGCCUUGGUAAAUCCUACGUGUUUGAACUGGAGUGCAAAAGUUAUCUCUCCACAAUUCCAAAACAACUGAUUUGUUACUUUUCAAUGCUACACGUUCUGCGAACGUUCAGUUGUGGUUAUCUUGCUGAAAUACCAGAAAAUAGGGUUCUAUUUGGCGGUAGUGGAUUCUUGGUUGGGGAGUUGCUUAGUUUAAAACGUUUAGAUGUAUUAAGCAUCACCUUAAAAGGUUUUUCUUCUGUCCAAAAACUUAUGAGCUCCCAACAGUUUCAAAGCUGUACAAAAUGUUUGGAGCUUAUAGACUGUGAUGAUUCAAAGUUGUUUGCCUUGGCAGAGUUGAAGCAUCUUGAAAAACUAGGUUUUUCAAAUUGUGGAAAUUUGGAAGAUAAAUUACAUUUAUAAACUGUGGAUCGCCCUUUAUAAGUAUUAGGCUUAUCCCAUACUCGAGCAAUGUGGAAUACCUUUAUAAGCAUUAAGCCUCUCCCAUACAAUUUCUGUACAUGACUCUUCUUUUUUUUUUUUUUUUUUUUUUUUGAAGAUCGUUAAAAGUGGUUGAUGAUCCGUUUUGUAAUAUCAUAGAGGGAUCAUGAAUUCCUUUUCUUUUCUGUGGCUAGGCAACACUUUUGGCCAAAGUAAGGAAAUCUAUUUUAGGGAAUGUAAAAACCAGUUGUGGGAUGUAAUAGUUUAUUAUGCACUGACAAUAACUUUUUGUAUAAUUGUCAGUUUAAUGAAUACGAGAGGAACUCUGUUGGCAAAUUCAUCCAUGAUAGAUGCUAAAAUUAUACCAGCUGCCUUAACUAAUUUUUCUCAACACUGGUAUUGAACAGGAAAAUGAAUAUGCAAUUUGUAUUUGUGCCAUUGUGGAGAAUUUGGAUAUUCUUAUUCUUACUAACAAGGAGAGUAUUUGCCUCAUCUUUAAACAAUGAAUCUUUGAGAAAUGAGGAGUGGGUCAUUGGUAGUGUCAGAGUGUCUUCAUGUAAAUGUUCAUUUAUUUGUAUUUUGAACUAUUAUUAGAAUCUUUAUAUGCCAAAUUAGUAAUACAAAUGUUGAGAUGAUUUUCCCUGUUGAUCAUUUCAUUCUUGAGAGCCAUGUACAAUACUAGGAUACCAGAGAAACCAAGGUAGCAUUGAAGUUGCCCCAGUGGCUAGUUUUCCGAACAUUUUUUAUUCAAAUUUUUAUGUUUUAGAAAAAUGUAAGAAAUAUUUAGAAAUGUUGAUAGCUAUGAUUUUGAAACUUUGCCUAAAAUUGUUAUCAUCACUUAUUGUUUCUUAUUUAAAGAGAAAUCCUAGAAACGUGACAUGAUUAUUCCAUACUUGUUUUAAUAUUAUUUAUUAGCAGCCUAAUUCAAAAUUAGACGUGAUUAUUUGUUACUUUUAAUGGUACAUGUUCUGGGAAUAUUCAGUUGUGGUUAUCUUGUUGAAAUACCAGAAAAUAGCGUUCUAUUUGGUGGUAGUGGAUUCUUGGUUGGUUUAAAUGUAUUAAGCAUCACCUUAAAAGGUUUUUCUGCUGUCCAAAAACUUACGAGCUCCCAAAAGUUUCAAAGCUGUGCACAACCUUUGGAGCUUAUAGACUGUAGUGAUUCAAAGUUGUUUGCCUUCGCAGAGUUGAAGCAUCUUGAAAAACUAGGUUUUUCAAAUUGUGGAAAUUGGAAGAGUUUAAGUUCUGCUGUGUCGAGGAUGGAAAGGCUCGAGAAUGUUUUCGUGUGAACAGCCUCCAACGAGUUAAGAUAAAGGCUUGUCAUAAAUUGAGGGAAGUGACAUGGCUUGUAUUUGCUCCGUAUCUUGAGGUUAUUCAAAUAGACAAAUGUAUGGGGAUGGAAGUAAUAAUCAGUGCAAGGAAAUUGGGUGAAGUUCCAGAGAUGAUGGCAGAUCUAAACCCUUUUGCUAAACUCCAAUAUCUUGGCCCACGAGUUCUACCAAAACUAAAAAGCAUCUAUUGGAAUCAGUUGCCCUCUCUACAUGUCAGGCGAAUUUUGUAUCUGAAUGCCCAAUUCUCAAGAAGCUUCCACUUGGUUUUAACAAUGCAAAGGAAUCUAAAACUAUCAUUAGGGGAGAAGAACACUGGUCGAAUGAGCUGCAAUGGGAGGACAAAGUGACCCUUAAUGUUCUUCUUCCUUGUUUCGGAUCCAUUUGAGGGCAUCAACAUGGAUUGAUACUUUGCAGUGGAGAAAUUCGAAUAAAACCUAUGGUAAGCGCUUUUCCAUUUAUUGCAUAUUUGUAUCUAACUUUUGUUUUCCUUUGUGGUUAAAUUUUGCUCUAUAUACGUUGUUGUACGGUGACAUUCUCAUAUCAAUUAUUAGCUUUUUAAUUAUCUUCUCACAUUAACUGCCCCUUUUGAUCAUGUAGGAUAUGCUGAUGUCAAAGAGUCGUAAUUUGGGAUGCAAAUGUAAGAAUUAGACAGAUGACCAGUUGUUUUGAAGCGCUCGAAGAAGGAUUAAUUACGUCAUUGAAAGCCUCCAAUUUUGUGACUUUUUUUUUUAAUUUGUUGUUUUUUCUAUUUUUAGAUAGCUUGAUUGUUAGUUGUCGUGAUGUAAUGCUUUAGUGUAGAAAAAUGAUAUUCGGCCAAGGCAACAUUAGGAGGGCACCUUGUGCAUGCAUACUAGUGGAUAAUUUCGGCAUGCUAAAUCCAAUUAGGGUGGAUGACCCUUUAUAAGCAUUAGGCUUCUCUCAUACCCGAAAACAAUGUAGAAUACGCUUAUAAGCUGCGGAUCACCCAUUAUAAGUUUUAGGCUUCUCCUACACUCGAGCGAUGUGGAAUACCUUUAUAAGCAUUAAGCUUCUCCCAGUAUCUUUAUGUUAAAAAUAAUAAUAAUAAAAGAAAUCCAUUUUAAAAUAGACUCUUUUUUCUUUUUCUAUAUAAACAAAUGCAUUCUUCAAAUCAAUUGUGGGCAGAAGAAGUUAGUAGAAAAGAACUAGUCCCCUUUCAUUCCCCCUUAAACCUCACCAAAGCCUCUUUUGUAAGCUUUUCGGAUUUUCUUUCUAUAUUGCUUACGAUCUCAUUUUUGAUUGAAUCACUUCUUUUGCAUGCUGCAUUUUUUGUUUGUUGUAUUUGGAUAUUAUCGUAUCUGGAAUGCUGUUAUGAUUGAUGGAACAAGUAAUCGAUUUUUGGUCUGAUGGAAGUUGACUUAUUUAUUUAUUGUUAUUUUUAUUUGAAAUUAUGUACAAUUGCAUUUCAUUCAUUUCUUUCUCCCCCCCCCCCCCCCCCCCCCCCCCACACAUAUAUUUGUUAUGUAUAAUUGCGUUUCAUUUGAUAUUGAUCAUGCUGUAGAUAAACCAUGUGAUUGUAGAUGGGGAUUUCAAGUUUGUUGAAUAUUCAAGUAAGUGAAGUAACUGUCAAAAUACUAGUGAAAUUGGGAGCUUUAUUCAUGAGCUUGUGGUUUUGAAAAUUACCACAGUUCAACCGAUGAAGGUUCCUUUUUGGGGUUCUUCUUUUUCUAGGCUGCAAUUAGGAUAUGUACAUGUUAGACAAUCUUUUGUGAGUUUAGCAUAUCUGCUCUGAUUUUGUCUUUUAUUCCCCAAUCUUAUAAUUACACAGCAUGAAUGUUGAGUGAUUGUAUAGAAAAUUUGUGUUAUAACCAAAGCAUUGUGAAGGAGUUAAGUUAGUGGCUUCUGUUUUAUUGGCAUUGAUUGGGUAGAUUAUGAGUUACAGUGAUUCAAUUUGUGAUCCAAACUUUGCUUUAAUUUCUGUUUUCCCUAAUUAUUUAUGUCAAAUUUAAAUCCAGAAGCAUGUACUGAUUUUUUCUUUUUGUAUUAAUCUGUGAAGUUUAUUUGGAAUGGAAGUAUCUGGGUUGGGUCUAACGGAUUAAAUUAUGACAUUGGGGGGAAGGCAGUAAAGGGUUUGCUUGACACAUUUGGUUCUGUGUUUACUUUGCGAGAAAUAGCUUUUGGUUAUCACAAUGCCGGGGGAAAUCCCGAUUUGGCUGGUGAAUUUCUUUGUGACAAAUAGGCAAACACAUCAACCUCUUCUAUCCAUCCUUCUACUGGUAAGGCAAGGGGUAAAGAGUCUUCAAAAUCAUCAAAUAGUAACAUCUCUGAGAAUUCAUUUUAUGCAAAUGGAAAAUCUAGACCUUCUAAGACAAAAUGGCGUCCUGUAUCAGGAGGUACCGUUUCAAGUUUUCUUGGUAAAAAUUAUGUUAAACCUGCACAGCCAGCUAAUGGCACAUUUCUAGCAUCAAAGCCAUUGAAGUUGGAUCCAAAGGGGUUUCCCAUGUCUCCACUUUUGCGGAGAAGAUACUAAACUGAAACAAUCAAAGGAUGACCAUUUGCAGAAGGAUAUGGAAGAUUUUCUGUUUAAAUUGCUAGGAGAAGUGUUCCAAUUUAAUACAUAUUGUCCUUUUCAAUGUUCUUUCUUUCUUUCUCUUCUUUUCUUCUUCUUCUUCUUUUUUCUUUUUGUGUGCGUGUGAUCACUAAUUUGGUAUUGUAGUUAAGUUGCAGAUAGUUGUGGAUAUGAUAUGCAAAAGGUAAGGACUAUAUCUUCCUGAUGGAGGCCUCUGCUUUUUCCUUUAUGCAUAAUUUAAUAAAUCGCAUCUUCCUUUGUGAUCGUUAUAUCAUAUCAAAGACAAGUCUUAAAUACUGCUGUCAUAUGUUAAGGUUCAACUUGCAGUUUGAUUAACAUUCAUGGCUCAAAGUCCUGAAAAAACUUGCCAGUAAUUGUAAAAUGACAUUCUUUGCUUUUAAUGCAAUAGAGGGAACAGGGAAGUAUAGCUUUGGAAGCCUGGAUUGGUAACUAUAGAGAGACUUAGUAUUUCAUUGAUAAAAAUUCCCAUAACCCAAGGUCAAGAAAAUUUUAGAUCGUUAAAGACUUCAUUUUGUUUCGGCCAGAAAUGUUUGUUUCGAUCGAAGACUUGAACCAUUUUCAUUGAACCUGAUUAUGAUGCUUUACGUUAUGCAUGUUCCUCUUAAUCAAGAAAAGUUGAGGUGAUGAUUUUAUAUUUCUAUAUUGUAAGUUGAAAUAAUAAUUGGUCUGCUUGUUUCUGUAGCUUGAUAACAUGAAUUUUCCUUCUCAAGUUAAUUUAAUCAAUAAAGUAAUUCUUCAAAGAAAGUAUGCCCAUUCUAUAAUCAUUUUCUUAACUAACAUGUUUUUUUCUUCACUUUUCAGAGCAUGUUGAAACUAAUUGAUCGCUCGGCAGAGACUUUGGGUGAGAAGACAAAAUUUCUUGGUAAAUCCUCUGAAAAGGUAUGCAUAAUUCCGGAGUAUUAAAUAACCAAUGGUCAUAAUUUUUUUACAGGACUCUUUUCUUGUGGAGAUGAUUAAAAGUGGCUGAUGAUCCAGUUUGUAUAUCAUAGAGGGAGCAUCAAUUCCUUUUCUUUUCAGUGGCUAGGCAACACUUUCAGGGCAAAGUAAGGAAAUCUAUUUUAGGCAAUGUAAAACCCAAUGGUAGGAUGUAAUAGUUUAACAUGCACUGACAAUAACUUUUUGUAUAAUUGUCAGUUGAACGAAUACAAGAGGAACUCUGUUGACAAUUCAUCCAAGAUAGAUGCUAAAAUUAUUUAUGCAUGCCAGUUGCCUUAACUAAUUUUUCUUAACACUGGUAUUGAAGAGGAAAAUGAAUAUGCAAUUUGUAUAUUGUGCCAUGUGGAGAAUUUGGAUAUUCUUAUCUAAGUAACAAGGAGAGUAUUUGCCUCAUCUUUAGACAAUGAAUCUUUGAGAAAUUAGGAGUGGGUGAUUGGCAGUGUCUUCAUGUAAAUGUUCAUUUGUUUGUAUUUUGAACUAUUAUGAGAAUCUUUUAUAUGCCAAAUUAGUAAUGCAAAUGUUCAGAUUAUUUUUUCUGUUGAUCGUGCAUUUGUGUCCGCACACAACCAUUGUAUAUCACUUCAUUCUGAUGCGCAAGUCUCUGUAGUUUAGAAGAAAAGAAAUAAUAAUGAUAUAUUAUUGCUUGAUUCAUGAUUAUUAAAUGAUUAUGGCUUUAAAAAACCUACAAAUUCCUUCUGUUGAUAGAUGAAUGUACCAAGUUUGCUAUAUCUUAGAUUACCAUUUCCAAGAUAAGUUCAAAUUUUUUCUUUAUCCUUUUCCAUCACAGUUGCAUUUUAAGUGUAAGAUUUGUUAUUAAUACCUGGUUUCCUGUCAUUAUGAUUUCAUAAACAGUGUAUGGGUAUGUGCUCUACUUUUGGAGGGCCUCCACGUGAAAGAAAAUUGCAACAAUUGAAUUCUUCCGGAUGGUAUGGUAUUUAAUUUAUUUUCUCAACCUCUUGUAAGACUAAUAUAUUUUCCUUCAGUAGACACGGCAUGGUGGGAAGGGUUUUUUAUUGAAAGAAUUCUGAUAUUUCUUAGACUUUGUUUUGGAAGGGGGUGCAGGGGUUUCUCAUCCAUAUAUGGUUACUUGAUUAGCUUUUGACUGUAUUGCCUCAAUCGUGCAAAGGAAGAUCCAAAUACAAACGAAGGAGAAUUGUUUAGACACCCAGAAGAUGGAAAUGAACUACAGAAGGAAGUUUUUGCUGCUUUAUUUAGUGCUCCUGAGAAAUCUGAUGAAUUUCCUGAAAUUACGGUGAAGACCAAGUGUGAGGUCCAAAGCAUUAGGAAAGGUGGUGAGUGAACUGCUGGAGGAAUUGGUACAGAAUACAAGGCUAAUGUGGUGUACUUGCAGCAAGAUAACCGGAACAGUACGUGCUCUUAUAUUAACUAUAUUGACUGGAUUUGCUAGUGUGUGCAUUUUCGUGUGUAUACUUUUGUAUUUAUGCAUAUUAAUGUGUGUAGGAUUCUUGAUUUCUGCCACUUACUGGAGAACUAAUGGAAAGCUUUAUACUGGUAUAUCUGCAAUAACUAAUGGAAACUAUGAUAUUAAUAUUUUCUCUCGCUUGGAGAACUGCAUAACAGAUAUACUUUGUGGCUCUGGAAUACUAAAGAUUCUGCAAUAACUAAUGGAAACUAUGAUAUGAAUAUUUUCUCUCACCUAGAGAACUUUGUAACAGUUACACUUUGGGGCUUGGAAUGUCUAAAGAAUUUUGUCUGCUUCAGUUAGAUCAAAUAUCUUUUAGUUACAUACAUUAUAGAAAAGAUAAAGUUCUCUGAAUCUGAAAGACUUAAAAUUUUGCAUAUUUCUUGAAAGGGAAAUAUCUGUAGAUACUAGUUCAUGCAUUGUGGUAGCAUCAGUGUUAAAGAAAAACAGCAGUAAGUUAUUAUAUAGAAUUAGGUUCACUUGCUUUAAAUCCUGGUCUGGUCAACCAUAUGAACCUGUAAGUGGUUCUGUAGAAAUAUAUAUAUAUGGGGAGAAAGUAGCUAAAUUUUCCUUUCAUUUAUGGGUUUGGUCAUUUUUUCCCCUUAUUUAUGUUUUCUCACACAUUUUUUAUAUGCCCCAAACAUGCAAUUUUGUAUGUGUCAAUUGCCUUUUAAGUUUUAAAAACCAUAAAGUAAGAAUACAGUUUCUUGUCAGGCUAUUGAUGCAUUUGCUCGGGGGGAUCAUGCUCGAGCAGGAAAACUUCUAGGACAGGUAAGGUUUCCAUCUACAGCCAUUUAUUGACAACAUAUAUAUUUUCAUUCAGCAAGCACUGUUAGCAUUCAAGAUGCUGGCAGAUUCACUUGAUUCUUAUUAGUUUGUUUAGUAGCGAAGCAAAUAACCUGUAUUUCAAAGCUAAGUUGUGCUAUUGAUUAUGUUAACUUUAUUGUUCACAUAAAGUGAUAUAGAGGAAAUAAUCAAUGUAGGAAAAUUAGGUGAAGAGAUGAUGUCAAAUCUUGAACCUCUUACAAAACUCUAAGUUCUUUACUUGAAGAAGCUACCAAAUUCGAACAGCAUCUACUGGAAGGCCUUGCCAUUCCCUGAUGUAUGCAGAAUUUUUGUAUUUAAAUGCCCAGAGCUUAAGAAGCUGCCCCUGGAUCUUGAAAGGGCAGGCCAAGGUAAAAUUCUUAUCAAGGGAAAGAAAGAUUGGUGGAAACAACUUCAAUGGUAGGAUCAAGUAACUCAGAAUGCAUUGCUUCCAUUUUUAAAAUCAACUGACAAGUGAUUGAAGGGGGCAUCAUCAACAUGGAUGGAGAGAUUCAGGAGCAGAUCAGCAGGGUUUAGUACGACCUGUGGUGGUAGCUUUUUUGUGACUUUUUUCCCUUUCAUUUUUUCACUUCCUGUCAUAUUAUCAUUUCUUUGUCUCUGUUUCUAUUGCUGGUGUUGCUGCAUGCUUGCUGCCCUUGACAAAGUUAGCUAGUUUUUUUGUUUAUUAAAUUUUGUAUGUUCGGGACAGUCACAAAGUAGUACUUGUUCUAUAUGGGGGUGAUGUGAAUCAACUUUUCAAUUAUAUAUUCUGUGGUAAUUGUGAAUUCAAUUUCAUUUGUCUCCUGCAAAUUAUGAAGAAAGUACAGAGUUAGAAUAUGGAAAAGUUCACUGGCAAAUACUUUGUAAAAGCUUCGGAGUGAAACAGGGAAUGCACUUGCAACUAAGGACAAAUUGGUGGCCAGCUAAUGCAUUCAUUUUAUGUACAUUCAUCUUUUUAAUUAUUGAAGAUAAGUGGUUCGUUGCUUUUGUUGUAGAUAAAAUUCAGGCGACCUCAAUUGUGAGAUGAAAAUAUUUAAAAUAUCUCUUAAAUUAUUAUAAACUUUAAUUUAUCUUAAUUUUAUUUAAAAGAUAAAAGAAAAAUGUAGUAUAUGGAUAAAAAAAUUUUUAUCUUCUUAAUAAAAUGAAAUAAAUUAAAAUUUACAAUAAUUUAAAGUAUUUUUAAAAUUAUUAUUUCAUAAGAGAUUAAUAUGAAAUUAAUCCUUUUUACUUUUUGAAUGUGAAAGGACAAGAAAAGAGAAAGCAAGUUUCACUGCUUUUUAUUUUAUUUGAAAUCGGAGUUAUCCCAUAUACUUUACUACUUUAGCUCUAACAUUACAAUGUUUUUAGGCUACACUUUUAUUUUUCUUUUUUCCCCUUUUUUUAUACAUGCAUGUGGAUUACUUUUCUCUAAGCUCCUUAAUAUUUAAGACAAAUCAUAAAAGCGAUUGAAGUAUAACAAGAUGAUCAAAACAUUUAACCAAAAAUAAAUAAAUAAAUAAAACAUUGAAAAUGGAGAUGUUGAUUAAUGUAGAAGAGAUGCAAGCAAAAGAUAUUCCCAAAAAAAUGAAAAAAAGAAAAAAGCAACGUUAGUUCAUCCAUGUCUGUCAAUGCGUUUUUUAUGGUUUUUUUUCCAGUUGUUUGUUGUAAUAGAUUGAUUGCAAAUUGAUAUGAACUUGAUGUUGUAAUAUGUUCGCUUUUGUGGAAUUAAAUUUGAAUAUUCAAGAUUAUUCAAGUCUUAUUUAGUAUGUGUUUAGUUGUGUUGUCGAUAACUUUGCAUUCGAAUAAGUUUUCACCUAAAAUAUUAGCAUGAGUAGUAGUCCUUGAAACUUUGGUCAAAAUUAUUGUUAUUGUUUCUUUUAGAGGAAAUUUUUUUAUUAAAGCCUCGUUAACACUAUUUCUUAUUAAGAUUAUAAGUUAGUGUCGGUGUAGGAUUUGCAGCGACAAAUCCUGUCUAGCCACGUGUCAAAAGUACAAAUAAAUCAAGGGAAAAGCACAUGUCGCGGAUUAGGAUCCAAUAAAAUUUAAAUCCCAAGGAAAAGGACAAUUGUAUCCUAAAGUUUCAAUAAGAGAUACUGAUAUAUCUUUUGACUAAUGUUAUUUUUUGGCUUCAUUAAUAAAAAGAUCCAAUAGUUUAUAACAAAUAAAAAUAUAGUAUUAAGCUAAAUGUGAUAAUAUAUACAUUUUACAUAAUUUCAAUAAAAAACAUUUUAAUGUUUUACAAUCUAUCAGACAUAUUUUAUUAAAUUAAUAAGAAUUUUCUUAUAAAUAGCAACAUAAUAUUAAAAUAAAUUUAUAAAGAUUAAAAUGUAAAAUAAUUUUAGUAUAAUUAAUACGUGGGAUAUAUUUUGUAAAUUAUAAAAUUACUUAACCCAAUGAUUUUUAAAAUAAAUAAAAAUAAAUUAUUCACAUUUUGAUGUAAAUAUUUAAAACAUUUUUAUACAUUAGUCCACAAUUAUUUAUGUUAUAUUUGUAUUUAUUAGAAAUUUUGAAAGUCAAAAUGUUUUUCACCUCUAUCUUAUUAGAAUUAUUGCACACAGAGAAAGAGCCAUAUAUGCUUUAUAGCUUUAAAAUCGGUUUGUUUUAUAGCUGGGAACAGAGAUGAUCAUUAUUAUAAGGAUUAAAAAAAGAUAAAGAAUAUUAAUGAUUAACGAAAUCUUUAUGGAAAUUGAAUUUAGUAAGAAAAAAUUGAGCUGAUUUUAGUGGUAUAGUAAUAUUUUAUAUAGAGAAAAGUAAAAGUUGCACCCCCAAAUGUUCAAAACUCUUUUUUAAUCAUAAUAUUCUUUUUCCUAGAUAACUUAAAAAUUUGACUCUAAUAUUUUAUAAUAAAUAAAAACAUAUAAUCCUAAAAUAAAUAAAAUAAUAUAUAUUUUAAAAUAAUCUCAAUAUUUAAAAUAUAUUUUAACAUUUUAUAGUCUAUCAGAUAUAUUUUAUUUUUUUAAAGUAAAUUUUAUAAUAAAUACAAACAUACUAUUAAAAUAGAUAUAUAAAAUUUUUAAAGUAUUUUGAAUAUUAUAUAAAAUAACUUUAAUAUUGUUAAUGCGUGAGAUGAAUUUUAUUAACUAUUAGAUAGACUAAACUAUUUAUAUUAUUUUCUAUUUAUUAUAAAAUUUCAAAGUUAAUCUUUUUAACUACUAUUCAAAAGAUGUUAUGAUAAAAACAGAAUUUUUGUGUUUUUAUUGAAAAUUUGGAGUUUACAUCUAUUUUUUCAAAAAUUCGGGGUGUAACUGUUUUUUCCCUUUUAUAUAUACGAACGGUGGUGAGAAAGCUUGAUUUAACGUUAUUUAUUUAAAUAAAAUCUCAGUUAAAAAUGUACAGAGAAGAAAUUUCUGUUGGUAUUUUAGUCUUUUACCAAUUAAUUGUUUCACUUUUAGCGCUAGUGGCGUUGAAAGUUGUCAAGAAAAAGCAAGACCAUAUUCCACAAAAGCAAAAGUAACGUAGGCUCUUUUAUUAAAGGCAAAGUAUAAAGUAGUCAAGAAUCGAAUAUCCUGUCGUCUACUCUUUUUUUAAAUUCUUCUUUUAUUAUCUUUUAGAAUAGUUUUUGGUAAUUACAAUCAUUAUUCAGAGUUAUUGUUAUCUUCCGGGGCAGUCUCUGUUCAUCGAAGUCGUUACCUUUUUUUUAUGGAUCAGUUCCAGUGGUCAGCAGUAAUUUUCUUAGAACUCGGAUCUUUAAUUCGAGUUUCUGUGUGAAUUAAUAAUAAAAAAUUUUCAUUACACGCAAUUUAAGCUACGAAUUACUUUUUGCAAAGUUGAAUAUGAAAUUGGAGAAAUUAAGUAAUUUAGAAUGUUGGUAAAAAUUGACGAACAUAUCUCCAAUUACAGUAAAACCUCUCUACAGUCAUAACAUUAUAACAAAAUUAAUUUUAUUACUAUGUUGAGGUAAUAUAGGUUUAGUUACAAAAUUAUUGUUUUAAUAUGGUUGGUGUCAAGUGAUAUAAAGGUUAAAUAUGCAGUACAAUGAUAAUUAAAUAAUGAAGCGUGUCAAUUCUAAUGUAUAUAUAUUAAUGAUAUAGAUAGACAUAGUUUUAAAAAACUAAUUAAUGUAUAUUUAUGUAGUGUUAUGAAUAUGGAAAGUCAAGCCUACACUUGACAUUAUCCUUAGUUUUUUCUCUCAGUUAAAUUCUACAAAUAUUGUACAAUGAUUGGGCAAGAACUCUAAAUUAAGAAUAAAUUAUUGUCACAAAUAAUUUUAGAAAAUAUUUUAUUUCGUCUUAAACCUUUAAUGUAAGUAAACAUAUAUAUAUAUAUAUAUGUGUGUGUGUGUGUGUGUGUGUGUGUGUGUUUGUGUGUGUGUGUGUGCAUAUUUUGCAACGUAUAGAUAAUUGUUAGUAUAUGGAGACAAGUCUUUUAAGGUAGGACCUAGAAAAAUUUAUAACUUACUACACUGGGGAGUUUUUAUUCCUUUUUAUAAUUGGCUCAUAUUGAUACAUUCUUACACAAAAAUAUUACCAUUGACAUAUUUUACUACAAUUAGUUUAGAUUCUUUAGAACAUUUGUUAGGAAAAAAAAAAAAAAGAAAAGAAAACAUCCCUUGGAUGUAGCUCUCCUGACUAUUUAAAUCUUUUAAGGAAAAAAAGAAAAAAAGAAAAACUGACACAUUCAAAUCUUGAAGCAAUUACAUUAAAACCUCUCCAUAAUGAUAGGAAUAAUCUCCAUUUAGUAAUAAAAAAUUUUGUUCGCAAUUUAGGCAGAGUUAUAAAUAAGAAUAAAAUCCUCAUUGUAAUAAGUUAUAUUUAUUAUGGAUCCCAUCCUAAGGAACUUGUCUCUAUAUAGUAAUAAUUAUUUGCAUAUUAUAAAUAUAUAUGUUGCAUUAGAUUAAACGAACUUGUCUCCACAUACUACUAAGACAACAAGAGAAAGUUAUUAAAGAGAACACAAAUAUUUAGAGAUUUUUAAGAUUACUUUGCAUAUUUAUAACAAUAAUACAUUGAUAUAUGUAUUAGUUUUUUGAUAUAUUAGAUUUGACAUGCUCUAUUAAUAAAUUAUUAAUAUGAUGCAUACUUCAUCUCCAUAUCCUUGCAGUAAAAGUAACUAAGUUGUAACAAUAAUUAUUAAUACGAUGCGUACUUCAUCUCUAUAUCCUUGCAAUAAAAGUAACUAAGUGAUAACAAUAAUUUUUGUAACUACAUGUUUAUUAGGUUUUAACUGCUUCAUAAUAAUAAAUUAGUUUCGUCCUAAUAUUAUAAUUAUGUAGAGUUGUAGUGUAUAGACACACCCAAUUUAAAUAGUAUCUCAAAUAAAAUUGUCCCCACAAAAAAGAAAAAAGGGUAAAGGAUUGUUAUUUCUUCAAACAUCAGGAGCACGUUUGUACAAGUGCGAUGCCUUUCUUUUUUUUUUUGAAGGCAACGUCAGUGGGUACUAAAUAGGACGUGCGUAAAUCUUUCUAAAAUUUCUCCGGUAUAACUCACAGAGAUCAUUACUUUUCUCUUCCACAGACCACAGCAGCUUCAGUUAAUCCGACUCAAUCAAUUUUCUUGGUUUCUUCGCUUAUCAAAAUUCCAAAAUAUGGGUAGCAUAUUUCAAAUCACAUGCGAUGGUGCUUUUUUCAAUCGUUGUUUGGAUUGCUUUCUUGGAAAAGUAGCAAACACAAGUAAGCUCCAAGAUAACCUUGUUGCCUUGGAGACUGAAUUGGGAAAACUAAUCGCAGCAAAGAACGAUGUGAUGAUGAGGGUUGUCAAUGCUGAACGGCAACAACUGAGAACGCUGGACCAAGUGCAAGUGUGGCUUUCGAGGGUGGAAGCUGUUAAAACUGAAGCUGAUGAAUUGAUAAGACACGGCUCUCAAGAAAUUGACAAAUUAUGUGUUGGAGGCUACUGUUCCAAGCACUGCGCGUCAAGCUACAAGUUCGGGAAACAAGUGGCUAAAAAGCUACGGGAUGUGCAGACUUUAAUCGGCGAAGGAGUUUUUGCGGCGGUGGCUACUGAGGUGGUGCCUGAGAGAGCUCCAGAACCUGUAGCAGAUGAAAGACCCACUGAGCCAACAAUAGUAGGCUUGCAAUCACAACUUGAACAAGUUUGGAGAUGUCUUGUAGAAGAAUCAGUGGGAAUCAUUGGCCUAUAUGGUAUGGGCGGUGUUGGUAAAACUACACUAUUGACCCAUAUCAACAAUAAAUUUCUUGAGAGUCCAACCAGUUUUGAUUGUGUGAUUUGGGCCGUAGUUUCAAAGGACUUGCAACUCGAAAAAAUUCAAGAAGAUAUUGGGAAAAAGAUCGGUUUGGUUGAUGAUUCAUGGAAGAGUAAAAGUGUAGAGGAGAAAGCUCUCGACAUCUUCCGGAGUUUAAGAGAGAAGAGAAUUGUAUUGUUGUUAGAUGAUAUAUGGGAGCGGGUUGAUUUAACAAAAGUGGGCAUUCCACUUUCCGGACCAAAGAAUACUACCUCAAAAGUCGUAUUCACAACCCGUUUCGUCGAUGUUUGUGGUAGCAUGGAAGCUGACAAGAAGUUCCAAGUGGCAUGCUUAUCAGAAGAGCAUGCUUGGGAACUGUUUCGAAAAAAAGUUGGGGAAGAAACUCUUGAGAGUGAUCAUGAUAUCGUUGAGCUAGCCCAAACUGUGGCCAAAGAGUGUGGUGGUUUGCCACUCGCACUUAUUACUAUUGGUCGAGCUAUGGCCUGCAAAAGGACAGCCGAGGAGUGGAGACACGCAGUUGAAGUGCUAAGAAGAUCAGCUUCUGAGUUUGCAGGUUUGGGAAAAGAGGUGUAUCCUCUUUUAAAGUUUAGCUAUGAUAGUUUGCAGAAUGAGACGAUUAAAUCUUGUUUCUUAUAUUGUUGUUUAUAUCCCGAGGAUUAUGGCAUUCUUAAAUGGGACUUGAUUGAUUGUUGGAUUGGUGAGGGAUUCUUAGAGGAAUCUGACAGGUUUGGUGCAGAAAACCAAGGAUACUACAUUGUGGGCACUCUUGUUCAUGCGUGUUUACUAGAAGAGAUAGAAGAUGAUAAAGUAAAAAUGCAUGACGUUGUUCGUGAUAUGGCUUUAUGGAUAGCUUGUGAAAUUGAGAAGGAGAAGAGAAACUUUUUGGUUUGUGCAGGUGCUGGAGUAGGAGCGGUACCAGAUGUUGAAGGAUGGGAAAAUGUGAGAAGAUUGUCAUUGAUGCAAAACCAAAUUGAAAUUCUGUCAGAGGUUCCCACAUGCCCUCAUCUCCUCACUUUAUUUCUUGACUUUAAUUAUAAAUUGGAGAUGAUCACCGAUGGCUUCUUCCAAUGUAUGCCUUCUCUCAAAGUUUUGAAGAUGUCAAACUGUGGGCAUGUCAAAGUUUUGAAAUUACCUUUUGGGAUGUCAAAGUUGGGUUCACUACAACUUCUUGAUAUUUCACAUACCGGCAUAAGAGAGUUACCAGAAGAGUUAAAGUUGUUGGUAAAUCUGAAAUGUUUGAAUUUGAGGUGGACACAUAUGUUAAAUAAAAUUCCACGGCAGCUAAUAUCAAAUUCUUCAUGGUUACGUGUGUUGAGAAUGUUCGCUAUUGGCUUUGAAAAUUCCAAAGAACCAUCAGAAGACAGUGUUUUAAUUGGUGGGGGUGAAGUUUUAGUACAGGAAUUGCUCGGUUUGAAAUAUUUAGAGGUAUUGGAGUUGACCUUGCGAAGUUAUCAUGCUCUCCAUUCUUUUUUGAGCUCAAAUAAGUUAAAAAGUUGUAUUCGAUCUCUUUUCCUCAAUAAGCUGGGAGAUACAAAGUCGAUUGAUGCUACGGUUUUGGCAGAUCUAAAGCAUCUCAAUGAACUAUGCAUUCGUUCGGCUGUGGAGUUGGAAGAAUUGAAGGUUGAUUAUACAGAGAUAGCGCCAAAAUGGUCGGAACAUUUUGUUUUCCGCAGCCUUCACAGUGUUACUAUGGAGCGGUGCCAUAAAUUAAAAGAUUUGACAUUCCUCGUUUUUGCUCCAAGCCUCAAGUCUCUUUCGCUAUACGGUUGUAAUGCUGUGGAAGAAAUAAUCAGCGUUGGGAAAUUUGCUGAGGUUCCUGAGAUGAUGGGACAUAUAAGCCCUUUUCAGAAUCUCCAAAAGCUUGAUUUAUCACAUUUGCCAGCUUUGAAGAGCAUCUACUGGAAGCCAUUGCCUUUCGCUCAUCUGAAAGAAAUGGUGGUGCAUUGGUGUGAUCGGCUUAAAAAGCUUCCGCUCGAUUCCAACAGUGCAAAAGAGCGUAAAUUUGUUAUUCGUGGAAGAGCAGACUGGUGGAACCAUCUUCAAUGGGAGGAUGAAGCCACUCAAAUUGCUUUCCAUUCCUGCUUCCACUCUAAUGAAAUAUAAAUUCCUUAGCGGUGGUUGCAAAAUUUGAUUUGUGCUUUUUCUUAAACUCUUACAUUUAUUUCAGAUUCGUUUUUUGUCUCCUGCAAAUCACAAUUAAAUGCUCAAUUAUAUGGAGUCAAUGCUUUAGAAAAUUUUCAAGGCACUGCCAUUUCCUUUUUUUCAUUUUUUUUUUGGGUCGAAUUGAUGCUCUGGCUUUUUACUUUUUGUUGUCAAAUUUUGCUCUGUUUUUUCAAGUUGAUGCUUGAAUAGUUGAAUUCAAUUAAUGCUCACAUAAAUUUGUUUAGUUGCCGUGAAAGGAUAUAAUUAGACUGAAGUACACACUUCUAGAAUGAAUACAAAAUGUGAAGUAUACUAGCCCUCUUUACAGAAAAUCAAAUGAAAAUCAAUUUUUUGGGGCGUUGAUUUUCUAUGGUCUAUUAUAUACUCUUUUUAAUAUCUUCUGUUCUAACUAUAACCAAAUCCUUUGUUCAAGGAUUUUUAUUUGGGGUAUUGAUAACUGUCCACCAAAAGAGUGAACACUUGGAUGCUGCUCAAGGAUCUCUAAUCAAUAGCUGGAAGCAACUGAGAAGGCGGUCGCUACUGUUUACAAAGCGAAUCAGUAUUUGCCAUUCAUCUUAAUAAUUAUGAAGCUUUGGUAAAAUUUUCAAACAAAGUUGAACAUGUUGUUUUGAGAUUUGGUUCAUGAUUUUGGAUGAAUAUCGUUGUUCCGUUUGAGUUGGAUGUGAAUUCAAAAUCUAUAUAUUCUUUGGUUUUCAAUUCUGAACUCAAUUUCUUUUUCUCAAGCAUGUUAUGCAGAAAUGAAUUUUACUAAAUCAUUUUUGAUGAAUUGUUCAAAUUAAACAAUUGGAAUAAGAAUUGUAAAGGUUUAUCAUAAGCAUGCUAAUAUGAUAAGUUGUUUUAUGAACGAUUAAUUAAUUAAUCAAUUAAUAUUAAAGAAUAUAUUAGGCAAUUAGAUAUGCGUUACAUGUCAUGUUUAAAAACUAUUUAUUUAUAUUUCAAACAAAUUUGACUGGAUGUUGUGUAGGUAAUACUCAUAAUUAAUUUCAAAACAAAAAAAGUAAUAAAAACACGUUAAAUUUUGUUUUUAUGAAGAAAAAUUUAAAAUUUUGUUAAAUAGGUGAAAAUAAUAAAUGGAUUCGUGUAUGGUUUGAGAUUCUUGACAUAAUUAUGAAAUAAGCCGGAUUCGACUUAGUUCAAUUUUGACGCGAUAAGAAGACGACACCACACAAACACACGAUAAGAACCGGUACCUGAGAAGAUUGCCAUCAGGAAUUUUGAAAUUGAUUUCACUACAAUACCUUAAUCUUUCAGAUACUCCCAUCACUGAGCUGCCAGAGGAGCUAAAAGCCUUGGUAAGUCUUAAGUGUUUGAACUGUACACAAAUUAUCUCUCUACAAUUCAAAAACAACUGAUUUGUUACUUUUCAAUGCUACAUGUUCUGCGAAUAUUGAGUUGUGGUUAUCUUGUUGAAAGAUCAGAAAAUAGAGUUCUAUUUGGUGGUAGUGAAUUGUUGGUUGGGGAGUUGCUUAGUUUAAAACGUUUAAAUGUAUUAAGCAUCACCUUACAAGGUUUUUCUGCUGUCCAAAAACUUACGAGCUCUCAAAAGUUUCAAAGCUGUACAAAAUGUUUGGAGCUUAUAGACUGUGAUGAUUCAAAGUCUUUUGCCUUGGCAGAGUUGAAGCAUCUCGAAAAACUAGUUUUUCGAAUUGUGGAAGAGUUUAAGUUCUGCUGUGUUGAAGUUGGAAAAGCUCAAGAAUGUUUUCGUUUGAACAGCUUUCACCGAGUUAAUAUAAAGGCUUGUCAUAAAUUGAGGGACGUGACAUGGCUUGUAUUUGCUCCAAAUCAUACGGUUAUUCAAAUAGAAAAAUGUAUGCAGAUGGAAGUAAUAAUCAGCGCAAGGAAAUUGGGUGAAGUUCCAGAGAUGAUGGCAGAUCUAAACCCUUUUGCAAAACUCCAAUAUCUUCGCCUGCGAGUUCUACCAAAAUUAAAAAGCGUCUAUUGGAAUGAGUCACCCUUUCCGCAUGUCAGGGAAAUUAUUGUAUCUGAAUGCCCAAUUCUCAAGAAGCUUUCACUCGGUUUUAACAAUGCAAAGGAAUCUAAAAUUGUCAUUUAUUACAUGUUUAUAUCUAACUUUUGUUCUCCUUUAUGGUUAAAUUUUACUAUAUAUAUGUUGUUAUACGGUGACAUUCUCGCAUCAAUUAUUAGCUUUUUAAUUCUCUUCUCGUAUUAAUUGCCCUUCUGAUCAUGUAGGAUAUGCCGAUGUCAAAGAGUAGUAAAUUGGGAUACAAAUGUAAGAAUUAGCCAGAUGACAUGUUGUUUUGAAGCUUUCGAAGGACUAAUUAUGUCAUUCAAAGCAUCCAAUUUCGCUACUUUUUUUUUUUUUUCAUUUGUUGCUUUUUCUAUUUUUAGAUAGCUUGAUUGUCAGUUGUCGUAAUGUAAUGUUUUAGUAUAGAAAAAUGAUAUUCGGCCAAGACAUCGAUAGGAGGGCACAUUGUGCAUGCAUACUCGUGGAUGAUUUUGGCAUGCCGAAUCCAAUUAGUGUGAAUAACCCUUUAUAAACAUCAGGCUUCUCUCAUACCAGAUAGAGGUGGCAAAAAUACCCGCUCGGUCCGGAUCCAGACCAUACCCGGGCGUUGUGGGUCGGGUAUUACUUAAUCUGGGUAUAAAGUCGAGUCGGUCUUGGGCAUCACUUGAUAAACCCGGAACCCAGAUUUUAUUAAAAAAAUAUUAUAAAAUAUAUAUUAUUUUAAAUAUUUAUAUUUAUUUGACUCAUUUAUUAUACAUAUAUAAAGUUUUAAACACGUAAAGUUUAUAUUUUCAUGUCAAAUUUUAUUAAAAUAAAUUUAACACUUAUAAAAUUACCUAAAAAUAAAAAAUAUAUAUACAUAUAAUAUUAAAAAAUAUACAAUUCGGGUACCCAGAUUAAAAUCUAGCCUGGACUCGGACCCAGACCGAUUGCAUCCAAGCAGGAUCCAGUCAUUGCAAUAAUCGGACCUGGCCUGGGGUUUCGCCAUCUCCAAUACCAGAGCAAUGUAGAAUAUGUUUAUAAACUGUGAAUUACCCUUUAUAAGUAUUAGGCUUCUUUUAUACUCGAGCGAUGUGGAAUACCUUUAUAAGCAUUAAGCUUCUCCCAUACACUUUAUGUUAAAAAUAAUAAUAAUAAAAUAAAUCCAUUUUAAAAUAGGCUUUUUUUUUUCUUUUUCUAUAUAAACAAAAUGCAUUCUUCAAAUCAAUAGUGGGUGGAAGAAGUGAGUAGAGAAGAACUAGGCCCCUUUCAUUCCCCUAAAACCUCACCGAAACCUCUCUUGUGAACUUCUCAGAUUCUCUCUCAAUAUUUCUUAUGAUCUCGUUUUUGAUAGAAUCACUUCUUUUGCAUGCUGCAUUUUGUGAGUUGUUUUUGGGUAAUAUCUUAUCUGGAAUGCUGUUAUGAUCAAUAGAACAAGUAAUCAAUUUUUGGUUCGACGGAAGUCGAUUUAUUUAUUUACUAUUAUUUUUAUUUGAAAUUUUGUACAAUUGUGUUUCAUUCAUUUCUUUUCUUCUUUUUUUUUUUUAUAUUUAUUAUGUAGAAUUGUGUUUCAUUUGAUAUUGAUCAUACUGUAGAUAACUAUGUGAUUGUAGCUGGGGAUUUUAAGUUUUGUGAAUUCAAGAAACUGUCAAAAUGCUAGUGAAAUUGGGACCUUUAUUCAUAAGCUUGUGGUUUUGAAAAGUAGCCCGGUUCAACUGAUGAAGUUCCUUUUUGGGAUUCUUUUUUUUCUAGGCUGCAAUUCGGAUAUGUACGUGAUAGACAAUCUUUUGUGGGUUUAGCAUAUCUUCUUCGAUUUUGUCUUUUAUUCCCCAAUUUUACAGCUACACACCAUGAAUGCUGGGUGAUUGUACAGAAAAUUUGUGUUAGAACAAAAGCAUUGUGAAGGAGUUUCUGUGCUAUAAGUUAUUGGCUUCAGUUUUAUUGGCAUUAAUUGGGUAGAUUAUGUGUUACAGUGAUUCAAUUUGUGAUCCACACUUUAAUUUUCUCUUUUCCCCAAUUAUUUAUGUCAAAUUCAAAUCCAGAAGCAUGUGCUGAUUUUUUUUUUUUUGUGUUAAUCUGUGAAGUUUAUUUGGAAAGGAUGUAUCUGGGUCUAAUGGAUUAAAUUAUGACAUUGAGGAAAAGGCACUAAAGGUUUUGCUUGACACAUUUGGUCUGUGUUUACUCUGCAAUAAAUAGCUUCGCUUAUCGGAAAUCCCGAUUUGGCUGGUGAAUUUCUCAGUGACAGACAGGCAAACACCUAAACCGCUUCUAUCCAUUUUUCUGCUGGUGAGGUAAGGGGUAAAAAGUCUUCAAAAUCAUCAAAUAGUAACAUCUCUCAGAAUUCAUUUUAGAAAAAUGGAAAAUCUAGACCUGCUAGGACAAAAUGGCGUCCAGUAUCAGGAGGUACCGUUUCAAGUUUUCUUGGUAAAGAAUAUAAUAAACCUGCGCAACCAGCUAAUGGCACUUUUCUGGCAUCAAAGCCAUUGAAGUUGGAUCUAAAGGAGUUUUCCCAUGCCUGCACUGUGCAGAGAAGAAACUAAACCAAAACAAUCAAAGAAUGACCAUUUGCAGAAGGAUACGGAAGAUUUUCUAUUUAAAUUGUUAGUAGAAGGGUCCCAGCUGAACAGGGAUGUGAUUCAGGAGGUUCUCGGUAAUGUCUUAAAUAUACUGAUGCCAAUUUAAUACAUAUUGUCCUUUUCAAUGUUCUUUCUUUCUUUUUUUUUUCCCUUCUUCUUCUUUUUUCUUUUUGUGUGCAUGUGAUCACUGAUUUGGUAUUACGCUUAAGUUGCAGAUAGUUGUGGAUUUGAUAUGCAAAAGGUAAGGACUAUAUCUUCCUGAUGUAGGCCUCUGCUUUUUCCCCUUCUAUGUAAUUUAGUAAAUCACAUCUUCCUUUGUGAUUGUUAUACCAUAUCAAAGUCAAGUCUUAAAUACUGCUGUCAUAUGUUAAGGUUCAACUUGUAUUUUGAUUAACAUCCAUUUGCUGCUGCUUCCAAAAGUGAGAAUGAGAUACUUUGGUUAAUUUCAGUGGUUGAACCCAAUAGAGAACUUUAUUUAGAUCUUCAUGGUUCAAAGGCCUGAAAAAACUUCCUGUAAUUGUAAAAUGCCAUUCUGUGCUUUUUAUGCAAUAGGGAACAGGGAAGUAGAGCUUUGGAAAAGCCUGGAUUGAUAACUAUGGAGAGACUUAUUAUUUAAGUGAUGAAAAAUUCCCAUCACCCGCGGUCAAGAAAAUUUCAGAUAGUUAAAGACUCCAUUUUGCUUCAGCCAAAAAUGUUUGUUGCAAUGAAAGACUUGAACCAUUUUCAUUGAACCUGAUUGUGAUCCUUUACGUUAUGCAUGUUCCUCUCAAUCAAGAAAAGUUGAGGUCAUGAUUCUAUAUUUCUAUAUUGUAACUUGAAAUAAUAAUUGGUCUACUUGUUUCUGUAUCUUGAUAAGAUGAAUUUUCCUUCUCAAGUUAAUUUGAUCAAUAAAGUAAUUCUUCAAAGAAAAUAUGCCCAUUCUAUAAUCAUUUUCUUAGCUAAGAUGUUUUUUCUUCACUCUUCAGAGCAUGUCAAAACUAAUUGAUCGCUUGGCAGAUACUUUGGGUGAGAAGACAAAAUUUCUUGGUAAAUCCUCGGAAAAGGUAUGCAUAAUUCCCGAGUAUUAAAUAACCAAUAGUCAUAAUUUUUGUACAUGACUCUUUUUUCUCUUUUUUGUGGAGAUCAUUAAAAUUGGUUGAUGAUCCAUUUUGUAAUAUCAUAGAGGGAUCAUCAAUUCCUUCUCUUUUCUGUGGCUAGGCAACACUUUCUGGCCAAAGUAAGAAAAUCUAUUUAGGUAAUGUGAAAACCAACGGUAGGAUGUAAUAGUUUAUUAUGCACUGACAAUAACUUUUUGUAUGAUUGGCAGUUUAAUGAAUACAAGAGGAACUUUGUUGACAAAUUCAUCCAAGAUAGAUGCUAAAAUUAUUUAUGCAUGCCAGUUGCCUUAACUAAUUUUUCUUAACACUUGUAUUGAACAGGAAAAUGAAUAAACAAUCUGUAUAUUGUGCCAUUGUGGAGUAUUUGGAUAUUCUGAUUUAAGUAACAAGGAGAAUACUUGUCUCAUCUUUAAACAAUGAAUCUUUGAGAAAUGAGGAGUGGGGGAUUGGAAGUGUCUUCAUGUAAAUGUUCAUUUAUUUGUAUUUUGAACUAUUAUGAGAAUCUUAUAUGCCAAAUCAGUAAUACAAAUGUUCAGAUGAUUUUUGCUGUUGAUCAUGCAUUUGUGUCUGCACACAACCAUUGUAUAUCACUUUAUUCUGAUGUGCAGGUAUGUGUAGCUUAGAAGAAACGGAAUAAUAAUCAUCUAUUAUUGCUUGGUUCAUGAUUAUUAAACGAUUAUGGCUUUAAAAAGUCUACAAAUUCCUUCUGUUCAUAUGUGAAUGUGUGAUGGGUGUCGAAGCCAACAAAAAUAAAUUCCUACUCUAAAUAAAUUGUGUAUAGUGAUUGAGCAGGGUCGUGUCCACAGAGAUCGGUAAUUAUUUAAAUCCUUUUGAAACGUAAAACGUAAAAUGGGGGAAUUGUUGACAAUAAUAAAAAUCAAAUUAAAAUAACAAGAAUGCAAAUUAAAGUUGUAAUUCAAAUUGGAGAAAGCUCUGGUUGAAGGAAUUAACUCAGCUUGAUUCGACUACUGAUCAUUGAUUCAAAUAUAGAUUAUUAUUACUCAUGAAUAGACCGGUUAUAGCUACUGAGACCCUCGAAUAGCCAAUCUCUCCUUAACUAGUCGAUAACCAAGGUACGACCGUUGGUUAUUUCCCUAAUCAAUAGACAACCCUAGAUACGAUCAUAGGAUUUAAUCAAUUGACAGCCUGAAAAAUCAGAGAGACCCAAAUCCUAAUCAACACAUAUGAUGAUUCAUUUAAAUUAGAUUGUUUAUUCUCACAACACAACUCUCUGCUAUGUUAUUUGUCACAAACAUUAAAUUCUUCAUACGAUGAAUCCUUUAAUUGACAAUAGAUUAAGUUGAUAAUUAAAUAGUGGCCAAUUACCUAAUUAACAAACAUAAUCAUGAAACUAAUUCAGAGAAUAAACAAAUACCCAAAAAGUAAUAAAACAAUUAAAGCAUAAGAAAGAUCUCACAGUAGUGAUGAAUCAAAGCUUCAUUAUCCUUCAACCAGAAAAAUAAGUUUAGUUCUUCAUAGAGAGAAGAGAAAAAUUAGAUCUAGGGUUUCUUUCUUUGUCUCCAAUCCAAAAAUCCCCCUUUUUCACAAUAGAUUCCUCCCUUAAAUACUCUCUCUCUCUUCUCUUUUAGAAUUCUAUUUAAAAUAAAAUACUAAUAUCUUAAAUAUUAAAUUCGUAAUUACAAAAAUAGCCAAAAAUACAAAACACGUUAAACUAAAAACUGCAGGUCCGCAGUUGACAGCACGCGCCCACGCCUUAUCAACAAAGUUCUUCUGACGCUCAUAAUUUCUCCAAGAGAACAAUCCUCCUUAAACAUCAUCUUUUAGCUCAAUUUUAUCACCAAUCAAUAGAAUUGCACCUACAAAAGUAAAACACAAGUAAAAUAUUAUUAUUAAGUGCAAAACAUCGAUAUUAAGGGAAGUAAAUAAUGCAAAACUAGUGCAUAAAUUGCACUCUAACAAAUUCCCCCACACCAAGACGAUGCUUGUCCUCAAGCAUAUAACUCAAGAUUAAUCCCAAAUCUCCACUCAAUUCUCAUCUCAACUCAUCCAAAAAUAAUUUUAAGCAAGCAUACCUCAAGAAAUUAAGUCGAUCAACAUUCGAGAGACAAGGAUUUUAAAGCAUAGAAUUUCAUAAGAUAGAAUAAGAACAUUCAACCACCAAGAAGAUCCAUUCAAAAUUCAAGUGCAACAAGAUUUAAUAGCCCUCUCAAUAACUUCACUCCAUGCACUCAAAGUGUUUAGGGUGUCAUUUAUUCACUCAAAUCAAAUCAAAGAAUGCUAUUACCAUAAGCUUGCUCAUAUAUCACAUCUCAAUCCACAAAACAUGAAUAAAAUGCAAAAAUCUAAGGGUCUUAAAAGGGUUGUAAUGGGGUUAAAUGGGUUAAAUGAAAAAGAAAGGUUUACGAAAGAAAACAAAAAUCAAAAUGAGAAGAAUGAACUCAUUGAAUGAACUUAUGAUAUCAAAAUGCUUAUUUCUACUCAAGUCACCAAGAAUGUAAACAUUUUUUUUUUCAAUUUUUUUUUUCGAUUUUUUUUUUCUUUUUUUUUUCUCUUUUUCCUUUUCUUUUCUUUUUUUUUUUUUUUUGAAUCAAACAAAAGAAAUGAACCUUGCACAAUUUAAUUCAAGCAUAAUGCUUGUUGAUCUAAUUGAGAAACUUUAAUACAAGGUAGAAAAAGCAACAAAAUAUAUCCACACAAUGAGUCCAAAAAUCUCCUUAAAUUGAGGCUCAAAAAGAAGAAAAAUGGUUAAGUAGACGGAGAGAAUUAGAUGGGUAAUGGUUAAGGCUCAAACAAAGGUAGCAAAUAAAGGUCUUCGGGUAGAGAAAAAGGAAAAAGCGAGAAUAGAAAAAUGGUAAAUUGUUUGCCCUUAUUAUUUUAAUGCCUAAAAUCCCGUAAUGUGGCUUCAACAUGCAUAACAAAGCAAGUUCUAGAAUAAACAAACUAGGAUUGAUAUUCACAUAACAAAAAUAAUUAGAGCAAAGUGGUUGCUCAUAGGCUCAAAUCCUCACAAAGUUGGUAAAUUUGCCAUCAAAUCAUGUACACUCUUCAAAUGAAUCAACCAUCAAUAGUGGUGUAGAAUGGGAAGAAGGUAUGAGUGAAGGAAAGGUAAAAAUGAUAAGAAGUGAGAAAGAUGUAUGUAGUAAUAUGAAAAGUGAAAGAUAAAAUGUGAGUGAUGAAAGAGUAUGAUAGAAUAAAAAUAGAUGUAAAUAAUUUGAGAUAGAUGGGAAAAAAGUAGUGAGAAAGAAAAGAAAAGAAAAAUAAUAAUAUAUGAAGCAUACUAACUCCAAAAUCAUUUAAGGAUGAGUAGAGUGAAAACAAUAAUUCCAGACAUCAAUAAUGCAAAAAUCCCUCCCCCACACCAAGAACUUACAUUGUCCCCAAUGUAAGAUAAUUAAAGCUCACAUAAAAAUUAAAGCGCAAGGAUAAAAGAUUAAAGGCAAAAAAAACUUCCCUGAAUUGUGAGCUUUGAUCCACAUAACGUCUAUGGUUGCGUUGCGAUUGCUGCUCGGCUGGAGCUUGCUUGAUGGGCGCGGGAUGGAGCUGAUUGUGUUACGCGCGCGCGCUGGGGCUGCUGGAUCUGCGCGCUGCGUGGGCUGUGUUGCGCGCGAGAGCAGGGCUGACGCUGGUUUUGCGCGCUGCUGGGCGAAGGCUGGAUCUACGCGCGCGGUUUGCUGCUUGCUAGACGCGGGAUGCUGGUGCUGCUGGUUGCGUUGCAGGUGGGACUGAUGCGGUUGCUGCUGGUUCUGCGCGCUGGAGCUGAGGGUUGCUGCGGGAAAACGAUAAUCAACAGUGAAUUUUUUUGAAUUAGGGAUUUGUGAACAGUGAUUUGUGAUUUUUGUGUUUUUUUUUGUGUUUUUUUUUUAAAUAAAUAAAGAAAAUAUAUAUAUAUAUAUAUAUAAGAAAGAAAAGAAGGAAAAAAAACUUUUUUUUUUCGUUUUUUUUAUAAAUAAAUAAAAAAUAUAUAUAUAAGAAAAGAAAAUAAGGAAAAAAAAACUCUUUUUUUUUUUUUUUGAAUCACUUUGAGACACUAAAAAUUUCAGAAGUACUUUUCUAAUAAGCACGUAGGCACGCCUUAAAACUAUUUUACUUUAAAAAUUACAGAAGUACUUAUUAGUUAAGACGUGGGCACGCCUUAUCAAAAAUUUUCUUCUGACCAAAAUAAGCAAACACAUUAUUUAAAAAAAAAAAUAUGAAUCAAAAUUAAAAGAAGAUAUAACAAAAACCAAAAUAAAUAAAUCAUUUGGGUUGCCUCCCAAAAAGCGCCUUUGUUUUAUGUCUUUGGCUAGACACAUUUAUGCAUCAAUCUCCAUAAUUAGGACUCUCGAGAGCCACAUCCUCCACAAUAUUCACCGAAAAACCUUCAUAAAAAGGUUUUAAGCGAUGACCAUUAACCUUAAAAACUUUGUCAGAGGUCGGACUCCGAAUUUCAACUGCACCAUGAGGAAAAACAUUAGUAACAAUAAAAGGUCCAACCCAGCAAGAACGUAAUUUACCCGGAAAAAGUUUAAGCUUAGAAUGAAAAAGAAGAACUUUUUGACCAACAGAGAACUCCUUUCUCAAAAUCAUUCUAUCAUGAAAUGUCUUCGUCUUUUCCUUGUAAAAAAUUUCCUGCGCUAUAGGGUUAAUAACAUCCACAGAAAAUACCGAAUGUUCCUCACUAGGAUAUUUCAUGGCAUCAUUCAUAUUGAAUUCUAUAACCUCUCCAUCAAACUCCAUAGUGAGAGUCCCUUUAUGUACAUCCAUUUUAGUCCUAGCAGUCUUAAGAAAAGGUCUUCCUAGCAAAAUUGGGACAGAAUUAGAGGAGUUAUCCUCUUCCAUAUCAAGUACAUAAAAAUCAGCAGGAAAAACCAACUCAUUAACUUGUACUAAGACAUCUUCUAAUACCCCAUCAGGAUAUGCAUUAGACCUAUCAGCUAGUUGAAUUAUCACGCCAGUUUCUUUUAAUGGACCAACAUUCAAAGAUGAAUAAAUGGAACGAGGCAUGACAUUAAUAGAAGCUCCUAGAUCUAACAUAGCCUUUUCAACUCUAACACUACCAAUUUUACAAGGGAUAGUAAACAUACCUGGAUCCUUGCACUUACGAGGUAGUUUCUUUUGGAGAACUGCUGAAACAUUCUCCCCCAUGUGAACUUUUUCAUCUCCUCUUAAUUUUCUCUUGGAGGUGCACAGUUCCUUAAGGACUUUAGCAUAUCGAGGUAUUUGUUUUAUAGCAUCUAAUAAAGGAAUAUUUACCUCAACCUUGCGAAAUGUCUCAAGGAUGUCUUUCUCUUGUUCCUCCUUCUUGGAUUUUGCAAAUCGGCUUGGAAAAGGAGGAGGUAUCACAAUAGGUAGGGGUUUAGCUCUGGUGGGUUCCGCAUCAUGAGAUUGAGGCAUCAAUUCAUUCUUCUCAAGUUCAUCUUCUACAUGCUUUGUCACUUUCUUACUAGGCUCUUGCAACUCCGUCCCACUUCUAAGAAUGACAGCACUAACGUUUUCCUUUGGAUUCACCUCAGAUUGUGAAGGCAAUCUCCCCAAUACUUGAGACUCCAGACGGCUCACUGUAGUCGCCAAUUGACUCAUUUGGUUCUCCAAGUUCUGAAUGCUUGCUGUAGUUGCCUGCUGAAAUUGUUGAGUGUUAGUCGCAAGUGAUUUAACAAUUUCUUCAAGAGAUAUACCUGACUUGGAGUUUGACUGUGGAAGUGCUGGUUGUCUUGGUGGAUACUGUUGUGGGAAUCCUGAUUGCCUAACUCCAUAGCUGAAGUUGGGAUGAUCCUUCCAUCCCGGAUUGUAUGUUUGUGCAUAAGGAUCAUACCUCCUCUGAGGCAUGCCUGGAAAUCCUCCAAUUGCAUUGGCUUGUUCAACGGGUUCUUCUUGAAGUGUAGGACACAUAUCAGUUGAAUGACCCAUAUUGUAACAAAUGCCACAAGUCUUCACCUGUUGCACAUUACCUACAACAAACUUUUCCACAAGAGAAGUAAGUUUAUCUAAACGUUGUUCAACAGAAGAAAUAUUUACCUCAUUCACCGUUCUUGAAGUGGCAUCUUGUCUGCUGCCAAAUUGUUGUGCAUUGGCAGCCAUAUUUGAGAUCAACUCCCUUGCUUGAGUAGGGGUCUUGUUCACCAACACACCUCCACUAGCAGCAUCUAUCAUACUCCUAUCCAUCAAUGAUAGUCCUUCGUAAAAAUAUUGAAUAAGAAGUUGAUCAGAGAUCUGAUGCUGAGGACAACUGGCACACAAUUGUUUGAAUCGCUCCCAAUACUCAUACAAAGUCUCCCCAGGAAGUUGUCUGAUCCCACAAAUAUAUUUUCUGAUGUUGGCAGCUCUUGAAGCAGGAAAGUACUUCUCAAGGAACUGCUUCUUCAAACCAUUCCACGUUGUAAUCGAUCCAGGAGGCAAGUAGUACAACCAAUCUUUAGCUAGCCCAUCUACAGAGAACGGAAAAGCACGCAGCUUAAUCUGCUCUUCAGUCACGCCUUGUGGUCUCAUACUUGAACACACAACAUGAAACUCCUUAAGAUGUUUAUGAGGAUCUUCACCUGCAAAACCAUGAAACUUGGGUAAUAAAUGAAUAAGACCAGACUUUAAUUCAAAAUUUACCUCCAAAUCUACAUAUUGAAUGCAGAGUGGUUGCUGAUUCAAGUCUGGUUCAGCUAACUCUCUAAGAGUUCUUUCUACAGGUGCAGGUCUAUUCAUCACUUGUUCUUCCGAAUCACUAGAUGAUUCAACUAAAUCAGGCACUGUAUCUGUUUCAGAAAGCAAAGGCGACGAGGAUCGUUGCUUAGCUCGCUUCGUCUGCUGUCUCAGCUGGCGAGCUGUCUUCUCAAUUUCGGGAUCAAACGAAAGUGUACCUGUACGAGAAGAACGAACCAUACACAAAGUAAAACGUAAAAAGGAUUAAAUAAAUGACACCAAUCCCCGGCAACGGCGCCAAAAUUUGAUGGGUGUCGAAGCCAACAAAAAUAAAUUCCUACUCUAAAUAAAUUGUGUAUAGUGAUUGAGCAGGGUCGUGUCCACAGAGAUCGGUAAUUAUUUAAAUCCUUUUGAAACGUAAAACGUAAAAUGGGGGAAUUGUUGACAAUAAUAAAAAUCAAAUUAAAAUAACAAGAAUGCAAAUUAAAGUUGUAAUUCAAAUUGGAGAAAGCUCUGGUUGAAGGAAUUAACUCAGCUUGAUUCGACUACUGAUCAUUGAUUCAAAUAUAGAUUAUUAUUACUCAUGAAUAGACCGGUUAUAGCUACUGAGACCCUCGAAUAGCCAAUCUCUCCUUAACUAGUCGAUAACCAAGGUACGACCGUUGGUUAUUUCCCUAAUCAAUAGACAACCCUAGAUACGAUCAUAGGAUUUAAUCAAUUGACAGCCUGAAAAAUCAGAGAGACCCAAAUCCUAAUCAACACAUAUGAUGAUUCAUUUAAAUUAGAUUGUUUAUUCUCACAACACAACUCUCUGCUAUGUUAUUUGUCACAAACAUUAAAUUCUUCAUACGAUGAAUCCUUUAAUUGACAAUAGAUUAAGUUGAUAAUUAAAUAGUGGCCAAUUACCUAAUUAACAAACAUAAUCAUGAAACUAAUUCAGAGAAUAAACAAAUACCCAAAAAGUAAUAAAACAAUUAAAGCAUAAGAAAGAUCUCACAGUAGUGAUGAAUCAAAGCUUCAUUAUCCUUCAACCAGAAAAAUAGGUUUAGUUCUUCAUAGAGAGAAGAGAAAAAUUAGAUCUAGGGUUUCUUUCUUUGUCUCCAAUCCAAAAAUCCCCCUUUUUCACAAUAGAUUCCUCCCUUAAAUACUCUCUCUCUCUUCUCUUUUAGAAUUCUAUUUAAAAUAAAAUACUAAUAUCUUAAAUAUUAAAUUCGUAAUUACAAAAAUAGCCAAAAAUACAAAACACGUUAAACUAAAAACUGCAGGUCCGCAGUUGACAGCACGCGCCCACGCCUUAUCAACAAAGUUCUUCUGACGCUCAUAAUUUCUCCAAGAGAACAAUCCUCCUUAAACAUCAUCUUUUAGCUCAAUUUUAUCACCAAUCAAUAGAAUUGCACCUACAAAAGUAAAACACAAGUAAAAUAUUAUUAUUAAGUGCAAAACAUCGAUAUUAAGGGAAGUAAAUAAUGCAAAACUAGUGCAUAAAUUGCACUCUAACAAUGUGCCAAGUUUGCUAUAUCUUAGAUUAUCUUCUUCCAAGAUAACAAGUUCAUAUUCUUUUUAAUCUUUUUCCAUCACAGUUGACUUUUAGGUGUUAAGAUUUGUUAUUAGUCCCCUGUUAUUAUGAUUUCAUAAACAGUGUACGGAUAUGUGCUCUAACUUUGGAGGACCUCCACGUGAAAGAAAAUUGCAACAAUUGAAUUCUUCCGGAGGGUAUGGUCUUUAAUUUAUUUUCUCAACUUCUCGUAAGAUUAAUAUAUUUCAUUCAGUAGGCACAGCAUGGGGGGAAGGGUUUUUAUUGAAAGAAUUCUGAUAUUUCUUAGACUUCGUUUUGGAAUGGGGUGGAGGGAUUUCUCAUCCAUGUAUGGUUACUUGAUUAGCUUUUGACUGUAUUUCCUCAGUCAUGUAAAGGAAGAUCCAAAUACCAACGAAGGAAAAUUGCCUAGACACCCGAAAGACAGAAAUGAGCUACAGAAGCAAGUUUUAGCUACUUUAUUUAGUGCUCCUGAGAAAUCUGAUGGAGACCGAAUGGAGGUCCAAAGCACUGGGAAAGGUAGUGAGUGAACCGCCGGAGGAGUUGGCACCGGAAUGCAAGGCUAAUGUGGUGCACUUGCAGCAAGAUAACCAAACCGGUAUGUGCUCUUAUAUUAACUAUACUGACAGGAUUUGUGAGUGUGUGCAUUUUUUUGUGUAUACUCUUGUAUUUAUGCAUAUUAAUGUGUGUAGGAAUUUCUGCCACUUACUGGAGAACUAGUGGAAAGCUUUAUACCGAUAUAUCUGCAAUAACUAAUUGGAAACUAUGAUAUUAAUAUUUUCUCUCACCUGAGGAACUGUGUAACAGAUAUACUUUGUGGCUCUGGAAUACUAGAGAUUCUGCAAUAACUAAUGGAAACUAUGAUAUGAAUAUUUUAUCUCAACUGGAGAACUUUGUAACUUGUAGCUCUGGAAUGUCUAAGGAAUUUUGUCUGCUUCAGUUAGAUCAAAUAUCUUUUAGUUGCAUACAUUAUAGAAAAAGAUAAAGUUCUCUGAAUCUGAAAGACUGAAACAUUUUGUAUAUUUUGUGAAAGGGAAAUAUCUGUAUAUACUAGUUCAUGCAUUGAGGUAACAUCAAUGUUAAAGAAAAACAGCAAUAAGUUAUUAUGUGGAACAAGGUUCACUUGCUUUAAAUGCUGGUCUGGUCAACCAUAUGAACCUGUAAGUUCUGCAGAAAUAUAUAUAUGGGGAGAAACUAGCUAAAUUUUCCGUUCAUUGAUGGCUUUGGUCAUUUUUUUCCCCUUAUUUUUCAGCUUUCCUUCUCCUGAAGUAUGUCAACAACUGCAGAUAAUGAUGAAGAGGACAGCUUGCAGGCUCUUCUUAGAGCCAUGAUGGAAUAUAGGGGCACAAUGAAGGAACAUUGCAAAGCUGUAGGUUCUUUUUCUCCUGUCAUUUAUGUUUUCUCACACAUUUUUUAUAUGCUCCAAGCAUGCAAUUUUGUAUGUGUCAACUGCUUCCUAAGUUUUAAAAACCAUAAUGUAAGAAUACAGUUCUUUGUCAGGUUAUUGAUGCAUUUGCUCAGGGGGAUCAUGUUCGAGCAGGAAAACUUCUAGAGCUGACAAGGUUUUCCAUCUACAGCCAUCUAUUGACAACAGAUACAUUUUCAUUCAGCAAACACUGUUAGCAUUCAAGAUACUGGCAGAUUCACUUGAUUCUUAUUAGUUUGUUUAGUAGCAAAGCAUAUAACCUGUAUUUCAAAGCCAAGUUGUGCUAUUGAUUAUGUUAACUUUAUUGUUCACAUAAAGUGAUAUGGAGGAAAUAAUCAAUGUAGGAAAAUUAGGUGAAGAGAUGAUGUCACAUCUUGAACCUCUUACAAAGCUCCAAGUUCUUUACUUGAAGAAGCCGCCAAAUUUGAAGAGCGUCUACUGGAAGGCAUUUCCAUUCCCAGAUGUAUGCAGAAUUUUUGUAUUAAUGCCCAGUUCUUAAGAAGCUGCCACUGGACUUUCAAAGGCGGGCCAAGGUAAAAUUCUUAUCGAGGGAAAGGAAGAUUGGUGGAAACAACUUCAAUCGGAGGAUCAAGUAACUCAGAAUGCAUUGCUUCCAUUUUUAAAAUCAACUGACAAGUGAUUGAAGGGGGCAUCAUCAACAUCAUCAACAUGGAUGGAGAGAUUCAGGAGCAGAUCAGCAGGGUUUAGUACGACCUGUGGUGGUUUCUUUUUUGUGACUUUUUUCCCUUUCAUUUUUUCACUUCCUGUCAUAUUAUCAUUUCUGUCUCUGUUUCUAUUGCUGUUGUUGCUGCAUGCUUGCUGUCCUUGACAAAGUUAGCUAGUUUUUUUGUUUAUUAAAUUUUUUAUGUUCGGGACAUCCUUGACAAAGUUAGCUAGUUUUUUUGUUUAUUAAAUUUUUUAUGUUCGGGACAGUCACAAAGUACUACUUGUUCUAUAAGGGGGUGAUGUGAAUCAACUUUUCAAUUAUAUAUUCUGUGGUAAUUGUGAAUUCAAUUUCAUUUGUCUCCUGCAAAUUAUGAAGAAAGUGCAGAGUUACAAUAUGGAAAAGUUCACUGGCAAAUACUUUGUAAAAGCUUCGGAGUGAAACAGGGAAUGCACUUGCAACUAAGGACAAAUUGGUGGCCAGCUAAUGCAUUCAUUUUAUGUACAUUCAUCUUUUUAAUUAUUGAAGAUAAGUGGUUCGUCGCUUUUGUUGUAGAUAAAAUUCAGACGAUCUCCAUUGUGAAAUGAUAAUAUUUAAAAUAUCUCUUAAAUUAUAAUAAACUUUAAUUUAUCUUAAUUUUAUUUAAAAGAUAAAAGAAAAAUGUGGUAUAUCGAUAAUUUUUUUAUCUUCUUAAUAAAACGAAGUAAAUUAAAAUUUAUAAUAAUUUAAAAUAUUUUAAAGAUUAUUAUUUCAUAAGAGAGUAAUAUGAAAUUAAUCCUUUUUACUUUUUGAAUGUGAAAGAUCAAGAAAAGAGAAAGUAAGUGUCCUUGCUUUUUAUUUUAAUUGAAAUCGGAGUCAUCCCAUAUACUUUACUCCUUUAGCUCUCUCCUCAAGGUGAGAUGCGUGAGUUGGGUGAAGAUUUGGUGAGUGUUGUGAUAUGCGUGCUACUUUGAGAAUUUAUAGAUAGCACAAAACGCAGCGUUCUGUGUUAAUUGUGGUUCUUACUGUGGUAAGAAUCUCAUUUUCUUAUUUCAACAGGUUUACCAGAAGAAAAAUCCCUCAGAUCACAUCACUGCCUUUUCUCUCAUUUUCUCUCUCUAUAUUUUCUAAUACAUUCUACAUAUUUUUCAUGUCCUCACAUACUUGUAUUUCAAAUGCAAUAGAUGUGUUUAUAUAGAGGCUAAUGAGAGUGAUUAAAGUUAACUAAAAAACUUCUAUGUAAAAUAAACUUCUAUGUGUUUAAAACCAAUAAAAUAGUAAGUAUAGCAGCCCUUUUUACAAUAAUGAAGUGAAAAUUAAUUUAGCAAGAUAUUUUCUUAAUUUAUACUUUCUUUUUUGAAGUUUUUAUUUUCUAUGGUCAAUUAUACCGUUUACAAUUUCUUUUGAUCUAACUACAACUAAAUUUUUGGUUUAAGGAUUCUUAUUUGGGAGUAUUAAUAUGUGAGCGAACGCUUGGAUACUGCUCAAUGAUAUCUAAUCAAUAGCUGGAAACAAUCGAGAAGGCGGUCGCAGCUGUGCACAAACAGCUUUGGUAAAAUUUUUAAACAGAGUUGACAUGCUAUUCUGAGAUUUGGUUCAUUACUUUGUAUGAUUUUUUCUCAAGCAUGUUAUGCCGAAAUGAACAAUUAAAAAAGAAGAAGGAAAAGUUAGGGUAAAAUUUUUACUAAAUCAUUUUUUAUUAACUAUUUAUAUUAAACAAAUGGAACAAGAAUUGUAGUCAUUCGUCAUAAGCGUGCUAAUAUGAUAAUUCUCUGACUACCAUUUUCUAUUUACCCCUUUUGCAGCAGGGAAUCCAAAUUUUGAAUUGUCCAAUGAUCCACAAUCAAUCCAAUGGUCCAAAACUUUUGGUCGUUAUGCGAAAAAUUUUCCCAAUUUUGGGCCAAUAUUCUAACAAGUUUUAUUGAAGGGCUGGACUAUUGGCACCCCUCUAAAAUUUCCUUAAAACCCCUUUUCUAUUACAAUUACAUUUAAAGAUAAAAAUAAUUACCAAUUCAUCUAUUUUAAUAUUUUAUCCCUCUUCAAACUUUUCUAUUUUCUUCUCAUCAAAAUUUUUCCCUCAAAUUCUCUGUAUUUUUUUGUUUUAUUCAUUUAUUAACAUAUUCUUUUUAUUAUAACAAAUCCAAAUUUUCAAGCAAAAUUAUAGUACAAUAUUGAUUGUUGUUUGCUUUAUUAGAAGGGACUUUUUAGCUGAGGAAAUAAAAACUGUAUAUUUGGUUUCUUCUAACUGCUCGUUGACGAUAGUCACGGCAUCCUGCACAUUUCUAAUGACUUCCUUUAGUAUGUUCUGCUUCUACCUCAUUAGUUCCAAAUAGCUUCUGUUAUCCCAUGCGUACUUCUUAAAAAUAACUUCUGCUAUUUUUUUAAUUAAUUAUUUGAAUCUUGGAGUUUUCUUUUUUAUCUUUUCCACAAUUUUUCAUUCGGAUUUAUUCAUAAUCAUACUAAAACUUUUUACAUUAUAAUUCUAAAGAUAUUGAAUCUAAUUCACUAAUUUGUAUUAAGAAGUUUAUCGCAUAAAUUUUGUGUGGAGAUUGAUAUAAUAAGACUCUAAAAUAAUUUUAGAAAUAAGAAAAUAUUAAGAAAUCGAAAGAUUAACAAAUUAGAAAUAAGGGUAAUUCUGACAUUAAAUGAAAUAUUAGGGACAAAGGAGUUUUUAGAGGAUUUUAACGGGUGCCAAUAGUUCAACUCUUUAUUGAAAUAAAAGGGAGAGGAUCGUUAAAUUGAAAAGUCCAUUUUAUUAUCAAGUGUUUUAAAUUAGUGCAACGUGACAAUUUUUACUGAUGAUAUCUUCUAUUUUUUUCAUAUAAAAUUAAUGUUAUUUUACUUACAAAUAUAAACUCCUAAAUAUUUGUAGUAGAUUUGAAGUUGAGCCCAUGAAACGGUAAUGAGGAAUUAAUGAGACUGAGGAUCUGCAAUUUAGUCAUGAAAAAUUUGUAAUUAAGCACGACUAAAUUUCAAUUUUCUCUUUGUAAUUUCUUUGGGUGCCUGAAAUUUUUUCUCCCUUAAUUUUCUGAUUACAAGUGCAUAAUUGUAAGUGCAACCGAUUUUAUUUUCAGGGAAUACUAUCGGACGGUGUGGAUAUAUAUAUAUAUAUAUAUAUAUAUAUACGAGAAAUGUUCCAAUUCAGAAUUUUAAAGUGUAGGAACGUCUGGGAAAACGCAUAAACCGUGCAGUUUAAACGCUUUAAGUUUUAAGCCUUUAAAACCCCGCAGUUUUAAAGUUUUCCUAGAUGUUUUCCGCACUUUAUGAUCCCGGACUAGAAAACUACUAUAUAUAUAUAUAUUAUCUGCUCGGUGAAAAGUUUUUUAAUCCGAGCUUAGAAUCUAGGAUUAAAAUUAUGAAAAAAAUUUAAGUAUUACACACACACACACACACUAUUCGGUCAUUUUUUUUUAAAAUCUGAGUUUAGAUGUAGAAUUAAAGUUCGAAAUGAAUUUACUGUGUUAUAAAUCAAUUUUUACAAUGUUGUAAAUUGAUUUAUGAUAUUAAAAAUCCAUCUUAAAUUUUAAUCUCAGAUUCUGAGUUUGGAUCUAAUAAACACUCUCUCCGAUUAUGUUGUCUAUAAUUUUGCAUUCAAAGAAACUUCACGAAAAAUAUAAUAUCAUGUGUAGCCCUAGAAACUUUAAUAACAAUAAAAAAGAUAUCAUAAGAAAAGAAAACUCAUAAUUGUUCAGAUAUUUAUAAAUUGGUGGCCGUUGGAAAUUUAACUGCAAGUGCCAAUCCGAGAAAAGUCUUCGUGCAGGAAAGACUUUUAGCCAUACGUUCUUCCAAGUCAAAUGAAACAGUGGAUGUACAAAGAAUAAGACAUGUCAUUCAGCUGCAGAUUUCAUGGCCAGUAUGACUCAUUCAGUCCCUUAUGGGUUACAUGUUUUUGAUAGCCCGCCUGUGGGUAUUUAUUCAAUUAUUUUACAAGACAUAUUUGGGGUUGCUAAACCCCGUAUGGUUCUGUCUUAGCUCGUUUUAUUGAGCCCAUUUUAAUCAAAAAAAAAAAAAUAAUAAGACAUGUCAUUCAUUGUUUGUUUGCUGCAUUCCCUCUCAUUUUCUUAAUUAUUGAAGACAGGUUGCUCAUAGCAUGUACUUUUCAAAUGUGGAACCGCAGCUAAUGUCACUAUUUUAAUUUGGAAUUAAAUUAGGGCCCAUCUAUAAAAUUUAUAACAUUAUAUUGCAGUGUGAACUAACUUUUAUGUUUAUCUAAACACCUUAAAUUUAAGGCAAAUUAUGGCAUAAAUAAGAAUUAAAACAGAACACUUAUGAUGUAUAGCAAAAGAGUUGUGAUGAAGAUCUUGAAGAAAUAUAAUAUUAGCGCCGAAUUAAGUAACUAAGAACACCCCUGAACUGAAUAAUGGUUAUCAAAAUUGUGUUACUUGCACUCCUAUUUACUAAAAGUCUGGUUCUGUUCCAUUUGAGUUUUUAUCUUCAAAUUUCAAAAUCUUGCUAAGUUUUGACAACAAAAAGGCUCAGUUUGCUUGUUCUAUAUUUGUAUUAUAUGAAUCCAAAUUUUUGUGUUCUAUUUUCUCAAUUUUGAAUACAAAUUCUUUUCUUCUCCCACAAACCAGAAAGAAAUGCUGUAUUAAAAAAAAUGGAAAUAAAUUCAUUACAACAAAAAUUAGGAAAAAUAAUACAAACCAAAUUAGGAUAAAUAACAUCACUUUCUAGAGAAGCAGGCAAAAAUGGAAAAUGAUAUUUCAAUUCUUCAAGAUCCCAAAUCUCUGUUUCUAAAUUUUCUUUCAUGUUGCUUCUCGCAUAGAAUCAUUUGGUAUUAAUAAAAUUUUUACUUAUUAAACAAAAGUUUUUAAAAUUUUUUUUAUUCCUGCUGUUAAUCUAUGAAUGGUUUCAUUGUUGGAGUUUCUUUCAGAAGACAAGAAUACUUUGGUUAAGUGUUUGGCUAAGUACUAAAUUAAAGGUUGUUAGAUAGAAGAAAUUAAAAAAAAAAAAAUCCUAACCCUUUUAUUCAGUGUUUAAUCAGCAAAUAUUCAACUCAACAUGAAUCUUAAUCAUCUUUAAAAAAAAAUUAUUCAAUUUUCUAAUAAUAUUUAUUCAGGUACUAGAAGUUAAAACCCUACUUACAUGGAUGCGUGGCCAUCGGUCCAAUUUAAAAAAAAAGAGAGAAAAAAUAAAUGUAAUCCAUGAAUUUGGUUAAUUUUCCUUUGUUUGUUUGUUUCUGUUCUCCCCCCCCCCCCCCCCCCCACCCCCUUUUCAAUAUCAUUCCUUUUUGGCCGCCCAAGGACAUUUUCACAAAUACCUUUUGUGCAUAAGUCUUUUAAACCAUCAAUCGGAAGAAACAUGCUUCCAGUGAUACCUCCAAUUAUCAUUGAUGACUUUUCUUACUCUAAUGCUAUGUCAAUUCCAACAUUUGUAUGUUAAUAUAACAUAAUCAAUGAUUUGGAUAAUUGAUGACUUUUACAGAUUGUGGAUUCUUGCGGAUUUUCAAUCUAAUCCAAUCCACCAAUUCACAAAUUCAGAUUUUUACGGAUUAAAUUUUUACAGAUCAGACGAAUUGAGCAGACUAGAUUGGAUUUUGAACAUUGCUAAUUUGUAUGUUAAUUAUAAGAUAAUCAAUUAUUUGGAUAAUCCCUUGUGUUUUAUCUCUAAUUAGAACAUCAAUCUUCACAAUAUUUACAAUGCUACAAUGGCUAUAAACAAAACCUGCUUGCAAAUUGUCAAGGAUACUUAUCCUUUCGCUUGACAAGUCAUUUGGAAAAAUAUUGUCCCUUGGCGGCUCCAUGUCUUCCCCGCCCUUCCUUUUGGUCUUAAUGUACGGUUGCUUAAUGAUAGUUUAGGCCCUUUAGGGACUACUUUCCCUGGUGUUGUUAAGUCUUAGCUUGUGCUAGGCUCGUUUUUCUUACCAAAAGAAAAGGAAUACUUCUCCUAUAAGAAAUAAUCUCUAUAUAUAGGGUGGUUGGAUUCACUUGUUUACAUAACAGAUCAAUUAGUUCUCUGUAAAUAGAGAGUUUCAAGUAUGAAAGAAACGGUAGGUCUAUUGAGAGAUUAUGUGUUAUUAGGAUUUUGGUUGUGAAGAAAAGUACUAGAGUGAUUGUGUUAAUUUUCUACGUAGUUGAUUUUUCUAUCGUCAUCUUUGUGGCUGUGAUUUUUCUUUCAUAUAGAAGUUUCCCACGUAAAUUGUUAUGUUAUGUGAUUAGUUUUGAUAUUUUAUUUGUAAGAUGUUGGAUGGGAUUAAAAGUUCAUAUUACUGCUAGAUGAUAUAUGGGAGCGGGUUGAUUUAGUAAAAAUGGGUGUCCCUCUUCCUAGAUCAGAAAACAACACAUCUAAAGUGAUAUUUACAAACCCGUUCUAAGGAAGUUUGCAGCUUAAUGGAAGCUCGUAGGAGUUUUAAAGUGGCGUGCUUAUCAAAUAAAGAUGCUUAGGAAUUGUUUCGAUACAAAGUUGGGGAAGAAACUUUGAACAAUCAUCCUGAUAUCCUUGAGCAAGCACAAUAGUUGUUAAGGAGUGUGGUGGUUUGCCACUUGCACUUUUUACCAUCGGCCGAUCUAUGGUGUGCAAGAAGACAUAGCCGAAGAAUGGAGAUAUGCUAUUCAAGUGUUCACUUCGUCCGCUUCCCAUUUCCAGGUCUGGAAGAAGGGAUAUAUACUCUUGUAAAUUCAGUUAUGAUAGUUUACCCAAUGACACAAUUACACCUUGUAUGUUAUAUUGUAGUUUAUAUCCAGAAGAUUGUUGCAUUUCUAAAGAGAAUUUCGUAUAUUGUUAGAUUAGUGAAGGAUUUUUGAAUGAAAGUGAUUGGUUUGGAGAAAAAAAUCAAGGAUAUUUCAUUUUGGGCAUUCUUCUUCAUGGUUUUUUUUUUUUUGGAAAAGGGAGGAGAUUGUGAAGUGAAAAAUGCAUGCAUGACGUUAUUCGUGAUAUGGCUUUGUGGAUCGCAUGCGACCAUGAGAAGGAGAAGGAGAACUUUUUGGUUUAAGCUAGUGUUGGUUUAACUAAGGUACCAGAUAUUAGAGAUUGGGAAAAGGUGAGGAGAUUGUCAUUGAUGAAAAAUAAAAUUGAGAAUCUAACUGAGGCUCAUACAUGCCCUCAUCUCCUCACUUUCUUUCUUGAUGAUAAUGAGUUUCGAAAGAUCCCCGAUGACUUCUUCCAGUUUAUGCCUUCUCUCACUGUUUUAAACUUGUCACAUAUUAAACUAAAGUCAGUUCCUUUAGGGACUUCAAGGUUGGUUCCACUACAACAACUCGAUCAUUCAUAUUCAAGCAUAAAAGAGUUGCAAGAAGAGUUAAAUGCCUUGAUUAAAGUUAAAUGCUUGAAUAUAGAUCAUGUAGAAGAGCUAAUUACAAUUCCACAACAACGAAUAUUUAAUUUUUAAGGUUAUAUGUGUUGAGAAUGUUCGAUACUAUUAGUUUAAAUUUUCAAGAAGCAUUAAAUAAAGACAGUAUUUUAUUUGGUGGGAGUUAAAGAAACAGAAAAUAAGUGUUUGGCUAAUAAAAAAAUAAAAUGAGAUCUGGAAACUUUUAAUCCUUUUAUUUUCUCAAGCUUAAGUUGCUACUGAACGAUUACAAACAUAUAUAUACAAGUGUAGCUGCUCAGCUGAAGAUUACUAAACUAACUAACUGAUUACAAAUUGAUUAACAAACGCAUCACGUGUAUGAGUACAAGCAGCUACAUAACCACCUGGUGCCAGCUGGCAGUACAUGUCAUCAACUUGUAACUGAUUAUAGAAGCUUCUGUGAUCCUCUGCUCUGUGGUCCUCAGCUUGACUACAAAUAUGAGUUUCCUUAAGAUCCCCCCCAAGCUCAAAGGUCUACUAAUGACAUGGAGUUUGGACCUGAAGUAGCUGAAUUUUGGAAGAGAUGAAGCCUUCGUGAGAACAUCAGCAACUUGUUCAUCUGUAAGAAUGUAUCUCACUUCUAAUUGCUUUUGAAGUACCUUAUCUCGGAUGUAAUGGAUGUCCAACUCGAUAUGCUUAGACCUGGAGUGAAACACAUGAUUUUUGGCUAAUUUCCCAGCACUCUGAUUAUCACACCAAAGCACUGGUGUUGGCAGUUUUACAAUGUUGAGCUCAUAAAAUAAAGAUUCCAGCCAAGAGAUUUCUGAACUUGCUGAUGACAGUGCUCUGUACUCAUUUUCAGUGCUGGAUUUUGCCACUAUGGCUUGUUUCUUAGAGGACCAUGAAAUCAAAUCGUUGCCAAGAUAGAUGCAAUAUGCUCCAAUAGACUUUCUAUCAUCUAUAUCACAAGCCCAAUCUACAUCUGAGUACCCAUUCAAACCUGUAACUUCAAGCUCCCCUUCUUUCUGAAUAUAUAUUCUAUAAGUAACAGUUGCUUGAAGAUAUCUAAGUACAUUUUUACAAGCAAGCCAGUGCUGAAGUGUAGGAGCACUUAGAUACUGACUUAGCUUAUGAACUGAGUAUGCAAUAUCAGGCCUGGUGAGUAUCAAGUAUUGGAGCCCUCCAACAAUGCUUCUAUAGAGAGUUGGAUCUUCAAAUUCUUUCCCCAAACAACCCUUUGCUACCUUUUCUAAUUUCUAACUUUGUGCUGAGAGGUGUAUCAGAACCUUUACAGUUCUGCAUUGAAGCUCUACUUAAGAGGUCUUCGAUAUAUUUUGUUUGUGAUAAAUGUAUCCCACUAUCUGUAUAACACACCUCAACACCAAGAAAGUAGGAUACCGAUCCCAAAUCUUUUAAGGCAAAAACCUUACUAAACUUAAUGAUGAAGGUUUCCAACAGGGAAAAAUCUGGUCCUGUAAUGAGAAUAUCGUCCACAUAGAUAAGAACAAGAAUGAUACCUCUUCUGUCAUGUUUGAUGAACAGGGAUGUAUCAGCCUUGGAGUUGAAGGAAUUCUAGCUUGUAAGACACCCUUUGAGUUUGUCAUACCAAGCUCUAGGAACUUGCUUCAAGGCACAAAGAGCUUUGCUAAGUUUACAGACAUAGCCCUCUUUGGUUAUGAAGCCCUCUGGUUGUGUCAUGUAUAUAUCCUCUAAAAUAUCUCAAUUAAGAAAAGAAUUAUUUAUAUUGUAGAAAAUAUGGAAAGAUUAGAUUAGUUGACAUUCCUGAUUUCUAGGAUUAGUUGUCUAAUUUGUCUGAUUUGUACAGCUAUUACUAAUUUGUAUAUUUUCAGAAAUUAGAAAGUUAAAUUUGGAAUAUGUUGUCCUAUAAAUUAACCCUAUUGUACUGGCUGUUAGAGGUACUUAAAAAUAAGAAAAGAUAUUUAUUCUUCUCCUCUGUUAACAUGGUAUCAAAGCUAUGGCAGAAUUAAGCCUAGCUUGACUCCCAUACGGAUCAGUUCAUUGCCUUGUUGUAAUGGCGCAAAACACCAUGCCUGGGGUUACAGUAAUUGGUGAUACUAAUUCCACUGCUACAUCUAUUGGAAUUGGUACAGGGGAGUUUCUUCCGUCGGGAUUUGGAAACUUGAACGGAAGUGAGAGUUUUCCCAUGCAAUUAACCGGUCACAAAUUGAACGGUAAAAACUAUCUAGAAUGGGCGCAAUCCAUUAAGUUGGUGGUCGAUGGCAAGGGUAGACUUGGCUACAUCACCGGUGAGACGAAGGAGCCGGAAAAAACUGAUCCAACAUGGAAGACUUGGAAGUCAGAAAAUUCCCUAGUUAUGUCCUGGUUGAUCAAUUCCAUGGAGGUUUCUAUUGGGAGGACGUAUUUGUUUCUUCCCACCGCAAAUGAUGUAUGGGAUGCAGUCCGAGAAACGUAUUCUGAUCUAAAAAAUUCAUCAUAGAUUUUUGAAUUGAAAACAAGACUAUGGCAGACUAGGCAAGGUGAUCAUGCUGUUUCUGAGUAUUACAACGAGAUGAAGGCUUUAUGGCAGGAGCUUGAUAUCUGCUAUAAAGAUGAUUGGGCCUAUAUGACAGAUAGUGUUCGUUAUUUAAAAAGAAUUGAAGAUGAUCGUGUUUAUGAAUUUUUGGCAGGUUUGAAUAAGAGCCUUGAUGAAGUGAGAGGCCGGAUUCUUGGCAGAAUUCCUUUGCCAUCAAUCCAGGAAGUAUUUUCAGAAGUACGACGAGAGGAAGGUCGACGCAAAGUGAUGUUAGGAGAAAAAACUGUAUCUGCUCCAGAAGUUUCAGCCCUAAUGACAGGGACUAAUCACAAUAAUUCCCCAUACCAAGCACGAUAGAACAAGAAAGGAGAAAAGGUGUGGUGUGAUCACUGCCACAAACCACGUCACACUAGGGAGACUUGCUGGGAUUUACACGAAAAACCUCCUAAUUGGAAGCCACGAAAUUUUAGUCAGUCAAACCGUGACUCAAAGGCCUUCCACUCAACCACUGAGGAGAAUGGAAACACUGCAACUACAACUACGACACCUUCAUUCAGUAAGAAAUAGUUAGAACAACUGUACUUUUUCUGUCCAGAUAAGUGACCAAUCCAGUAUCUUCUUCUUAUUCCUUAGCCCAGAAAGGUACUUAUCAAUUUGCUAUCUUCAAUGUGUCCACUAUUCCUCUUUGUCCAUGGAUAAUAUAUUCAGGUGCCACCGAUUAUAUGACUGGAUGCUCUAAAUUAUUUUCUUUCUAUAGUCCUUGUACAGGCAAUCAAAAAAUUAAGAUUGCUGAUGGCUCCCUCUCGGCAAUUGCUGGGAAAGGGUCAAUUGUUAUAUCUAAUACUCUCGUUCUUCACGAUGUCCUUCAUGUUCCAAAUCUCUCUUGUAAUCUUUUUUCUGUAAGUAAAAUAACUCGUGGUUUAAAGUGUUGUGCUAAAUUUCUUCCAAAUUGUUGUGAAUUUCAGGAACUGGAUACGGGGAGGAUGAUUGGCAAUGCUAGAGAGUAUGGCGGUCUCUAUUACUUUGAUGAUGGGAACUCUAUGUGUCAGCAACAGAAAAUUUUGAAUCUUGGAGCAUGCUUUAGUUCUACUGAUGAUAAAAUAAUGCUAUGGCACCGUAUGUUAGGCUAUCCUAAAUUUUUAUAUUUAAAACAUUUGUUUCCAACCUUAUUUCGUAAUAAACUUUUAUUGUCUUUUCAAUGCGAUAUUUGUCAGUUAGCUAAACACCAUCGUGCAUCUUUUCCUAUUCAACCAUAUAAAGCAUCCAAGCCUUUUACCCUUAUUCAUAGUGAUGUGUGGGGUGCCUCUAGGACAUCCACCAAUUCUGGAAAAAGAUGGUUUAUAACAUUUAUUGAUGACCAUACACGCCUAAGUUGGGUCUAUCUACUCAAAGAAAAAUCUGAAGCAGAACAUGUUUUUAAAAACUUUUAUAAUAUAGUUGAAACACAAUUUCAAACAAAAAUUCAAGUGUUCCGAAGUGACAAUGGGAAGGAAUACUUUAAUCAAAUAAUGGGGUCAUUUUUCUUAGAAAAAGGAAUUGUUCAUCACAGCUCUUGUAAUGACACUCCUCAACAAAACAUAAUAGCAGAACGGAAAAAUAAGCACCUCCUAGAAGUAGCUAGGUCUUUAAUGUUCACCACUAAAGUUCUUAAAUACUUAUGGGGAAAAGCAAUUCUUACUGCUACAUAUCUUAUUAAUAGGAUGCCAUCAAGAGUUUUGAACUUUCAGCCACCAUUGACAGUUUUUAAAAAAUUCUUUCCAAUGACACGUUUGACUUCAGAUUUACCUUUAAAGGUCUUUGGAUGUGUUGCCUUUGUACAUAUACACAAUCAUAAUAGGGAUAAACUAGAUCCAAGGGCUGUAAAAUGUGUUUUUCUGGGCUAUUCUCCUACUCAGAAAAGGUAUAAAUUUUUUUAUCCUAACAAACAAAAAUAUUUUGUCACGAUGGAUGUUACCUUCUUUGAGUCUCAAAGUUUUUUUAAUCCUCCUCUUCAAGGGGGGAAAGGAAAUGAAGACUCAGUGUUUGAGCUUGACAUGAAUACUAAUGGUGAGGCAAAUAUUGAAACUGAAAUUUUUAAUCCUAAUACCUUGAAUAAGGAGGAUAUGAGGAUUACCUUAGUGCCUGAACAUAAAACUGACACUACGAUAAUAGACGAGACAUGCUUCAAUGAUGAGAGAUUGUUCGGGAAAACUUACACUAGGGAGAAACGGAUUCAAAGUAAGAAAAAUGCAGCGAUACUUCCUCAACGCCAUGAAUCUGAUCCAAUUCCAGAUUCGAAAAACAUUGAUUCUGAAAAUCCAGGUACAAUCUCUAAAUUUAUAGAGUAUGAGUCUUUAUCUAUCCCACAAGUACAUUCUGACCCUCUAGAUCUUCCCAUUGCUCUUAGGAAAAGAAAUAGAUCAUGUACUCAACAUCCCCUUUUCAAUUUUGUGUCUUAUAAGAACCUGCCAUUAUUUUAUCAUACUUUUGUCUCACAAUUUUCAAGUGUGGAUAUACCUAAGUCUAUACAGGAAGCGCUAAAGGUUCCUAAAUGGAAGAAGGUUGUUCGUGAAGAAAUGGAGGCUCUAGAAAAAAAACAGAACGUGGGAGAUGGUUUUACUUGCCUGAAGGAAAAUUGAUUAUUGGUUGCAAGUGGAUUUUCACUGUGAAAUACAACUCAGAUGGAUCCUUGGAACGCUAUAAAGCAAGGUUAGUAGCAAAAGGAUUCACACAGACCUACGGAGUUGAUGAUCAAGAGACAUUUGCUCCCGUAGCCAAACUAAAUACCAUUCGAAUACUACUCUCUGUAGCUGUUAAUUUGGAGUGGCCAUUGUUUCAAUUGGAUGUUAAAAAUGCGUUCCUCAAUGGAGAAUUGGAAGAGGAAGUAUAUAUGGGUGCACCCCCUGGUUUUGAAGACAAGUUUGGAGGAAAGGUGUGUAAAUUGAAGAAAUCCUUUUAUGGACUGAAGCAGUCUCCUCGUGCUUGGUUCGAGAGAUUUACUAGGUUUGUUAAAAAAGAAGGAUAUAGUCAAGGACAAUCUGAUCAUAUAAUGUUCGUGAAACACACAGAUGGUGGAAAGAUGGUUGUCCUAAUUGUAUGCGUAGACGACAUAAUACUUACUGGAAGCGAUAAUGAUGAAAUGAAUAAGCUGAAGAAGCACCUGGCAUCGGAAUUUGAAAUUAAGGAUUUGGGUCCCUUACGCUAUUUCCUGGGUAUGGAAGUUGCAAGAUCUAGAAUGGGAAUUUCUCUGUCACAAAGAAAGUAUGUUUUGGACUUGCUAGAGGAGACAUGAAUGAGUGGUUGCAGACCAAGUGAUAACCCCGUGGAUCCUAAUCAGAAGUUAGGAGAGGUUUCCGAUGGAGUUCGAGUUAAUAAAGGUAGAUAUCAACGUCUCGUAGGGAAACUCAUUUAUUUAUCUCACACAAGACCUGAUAUUGCCUUUGCCGUUAGUGCUGUAAGUCAAUAUAUGCACUCACCCUAUGUGGAACAUUUGGAGGCAGUUCACAAGAUUCUCAGGUACUUAAAGAGGACACCUGGAAGAAGGUUAUUAUUUAAGAAGAGUGAUCAAAAGAGUGUAGAAGUCUUCACAGAUGCAGACUAGGCAGGCUCAAUUUCAGAUAGAAGAUCAACAUCUGGUUACUGUACAUUCUUAUGGGGAAAUUUAAUUACUUGGCGAAGCAAAAAACAAAACGCGGUUGCCAGGAGUAGUACUGAAGCUAAGUUUAGUGCCAUGGCAAAUGGAGUUUACAAGGUAUUAUGGAUUAAAAGAGUCCUUGGAGAACUGAAAUUAGAUAUUGAAGCACCUAUGAGACUGUUCUGUGAUAAUAAAUCAGCAAUAAGCAUUGCAAAUAAUCUUGUUCAGCAUGAUCGUACAAAGCACAUUGAGAUUGAUAGACAUUUUAUUAAACAAAAGCUGGAGAAUGGAGUUAUAUGUAUGCCAUUCAUCCAUUCAGAGUAAUAAACAGCAGAUGUUCUUACCAAGGGACACUUCAGGCCAAAGUUUGAAUCUUUCAUUGACAAGUUGGGCAUGAUUAAUAUCUAUGCACCAACUUAAGGGGGUGUAGAAAAUAUGGAAAGAUUAGAUUAGUUGACAUUCCUGAUUUCUAAGAUUAGUUGUCUAAUUUGUCUGAUUUGUACAACUAUUACUACUUUGUAUAUUUUCAGAAAUUAGGAAGUUAAAUUAGGAAUGUGUAGUCCUAUAAAUUAACCCUAUUGUACUGGCUGUUAGAGGUACUUAAAAAUAAGAAAAGAUAUAUAUUCUUCUCCUUUGUUAACAUAUAUCAAUUUGCCUGACUUUCCAACACUUCAUCACUGCCAAACUCAGUAUAGUUCUAAUUGUAAAAGACUUUACCACAGGACUGAAAGUUUCCUUAUAAUCCACUCCUGCUGUCUGGUGAAAGCCCUUGGCCACCAAUCUUGCUUUGUGUUUAGAAACUGUACCAUUUGUAUUGUACUUGGUUCUAAAAACCUAUUUACAUCCAACCAACUUGUGCUAAGAUGUCACAGGUACUAGAGUCCAUGUGUUAUUGUUGGUUAGAGCAUCAAAUUCUAAUUGCAUUGCAGCUUUCCACUUAGGAUCAGAUAAAGCUUCAUCAACAGUGGAUGGUUCCAGGCUGUUAUGUGAUGUUAAGAAUGCUUUAGGCUUGAAUAUACCAGCUUUUACUCUGGUAAUCAUAGGAUGAUUUGGCAGAGAAUGUUGGGAUGGUUGUGUGGAUUGAGUAUGAGAUGAUGAUGGCUGUUGUGUAUGUGAAGCAUCUAUGAUAGAGGGUUGAAAAUGUAUUUGAGAAGGUGAAACAACAAAGGUUGUAUUGUGAUUGUCAGAUGAGGAGUGAUCACUGAAAUGAUGAGAUUGAGCUUUAUCUUCUGCAGAGCCAGCUUCAAAGGUUUCUUGAUUGCUAUUGGGAAGUGAAAUAGUAUAAGAUUGAAGAAGACUGUAAUGAAAAUCAGAGAGUUUAGAUGGUGAAGUUAAAAAUUGUGAAUUUGAUGUGUAAGGAAAAGAGGUUUCAUCAAAUAAAACAUGACUGGGUAUAAAAUUCUUUCCAGAAGAAUGAAUACACUUGUAACCAUUGUGUAAAGGGCUGUAACCAAGAAAUACACAUUUUGAGGUAUGAAAAUGGAAUUUGUGAGUAUUAUAAUCCCUUAGGAAUGGAAAACAUGAACAACCAAAGACCUUGAGAAAUUUGUAAUCAGGUUUGGUUUUGAAAACACAUUCAUAAGGUGACUGCAUAGAUAGUAUGGGUGUGGGAAGUCUAUUGAUAAUAUAGGUGGCUGUAUGGAAGGAAUCCCACCAAAAUUUUAUAGGUAAAGUGGCUUGAGCAAGUAAGGUGAGACCUAGCUUGGUUAUGUGUCUAUGUUUUCUCUCAAUUAAGCCAUUCUGAUUGUGAGUAUAGGGACAUGAGUUCCUAAAUUGAAUACCUUCCUCAUGAAGAAAAUUAACAAAUGAUCUAUACUCUCCACCCCAAUCUGAUUGAAUACACUUGAUGGAUCUAUCUAGCUGUUUCUAAAUUUGCUUUUUAAAGAUUUUAAAAACAACUAGUGUUUCAUCCUUGGUUUUUAAUGGGAAUAUCCAUGUGAACCUCGAAAAAUCAUCCACAAAACUCACAUAGUAUCUGUAACCUUGAACUGAAAGCACAGGGGCAGGUCCCCAUAAAUCAGUGUGCAAAACCUUUAAUACAUGCUUUGUUUUGGUAGUAGAAACUGGAAAAUGUAAUCUAUGCAUUUUUCUCAUUUUACAUGCAUCACAUGAAUCAAGAAAUUUACUUCCAUUUAAAUUCUUGAAAGCUGAACAAGAGUUUAUUACAUGACUUAAAACUUUGGAAUUAGGAUGACCAAGUUUCUGAUGCAAUACAGAAACACUCAGCAUAUAAUUUGGACUGAUACAAGGUUCUGCUGCAGUAUGCAAGCAGGUGCUUGUUUGAUUAUUGACAACUGAUUGAACAACUGAAAACAUAAACAGGGGAACAUCUGGAAUUUUGGAUUGAGUGGCGUCAAGAGACCUUUGAAAUGAUUGAGAAGAGACUUUAUUAGAGGGAAACAAUAGCAAUCUGUAUAAACCUUUUUCAGCUUUGCCCUGCAGUAUGAUCAAAUUCCUUACCUUGUCCUUCACAUAAUAGGAUUGAUCAGUAAAUUCAAUAACAAUAUUGUUAUCUUUGGUUAGCUGAGAUAUGCUAAUAAGGUUCUUGGAUAUUUGUGGAACAAAUAGCAUGUUGUUUAAUUUGAGUGUGUUAUGAUCAGAAGAGUUAUGCAUUCUUAACACAGCAUUUCCAACAUGUGUUAUGUGCAAACCAGUACCAUUUCCAAUUAUGAGUUUAGAGUUACCUGCAAAAGGUUCUGUCAUAGUCGUAUUUCUCAUGUCAUUGGUAAGAUGGUGUGUAGCUCCACUAUCCAGAUACCAGUUGACAUCAGCUGCACCAUCCAUAUCAGCUAGAUAUGCAGCUUUGGGAUUUCUAUUUGGAGGAGGUCUGUAAGCACCAGAGGUAAAGAAUUCUUCAAGUUUCUAGCAGACAUUUGCAGUAUGACCAGUUUUGAAGCAGUUUUAGAAGCAUUCCACUGAGGUUUAGGAUUCAUUUGGGGCCUAAUAGAGUUAUUGUUACCACCCCCACCAUUGUUCCAAUUUCCUGAGCCUAAUCCCCUUUGAUUAUCACUUUGAAAUCCUCUGAACUGGUUAUUUGAAUUAUUUCCAGAACCAUUUCCAAUGAAACCAGAUCUUCCAUAGCCACCUCUGUAAUUAUUUCCAAAAUUUCCAGCAUUAUCUAAACCAGAAAAAUAGUUAUGAUUUCCAGAUCCUCUACCACCUGAGAAGUUUCCUUUCUUAAAACCUCUGUUCUAAGCUAAAUUAGCUUCAAAAUUAUGCUUAACAUCCAUUCCAGAAAGCAUAUGUGCUUGUUGCUCAAUUCUAGCCUCUUAAGUCAACAACAUAGCAUAAGCCUCAUUCAAAUUCAUUUUAUCACCACUUAUUUGACCAGUAAUAUAAGUAGCAACAACAUUAUAAUCUGGUCCUAGUCCUGAGAGUACAUGCAAAAUUAAAUCAUCACUGCUUAAGGCACUUCCUGCCGCAACCAUGUUAUCAACAAUAUUCUUCAUUUUAAUGAAAUACUCAUUGAUUUUCAAAUCAUCUUUCCUAGUUGAAUUUAUCAAAUAUCUCAAAUGUAAGAGUCUGGAUUUUGAUUGUGAUCCAAAUUGGGUUUCAAUAGCUUUCCAUACCUCAAGAGAAGUUUCCAGAUUAAACACCAGGCUUAUAAUACCUUCACUCAUCGAUGAUAGCAACCAGCCAAGGAGUACUUGAUCUUGUGCUUUCCAGCUUGACAAAUCUGGAUUCUCAAUAGAUCUAAGUUCAUCGUCAAUCCUCUGAGCAAUAUGAGAUGGAGGAGGAGUGACAGUUUCAUCAAUGAAUUUUUCUAACCUAUUGCCGCAUAUGGAAGCUAAAACUUGGGACCUCCAGAUCAGAUAGUUUGCCUGAUCCAGUUUCACAGGAGUAUUGAAAGUGAAUGAGAAGUUUGUUGAGUUUGCAUGAACAUUUGAAGUGUGGUUUGAUGAGGCAAUAUUCAGAGACGCCAUGACUAGCUCUGAUACCAAGUUAAAGAAACAGAAAAUAAGUGUUUGGCUAAUAAGAAAAUAAAAUGAGAUUUGGCAACUUUUAAUCCUUUUAUUUUCUCAAGCUUAAGUUGCUACUGAACGAUUACAAGCAUAUAUAUACAAGUGUAGCUGCUCAGCUGAAGAUUACCAAAUUAACUAACUAAUUACAAAUUGAUUAACAAACUCAUCACGUGUAUAAGUACAAGCAGCUACAUAACCACCUGGUGCCAACUAGCAGUACAUGUCAUCAACUUGUAACUGAUUAUAGAAGCUUCUGUGAUCCUCUGCUCUGUGAUCCUCUGCUUGACUACAAAUAUGAGCUUCCUUAACAGUGGGGAGGAAGUUUAAGCAGAGGAGUUGCUCGGUUUGGAAUAUUUGGAGGUAUUGAGCUUCACUUGAGAAGUGUUCGUGCUCUCCAAUUUAUUUUGAGCUCACAUAAGCUACGAAGUUGUACUCAAGCGGUGUUCCUCCAAUCCUUCAAUGAUUCGAUAUGGCUUGAUAUUUCACUUUUGGCAGAGUUAAAAGCACCACUACAGAUUUAAGUAUUUUUGGGUGUAGAAAAUUGGAGGACUUGAAGAUGGAAUAUACAGGGGGAGCGAAAAACAAGCGGCAACCUUGUGUUUUCUAAGGCCUACAUACAGUUCACAUAGAGGUUUGUUCUAAAUUGAAGGACUUAACAUUCCUUGUUUUUGCUCCAAAUCUCAAGAACUUGUAAAUACAAAAUUGCCCUGCUGUGGAAGCAAUCAUCGGUGUGGAAGAAUUUGCGGAAGCUCUAGAGGUGGUGGAAAAUCUAAACCCAUUUGCAAAACUCCAGUAUCUUGGACUAGAAAAUCUGCUAAAUGUGGAGAGCAUCUAUUGCAAGCCUCUGCCCUUUCCAUGUUUGAAAAGAAAUGACUGUGGAUGGUUGCCGUUGUCUUAAAAAGCUUCCACUCUACUCCAACAGUGUAAAAGAGUGUACAAUUGUUAUUUCAUCAUUCGGAGAGUUAAUGGUGCAAUGAGAUUUGGCAGUUAACUCUCGUGGGAAGAGCUUGAAUGGGAAGACGAAGCUGCUCGAAUUGCUUUUCAUUCCUGUUUCAAAUCUCUGAUUGGAUUGGAGAUUGCAUUUCGCCUCAGGUUCGUACUUUUCUUGAAUUUUUCUUGUUAACUUCAUUUGUUCAUUUAUCCAUUUUUUUUUAAAGGAAUCAGAAGGGUUAAUAUUUUUGGUUGUGUUAGGUCGACUUCUAAUCACGAGGCAGAAGGAGUUGAGAUGAAGUUUAAUUUUGGUGGAGAAAUUGUUUGAUUUAAAAAAUUUAAAUGAGUUGAUCAUCAUUCUUUAGCAUAUUUGUAUGAACAGGAGUGUGUAAAUAUGCAAACUGUCCAGCUGUAUGUGUGUAACGUAAUAAUUUUGAGGAGUUAAACAUUGAAGAGUAUUGAUGUUUCCAUUGUCAAACCAAAUAUACUUAAUUACUUGAGGAUAAUGAUUACUGCUAAUACAUUUGCAAAGAAAAAACAUGCCUAUUGAAAAACUCAUCUUAUUAGCAACAGCAUUAUAAGUAGUAUCCAAUCAUAGUUUCAUGCAAGAUUUUGAGAUUUUUCAAAUGCUGAUUCCGGGAAUGGAGAUUAAUAGAAAAUGGAGACAGGUUGACUGCAAUGGCUAAUUGCAAGAGGGAAUUUUAGUCGUAAAAACAGACCAACUAGCAAAGCAAAUUCCAAAUCUUGGAAUGAAGUGGCAAAAAAACGAAACAAACAAAUGGCAAGAGGAAGUGACUAUACAAUAAUAACAUCGACUUGCAAUUCAACAUUUAUACAGUUUUACACACCAAGAAAAGAGAAAAUUACAAUAGCAAUUUGGCUACUAGAAGAUGGUCAUUCAUGCUUAUGCCUGUCAUAUGGAUUUGAAACAAGGAGUAAAAGCAUUUAGAGUGGCUUCAUCCUUCCACUGCAGCUCAUUCCACCAGUGUUGCUCUCCCCUAAUAACAAGUUUUCGUUCCUUGGCGCUGUUGUAAUCGAGUGGAAGCUUCUUGAGGUUCGGGCAUCCAGAUACAAACAAUUCCAAGAGAUUUGGAAAGGGCAAUGCAUUCAAACAGAUCUUCUUCAAAUUUCUUAGAACUUGCAACCGAAGAUAUUGGAGUUUCGCAAAAGGUUUUAGCCCUGGAACUUCUUCCACUUUCCAAACACUGAUUAUUUCUUCCAUCUCAUAACAACGUUCUACAUGGACCAUCUUCAGAUUUGGGGCAAAAACAAGCCAUGUCAUCUCCCUCAAUUUACUGCAAUAGUCUAUGGUAACACUUUGAAGGCUGUUGAAACCAUAAAGUUCUCUUGUUGUUUGAACUUCUGCAUAGUCAACCUUUAGCUCUUCCAAACUUGUACAAUACACAAAAUCUAGUUUGUCAAGAUACUUGAGAUCUGCUAUGGACAAAAUAUUCCAUGACCUUGAAUCCUCACAGCGGCGAAGCUCUAAAGCAUAUUUACAACUCUUGUACUGUUGGCAGCUCAAAAGUCUUCGUAGAGCAUAAAAACUUCUUAACGUGACGCUUAAUACAUUUAAAUGUUCCAAAGUAAUCAACUCUACCAAAAUUUCACUACCACCAAAUAGAACGCUAUCUUCUGGUACUGUAUUAGCAGAGCCACAAUCUAGCAUCCUCAACACCUUUAACCCAGAAAAAUUACAAAGCAGUUGCCGUGGAAUCGUAUGGAGAUAACGCAUGUACUCCAAGUUCAAACACUUUAGAUUUUUCAAGGCUUUUAAUUCAUGUGGCAACUCUUUGAUGAAAGUUUCUGAAAGAUUAAGAUAUUGUAGUGAAACCAAUUUUGAAAUUCCUGAAGGCAAUUGACUCAAGGAGCGAUUCUUUGAUAGGUUUAAAACUUUAAGAGAAGGCAUAAAAUCGAAGAAAUCACUAGGGAUAGUAUCUAACAUAUUAAUGCCGAGGAACAAAGUUAUAAGAUGAGGGCAUAUUGGAGUUAUUGGUAAAAUCACAAUUUUAUUUCUCAUCAACGAUAUCCUUCUCUUAUCUUCCCAUUGUUUAACCUCGGGUGGUUCAGUUAAUUCAAUACCGGAAGAAACCAAAAAGUUUUCAUUCUCCACUUCACAGGCUAUCCACAAGGUCAUAUCACGAAUCACAUCAUACAGUUUUACAUAAUCUGAUCCUGCUUCUUCCAAUAGGCAUGCAUGAACAAGAACACCAAUAAUGUAGUAUCCUUGGUUAUGUACUCCGUUAAUUCCUUCAUUUUCCUUCAGAAAACCCUCACCAAUCCAACACCCGAUCAAUUCAAUUUUGCUAAUUUGAUAAUCCUCAGGAAAUAAACCACAGUAUAACAGACAAGAUCUAAGGACGUCACUAGACAAACUAUCAUAACUGAAUUUUAAAAGACGAAACACCUCUUUCUCCAUACUUGGAAAUUCAUAAGCUGAUCUCCUUAACAUCUGAAUUGCAUAGCUCCAUUCUUCGGGUGUCUUCUUGCUGCUCAUGGCACGACCGGUGGUAAUAAGUGCAAGUGGCAAACCACUAGACUCCUUUGCCACAGUUUGGGCUAACUCCGGAAUAUCGGGAUGACUUUCAAGAGUCUCUUCUCCGACCUUCUUUAGGAACAAUUCCCAAGCAUCUUGAUCUGCCAAACACUCCACCUUGAACUUUUUUUGAGCUUCCAUGAGGCCACAGACGUCCACAAGACGAGUCGUAAAGACUAUCUUUGAUGCAUUUCUUGAACUCGCAGGAAAAGGGACACCCACUUUGGCUAAAUCAAUUCUUUCCCACAUAUCAUCUAACAAUAGCAGAAAUUUCAUUUUGCUCAAUAAAUUGAAUAUGCCUGAUGCUUUCUCUUCAAAGCUUCUAUUCUGAAGCCAUCCUAUUCUUUCUCCGAUUUUCUGUUGAAUUCUCUCAAGCUGCAUGCCUUUUGACACCACCACCCAAAUCACAAUAUCAAAAUAAUUUGGUGUUUUAAGGAACUUGUUGUUGAUUUGGGUUAAUAGUGUAGUCUUGCCGACUCCCCCCAUGCCAUAAAGUCCGAUGAUUCCAAAUUGUCCUUCUACAAGACAUCUCCAAACUUUAUCAAAUGAUGAUUCUAGGCCGAUUAUUGUUGGCUGAAGAGGCCUUUCAUCCACUGCUGGUUGUGGUACCUUUUCAGCUACCACUGCAAAAGCUCCAUCAUCUAUUAAAGUAGCCACAAGCUGCAGCUUUUUAGACACCUUUUUCCCAAACUUGUAGCUUGACUUGCAGUUCUUGGAGCAGUAGCCUCCAAGACAUAGUUUUUCAAUUUCUUGAGAGCUGUCCCUUGUCAAUUCACCUACUUCAGCUUCCACAGCCUCCACCCUUGAAAGCCAACCUUGCACUCUGUUCAGCCGUCUUAGUUGUUGUUGCUCAGCAUUAGAGACCCUCAUCAUCACAUCGUUCUUUGUUUCAAUUAGUUUCUGCAAUUCGGUCUGGACGGCAACCAGGUUAUUUUCAAGCUGGCUUAGAUAUGCUGCUUUUCUGCGGGUACAAUUUAUGAAGCCAGUGGAAAGGGCAUCACAUGUAAGUUGGAUUCCCAAAAUAUUACCCAUAGUUUGUAUGAGAUUCAGAGUACAAUAGAAGGAAUGCAACACAGUAUGUAUUCGGUUGUGGUGUCUAUGAUUUUACAGUCGCAGAAGCUUUUUCACCUUGUGAGGGCUGAUCAGGUGGGCACCAUCACUCUCUUUACGCUUUAUAGAGAGCGAUAGUCCAUGUGGUCAGAUCUCAUUCAGAUAACUAGCCAAGUGGGCAAUCGCUCCACCUUAUCAAAAUUCUUCAUCUUAUAAUAAUAUCAUGAGUAGGCCUUGAAUUUUUCUUUUAAUUUUAACAUUUAAAAGGUAGAGGUGAAAAAGUCUAAAUAGUAUUUUUGUCCUCGUACUUUAACUAAAUAACAUUUCUUGAAAAUCACUCAAUCUUAAAAUUUAAUUAAGAAGAUAUUAUAGAUUUAUAAGCCCUUAAAAUUUAUUUGCAAGUAACAAUUAGAGAAAAGUCGUCAGGCCCAAAAGACUUACUAAAAGUCGUCAACUCGUCAUGACCAAAAUUCUUCCGCGUGUGAAAUACGGCAUGCGCAGAUGCAUUAAAAACAAAGGCCAGCUAUGAUAAUCUUUGUAGUAUUAAUAAUUUCAGACGCGUCGUUCGUUGCCUGUGACUUUUCAUAUGCAAAAGCGGAGUCAGUGUUACUUGCAUUCCCUGUCACCUUAUUAAUAAUUUCAGACACCAUCGUUGGUUGCCUGUGAUUUUCAUAUGCAAAAGCACAGUCAGAAUUACAAUUUUACAUUUGGAAUUGAGUGCCAUCUAUUUAUUCUAGCUGGAUCUAAAAUGAUAUUGCAGUAUUGCACUGACUUUUUAGUCACAGCGUUUCUCUAUGAAUUCCUUAAAGUUUAAACACAUCAUGGAAUAAUUAUUUUCUUAAAGACCAAAUUAACAUAAUUCUUAAAUCAUUUAUAAAACAACAUUUAUCAUAUAACAGAUCGUACAUGAAUAAAUUUACCUUGAACCGUAGCAAACAAACAAGAAUCUCAACCACAUCAAUAUCAUAACCCCUUCUGACCUUAACAAUAAUUUUAUUCGUCCUUAAUUCAUAGGUAUAAGUAUCCCAAUAUAUACUUGAUGUCAACCUUUACAAUUCUUUACAGAAUUGCAGCAGACCAAAUUUGUAUGCAAAACUGAAAUCAUACAGUAAUUGAAUACAGUGAAAAUAGACAUGAUGGGAAUUAGUAUAUAUAAAUAUCUUAAUAAUUUAAAAGUUUCUUAAACUGAUUUUACAUAUCUGAAAAAUUAUAGAAAUCGGAACUGCUGCAGAAAUCAUAAUUUUCCAGCGAAUGUGUUACAACUUCAGAAACUCAUAAGAAAUUAAAUUCUUGGGAUCACAAAAUAAUUCAAUAGAAAGCUUAAGAUGUCUAGUUCAUAAAAUCUGAUUUUUUUUUUUAAUAAGAUCUUUGGAAUUUAAGAGAUUCAGCAGUACUUUUAUUACAUCAAUUCUUCAAACAAUCACCAAUCUAACAUUCAUCAAAAUUAAGUCAUAAAAAUCAUGUGGUUUAUAAAAAAGAAUUACCUGAAAAAGAUUAGCCUUCCCCUUUCAAAAGCAACGUGAAACUCCAAAAACUCUUCUUCCAUUACCUAUUCAAACAUGAAAAAAAAAAAAAAAAAAAUUGGUAUCUCCUCUUUAAACGCGUGAUGAGUGUGCUCUGUUUUCUCUGUUCUUCUUUUUCUUUUUUAGAUUUCGAAAACGUAAAGAGUGUUGGAGUCUUUAUUUUCUAAAAACAAGACUUUUCCAUGUAUUCAAUUAAAUUAAAUUAUGUCCUAAUGCUAUGUCAGUUCCAUCAUUAACAUUUUUUUUUUUCCUUUUAACACCAACAUUAGCGUAUCUUAAGUAUCAUAAUCCAUAGUUGGACAAUUUGAAAUCUCUUCGUGUUUUAUCUCAAAGUAGAGCUUCAAACAAUUUGUACCUCACAAAUUUACAAUAUCUAUGAGGGCUAAUAAGACCAAACUCAGGCAUAUUGUCAAAUGUGCUUAUACUUUCGCUUGACAAGUCAUUUUAAAAUUGUCUUUCAAUGCCAAAAAACCACAUAAACUAAUGGUCCACUACUUUAAUUUGAAAGCAUGCAUGCGAUCGCCAAUAAUCAAGGAUGUUAGGGUCAUGCUACAGAGUAUAGAACAUGAUUUGAUGGUAUAGCCUUUUUUCUUUAUAAUUUUUAAGUUUAAUACUGUUACGUAUGUAGCACAUAAGUUGGAAAACAUAACAUAAAAUUUGAAAAAUGUGUAGUUUUCGUUCCCUUUUUUCCCCUCUAAAAAUGGGAAAAAAGAACGUAAUUUUGAUUUAUUUAAAUUACUGUUGUGAUAACAAUUUUUAUUUUAUUGAUUAGUUACCCAUACAUGUGGCAAAUUUUUUAAGAUAAGGUGAAGGAUGAAGCUCAAAUAUAUAAAUUAUAUAAUUAAUUACCCUCUGUAGUAAGUUUAAAGUUUAUUAUUUUUAACUACAUGUUUAUAAUUUAUUUUUAUUAUGUGUUAAUCUAUAGAUCUAAAUUCACUUCGGAACCAUAUACAUAUUUAGACAUAAUGUGCAUGUUAAUCUAUAGAUCUAAAUUCACUUUAGAUCUAUAUGAGUAUUUAGACAUAACGUAUUGCAACCAUAUUGGCAUGUUCUCACUAUAGUAUUGGUGUAUUGAGUAUUGACAUUAUAUCUAAUUGUCCUUAUAAAUCCAAAAAUAAUCUAGAUAUACAAAUUAACAUAAAAUAAAUAUAAUUGGUAGAAAAUGCAAAUUAUAAACAUAUAAUUGAAAAUGAUAAAUUUAAAUUUACUUAAGAAAGUAAUUAAUCACUUAUUUCUUUUUUAUAAUAUGACAAAUAUUAUAAUAAAUAUUAAUUAAUAAUAAUUAGAAUAACAAAUUAAGGAUAUUUUAGUAACUUAAAAUAAUUCAUUUUGAUUUCGAGACAAAAUAAACACAUCAAUCACAAUACAACUCAUUCUGAUUCCACUCAUUCAGAUUUCAACAUAUUUUAAUUAAUUCAAGUGCUCUCCAUUAUAAUUGAAGCCGCUGCCCCACUCGUGAUUCCAAACUUUAUCUUUUUCCUUUUUUAAAUUAAUGCAAGCAGCCGCUGUCCUUUUUAUUAAUUAAUUAAUUAAUUCGGCCUCCCACAUUUCUUUUCCUAAUGUCUUCGGCUUUCGAUUUUCUUUUAUUUUCUCUUUAUUCUUAAAAUAGACUUAUAAUAAUAAAAUAUAAAAAUAUAAAAAAAAUUAACAUAAUCAAAAUAUAAUUUAACAGAAAAUUAAGAUAAAAAAUGUGAAAAUAAUAUAUAAAUUAUGAGCGUAUCAAUCAAUAAAUGAAAAAUAAUAAUUUUUAUUUUUAUUAAAUAUAUAUUUUUCAGUAUGAAUCAGUUAUCUAAAUAACUAAAAUCAGUUAAAAAUAAAUAAAUAAAUUAUUCUUAAAAAAAAAAUUUUAUACCACUCACUAUGCUGGCUGUCAAGGGUAGAAGCUUUGGGGACUGAAGUUGGUAACUUCUACAAGUAGUCUUAAGUUGACUGGCAACAACUACAUUGGCAUGUUCAAAUGUUCUCACUAUUGUAUUGGUGUGUUGAUAUUAUCUCUAACUGCCCUAUAGAUCCAAAAAUAAUCUAAAUUUACAAUUUAACAUAAAAUAAAAUAAUUGGUAGAAAACAAUUAUGGUUCAUUUACUUAUCAGUAAUUAGAAUAAACUAAAAUCAGAAUGAGUUGUAUUGCCGUUAAUGUGUUUAUGUUGUAUCGGAAUGAAUUAUUUUAAGUUACUAAAAUACCCUUGGUUUGUUAUUCUAAUUAUUAUUAUUAUUUAAUAUUUAUUAUAAUAUUUGUCAUAUUAUUAAAAAGAAAUAAUAAUGAUGAUAAUAUUAUCAUUAUUGUUUGUUAUAUUAUUAUUAUUAAAAAAAUUAUUGUUAAUAACAAUAAUAACUUUAUUUCAAUAAUAAAAAUGAUAAAAUUAAUAAUAACAAUCAUGACAACAACAACAAUUAUUUAUUAUGCCAAAAAAUAACAAUAAUAAUAAGAAUAAUAAUCAUCAUCAUUUUUUCCCAAAGAAGCAUUAUCAUCAUCAUUUCAAAAAAAAAAAAAAAUCAUCAUCAUCAUCAUUUUUGUAGUGGCUGCCUAUCGGCUGCUGCUUUCAUGCGAGAUUGACUUGCGACGCUUCAACUGCUAUUAUUUCUGGCAAUGUCAGGUGUUGUUGUUUCAAUGGGGGGAGAAGUUGUUUCGGUGCGCUAACGAUGGGAGGUAAUGACGGUAGGUGUUGCUGCUCAAUGCGAGGUCCAUGGCCAGUUGUCUUGUUUUACAACCAGCUCUUGUAGGAAAUUCUUCAUCCAAAAUAUUUUUUUGUAACCUUCAAUAAUUGUAAUAUCAUUUGCUUCCGUGGUAGAAAAGACAACUCAUUACUAAAGUCUAGAUUGUGAUGAGACUGCUCUCCCUGCAAAAGUGAGCAAAUAUCCUAGUAGGGAUUUUUCAGAAUCAACAUCUCCUGUCAUAUCUACACACUUGUAACACAGGUUUGUCACCACCAAAAUAUAAACAUAUUCUGGAAAUGCCUCUAAGAUAUCUGAGAAUUCAUUUCACUGUUGUCCAGUGCUCUUUGCCAAGAUUGAAGAGAAACCGACUGACUACACUAAUUGCAUAGGCAAUAGCUGGUCUUGUACAAAUCAUGGCAUACACCAAACUGCCAAUUGCUGAAGCAUAAGGAACUCCUCUCACUAAGAAAUGGGUUUUGCUCUUGAGAUUUUUGGGAACAUGAAGAAUAAAGAUGUAAUUUCUUGGACUACCAUUGUUUCGGGGUAUAUAAAUAGAGGACAAGUCGAUAUAGCUCGACAGUAUUUUGCUCAGAUGCCAGAACGAGAUUAUGUCUUAUGGACUGCCAUGAUUGAUGGGUACCUUCAAGUGAAUAGGUUCAGAGAGGCUUUGACACUUUUCCGGGAGAUGCAAACUUCAAAUAUAAGGCGAGACGAGUUUACCAUUGUUAGGAUUCUUACAGCUUGUGCGAAUCUGGGGGCACUAGAACCGGGAGAAUGGAUAAAGACUUAAAUUGACAAAAACAAGGUCAAGAAUGAUAUAUUUGUGGGGAAUGCUUUGAUAGACAUGUACUGUAAAUGCGGAGAUGUUGAGAAAGCUCAAAGGGUAUUCAGGAAGAUGCUUCGAAAGGACAAAUUCACAUGGACGGCCAUGAUUGUUGGCCUUGCCAUCAGUGGCCAUGGUGAUAAAGCUCUUGAUAUGUUUUCCCAAAUGCUUAGGGCUUCGAUUAGACCAGAUGAGGUAACUUAUGUUGGUGUUCUGUCUGCCUGUACUCACAAUGGUAACGAAAUUUUUUUGAUAAAUAGUUGCAACUUAAGGUGAGAAUUGGAGGAAACGAAAUAGACUGAAGUUGUUCAAUCAUCGGUGGUUGCUAUUUGAUUUUAAGUUGUUCAAUCAUCGGUCGUCUCUAUUUGGUUUUCUCCAAUAUCUCAUCUCCAGUUUUGACUCAGAUUCUGUCUUACCACUAGUAAUUACAUAGACUUGCUGCCAAAGGUAAGAAUGGUAAUAAAUUAAAUAGAUUAUGUCGAUAACGAAAUAGAUUUACUAUUGCUAUGUGCAUUAUAUUUGGUUCCUGCAAAAUAUUUUCUCCUGCCUAAAAUUUUUUGAAUCAGUAAGUUUUUACCUUACGCAAGAAUUGUGCUAAGAGUAAUUCCAGUCUCUCUAUGUUUCAAUGAAGACGUAAAACUUGUGUUUUAGAGCACCAAUGUUAUGCUUCUUACAAUUGGAUUUUAAUUUACUUCGUAAAACUUUUGUCAAGAAGUACUAAGCGUGUAUUUGAAAUUGAGGUACUGUAGUUUUUAAGCUACAACUGCUGUGGAAAAAAAAUUGUAAUUAUGAAAUAAAAAUUAAUAAUAUAUAGUAAAUAUAAAUUUUAAAUAAUAGUUUUGAUAAAAUUAUUAAAGAUAUAAUAGUUUUUUUUAUUAUACAAGUGAAAAAUUAUAUAAACAUAGUUUUCAAGUUACAGCAGUUAGUGUUUACCAAACACUUUAGUGCUGUACUUUUUAAGUUGCAGCUGCCCAACAUCAAUCUCAAACGCACCUUAAGGAGUAGUGCGCCAAACACCAACUUUAUUACAGAGAGGACUUUGGUUAAACUUUAAGAAAAACACUCAAAGGAAGAGUUAUAAAUUAUUAUAGAAAUAUUUCACAUAAAUAAAAGCCAUUCCACAAUGCGAAGAUCUUGCUAUCAUCACCAGAAACCAUCGGGAGCUUUCAGGGUUUCCAUGAAAACGCCAUUUCAUUCCAAGAGUCAAUGGUGGGUAGAAAGUGGUGCAAACGAUACUCAUUGUUAAUGCUAUAAGUUUUUGCUAAAUUAUGUCUUACCCAAAAUGAUGAUUUAAUUUCCAUUCUCAAUUAAUUUUCAAGUUUCAACACUUUUCUUUGUAGCAUGACAUUGGAAAGGUCUUGUACUACUAAAAGCUAGCACCACACGUUAAUUAUUGUUAAGUUCUUUUUCAACGUGAAAUAAAGGAAGUAGUCCUUCGUUAAAACCAUUAUAGCCAAAUUUCAUGUAAUUGGACACUUACAGACUUUCAUUUCAAGCUGGAAUUUGGUCCAACGUUUCAAAGUUGACCCAACUAAUUGUCUGAUCAAGUCCUACACAGCUAAGACCCUCAAUGAAUGAGGGUGAGACUGCUAAAAAUUACGACAGUUGAUAUUAUUAUUAUUAUUAUUAUUUUGGGAUAAAUCCUCACCAAGGUGAGUGAGGAGAUUUUAUCAAAAUAAAAUAAAAAUAUAACAAGAAAACUAGCUAAAUUAAAAUAUUACAAAAGCUAGAUGAACUGAAAGGCAGCCUAAAAACAACCUUAUGGAAAAGAGAAGCAACAUGCUAGUAUUCCAAGCUUCUUGUUAUAAAAGUGUAGAAUGAAGUAGGUGACGUAGUUUUAAGUUACACCUCCAUGCCCAAUCACAAUAUCAAAUAAUGCUUAAAGUAGUUAUAUUAACUCUUAAAUUUAUAAAUAAUUAAAUUUGUAAAAGUAUGGAUUUAUAUUAAAAAAUUUAUAUAUAAAUAAAUAAUAUAUGCAUUUUUACAACAUAGUCUUUAAAUUUAAACUUUUCUAGAAAAAUCUUCUGGAUAUCUUUUCUAUUAAAAAAGAGUUUCUCAAAAUUUAUAAAAGUAACUUAAAGUUUUGUCUUCCCUUUUCUUUUAGCUUAUACAUAUGUGUGUGUAUUCUUUUAUAGCAAUAACUAACGUUAUUUAUUUUUAAAUCAUAAAAAAAUUAUGAAAAAAAAAUGUACCAAAUUUAAUUGGACCCAGCACAAUGCACAUGCAUAGAACACAUUCUGAAAAGCCAUGCUAUUCGGAAAUUGACGAAUGGAAAGUGAAGAGGCAGCAGUCAAUGCUAUUUCGGCUUGGCCCAAAAUUUCACCAGUUUGUUAAUCAGUGUUCUGCAGCUCUUGCUGCUUUCCUAGAGAUUCUGCAUGUUUUGCAAUCUGAUAGAAUUAAAAAAAAAAAAAAAUUAGUGGCCAUUUGGAAUGGAGGAGAGAUUUGUGUGAAUGGUAUAGGUGAAAAAUUGGAUGAAAAUAAACAGGCAACCGUCCGUAUAAAACAACAAUAACAAUAUACAAAAAGAUAAGUAAUUCACGAAAGGAAAUUUACGGUUGUUUCUGAAAAACAUACAUAUUAAUUUCACUUAUACUCUAAGAUUUGCCAUCAUGACUGGGCUUGUGAGGAAUUUGGAAACAUGUAUGAUGUAGAAAUGCUGAAGUAGCUUGAACCAGAUGGUGAAAUCGUCUAGCGGUCAGCGGGACAUGAAGCUAUAGGGGUUGUUAGUUGUGUUUUGGAUAUUUACAGACAUGCUGAGUUUGAGUUUAUAUCUUAACUUAAAAUUUGUAGUUUUCACUUGAAAAGAUUCAGUUAAAAAUUGAUUGGUAGAAUUGUUAAAAAGUCUAAAUUUUUAGUUCAAACCUAUUGCAUAUUUAAGAACAUCUCAAAUGAAUUGUUUAUUGCUAUCGUCAUCAUCAUUGCCCGUAUAAUUAUUAUUAUGUCUUUAUAAUUAUUAGUAUCGCUGUUAUUAUUUUUAUGGGUAAAUGGGCUUUCUAUCCUGGCAAUUUAAGCCAAUUACCUAACUAAUCCAUGUAAGUUUAAAAAUGUUUCAAAAGAUCUUUAUUUUAUAUAUGUUUCCACUAAAAUUUAUUUAAUUAUUCUUUAUUUUUCAAUUAUUGCAUGUUGGAUUUUUUUGAGUUCUAAGCUAUAUCAAUAGAAAUGUUAUCUUAUAUAUCCACAAAAAGUUAGAUCCAACAAUUAUGAAAAUUACUAUAGAGCUGCUUUGAAUAAUUUUUAAAAAAUACCACAAGUAAAUAAUAAUUAGUUUAAAUAGUGGAGACUAAAAAGCAUUCACCCUUAUUUUUUAUCUGUUAUUUGUAUUUUUUCCCGUUAAUGCACAUGUUAUACAUUUGAAACAUUCCGUUAAUUGCCAAUUAUGUAAGCGAGAUAGUAAUUUAAAUUUUUUUUUAAAAAAGUGAAAAUUAAUCCUAUGCAAUGUGAAUAAAUUUCUUUCCUUUUUCCUUCACUCUUUUUAUUUGAUAAUUAAGUUUCAAUCUAUGUACGCAAAAUUUCUGCAACAGGUGCAAAACAUAAAAAUAUAUGAUUGUUAAGGGAAACACGCGGAAGCUCAUCAUUUCAAUGUUCAGUAUUUCCAAUUUUGGCAUACGAAUAUAUUUCACUUAGAAAGCCAAAUAUUAGAUUUGUGAUUUUAAUUCAUUCAUCAUAUCUCAUUUCAAUCCCAAAAUAUUCAAGAGGAUCCAAGUUACCAUAAGACUUCAGAGGCUCGAGCCUUAGCCAGAGACGGUUAAUUGAUAGACUAUGUGCCCGGGUCGAGCACUGGAAGCGUGCAAUGCAGACUGAUUGAUUUAUCAGUUUGAUGUGUGCCAGGAAUGAAGAACUGGAAUAUCACCGUCAAGCAAGCACCCAGUGAAGCAAUACCAUAGAAUGCACAAUCCGGCCUUGCUAGGUGACACUGGGGGCUUUUUGAAAAGUGCUUCAUGCUCACUUGCACAGAUUGAGCAUCCCCUCUGGAUAUUGCCCUCUCUGAUCGAGUCAGAGCACUCAAAUUUCGGUCCUCAGAUGGAGCUACAGCUUUCUCUCCAAUAACCAACAAUUUUCUAAACUCAGCACCUAGUGUGAUCAGAGUUGUUGAUAUUUGUAAAUGGAGAUCCCCAUAUUUGCAAAUGGAGACAUUUAACAAAUCACCAACAUGCUUCAUCCGGUCUACGAAAUUCUGCAGCUGAUUCAAAUCCGGAACCUGAACCAGAGUCGGAGGUAAAUCUUGAGCCAUAUCUAAAGCAGUUUGAAGUUCAAGUACUUGAGCCCUCGACAGUGGUUUUGAAAUUGGAACAUCUUGAAUUACUGCAGACUUGUACCCUUUGGUUUCAAAGGUAAGGAAAGGCAUUGCUUGAGUACAAUUUGGAGGCAGCUUCUUCACCAAUUUUAUUUGGAGGCGAUUGGCAGCAGAUCCAGCUGCACCAUUUUCAGAGCAAAUACUGACACUACUUCAAACAGCACGCUGAAGAAGCGCUAUGUCUACGGCAAAGGCAAUGCAGUCCUCAUUUUGGCUUGAGAUGCGGUAAUCAUCGAAGAGAGUUUCCUUAUGAAACUGGGCAACACAUUGAAUCCCUUCACCACUGAGAAGGUUGUGGAGGAAGUACGCUUUCUCUCUAGUGAGGAAGAGGUGGCAUACCUUCCCCAUUUUGUCUAGGGCAGUUAGGAAUCUUUUUUCUAAGAGAUUUACUCCAUUCUCUGUGAGAAAUGCUUUGAACUUCAUCCCUCUGUCUCUAUCCUCACUUAUCAGUAAAACAGUUGAAAGUGAUACAAGGAGAGAAAAGGAGAGUACUAAGAUAUAUAGACAAGAAAAACAUUAGGUGUCGAUCUUACAUGUUAAUACUUCAAACAGUAUCCUAGAAAGCUAAAAACUGCAGAAUGGCUUGAAAUUUGAAAAGAACACAUGCUUUUCCUCCUUAACUUGAGAAAAUGUUUAACAUAGCGCGCCUUACAGAAGCAAGCAAUUAGAACUUUGCACAAAAACAUUCAAGAAGACCAAUAUUUCAACUAUUUUACUGAUGAAAAUCUCAAAGCACAAAUGGCAUUGCAUUUUGUCCUCAACUGUAAUAUUUAUUGAUGAAAAUCAGUACAGGUCCCUCAUUUGUUAUGGAAAGCUUUCUUGCAAAGUGACGGACAUUUCUUUCGAUUUAAAGUCUUUGCAUCACCACUUCAUCACACACCAAGCCAAUAUUCUGUCUACCUCUACAACAAAAAGUUUUAAGUAAACGAUCCUAAUGCACGCAGCCAAAUAAAAUGCAGUAAGAAUAUUCAACUUAAAAAUCUGAAAGUCAACUUGGUGAAUUGCCUUCUUAGGGGAAGUUCCAUGAUUUACUAUACUAGACAGAACUGAGCAAAAGCUUCCAUACGACAGAUUUUGACAAUAAUGAUGCCAACAGAUCCUCAUUAAAUCCAUUAAAACUCCUAAGGUUCAUUGUUCAUGGAUGUUUACAGAGUGAAAAUUAGAUCACCAGCAGCUAAUUGUAAAUUCAAACUUAACUCUUCAUCUCCUUUGUAAACAGGAAACAAAAUGGAGACACGCAAAAUGAAUAAGGAGAACAUUUGAACUCAAAUGAAAUGAGGGCACGAAAGCAAACAAAUGGCAUGCACAAACAAACCAAGCCUCAAUAAAAAACUAAUUAACCAUUAAAAAAAAAAAAAACUGGUCAGAGAAUGAACUCCAAAUUCGGUUCGGGAGUGAAGCAAGAAGCUUUAUUAUUUCAGAAGCUCCUGUACAAAUUAAUAAGUUAUGCUCUUUGGAAACAAACCUAAAUUCCAUGAGAAACAGAACUCAAAAAAUUUGCAAUUAUACGCCAAGGAAGUGAAGCACAGCAUUCUAUCACACGUACGAAUUGUAUAACAAGAGAUCGACACAUCGAAUCAGAAGAACUCAAUUCAAAUUUGUCUCAAAAAUCAAAAUUAGAAGAUUUCACAUUUCGAGAGGAACAAGGGACAGGUCAGAUGCAAAAUUUUCAGCCACAACAUGCCACAAUUAACGGUUUAUUUCCAUGGAUUUAGAGAGCUAACUGACCUUUUGGCUUUUGGAAUUGAGAAGAUCGCGCGCCAAAAUGGAAGAGGGAAAGCGAAAGUGCGGGUUUUAAUAGGGUAUUGGAUUAGCAAAUUUUAUUAGUUUGCGGGGGUAAAAUAGGAAAGAGAUAUCACUAUUAACCUUUUUUUUAUAAGAAAAAAGAAUAAUAAAGAAUAUUUUAUUGUCAUUUGCAGCCUUUAAUUUUUUUUUAAAUGCUAUUAGAAAAAUACGACGACAAAGAAAUGCUAUUUUUUUAUUUUUUUCUUGAAGGUGAAAUCAAUUAUUUAGCUCCUUAUAUGUAAUCAAACUCCAUUUCUUACUUUAAGUCAUAUCCAACGGACCAACAAAAUAAUUAUUUUUUUUUCAUUCAUUUUUGCAGAAAAUUAAUAACUUAAAAAUAUUGAAAGCUAUUGUAAAAUUUUUUAUUAUCAACCUCAUAAUUUAAUUUUUUUGGGGAAGAAUUGAAUUUUUUUUUUUAAUUUCCAAGAAUUUCAUUCUCUAGUUUUUCCAUUAAUAUUACUUAUCUUCAUACCCAUCUUAAUUAAAAUCUGUAGUUUUAUUCAAGAGUCAUGCUAUUCAUUCACUCGGACCAAAGGCUUUCCGCAGCAAUAUUAUUAUUUAAAUUACAACAAAGGGGAAAUCAAAUACGUCAUACAGAGGCUUAAAGCUCAAUCUACAAAAUCUAGAGUUCUCAACUACAUAAAUUACACUUGAUGAUCCUCUACAAGAUGAAUCUUGUUCAAUAUCUCAUCCAAAGCUUAUAAAGUAACCUUGUAACGAUCUUGAGAUUGCCUGCCUUCCUCGACGACCUGCACCAUGCGUUUGUACAAAUCAUCUGUGAUCAAGAACAUAAGAGCGUUUAACAUCUUUUCUCCAUCGAGAAAGAAUGUAGUGAGAUGGGAUCUCCUCCAUACCACUCUGGUUUAGAACACAAAGAAUGUGUCUGCAUAAAUAUCCUCUGAAAUUGAACAACCCACAAACACAAAGCACCUCCAAGUCGGAGGCAUUGUACAAAACAUCGAAAGCCCUUGAAUCUUUCUCGUUGCUACCAACCUCAAAUUCUUCCUUCACUAUGUAUGUUAUAGGUCCAUCAGCACUGACAUGUUUUGUGCUAUAGCAAGAGUACAUAGCCUCCACCUCCAUCUGAAACUUCCUUAACAUUUCAUUUGUGUACAGUUUUGAGAGUUGAAAUUCAUAGGAACAUCUUGGUUUCUGGAUACAACUUGAAUUUCUUGAAUCCAUAUCUGCCAAGGCUUCCAGUUGAUAAUUCGCCUGCAGUGCUUGAUCAUAUUUGUCUAAGUAUUCUUUCAAAGGAGUAUUCUUAUCAAGAUAUCCUUCAAAGUAUGAAGUAGAAACCUCACUCUGCAGGAAUGAAAACACUCCUGAUAAAAAUGUUUCCUUCAAAUAAACAGGAGCCCAACUUUUACGAUCCUCAUAUAAAGUUUGAAUCCAUCCAUGAUCCCUUAUUCCAUGACGUUGAAUCGUGUCCUCCCAAGCUGUCUCAAAUUCCUCAGGCCUAAGAGAGUGACAAAUUGCUCUAUGCAAUGCAGCUCUAAUAGCUUCAUAUUCAAAAUAUCCUUGGAGAUUCUCUGGAAUUUUUUGCAUGACGCAUGACAAUGAAAAACAAUGAUAAGCUCUUGGGAAAACAUCGCCGACAGCAGUUUGCAAGAUCUACAUUGGUCAGUGAUGAUUGUUUGUGGAGAGCGUCCUAACAUACAUGUAAGCCACACCCUAAACAACCAUGUAUAUGAUUCUAUAGUCUCACCGGCAAGUAAACCACAGCCCAACAGCACUGAUUGUCCAUGAUGAUUCACCCCAAUGAACGAAACCAGCGUUGCAUCAUAUCUUUCUGUCAAGCAUGUAGUAUCAAUUGAUUUGAGCUAUUAACAUCAUUUCCAAAUACUCCAUUGGCAUCUACAUUACCAUUUCCCUCGGCAUCAAUGAUAAGAGUUCGAAACAGUCUAAUCUUUUGAACUUCUUCAGCACCAUCUAAGAGCAAUGUUCUUUUGGUUCCAAUACCCAUGUGCUUAUGAGACUUGUAAAACUUCCCGCUUCUUGGGCUUAACAAGUGGUUAUGCUCAAGCUCGACUUCAAUGAUUCUCCACCUUUUGGUUUCCAUCAACCUAAACUUUAUCAUUGCUGGACAGCCCGUUCUUGUUUCUGGUCUUGGGCGGUUUGCCUCGCUUUUCUUCUUGAAGCCUGCAUUACUACAGCUGAGCUUUCCUUUAUACUUUUCUCUACUCUUUUGGUACCAUGUAUUGCUAACUCCAACACCAAAACCCUGUUCCUUGGCAUAGCAAUUAUAAAAGUAAUAUACGUCAUCAUACGUCUCAAACUCCAUUCCAACAGCAGGAGGCAAUGGAUUUUGGAUUAUCCCAGUUUGUCCAACAUAUUCAGUCAUCGCACAAUCUCCUACGACCUCAAAAUCAUCAGCUUCAUCAUCACCUACUGGUUCAGUAUUCAGAGAAACUUCAUCCAUCUACAAUAGAUGUUUAAUGAAGUGAGCUUUAAGGAGAAAAAGCAAAAUCAGUUCAAGGAAAGAUAAUAUAACCAUACAGUUACUUUCACAAAGCUGCGUAUUUCAUCAAUACUUUAACAACAUACAACUGCCUGAGAACAUAUAGACAUGUCAUAGACGUUUGAAUUAAGUAUUGGUACAAAUUAGCACACAUCAUGUGGGACACAAUUUCAGUCACUAAACCCAAUGCCUUUUUUUUUUCACAUCAUACCAAGGAACGGAUUAAACCCAAUACCUUCUUUUACGCCAUACCAAAGAACAGAUUAAAUCAUCAAUGAAAAUUUAAUCAAAUAAUAAUUUAACUAGACAAUUGAAGAGCUUGAAACAGCACAAAACUUGAAUCUGAUUAUGAUAAUUGUUGAGUCCUUGUAUCCACAGCUUUCCUUCAAUGAGAAGAUUAUGAACAUAAACUACACAUAAAAAAAUUAUUUAAACUGACAGCCCAUGAUAUAAAUCAAACAAAAUUAACUCCUUUUACAAAUCACAUCUCGUAUUCAGUUACAUUGAAACACAAAAAAGGAAGCAGGAGCCGGAGAAAAACAACAACAGAGAAACUUAUUUCCAGAAGGUUUACGAAAUAAGGAAUUUAUUAAGACACAAAAUUUGAGGUCAACAAUAAGAAUUUGGUUCUCAUUCUCUUUUUCUUCAUUUUUCACUUAUUGAUGGAGUUAGCGUACAAUCCUAUAUGAUAAAACCCCAUCUCCAUCUUUUUGAACUAGAGCUAAAGCAAAGCAUUUUAAGAUGUUUUUCCCUAAAAGACUCAAUAGUACAAUGCUUUUCAAUAUUAAAUACACAACUCAAUCUUCCCCUAAUUUACUCUAAUAAUCUCUUAACUAAGGAAGAUUAAGCUCCACUUGUAAGCUAAAACAAGUUUCUUAAAUCAAGCCCCAAUGCUCUAUACUAUUCAACAAGGCCUCAUAAAUGAUAAAACUACCUCUGCAAAGAUACCCAUUUUAAUUUCGCAAACUAAAAUCAAACUUCUGAAACGUAACGAGCAUUAAAACAAACAAGUCCGAACAAGAACUGAAAAAUGAUACGUAAACCCGUUUACACGUUUCGACAAACACUUUCCAAUCAAUGAGCAAAAAGGUUAAUGGAAAACAUGAAAUUCAAACAAAACAUACCUUAGGUUGAUAAAUUAGUAGGGCAAAAGAAAUUUUAGCGAGAUAUGGGAUCAGGGAUUUUGCCACGGUGAUGUUAAUUGCGACAUUCGGGUGACUCAGCAGCCUUCGAGGCUGAAACUUUGAUUGACCAAAAGGUUCCCGUUCGUUGAUUCUCUAAUUGCAGAAACGAAACUGGCAGUGUACAGAAAAAGUACGCUGAUUUGAUAAUUCUGUGAAAAUCAUUGUUUUUUUCAGAUUUUAAUGUGUUCGAUAAAAUAUCAAAAUCUCAAAAACUUUUGUCUUUCAUUUUGGGGGGAAAAACACACUGAGAUCCUUAUGUUUUUUCUUAUAUAAUCUGGCUUAAUAAUUUGCAAAGUCUAUUACUUUGCACCCAUGCAUGCUGCGUUACAAUUUACAAAAUUGUACGUGAGUGCAUCCAGCUAAAAUUUGUAAAAAGAAAAUAACAAUAACAUGUUAAAAAUGUGAUUAUUAUGAAGAAAUUUUAAUUUAGUUAAAUAGGUGACGAUGGAUAGGUAUAAAAUCUGAGAUCUUUUAUGAGAUUAAUAAAUAUGUUGAGUUUGGAUUAGUUCAAUUUUGACAUAAUACAGAAUAAACACAACCUGCUAAUCUAAGUUACCAUCUUUUCCCGUCAUCAGGUACCUGUUUGAAAAAUAAUUAUAUACAAUUUUAUUUGCGUUGUCUCUCUAAAAAUUUGGGACUCAAAUGUUAUUUCUAAUUGCUAAAAGUACGAAAAUGCCCCAUUUCUCUUCAGCUAAAGGAGUGCAAAGUCAUCUGUAUAAUUGAAGCUGCAUCAUCAGUUUCUAUUGCUGGUGUUUACUGCAUGCUUACAGUUGCUUGACAAAGUGAGCCAGUUUUUUGUUUAUUAAUUUUUUUUCUUGUCGAGAUAGUCACAAAGUAUUACUUGUUCUAUAUAAGAAUGAUGUGAAUCAAUUUUUCAAUUAUGCAUUCUGUGGUAAUUGUGAAUUUAGUUUCAUUUGUCUUGUCUCCUGCAAAUUUUGAAGAAAAUGCAGACAUACAAACUUACAAUACGGAAGAGUUCACAGGCAAAAACUUUGUGAAAGCUUCCAAGUGAAACAGGGAAUGCGCUUACUAGUAAAGAACAAAUUGGUGGCCAGCUAAUGCAUUCAUUCUAUGUCCAUUGAUCUUUUUGAGUUAUUGAAGACAAGUGGCUCACCGCUUUUAGUAUUGGUAAAAUUCAGAUAAUCUCUAUUCCGAAAUAAUAAUAUUCAAAAUAUCUCUUAAAUCAUUAUAAACCUCAAAUUUAUUUUAAUUUUAUUUAAAAGAUAAAAGAAAAAUAGGUUAUGUUGGUGAUUUUUUAUUAUCUUUUUAAUAAAAAUGAAAUAAAUUGAUGUUUAUAAUUAAUUAAAGUAUUUUAAAGAUUGCCAUUUUAUGAGAGAAUAAUAUUUCACUUUUUUUAGUGUGAAAGACCGAAAAAGGACAAAGCAAGUUUCCCUAAUUUUUAUUUUAUUCGAAAUUGGUCAUCUCAUAUACUUCACCCUUCAACAUUAUAAUUUUUUUGGUUAUAAUUUUAUUAUUUUUUUUUCUUUUACACAUGCAUGUGAAUUACUUUUCUUUAAGCUCCUGAAUAUUUAAGACAAAUCAUGGAAGAGAUGAGAGUAUAACAAGAUGAUCAAAAUAUGUAACAAAAAAAUUUUAGAAGUGAAAAAUAUGUUAGAGUCGAAGUAAAACUCUGAGGUGAUGUUUGAUUUGAAGAAAAUGGAGGAGAGGAAAUGAGUGGAAUGGAGAGGAAAAGAGAGAAAAGGAGAGGAGAGGAGAGUGAAAUUUUUUUCUAAUGUUUGGUUUGUCACAUAAUUAUACAAAGAAAAGAAAUCUCUAAUUUUUUAUUUAGACAAUUUUAACCUUAAUAAGUAUUAAGCUUUCAAUAUUUAUCAUGUGUAUAAUUUAAAAAAAGUAAAUGGUAGAAAGCGGUUUCUGAUUCCGGCCACAUCGCCGGCAAUGGAAGGUACUUAUCAGAACAUCAAGAGCCGACCAUCAUUCCCUAGCCAUCACUGCUGUCGGAACACUGCCAGAAAGCUGCCGAUUGAACCGCAAAAAGUCGUGGAAAUCGCUGCCUCAAAUCGGUGAGUUUCGCCUUUUUCUGGUCACGCCGUCACCUUGGCUUUGUCCAUCAAGGCUGCCACUUCCAUUUUCAACCAUCCAUAGCCACUAUUAACGGCCAAAUCGCCGCCGAUCAGCGGGAUAUGUGGAAGUUAAAAAGUUUCUAAAUUUUUUUUAACUGGAUUUGAACAACAUACGACCAUUUUUUGAUCUCGAUAACGACGUAGUAAUGUUGAUCAUUGGUCGGCAAGUCGAAUGGUAGUGGCGGUGAGUAACACGCGCCAAUGACAUCGGCGGCGGCACUAUCCGGCGACUGUUAAAAUUAAUAUUUUAUAUUUUUAGAUUAAAUAAAUUUAUUUUAUUAAACUUUUUAAAUCAUUAUUUAAAUUUAAUUAAUUUAAAAUUAUCUAUAAUGUUGAAUUGAUAAAAUAAAUUUAUAAAUAAUAAUUAUGUGAUUACAUUAAAUAAGUUAAAAAGUUGAAAGGUUAUUUUUGGAAGAUUUAGUUUCCAACACAAAGGGAAUUUGAAUUCUUCACUUCUUAGUGUGGAAUUCAAAUUCUAUAUUGUAAUGGAUAUUAAAUUCCAAUAGAAAUUAAAUUCUUAUAAGUUAUGUCAAACCAAACAACGGAAAUAAAAAAGGAAUUUAAAUUACUUUCCUUUCCUCCACCCUCUCCUUCCAACCAAAUACAUCCUGAAAAUAGAGAUAUUGAUUAAUUUAGAAGAGAUGCAAGCAAAAGAUAUUCCAAAAAAAAAAAGCAAUAUGUCCCUUUGGAGGGCAAACUUGUCAGUUUUAAAAAAGUACAUGCUUUGGAUUGAUAGUUGUAGGAUAUUUGUUUUGUCACUAUGUAUUAGUUGGAGAAGUCAAGCCUUGUGAAGAAUGUUAUGAAAGAGCAAAUGUUAGAGUACAAUUUAUGCACUAGUUUUGCAUUGUUUACUUCCAUUAAUAUCGAUGUUUUGCACUUAAUAAUAGUGAUUUACUUGUGUUUUACUUUUGUAGGUGCAAUUCUAUUGAUUGGUGAUAAAAUUGAGCUAUAAGAUGAUGUUUAAGGAUGAUUGUUCUCUUGGAGAAAUUUAGAACGUCAGAAGAACUUUGUUGAUAAGGCAUGGGCGCGUGCUGUCAACUGCGGACCUGCAGUUUUUAGUUUAACGUGUUUUGUAUUUUUGGUUAUUUUUGUAAUUACGAAUUUAAUAUUUCAGAUAUUAGUAUUUUAUUUUAAAUAGAAUUCUAAAAGAGAGGAGAGAGAGAGUAUUUAAGGGAGGAAUCUAUUGUGAAAAAUGGGGAUUUUGGAUUGGAGAAAGAAAGAAACCCUAGAUCUAAUUUUUCUCUUCUCUCUAUGAAGAACUAAACUUAUUUUUCUGGUUGAAGGUUAAUGAAGCUUUGAUUCAUCACUACUGUGAGAUCUUUCUUGUGCUUUAAUUGUUUUAUUGCUUUUUGGGUAUUUGUUUAUUCUCUGAAUUAUUUUCAUGAUUAUGUUUGUUAAUUAGAUAAUUGGCCACUAUUUAAUUAUCAACUUAAUCUAUUGUCAAUUAAAGGAUUCAUCGUAUGAAGAAUUUAAUGUUUGUGACAAAUAACAUAGCAGAGAGUUGUGUUGUGAGAAUAAACAAUCUAAUUUAAAUGAAUCAUCAUAUGUGUUGAUUAGGAUUUGGGUCUCUCUGGUUUUUCAGGCUGACAUUGAUUAAAUCCUAUGAUCGUAUCUAGGGUUGUCUAUUGAUUAGGGAAAUAACCAACGGUCGUACCUUGGUUAUCGACUAGUUAAGGAGAGAUUGGCUAUUAGAGGUUCUCAAUAGUUAUAACCGAUCUAUUCAUAAGUAAUAAUAAUCUAUAUUUGAAUCAAUGAUCAGUAGUCGAAUCAAGCUGAGUUAAUUCCUUCAACCAGAGCUUUCUCCAAUUUGAAUUACAACUUUAAUUUGCAUUCUUGUUAUUUUGAUUUGAUUUUUAUUAUUGUCAACAAUUCCCUCAUUUUACGUUUUACGUUUCAAAAGGAUUUAAAUAAUUACCGAUCUCUGUGGACACGACCCUGCUCAAUCACUAUACACAAUUUAUUUAGAGUAUGAAUUUAUUUUUAUUGGCUUCGACACCCAUCAGCAAAGGAUAUUCCUGAUAGCUGAUAGAGCUCUAUUUGAUUAUGUAUCCAAUGAAUGGAUGUGUUGUUGGAAGAUAUCUGAGUGCAUUAGUUCAUAUGUGUCUGUCAAUGUGCUUUUAAUGAUUUUUCCACUUGUUUGUUGUAAAAGAUUAUUGUAAAUUGAAAUGAGCUUGAUGUUGUAAUAUUUUUUCCUUAGUGGAAUUUCACCUAGUAUGUAUUCAGUUGUGUUCUCUAUAAUUUUGCAUUCGAAUAAGUUUCACCUAAAAUAUUAGCAUGAGUAGUGGCCUUUGAAACUUUGGUCAAAAUUAUUGUUAUUAUUUCCGACUAGAUGUAAAUUUUUUAUUAAAUCUCGUUAACACAAUUCUUAAUUAAAAGUAUAGGUUAGUGUUGGUGCAAGAUUUGCCACACCAAAUUCUGCCUAGCUGUCAAAAGUGCAAAAUAAAUGAAGAGAAAGCACAAAUACACGACUUGAAUAAGGAUACAACGAAACUUAAUUUCAAGAGAAAAUGAUAGCUAUAUCUCAAGAUUUGAAAAAAUGGUCAUGUAGAUUUUUAAGAUUUCAAUAAGCGACUGAGAUUCAAAUAAUAUCCUUUAAUUCUAUUAACAAAAAACAAAGACUCAAAUAUUUUAUGAUAAAGAAAAAUAUAAUAUUAAAAUAUAUGUGAUAAUAUACACAUUUUAAAUACUUUUAAUCCAAAAAAAUAGUUAUGUUUUACAAUCUAUUAGACAUAUUUUAUUAAAUUAAUAUAAAUUUUCUAUAAAAUAAUAAUAUAAUAUUAAAAUAAAUUCACAAAAAUUUAAAGAAUUUUGAAUGUAAAAUAAUUUUAAUAUAUUAAUACGUGAGUUUUUUAUUAAUAUAAAAAUUAUUUAACUUUAAGAUUUUUUAAAAUCUUUACAAUAAGUAUAACUAUAUUAUUUACAUUUAAAAAUAUUUAAAUAUUAUUAACCUACAAUUAUAUUUGCAUUUGUUAGAAAUUUUUUAAGUCAAAUAUUUUGCACUUCUAUAUUAUUAGAAUUAUUGCACACAAAGAAAGAAACAUAUACCUUUAGAAAUUGUUUUCUUUUAAAAUAGAGAUGAUGAUUAGUAUAAGGAUGAAAAAAAGGAUAUUAACGAAAUCUCUAUACAAAUUGAUUUUAGUAGGAAAAAAAUGAGUUAAAUGAUUUAGAGUGCGUUUGGAAUUGAGAUUGGGCAGUCAUAGAUUUUAAGUUACAACACUGAAGUGUUUGGUAAAUACUAGCUACUGCAGAUUGAAAGUUAUGUUGAUAUGAUUUUUCACAUGUAUCAUAGAAAAUAUAUUACAUCUUUAAUAAUUUUUUUAAAAUUUAUAUUUGCUAUAUAUUAUUAUUAUUUUUUUUUAUAGUUAUAACUUUUUUUCCAUAGCAGCUGUAGCUUAAAAGCCACAGCACCUCAAUCUCAAACAAGUCCUUAGACAUUCAUAGUGUGUUUAUUUUUUGGAUUGGUGAAUCAAAAUUAUUGACAACGCUAACUUCAUCUUCACCGUUCGCAAUCCAACAGCAGCAAUUGUCACCAAUAAUGAUAUCUCCAAUGAUGAUGACAAUUAUUAUUAUUAUUAUUAUUAAUUAAUUAAUUAAUUAAUUAAUUAAUUAAUAUAUUAAUGUUAAUAUUAUUAUUGUUAAGAUUAACAAUAAUUAUUAGUAAUACAAUUUUUUGAAUAAAAAUAAUCACAAUAAUUAAAAUACAAAUUAAUAAUUAUGACAAUAGUUAAUUAAUUUCUUUUUAGUAAUUUGUAACAAUCUAACUCAUUUUAAUUCUGAUUAUUACAGCUUAAGUAAACAAAUUAUUAUGAUUCCUAUUCUCCUUUCCCAUUUUAGCUCACUUCGAUUCCAGUCUAUUCCGAUUUCUAUCUAAUAAAUGCACCAUUAGUGCUAAAGUAAUAUUUCAUACAUAGAAAAGUAAAAACUACACCUAAGGUUAAGGGAAAGGACUUCAAAACUCUCUUUUGAUCAUAAUACAUUUUGUCCUAAUUAACUUAAAGAUUUUGAAUCUAAUAUUUUAUAAUAAAUAAAAAUAUAUUCCUAAAAUAAAUAUAAUAUCAAUAUUUAAAAUAUGUUUUAAUAUUUUACAAUCUAUCAUACACAUUUUAUUAUAUUAAAGUAGAUUUAUAAUAAAUAUAUAAAAAAUUUAGAAUAUUUAGAAUAUUAUAUAAAAUAAUUUUAAUAUAAUGCGUGAGAUAUAUUUUAUUAAUUUAAAAUGUCAUUUUACCUAAAAAAUAUGAUAAAUUAAUAAUUACAUAUUUGAAGUUAUUUCAAAUAUUAAAAAAAUUUAAUAUUAUUAAUCUUUUAGAUAGAUUAAAUUAUUUUUCAUAAGAGAGAUUAAUCUUUUACUAAAAUUUCUCUUCCACAGCCCACCGCAGCUUCAGUUAAUCAAACUCCAUCAAUUUUCUUUCUUAACAAAAUUCUAAAGAUGUGUAGCAUUUUUCAGAUCACAUGCGAUGGUGCUUUUUUCAAUCGUUGCUUGGAUUGCUUUCUUGGAAAAGCAGCAUACAUACGUAACCUCCAAGAUAAUCUUGAUGCCUUGGAGACUGAAUUGGGAAAUCUGAUCGCUAGAAAGAACGAUGUGAUGAGGAGGGUUGUCGAUGCUGAACGGCAACAAAUGAGAAGGCUGGACGGAGUGCAAGUGUGGGCUUCGAGGGUGGAUUCUGUUAAAACUGAAGCUGAUCAAUUUAUAAGAGACGGCUCUCGAGAAAUUGAAAAAUUAUGUGUUGGAGGCUACUGUUCCAAGAAUUGCAUGUCAAGCUACAAGUUCGGGAAAAAAGUGGCUAAAAAGCUACGGGAUGUGCGGUCUUUAAUCAGUGAAGGAGUUUUUGAAGUGGUGGCUGACAGAGCUCCAGAGUCUGUAGCAGAUGAAAGACCUACUGAGCGAACAGUAGUAGGCUUGCAAUCACAACUUGAACAAGUCUGGAGAUGUCUUGUAGAAGAAUCAGCGGGAAUCAUUGGCCUAUAUGGUAUGGGCGGUGUUGGUAAAACUACACUACUGACCCAUAUCAACAAUAAAUUUCUCGAGAGUCCAACCAACUUUGAUUGUGUGAUUUGGGUUGUAGUUUCAAAAGACCUGCGACUCGAAAAAAUUCAAGAAGAUAUUGGGAAAAAGAUAGGUUUGGUUGGUGAUUCAUGGAAGAGUAAAAGUGUAGAGGAGAAAGCUGUCGACAUCUUCCGGAGUUUAAGAGAGAAGAGAUUUGUAUUGUUGUUAGAUGAUAUAUGGGAGCGGGUUGAUUUAACAAAGGUGGGCAUUCCACUUCCCGGACCAAAAAAUACUACCUCAAAAGUCGUAUUCACAACCCGUUUCAUCGAUGUUUGUGGUAGCAUGGAAGUUGACAGGAAGUUUCAAGUAGCAUGCUUAUCAGAAAAGGAUGCUUGGGAACUGUUUCGAGAAAAAGUUGGGGAAGAAACUCUUCAGAGUCAUCAUGAUAUCGAUGAGCUAGCCCAAAUUGUGGUCAAAGAGUGUGGUGGUUUGCCACUCGCACUUAUUACUAUUGGUCGAGCUAUGGCCUACAGAAAGAAAGCGGAGCAGUGGAGACGUGCAAUUGAAGAGUUAAGGAGAUCAGCUUCAGAGUUUGCAGGUUUGGGAAAAGAGGUGUAUCCUCUUUUAAAAUUCAGCUAUGAUAGUUUGCAGAAUGAUACGGUUAGAUCUUGUUUCUUGUACUGUUGUUUAUAUCCUGAAGAUUAUGGCAUUCUUAAAUGGGACUUGAUUGAUUGUUGGUUUGGCGAGGGAUUUUUUGGGGAAUCUGACAGGUCUGGUGCAGAAAACCAAGGAUAUGACAUUUUGGAAACUCUUGUUCGUGCAUGUUUAUUAGAAGAGGUGGAAGAUGAUGAAGUAAAAAUGCAUGACGUUAUUCGUGAUAUGGCUAUAUGGAUAACUUGUGAAAUUGAGAAGGAGAAGAGAAACUUUUUGGUUCGUGCAGGUGCUGGAUUAAAAGAGGCACCGGGUGUUAAAGGAUGGGAAAAUGUGAGAAGAUUGUCAUUGAUGCAAAACCAAAUUGAAACUCUGGCAGAGGUUCCCACAUGCCCUCAUCUCCUCACUUUAUUUUUUGACUUUAAUAAGGAGUUAAAGAUGAUCGCGGAUGGCUUCUUCCAAUUUACGCCUUCUCUCAAAGUUUUGAAGAUGUCAAACUGUUUGAAUUUGAAAUUACCUAUUGGGAUGUCAGAGUUGGGUUCAUCACUAGAACUUCUCGAUAUUUCAUAUACCGGCAUAAGAGAGUAACCGGAAGAGUUAAAGUUGUUGGUAAAUCUGAAAUGUUUGAAUUUGAGGUGGACAAUUUGGUUAAAUAAAAUUCCACGGCAACUAAUAUCAAAUUAUUCAAGGUUACGUGUGUUGAGAAUGUUCGCUACUGGCUUGGGCAUUUUUCAUGAAGCACCAGAAGACAGCGUUUUAUUUGGUGGGGGUGAAGUUUUAGUACAGGAAUUGCUCGGUUUGAAAUAUUUAGAGGUAUUGGAGUUGACCUUGGGAAGUUAUCAUGCUCUCCAAAUUCUUUUGAGCUCAAAUAAGUUAAAAAGUUGUAUUCGAUCUCUUUACCUCGAGUUGACCGGAGAUACAGCGUCAAUUAUUGAUGCUACGGCUUUCGCAGAUCUAAACCACCUCAAUGAAUUAUAUAUUUUUAAAGGUAUUGAGUUGGAAGAAUUGAAGAUUGAUUAUACGGAGAUAGUACGAAAAAGGCGGGAACCUUUUGUUUUCCGCAGCCUUCACUGUGUUAUUAUGGUUUCGUGCCGUAAAUUGAAAGAUGUGACAUUCCUCGUUUUUGCUCCAAACCUCAAGUCUCUUUUGGUAGACGGUUGCGAUGCUAUGGAAGAAAUAAUCAGCGUCGGAAAAUUUGCUGAGACUCCUGAGAUGAUGGGACAUAUAAGCCCUUUUGAAAAUCUCCAAAUGCUUGAUUUAACGGCAUUGCCGGAGUUGAAGAGCAUCUACUGGAAGCCAUUGCCUUUCACUCAUCUGAAAGAAAUGGAGGUACUUAGGUGCGAUCGGCUUGAAAAGCUUCCACUCGAUUCCAACAGUUCAAAGGAGCGUAAAUUUGUUAUUUGUGGAUACACAAAGUGGUGGAACCGACUUCAAUGGGAGGAUGAAGCCACUCAAAUUGCUUUUCGUUCCUGUUUCCAACCAAUGGGAGUACUGAGCGGUGGUCGCAAAAUUUGAUUUCUGGUGAGUGCGUUUUUGUUAACGCUUAUGUUUUUAUUCCAGUGUGUUUUUCUUCUGUCUUCUGCAAAUCAAUGCUUUAUAAAUUUUCCUUUUCCCUUUUUUUUUGGGGGGGGGGGGGGGGGCGUGGGUCGAAUUGAUGCUCUGGUUUUUUACUUUUUGUUGUCAAAUUUGGCCUUUUUUUUUUUUUUUUUUUUUUACAAGUUGAUACUUUAUUUAUAUCUUCUUAGCGAUUUAAUUUCCUGUCAAAAGACGAGCGAGAAGAACAUAUGACUUAAAGCAAUUGAUACUUUAUUUAUGUGCAUUGUAUGUAAUAAAUAUUAAGUAUACUUUAUUUUGCCCUGUUCUCUGUUUUUAUUUCAGUCUCUCUCUCGCUCUCUCUCUUUCCUGUCUUCUGCAAGUCAUAAUUAAAUGUUGAAUUAUAUGGAAUUAAUGCUUUAUAAAUCUGCCUGCGCUGGCUUUUUUUUUUUUUUUUGUGGGGUCGAAUUGAUGCUCUGGUUUUCGACUACUUUUUGUUGUCAAAAUUUUCUCUGUUUUUUCAAAUUUAUAUCUUAUUCGUGAAAAGUGAUUUAAUUUCCUGCCAAAAGACGAACGAGAAGAACAUUAGAGUCAAACUAAUGCUCACAUAAAUUUCCCGUAAGAAUAUAUAAUUAGACUGGAAUGCACACCUCUAGAUUGAACAGAAUUAAAGCUGAGAAAAUAUUGAGUAUAGUAGCCCUCUUUACAGAAAAUGACGCGAAAGUUAAUUUAGAAAGAUAUAUUCUCGAUUAAUCCAUUUUCUGAAUUUUUUUUUUAUUUUGUAUGGUCAAUUUUUUUUUUAAAUUACAACCUCAUAGUCAUGCUAUUCAUUCACUCACAGACCAAAGGCUUUCCGCAGCAAUAUUAUUAUUUAAAUUACAACAAAGGGGGAAUCAAAUACGUCAUACAGAAGCUUAAAGCUGAAUCUACAAGAUCUAGAGCUCUCAAGAUGAAGCUUGUUCAAUAUCUCAUCCAAAGCUUGUAAAGUAACCUUGUAACGAUCUUGAGAUUGCCUGCCUUCCUCGACGACCUGCACGAUGCGUUUGUACAAAUCAUCAUACUUGUGCACUGGAUUUUUAAUAUCAACGCCACUGCAGCUGUGAUCAAGAACAUGAGAGCGUUUAACAUCUUUUCUCCAUCAAGAAAGAACGUAGUGAGAUGGGAUCUCCUGCAUGCCACUCUGGUUUAGAACACAAAGAAUGUGUCUGCAUAAAUAUCCUCUGAAAUUGAACAACCCACAAACACAAAGCAUCUCCAAGUCAGAGGCAUUGUACAAAACAUCGAAAGCCCUUGAAUCUUUCUCGUUGCUACCAACCUCAAAUUCUUCCUUCACUAUGUAUGUUAUAGGUCCAUCAGCACUGACAUGUUUUGUGCUAUAGCAAAGAGUACAUAGCCUCCACCUCCAUCUGAAACUUCCUUAACAUUUCAUUUGUGUACAGUUUUGAGAGUUGAAAUUCAUAGUAACAUAUUGGUUUCUGGAUACAACUUGAAUUUCUUGAAUCCAUAUCUGCCAAGGCUUGCAGUUGAUAAUUGGCCCGCAGUGCUUGAUCAUACUUGUCUAAGAAUUCUUUCAAAGGAGUAUUCUUAUCAAGAUAUCCUUCAAAGUAUGAAGUAGAAACCUCAUUCUGCAGUAACGAAAACACUCCUGAUAAAAAAGCUUCCUUCAAAUAAAUAGGAGCCCACCUUUUACGAUCUUCAUAUAAAGUUUGAAUCCAUCCGUGAUCCUUUAUUCCAUGACGUUGAAUCAUGUCUUCCCAAGCUGCUUCAAAUUUCUCAGGCCUGAGAGAGUGAUAAAUUGCUCUAUGUAAUGCAGCUUUAAUAGCUUCAUAUUCAAACAAUCCUUGGAGUUUCUCUGGAAUUUUUUGCAUGACGCUUUCCUUCAAUGAUAAGACAAUGAACAUAAACGAGACACAAAAAAAAUUAUUUUAAACUGACAGCCCAUGAUAUAAAUCAAACAAAAUCAACUCCUUUUUUUACACAUCACAUCUCAUAUUCAUUUGCAUUGAAGCACAAAAAGGAAGCAGGAGUGGGAAAAAAAAAACAACAGCAGAGGAACUUAUUUCCAUAAGGUUUAGGAAAUAAGGAAUUUAUUAAGACACAAAAUUUGAGGUUACCAAUAAGAAUUUGGUUCUCAUUAUUUUUUUCUUCAUUUUUCACCAAUUGAUGAACUUAAAAUACAAUCAUCAAUGAUAAAACCCCAUCUCCAUCUUUUUGAACUAGAGCUAAAGCAAAGCAUUUUAAGAUGUUUCAUCAUUUUUUUUAAUAAAAAAAAACCUCAAUAGUACAAUGUUUUUCAAUGUUAAAUGCACAACUCAAUCCUCUCCUAAUUUACUCUAAUAAUCUCUUAAUUAAGGAAGAUUAAGCUUCAGUUGUAAGCUAAAACAAAUUUCUUAAAUCAAGCCCCAAUGCUUUAUGCUAUUCAACAAGGGCUCAUAAAUGAUAAAACUACUUCUACAAAGAUACCCAUUUUCUAAAUUAAUUUCAAAAACUGAAAUCAAACUCCUGAAACGUAACGAGCAUUAAUAUAAUCAAACCCGAACAGGAAUUGAAAAAUGACACAUAAACUCGUUUACACAUUUCGACAGACACUUUGCAAUCAAUGAGCAAAAAAUUAAUGGAGAAGAUAAAAUUCAAACGAAACAUGCCUUACAUUGAUAAAUUAGAAGGGCAAAAGAAAUUUUAGUACGAUAUGGGAUCAGGGUCUUGCCACGGUGAUGUUAUUUGUGAUGUUCGAGCGACUCAGCAGCCUUCGAGGUUGAAAAUUUGAUUGACCGAAAGCUUCCCGUUCGUUGAUUCUCUAAUAGCAGAAACGAGACUGGCAGUAUACACAAGAAGUUCGCUGAUUUUAAAUUCCGUUGUUUGAGAUGGAAAUUUUUUUGAAAAAAUUAAUGUGUUCGAUGAAUAUCAAAAUCUCAAAAACUUUUUGUUUCUCAUAGCACCCAUGCAUGAUGUGUUGUUUCUCUAAAAGUUUGAGACACAAAUGUUAUUUCAAAUUGAAACGCCAUGCACUAGUAGUAGACUAGUAGGUAGGAGAAACCAAGGUUGAAGUUACUGUUCAUUUAUUUUUAUUUAUGAUUUUUUGUAAAAUGUAAGAAAUAUGUAGAAAUGUUGCCAGCAAUGAUUUUGGAACUUUGCAUAAAAUUUUUAUCAUUAUUGUUUUUGGUAUUAAGAAAUCCGAGGCGGUGAUUAGACGUAUGUUGCAACAAUUAAGAAAUUUCUUAUUGGAGAUAAUUUGGUAGGUUGCAACAAUUAGAGAAUCAUUUUCCUGUCAGUUAAUCAAUCAAUAAUAAAUUUCAAAUUGCAGAAAAUAAAAUAAUACUGUCACACUUAGAAUCAUCUUUUCUAUCUCUUUCAAUUGUGGCAAUCAUUUGUAACAAAUAAAUCAAUUUGAUGCACAUCAUUUCCCCAAUUCAAAGUUCAAGUCACUGCUCAAUUGCAGAGUAGUUAGUAGACAUGCAUGCAUGUUUAAUUAAGUACUGCAUUGUAGUAUCGAAAAUCAUAAUAUCUCACCAAGCCCGGAAGCAUAGCUCUUUAUCUUGUAAACGUUGAAAUCUUAUGCAAACUAUGGGAAACAUGAUCUCACUCUCAGUGUCACUUGAUUCCAUUUUCUGUUCUUGCCUUGAUUUCGAUGUUGGGAAUGUGACGUCUGAGUCCAAGGUUGAAGAUAAUCUCGAUGCCUUGCGGACUGCAAUGGAAAAAUAAGCGGAAACGAGAAAUGAUGUGAUAAGAAGAGUUACUGUUGCUGAAGGACAACAUCAAAUGCAACGAAUGGAUCGAGUGCAGGGCUGGCUUUCAAGGGUAAAAGCUGUGGAAAAUAAAGCUGAUGAUUUGAUGAGACACAGCUCUCAAGAGAUUGAGAAGUUAUGCCUUGGAGGCUUCUGUUCCAAGAACUGCAAAUGAAGCCACAGCCGUGGGAUAGAAGCUGCUACAAUGCUACGAGUUGUGGAGACUUUAAUGGGUGAAGGAUCAUUUGAAUUGGUGGCUGAGAGGGUGCCAGAAGAUGCAGCAGACUGAGCAGAGGAGAUAAAUUGUGAGUCAACAAUAAUGGGCAUGGUGUCGACUUUUGAGAAAGCCUGGAGAUGCCUUGAAGAAGAAUCAGUUGGAAUUAUUGGCCUAUAUGUCAAUGGGAGAGUUGGAAAUAUUUACUCAAAUCAACAACAAGUUCCUUGAUAGUCCAAAUAAUUUUGAUGUUGCAAUCUGGGUAGUGGUCUGCCAAGAUUUGCAACCCCAGAAGUUUCGGGAAAAGAUUGGGAAAAAGAAAGGCUUGUUCGAUGAGUCAUGGAAGAACUGAAGUUUUGAAGAGAAAGCACUCGAUAUAUUCAAGAAUUUAAGCAAGAUGAAGUUUGUAUUACUGCUGGAUGAUAUAUGGGAGCAGGUUGAUUUAAUUAAAAUUGGUGUCCCUCUUCCAAGCACAAAAAUUACAUUCAAGAUAGUCUUCACAACUCCUUCUAUUACAUUUGUGGCCUCAUGGAAGCUCACAACAAGAUUAAAGUGAAGUGUUUAAAUGACGAAGAAGCAUGGGAAUUAUUCUGCAAGAAGGUUGGAGAAGAUGUGGCGACUCUGUACAAGUGCUAAGGAGCUCAGCCUCAGAAUUUCUAGGUAUGUAAAAACAAGUAUAUCCUCUUUUGAAAUUCAGUUAUGAUAAUUUACCUAGCGAUAAAAUUAGAUCGAGUCUGUUAUACUGUAGUUUGUUCCCAGAAGACUUUCCAAUUAGCAAAAUGGAAUUGAUACUGAGAUACGAAAUCAAGGAUACUACAUUAUUGGUGUUCUUGUUCCUUUAUGUUUAUUGGAAGAAGAGGCUCCACUGUUUGUAAAAGUGCAUGAGGUGAUACGCGAUAUGCUUCUGUGGAUAGCAUGUGAAAUUUUAUUUUUAUUUUUUUAUAGGGAUAUCAUGUGAAGUUGAGAAGGAGAGAGAGAAUUUUUUGGUUCGUGCAGGUGCAAGGAUUAACUGAAGUACUAGACAUUUGGAAAUGGGAAGGGUUGAGAAGGGUGUCUUUGAUGAUCAACAAAACUGAGAAGGUAUCAGAAAUUCCUUCAUCUCACGAUCCACUAACUUUGUUGCUUCAACAUAAUUAUUUAGAGGUGAUCAAUAAUGACUUCUUCCAAUCUAUGCAUUCCCUUAGAGUUUUGAACUUAUCAUGUAAUCAUUCUCUAACUGAUCAUUUCAAAGUUAGUUUCCCUACAUACGAGAGUUGCCGAAUGAGUUAACGUUCGUAGUGAAUCUUAAGUUUUUGAAUGUGGAGUCUGCACGGUUUCUUCAUUCAAUUCCAGGGCAAGUGAUAUCCAGUUUUACGAUGUUACAAGUUUUGAAGAUGUUUGGUUGUGGCAGGUCAUCUUCUGAUCGUGAGCCACACCAGAAGAUAGCGUUUUAUUUGGAGGCAGUGAACUUUUGAUUGCGGAGUUGUUUGGUUUGAGAGACAUUUAGAUGUGUUGACCAUCAUCCUAAGAAGCUCCCAUGCUCUGAAAAGAUUUUUGAGCUCCAACAAACUUCAAAGUUGUACUCAAUCUCUCUAUCCUAAAUGCUUUGAUUCGAAGUCAGUUGAUGUUUUUUGCCUGGCUGAUCUGAAGCAUCUCAAUAGGCUAUAGAUAUUGCGAGUUGUAAGCUUUUGGAAGAAGUGAAGAUUGACUUUGUUGGGAAAGCACAAAUGAACUCAUGGUUUUCACAGCCUUAUGUCACGGAAGUUGUGUAAACACUGCACGGGUUGCUGCGCAAAGUAACCAUCCUAUGACAUUGAGCCAUGUUGAAAUAUCAUUUUGCUGUAAACUGAGGGAUUUGACAUAGCUUGCUUUUGCUCCAGACCUUCUUGUUGUUUCCAGAAAGCAUUGCCAUGAUAUAGAGGAAAUACUCGGUGUUGGAAAAUUAGGUAAAGAGAUGAUGUCAAACCUGGAACCCCCUAUAAAACUCCUAAGGUUAUGUCUGGCAUGUAGGAUUGGAUUGAACUAAAUUAUUAGGACUGGAUUAAAUUGGGUUAUAUUUAUAUUCUUAUGUUUGGUACAGUACUGGAUUGAACUAUAUUAGAUUAUAUUUAAAUAAUAUUAAAUAGUAUUUAAGUUGGUAUUUUAAUAUAAAUAUCAAUUAUCCAUGAAAUUUUAUAAUCAUAAUUAAAAUAAAUUUAAAAAGCAAUUACUAGAAAAAUUAAAUAUAUUACAAAAAGUUAUUGGGUAGUCAUAAUAUAAUAAGCAAAUAAAAUUAAAUAAAACAAAUUAAAUAUUUAAUUAAUUUUUAUCAAAUAUUUAAAAAUAUUAUAUAAAAUCAAUUAAUUAAUGGUUUUAUUAAUUUUCAUGAUUAUUUUUAAUAUUACAUUAGUAAUUAUUAAAUUUAAUACAAUCAAAUAAUGCAAUAAAUAAUUAAACGUUUAAUUUUAUCGAUUAAUUAUUAAAUAUACAAGUAAUGAAAAUUUAAUCUCAGGAGUUGGCAGAAGCAAAAGUACUAAUUUAAUUAGAUCAUAGAUAAUAAAUAAAAAUUAAUUUUAAGUAAAUCAUAAUAAAAAAAUUAAUUAAUUGAUUCAAUCAAUCAAUAUUAGGUGUAAAUAAAAAAAGAGUAAUGAUAUAGCCACAAAUUCUUGUACAAACUUAUUUUGUACAAACUCAUGUGUCAUGAUAAGAUUAGUUGAAUUAAAUAUCACUUGGCCCACAUGAUUUGUUUUUAUUAUUUUAUAUUUUUAUUCAACCAAUGAAUUAACGCCACGUCAGUUUGUACAAGAGUUUGUGGUUGUAUCAUCACUCAUAAAAAAAAAGAUACAAAUAAAAAUCUCAUAAAUGGACAACUUUUAUCUUUAAUCUUAUCCCAACUAAACACAUGUGUGAAUUAAGAUUAUUAAUCCCAUGAUUUUAGGAUUAAAUUCAAAUUAAUUCCCCCUUAAUCCAAUCCAACUAAACUUGUCAAACAUGGGAUAAAAGUUUAAUUCUAAAAUUAGUCCAAUUCCAUACUUAAUCCUAGCAUCCACAUAUAGCCCAAGUUGUUUGCUUAAAGAAGCUACCAAAUUUGAAGAGCGUUUACGGGAAGGCCUUGCGUUUCCCAGAUGUAUGCAGAAUUUUUGUAUCCAAAUGCCCAGAACUUAAGAAGCUGACGCUGGAUUUUGAAAGGGCGGGCCAAGGUAAAAUUCUUAUCAAGUGAAAGGAAAAUCGGUGGAAACAACUUCAAUGGAAGGAUCAAGCAACUCAGGAUGCAUUGCUUCUGUUUUUCAAAUCAACUGACAAGUGAUUGAAGGGGGCAUCAUCAGCCUGGAUGGGGAGAUCCUGGAGCAGAUCAGCAGGGUUUGAAUCUGCAUCAUCAACAUCAUCAGGAUCUCUAUUUCUAUUGCUGGUCGUAAUGCCUGCCUACUGUUACUUGAAAAAGUGAUUAAGUGAGCCAGUUUUUUGUUUAUUAAAUUUUGUCUUGUAGAGACAGUCACAAAGUAUUUUUCUUAGUUGUUCUAUAUGAGAGUGAUGUGAAUCAAUUUUUCAAUUAUAUAUUCUGUGGGAAAUUGCAAGUAUUUUUAAAAUAUGAUCGUUAUUAAAGGAAACAAAGGAAUCAACACAGCAUACUGAACCUCAGCAGUAUGAAGCUAAUGAUUAAACUCCUCACACAAUUCAUAACAUGCAAAACCAUUCACAAAAUCAUCCCCAGCAACCAUAAUUGGCGUCCAAUAGAAAUUUACAAGAAUUACUUUUCUGUUCAUGCAAUCGGCGUCCGAAUGCGGCUGAUCGGUCACCGGUGUUGGCGUUUACUGUGAUUAGACAAAUUGUAGGAAUUCAAAAAUAACUUCUAUAGGGGUAAUUUCGAUUUCACAUAAUUAAUUUUAUUUACAAUAUUUUAUUCCUGCUAGAUCAAUUGAGAUUCUUUCCACCGGGCACACCCUUCAUGUUCUUUUAUUUUCUGUCUUUUAUUAGCCGUAGGAUUUUACUACUCUUAUAUCCAACGGCUUGCCACAACAAGACAAAUGAGGUGGUACCUUCCAACCGCUGAAAGGUCGUUUUGGCCCCAGGUGAAAGAGGGAAAUAGGGAAUUGAUGCUAUAUUUUAUAUUUUCUAUUUUACUACUCUUGUAUCCACCGGCCUUUCUUAUAUUUUAUUGCAAAUUGAUGCUAACAAGAAAAAGCUACAUCAUAUUCCACAAAAAACAAAAGUGACAAAACAACCAGUUGGAUUCUUUUAUUAAACUACAAAUUAAAUGGACUUUUUUUUAAUAAACUAUAUAUGAAAGUAGAAUCUUUUGAAUAUAAGUGGGGUAGACUUCCUUUCCAAAACAAAAAAUGCGGGGUAGGCUCUUUUAUUAAAGACAAGUCACAAGACGAUUAGAGUCUUUUAUUAAACUGCAAAUUGUAUAGUCUUUUUCAAAUUGUACAGACAUUUAUAAAUUGGUGGCCCCUUGGAAAUUUAAUGCCAAGCAGAGAAAAGUCAUCAUGCACAAUCCUCAAUAAUUGUUUCGAUAUUUAUAAAUUGGUGGCCCCAACGAAUAAUUGGGAUCGGUUAUGGUGCAAUUAUAGAACCAUGGCACAGUUGCAUCCAGCCGUUAAAUGCACUUAGAUUGGUGAGGUUUAUUGGCAUCUAAUGGCUGAAUGUAACUAUAAUACGGUACUACAGUUACAACACAAGUUUCCACCAAUAAUUGUUCCGAUAAUUAUAAAUUGGUGGCCCCUUGAUAAUUUAACAGCAGCCUGCAAGUGCCAACCAGUGAAAAGUCAUCAUUCACAAUCUUCCAAGUGAAAUAGGAGAUAUACAAAAUAAUAAAAAAAAAACAUGUCAAUUCUUUUUUUUUUUAUUCAUUCCCUUUCAUGUUCUUGAUAAGGGAGGGAGGACGUGACAUGUAAUGUAACUUACACCCAAAUACAUAAAUAAUAUAAAAUGAAUGGAUAGAUGCCCGAGCAGAUCGGCAGGGUUCGAAUAUGACCUUUGGUGCUUGCUUUUUUUUUUUGUGAUUUUGUUUUUCAUUUUUUCCUUCCUGUCAUUUUAUCAUUUCUUUGGCUUUGUCUCUAUUGCGGGUGUUACUGCAUGCUUACUGUUGCUUGACAAAGUUUGCUAGCUGAAAGAAACUUAGUUCUAUAUUGUUUGGUAGGCUAGAAAAUGAAAGGAAAUAAAAGAAAAGCUUUGCAAAGAAAUCUGUUGGAUCUUUUAUUAUUCCAAACUUACAGUUUAAUGACUACUAAUUGAUAUUUAUAUUGAGCUACAAUCUCUUAACAUACACACGAGAUUGUUGCAACACAUAACCAUUUGCUGUAUAACUAACUUGACACAUCAGCUCAACCAGCUAACUAACUUUGACAGGUCAGCUUAAUGAUUUGAUCUGCUACAACCAGCUACACAACACAUCAUGCUCUGCUCCAGCUACACAGCAACAUCAUGCUCUGCUCCAGCUUCAUCUAAUUCACUAACAUCCCCCUUCAAGCUGAAAUGUUUAGGAUGAACAUUCAGCUUGCUGCGGAAGUAACUAAAUUGUUUGAAAGUAAGAGCUUUAGUCAACACAUCUGCAGUUUGAUCUUGACUAGGCACAUAACAGACUGCAACUUCUUUAGCAGUAACUUUAUCUCGGAUGAAAUGGAUAUCCAAUUCAACAUGCUUAGUUUUAGCAUGAUAGACUGGAUUAUAAGCUAAAGCAAUGGCUCCUUGAUUAUCACACCACAUCAUAGGAGUAGAGCUCAAUUUGAUGCUAAGUUCACCAAGUAAAGACUUGAUCCAGGUAACCUCUGAAGCAGCAUGAGCAAGAGAUCUAUACUCAGCCUCUGUGCUGAAUCUGGAAACAACAGCUUGCUUCUUGGACGACCAAGAGACAAGAUUAGGACCUAGAUAAACAGCAAAGCCAGCUACUGACUUCCUAUCAUCAUGAUCACAAGCCCAAUCAGAGUCUGAAAAACAAUGGAGUUGCAGAGCUCCUUGGUUGUAGAAUUGCAGCCUAAGAUGGAUAGUACCUUUUAAGUACCUCAAUAACCUUUUACAUGCUUCCCAAUGUUGAGUCCUAGGAUUGGAAAGGAACUGACUCAACUUAUUGACAUAAAAAGCAAUGUCAGGUCUGGUAAGAGUAACAUACUGAAGAGCUCCUAUAACACUUCUGUAUUGAGAAACAUUGUCAAUUGGCUCCCAUGAGUCUUUGGUGAGAUAAUAACCUGUAGACAUUGGAGUUGGCACAGGACUGCAAUCAAUCAUGCCAUGUUUGUCCAGAACAUCAGCAAUAUACUUUGCUUGUGUCAAGGAAACCCCUUUUGAAGACUUGCUGACUUCAAUCCCCAAAAAAUAGUGAAGUUCCCCUAAAUCCUUUAAAGCAAAAGUCUGAUGCAUAUUCUGAAUAGCUUGCUGAAUCAAUGAUGGACUGGAACCAGUGAUGAUAAUAUCAUCAACAUAGACUAAAACAAUAGUUAUAUGACCACUGUUCCAGGCAUAAAAAAGAGAGUUAUCAGACCUUGAAUGCUGAAAAUGCCACUGGGAGAUCAUUGCAUCCUUAAAUCUAUCAAACCAGGCUCUAGGAGCCUGUUUUAAACCAUACAAAGCCUUAUUCAGCUUGCAAACAUGAUUAAGUUUAGUUGAAUCAACAAAACCUUGAGGUUGAGCCAUGUACACAUCUUCAAUUAAAAUGCCAUUGAGGAAUGCAUUAUUAACAUCCACCUGCCUAAUAACCCAGUGGUUCAAUAUUGCUAAGCUAAGAAUAACUCUGAUAGUUGAAGAUUUAACCACUGGACUGAAGGUUUCUGUGUAGUCAACCCCAUGUGUCUAAUGAAACCCCUUAGCAACAAGCCUGGCUUUAUACCUUGAAACCGAGCCAUCUGAGUUAUACUUAAUUCGAAACACCCACUUGUUACCAACUAUCUUCACUGGAGUAGCAGGUAAAACCAAAUCCCAGGUGUGAUUAGUUUUAAGUGCUAGAUACUCUUCUUGCAUAGCUUUAUACCACAUAGGAUCAGAGAGUGCUUUGGAAACAGAAGUUGGUUCUGAUUGCUGGGCUAACAAGGCUGACAAAUAAACUUUUGGCUUAAAAAUACCUGCUUUUGAUCUGGUUACCAUUGGAUGACCAGAUGGUGCAUGUUGUGGUAAUGUAUGUGGAGGUGAGGAAUGGGAAGAUGAGAAAGGAGAAACUGAGUUGGAAUUAUCAGAAAAAUAAACUGGAGUAGAGUUUGGGAAUGAAAUAGAAGCAUUAGACUGAUGAUCAGUAGGUUGAGGUGCUGAUGAUGCUGCUAAAGGUGCUUGUAACUGAGUAACAGAAGAAGUAGAAGACUUAAAAGAAGACUCAGAGUGUGAUGUAGACUGACAGCUUAAAGAGGUUGAAGAAAACUCUACCCCAGACUCAUAAGGAAAGGAAUUUUCAUCAAAGGUGACAUAAUUGGAAAUAUACACCCUUCCAGAAGAGUGAAGACACAUAUAUCCCUUGUGUUGUGAACUGUAGCCAAUGAAUAUACAUCUAGCAGUUCUGAAAUCAAACUUAUAUCUAUUGUAUGGUCUGAGUGUUGGAUAACAAGCACAGCCGAAAGUUUUAAGUGUUGAAUAAUCUGGUUGAUAAUGAAACAACUUUUGGAAAGGAGAAAUGUUAUUUAGAACUGGAGUUGGAAGUCUGUUUAUCAAAUAGACAGCUGUGUGGAAUGCAUUCCACCAAAAUUUGAGUGGUAAAUGUGCUUGAGCUAAUAAAGUCAGACCUACAUCAACUAUGUGUCUAUGCUUCCUCUCAAUUCUUCCAUUUUGGUGAUGAAUAUGUGGGCAAGGGUGUCUAAAAUGGAUACCAGAAGUAGUGAGUAAUGAGGAAAAAGAUCUGAACUCCCCUCCCCAGUCAGUUUGGACAGUUUUGAUGGAAAGUUGAAGAUGCUUUUCAAUGAAUGUUUUGAAAUUUUUAAAAACUUCAAGAGCAUCAGAUUUUGCUGAUAAAGGGAAUAUCCAGGUAAACCUACUAUAAUCAUCUAGGAUUCACAGGUAGUAGUUAUAUCCUUGGGUAGAACAAACAUGAGAAGGACCCCACAGAUCUGCAUAUAUUAGUUGUAAAGGUUCUGAAGUUUUUGUUUCAACUGAAUCAAAAUGCAGCAUAUGAUUUUUCCCAUAUUGACAUGCAUAACAAAAUUUCAAACUUUCAACUUUAUUAAGAGCAGUAAAGUUGUUACAAGCUUUGAGUAUGGUUUUGAGAGUAUAAGGAGCUGGGUGUCCUAAUCUUCUAUGUAGAAGAUUUACAUAAGUUAAACCCUUUGCAACAACUGACAGACAUGACUUUUUAUUCAGCUCAUAAGAACUAACAGCAGAAGGCUUAUCAGAAGUAAAAACAGGAGAACAAGCAAAAAGAGACUGAAUUUUUUUUUUACCAACUGAACUGAGAAAAACUGAGUGAGCAGCAGCUUGUGAAGAGACUCUAUACAAGCCACCUUUAGCAACACCUUCAUGUAAAAUUUUCCCUGUGUUCCUGGCCUUUAUAAAACAGAAAUCACCAAGAAAUUCAACAGUAACUGGAUUGUCAGCCAAUAAUUUGGAAAUGCUAAGUAAAUUCUUAGUAAUAAAGGGAAUAUGAAGAACAUGGUUAAGAAAUAAAGAUUGAGAAUUUGAAGUGUUCAGCACAACUGAUCCUAUAUGUGUAACAGCUAAUGCAUUUCCAUCCCCAACAAAUAACUUCUCAGUACCAGUAUAAGCUUGUGAAUCUAGAAGUUUACCUAGAUCAUUAGUAAUGUGAUUUGUGGCUCCACUGUCAAUGUACCAGGAAAGAUCUUCAAUGUGUUCUGGAAGUGAAGAAGACAUAGUUGAGGAAGAUGAAGCACUUGACUGUCCAGGAUUAUUGUUUCCUUGACCAGCAACAAAAUUAGAUGAUCCAGGAGUGAAAGAGUAAUAGGCAGAAGGAUUGUUAUCUGGAUACACUAUAUUUCCUUGAUAACCAAAACCCCUGGGUGCAUGACCAAAACUAGCAUUUUGUCCAAAACCAGCAUUUGAACCAAAACUUCUUCCACUAUUACCAUUAUAGACUCUUCCUCUACCAUAUUGCCCUUGAUUAAAACCUCUGUCACCAUUCAUAUUGCCUCUACCAUGAUUCCUCUGUGGAACAUAAGAUGAGUUGUACCUAUUCCUGCAUCUAUUUGCUGCAUGACCAGGUAUGAAGCAAAUUUGACAAACAACUUCAGAGGAAUUACUACCAGUAUUAAACUGACCAUAUCCAUAUCCAUUAAAACCUCCAUAUCCAGAAUUAUUACCACCUCCAUAGUUAUUUCCAUAAUUUUUCUGAAAAUUUCCAUUAUUCUUUCUAGCAUAUGAGUUCUUCUGAGCAAUAUUUGCUGUCAUGUUAUGCAUCACAUCACCAGCAAUUUUCCCUUUCUUUUGCUCAACUCUAUUUUCAUGAUUCAACAACAAAGAAUAUAGUUCAUCUAAUGUGAUCUUUUCACCUCGAGCUAACACAGCUGUGACUAAAGACUCAUAGUCUGAUGAAUCAAGACCAGUUAAUAUAUGCAUCACAAGAUCAUUUAACUCAAUAGGUUUUCCAGCUAGAGCUAAAGUAUCAGCUAUGCGUUUUACUUUUACAAAAUAAUCAGACAUAUGCAUUGCACCUUUCUUAAUAGUUUGAAUCUGCAUUCUAAGUGUUUGAAUUCUAGCUUGUGAUUGAGAGAUAAACAUACUAGCAAGAGUCUCCCAAAGCUGUUUUGAAGUUGUAGAAUCAAUCACAGUAGCAAGCAGAUUUUGCUGUAUCGAUGACAUCAUCCAACUCAGUAAGAGUUGGUCAGUCUUCAUCCAAGCUACGAAUUCUGGAUUAAUAGAUCUGGAUCCAGAUUCAGUUAAAACUUCAGCUCCAUUGUUGUUUCCAGAAGAAAGAAACUGCUCAGGACAUUCUCGAUCGCCAUUGAUAAAUCCUUCCAAACCGUUUCCUUUGAUUGAAGUUAAAAUUUGUGUGCGCAACAGAAUGAAGUUGUUUUGAUCUAGCUUUACUGGCGUAACAAAACUGAAAGAGUUGUUGUUUUGAACUAUAUUUGCCAUUUAUGGCUCUGAUACCAUGAAAGAAACUUAGUUCUAUAUUGUUUGGUAGGCUAGAAAAUGAAAGGAAAUAAAAGAAAAGCUUUGCAAAGAAAUCUGUUAGAUCUUUUAUUAUUCCAAACUUACAGUUUAAUGACUACUAAUUGAUAUUUAUAUUGAGCUACAAUCUCUUAACAUACACACGAGAUUGUUGUAACACAACCAUUGCUGUAUAACUAACUUGACACAUCAGCUCAACCAGCUAACUAACUUUGACAGGCCAGCUUAAUGAUUUGAUCUGCUACAACCAGCUACACAGCACAUCAUGCUCUGCUCCAGCUACACAGCAACAACAUGCUCUGCUCCAGCUUCAUCUAAUUCACUAACACUAGCUUUUCCUUUUGUUUAUUAAAUUUUUUUAUGGUCACAAAGUAUUACUCGUUCUAUUUGACAAUGAUGUGAAUCAAUUUUUCAAUUUUAUAUUUUGUGGUCAACGUGAAUUCAAUUUCAUUUGUCUCCUGCAAUUAUGAAAAAAUUACAGUCAUAAUAUGGGGAAACCUGUGGUGCAACUGUGGUACCAUGUCACAGUUGCAUCCAGCCGUUGGAUGCCAAUAGAUCCCACCAAUUUAAGUGCAUCCAACAGCUGGAUAUAACUAUAGCACGGUACCACAAUUACACCGUAACUUGAUCCCAUAAUAUGGAAAAGUACACCGGCAGAAACUUUGUAAAAGCUUCGGAGUGAUACGGGGAAUUCACUUACUACUAAAGACAGUUGGUGGCAACCUAAUGUCCAUCCAUCUAUUUAGUUAUUGAAGAUUAGUGGUCCAUUUGUAAAUUUCAGAUUGUCUCUCUCUCUCUCCCUCUUGAAAUAACAAUAUUUAAUAUAUCUAUUAAAUUAUUAUAAAUUUUAAUUUACUCUCGAUUUAAAAUGGAGCAUGUCGAUAAAUUUUUUUUCUUCUUAAUAAAAUUGACGUAAGUUGUGUUUACAGUAGUUUGAAGUUUGAAAUAUUUUAAAGAUUAUUAUUCUAUAAGGGAGUAAUAUGAACUGAAAUUUACUUUUCAUGUGUGAAAUGAAAAACGACGAAGCAAGUGUCCCUGCUUUUAUUUUAUUUCAAGGAGGAGUCAUCUCACAUACUUUAGCUCUUAACAUUACAUUUUUUCUGGUUACAUUUUUAUUUUUUAUUUUUUUUAACACAUGCGUGUGGGAUGCUUUUCUGUAAGCUCCUUAAUAUAUAUUUAAGACAAAUCAUGGAAGAGAUGGGAUUAUAUCAAGAUGAUCAAAGCAUGUAAAAAAAGAAAAAAGAAAAAAAAAUUAAGAAGUAAGACACUGAAAAUGGAGAAGAGAUGGAAGCAAAAGAUAUUCCAAACAAAGCAAUCUAUCCCCUUUCGAGGGCAGACUUAUCAGGUUUAAAAAAGUACAUGCUUUGGAUUGGUAGUUACAAUCAAGGGAAAAUAAAUAGGAUCCAAUGAAAUUUAAAUCUUGGAGAAAAUAAAUAAUCAUGCAGAUUUUCAAGAUUUUAAUAAGGGAUACUAAUAUCUUAUUUUGAUUAAUAACAUUCUUUCACUGUGUUAACUCAAAAAAAAUAUUAUAAUGCUUUACAAUAAAUACAAAUGUCCUAUUAAAUGAAUAUAUAAAAAAUUUAGAAUAUUAUAUAAAAUAAUUUUAAUAUAAUGCGUGAGAUAUAUUUUAUUAAUUUAAAAUGUCAUUUUACCUAAAAAAUAUGAUAAAUUGAUAAUUACAUAUUUGAAGUUAUUUCAAAUAUUAAAAAAAUUUAAUAUUAUUAGUCUUUUAGAUAGAUUAAAUUAUUUUUUAAAGAGAUAGAUUAAAUUAUUUUAAAAUACCUUAAUUGUUUUUACUUUAAACAUUACCGGCCUUUCUUUUAUUUUAUUGCAAAUUAAUGCUAACAAGAAAAAGCUAGAUCAUAUUCCACAAAAGCAAAAGUGACAAACACAGCCAGCUGGAAUCUUUUAUAAAACUACAAAUUAAAAUGGAUUUUUUUUUUUGAUAAAUUACACAUGAAAGUGGAUUCUUUUGAAUAUAAGUGGGGUAGGCUCUUUUAUUUUAUUUUUGAAUAUUGUAUAACGGGACUGUAGACUCUUUUAUUAAACUACAAAUUGUAUAGUCUUUUUAAAAUUGUUAUAAAUUAGUGGCCCCUAAAAUCCUCAACAAUUGUACCGAUAUUCACAAGUUGGUGGCCCCUACAAUUCUGUUCAGUUAAUUUAACUGUGCAAGUGCUCAUUCACAAUCUUCCAGGUCAUGCUCUUAAUAAUUUUUUUUUUUUUUUCUGCAUUCCCUUUCAUGCUCUUAAUAAUUGAAGAGCAUACUUUUCAUUUUCAAAUGUGGAGCCGCAGCUAAUGUCGUUAAUUUAAUUUGGGAUUAAAUUAGGGGACCAUUAUAUUGCAGUGUGCACUAAUUUUUGUGUUUAUCUAAACUCCUUAAAUUUAAGACAUAUUAUGGCAUAAAUAAGAAUAUAACAAUAACAAAAGAGUUAGAAAGUGUAGAGAAGAUCUUGCAGAAAUAUAAAUAAUAUCUAUUUUAAAAUAAUUUUUAAUAUUUUAUGAUCCAUUAGAUAUAUUUUAUUAUAUUAAAGUAAAUUUUAUAAUAAAUGAAAACAUACUAUUAAAAUGAAUAUAUAGAAAAUUUAGAGUAUUUUAAAUAUUAUAUAAAAUAAUUUUAAUAAAAUAUGUGAGAUAUUCAUAUUUUAUUAAUUUAAAAUACCAUUUAACCUAAAGAUUUAUUUAUGAUAAAUUAAUAAUUAUAUUUUUGAAAUUACUUCAAAUAUUAAAAAAAUUAAUAUUACUAAUCUAUUAGAUAGAUUAAAUUAUAUAUAUUAUUUUCUAUUUAUUAAAAAAUUAAAAUUAUUUUUAAUUACUAUUCAAAAAAUAUAAUGAUAAAAAAAAAUCUUAACAUCUUUAUUAAAAAUUUAAAAUUUACAUGAUCAAUUCUCUAAAUAUUUAGGGUAUAUGUGAACAUCGGUGGAGAAGCUUUAUUUAAUAUUAUUGAUUUAAAUAAUAUGUCAAUUAAAAAUGUGCGGAGAAGAAAUUUCGGUGGGUAUUUUAGUCUUUUCAGCAAUUAUCAUGAUCAGAUCAGCCUUUAGCCUUGAAACGUCGGUCAGAAAGUUUUAAAAUUAACGCUAACAAGAAAAAGCUAGGUCAUAUUCCACAAAAGCAAAAGUGACAAAACAACCAGUUGGUUUCUUUUACUAAACUACAAAUUAAAAGUGGAUUCUUUUGAAUACAAGUGGGACAGACGAUUAGGCUCUUUUUAUUAAAGGCAAGUAAAAAGUAGUCGAAUAGUCUUUUUCAAAUUCUUGUUUUAAUAUUUUUCAAAACUAGUUUUUGGUAAUUACAAUCGGGUCAUUCAUUAAUCAUUAUUCAGAGUAAUUAUGAAUUUCCCAAUUAUAAUUACUAACUGUUUUUCCUUAACCACUCGGCUCAGCCCGAGUGGCCAGGGCUGCUGCCCUCCAAGUUCGAACCCCCACAAAAGUAUUGUGGGGGUAUUUUCUUUCUCAAUUAAUUUGAGUGAAGGUAGUCUUUUCCUUUAUCCAUGAGUGAGGAGUAGACAUCCCUCGAAUAUUUGUGAGGGUUAAAAUCUGAGUAGAGCUCUAUUAGCAUUGAUGUAAGUUGAUCCCAGUAAUUGUCUGAUCUGUAAAUAUCAGGUUAAAAUCUGGGCAAAGCUCCAUUAGCAUUGAUGUAAGUUGAUCCCAGUAAUUGUCUGAUCUAUAAAUAUCAGUUAUAGUCUCAUGUAAUAUGAGUUGUAAUCUGAGCAAUAGUCUCGUGUAAUAAAAAAAAAAAAAAACUAUUUUUCCUUCAAAAGUUAGAGACUCGUGUUUGCAACUUGCAAGUGUGAAUGUGCAAUGCUCUUUGUCUAAAGGCUAGUGUUUCUAGUGGGUCCCGACUCGAGCGUGCCUAAAUCAUUUUAAAAUUUUUCCCGUAUAAUGGACAGAGGUCAUUACUAAAAUUUCUCUUCCACAGGCAAUUACAGCAGCUCCAGUUUAUCAAACUCAACCAAUUUUCUUUCUUAACAAAAUUCCAAAGAUGUGUAGCUUUUUUCAGAUCACAUGCGAUGGUGCUCUUUUCAAUCGUUGCUUGGAUUGCUUUCUUGGAAAAGCAGCAUACAUACGUAACCUCCAAGAUAAUCUUGAUGCCUUGGAGACUGAAUUGGGAAAUCUGAUCGCUAAAAAGAACGAUGUGAUGAGGAGGGUUGUCGAUGCUGAACGGCAACAAAUGAGAAGGCUGGACGGAGUGCAAGUGUGGGUUUCGAGGGUGGAUGCUUUUAAAACUGGAGCCGAUGAACUUAUCAUAGACGGCUCUGAAGAAAUUGGCAAAUUAUGUGUUGGAGGCUACUGUUCCAAGAACUGCAGGUCAAGCUACAAAUUCGGAAAACAAGUGGCUAGAAAGCUACGAGAUGUGGAGACUUUAAUCGCCGAGGGAGUUUUUGAGGCGGUGGCUACUGAGGUGGUGCCUGAGAGAGCUCCAGAGCCUGUAGCAGAUAAAAGACCCAUUGAGCCAACAAUAGUAGGCUUGCAAUCACAGCUUGAACAAGUUUGGAGAUGUCUUGUAGAAGAAUCAGUGGGAAUCAUUGGCCUAUAUGGUAUGGGCGGUGUUGGUAAAACCACACUAUUGACCCAUAUCAACAAUAAAUUUCUUGAGAGUCCCACAAACUUUGAUUGUGUGAUUUGGGUCCUAGUUUCAAAAGACCUGCGACUUGAAAAAAUUCAAGAAGAUAUUGGGAAGAAGAUAGGUUUGGUUGAUGAUUCAUGGAAGAAUAAAAGUUUUGAAGAGAAAGCUGUGGACAUCCUGCGGAGAUUAGGAGAGAAGAGAUUUGUAUUGUUGUUAGAUGAUUUAUGGGAGCGGGUUGAUUUAACAGAAGUGGGCGUUCCACUUCCCAGCGCACAAAAUACUACCUCAAAAGUCGUAUUCACAACCCGUUCCAUUGGUGUUUGUGGCAGCAUGAGAGCUAGGCCGGUUAAAGUGGCAUGCCUAUCAGAAAAGCAAGCUUGGGAACUGUUCCGCGAAAAUGUUGGGGAAGAAACUCUUGAGAGUGAUCAUGAGAUCGUUGAGCUAGCCCAAACUGUAGCCAAAGAGUGUGGUGGUUUGCCACUCGCACUUAUUACUAUUGGUCGAGCUAUGGCCAACAGAAAUACAGCUGAGGAGUGGAGACAUGCAAUUGAAGUAUUAAAAAGGUCAGCUUCGGAGUUUGCGGGUUUGGAAAAAGAUGUAUAUCCUCUUUUAAAGUUUAGUUAUGAUAGUUUGCAGAAUGAGACGAUUAGAACUUGUUUCUUAUAUUGCUGUUUGUAUGCGGAAGAUUAUGUCAUUCCUAAAUGGGACUUGAUUGAUUGUUGGAUUGGUGAGGGAUUCUUAGAGGAAUCUCACGGUUUUGGUGCAGAAAACCAAGGAUACUACAUUGUGGGCACUCUUGUUCGUGCAUGUUUAUUAGAAGAGGUGGAAGAUGAUGAAGUAAAAAUGCAUGACGUUAUUCGUGAUAUGGCUAUAUGGAUAACCUGUGAAAUUGAGAAGGAGAAGAGAAACUUUUUGGUUCGUGCAGGUGCUGGAUUAAAAGAGGCACCGGAUGUUAAAAGAUGGGAAAAUGUGAGAAGAUUGUCAUUGAUGCAAAACCAAAUUGAAACUCUGUCAGAGGUUCCCACAUGCCCUCAUCUCCAUACUCUAUUUCUUGCCUCUAAUAAUAGUUUGCAGAGGAUCACCGAUGGCUUCUUCCAACUUAUGCCUUCUCUCAAAGUUUUGAAGAUGUCAAACUGCUGGAAUUUUACUUUGAAAUUACCUUUGGCGAUGUCAGAGUUGGGUUCGUCACUAGAACUUCUUGAUAUUUCAUAUGCCAGCAUAACAGAGUUACCAGAAGAGUUAAAGUUGUUGGUAAAUCUGAAAUGUUUGAAUUUGAGGUGGACAGAUACGUUAAAUAAAAUUCCACGGCAACUAAUAUCAAUUCUUUCAUGGUUACGUGUGUUGAGAAUGUUGGGUACUGGCUGGUUCAAUUUUCUUGAAGCACCAGAAGACAGCGUUUUAUUUGGUGGGGGUGAAGUUUUGAUACAGGAAUUGCUCGGUUUGAAAUAUUUAGAGGUAUUGGAGUUGACCUUGGGAAGUUAUCAUGCUCUCCAAAUUCUUUUGAGCUCAAAUAAGUUAAAAAGUUGUAUUCGAUCUCUUUACCUCCAUUUGACCGGAGAUACAGCGUCAAUUAUUGAUGCUACGGUUUUCGCAGAUCUAAACCAACUCAAUCAAUUAUGGAUUGAUGAAGGUAUUGAGUUGGAAGAAUUGAAGAUUGAUUAUACGGAGAUAGUACGAAAAAGGCGGGAACCUUUUGUUUUCCGCAGCCUUCACUGUGUUCGUAUAGAGCAGUGCCAUAAAUUGAAAGAUGUGACAUUCCUCAUUUUUGCUCCAAACCUCAAGUCUCUUGACCUAUCCUACUGCUCUUCUAUGGAAGAAGUAAUCAGCGUCGGAAAAUUUGCUGAGACUCCUGAGAUGAUGGGACAUAUAAGCCCUUUUGAAAAUCUCCAAAGUCUUCAUUUAUCGCAAUUGCCAGCUUUGAAGAGCAUCUACUGGAAGCCAUUGCCUUUCACUCAUCUCAAAGAAAUAUCUGUGGGUUAUUGCCGUAAUCUUAAAAAGCUUCCACUCGAUUCCAACAGUGCAAAGGAGCGUAAAUUUGUAAUUCGUGGAGAAGAAGACUGGUGGAACCGACUUCAAUGGGAGGAUGAAGCCACUCAAAUUGCUUUUCGUUCCUGUUUCCAACCAAUGGGAGUACUGAGCGGUGGUCGCAAAAUUUGAUUUCUGGUGAGUGCGUUUGUCUUUUAAAAGCAGAAUUUAAAAGAAAUUUAUUCUUGUCGUUUUCUUCUCUGUUUUUAUUUGAUUUCUGGUUAGUUUCUCUCUCGCACUGCCAUUACUGUUUUAAUUUCCUGUCAAAAGACGAGCGAGAAGAACAUAUAUAUGACGUAAACCAAUUGAUAAAUAUUAAUUGCCUGUUCUCUGUUUUUAUUAAGUAUACUUUAUUUUGCCCUGUUCUCUGUUUUUAUUUCAUUCUCUCUCUCUCCCUCUCUUUCCUGUCUUCUGCAAGUCAUAAUUAAAUGUUGAAUUAUAUGGAAUUAAUGCUUUAUAAAUCUGCCUACGCUGGCUUUUUUUUUUUUUUUUGUGGGGUCGAAUUGAUGCUCUGGUUUUCGACUACUUUUUGUUGUCAAAAUUUUCUCUGUUUUUUCAAAUUGAUGCUUUAUUUAUAUCUUCUUCGUGAAAAGUGAUUUAAUUUCCUGCCAAAAGACGAACGAGAAGAACAUUAGAGUCUAACUAAUGCUCACAUAAAUUUCCCGUAAGAAUAUAUAUAUAAUUAGACUGGAAUGCACACCUCUAGAUUGAACAGAAUUAAAGCUGAGAAAAUAUUGAGUAUAGUAGCCCUCUUUACAGAAAAUGACGCGAAAGUUAAUUUAGAAAAAGAUAUAUUCUUGAUUAAUCCAUUUUCUGAAGUUUUUUAUUUUGUAUGGUCAAUUAUACCUUCAUACUAAAAAUUUCUGAAGUUAUGGGGUUGUUGGAUGUGUUUUGGAUAUUUGCAGCUAAGUUUGAGUUUAUAUCUCAACUUAAAAUUUGUAGUUUUCACUUGAAAAAAUUCAGUUAAAAAUUUAUUGGUAGAAUUGUGAAAAAAGUUAAAAUUUUUAGUUCAACCCGAUUGCAUAUUUAAGAACAUCUCAAAUGAAUUGCUUACUGCUAUCAUCAUCAUUAUUGUCCAUAUAAUAAUGGAUCUUUAUUAUAUAUAUAUAUGUUUCCACUAAAAUAUAUUUAAUUAUUCUUUAUUUUUCCAUUGUUGCGUGUAAGAUUUAUUUGAGUUCUAAGUUAUAUCAAUACAAAUGUUAUCUUAUCCAUAAAAAAGUUAGAUCCAACAAUUAUGAAAAUUACCAUAGAGUUGCUUUCAAUUAUUUUUUAAAAAUACCAGGAGUAAAUAAUAAUUAGUUCAAGUGGUGUAGACUAAAAAGUGUUCACCUUUAUUUUUUAUCUGUUAUUUAUUUAUUUCAUUAAUGCACAUGCUAUACAUUUGAGACACUCCAUCCUAUGCAAUGUGAAUAAAUUUCUUUCCUUUUUCCUUUACUCUUUUUAUUUGACAAUAAAGUUUCCAUCUAUCAUCUAUCAUCUAUCAUCUAUGUACGCAAAAUUUCUGCAACAAGUACAAAACAUAAAAAUAUAUAUGAUUGUUAAGGGAAACACGCAGAAGUUCAUCAUUUCAAUGUUCAGUAUUACCAAUUUUGGCAUUAAGCUUGUACGAAUAUAUUCCACUUAGAAAGCAAAAUAUUAGACUCAUGAUUUUAAUUCAUUCAUUAUCUCUCAUUUUAAUCCCAAAAUAUUCAAGAGUAUCCAAGUUACCAUAAGACUUCAGAGGCUCGAGCCUUAGCCAGAGAUGGUUAAUUGAUAGACUAUGUGCCUGGGUCGAGCACUGGAAGCCUGCAAUGCAGACUGAUUGAUUUAUCAGUUUGACGUGUGCCAGGAAUGAAGAACUGGAAUAUCACCGUCAAGCACGCACCCUGUGGAGCAAUACCAAAGAAUGCACAAUCUGGCUUUGCUAGGUGACACUGGAGGCUUUUUGAAAAGUGCUUCACGCUCACUUGCACAGAUUGAGCAUCCCCUCCGGAUAUUGCCCUCUCUGAUCGAGUCCGAGCACUCAAAUUUCAAUCCUCAGAUGGAGCUACAGCUUUCUCUCCAAUAACCAACAAUUUUCUAAACUCAGCUCCUAGUGUGAUGAGAGUUGUUGAUAUUUGUAAAUGGAGAUCCCCAUAUUUGCAAAUGGAGACAUUUAACAAAUCACCAACAUGCUUCAUUCGGUCUACGAAAUUCUGCAGCUGAUUCAAAUCCGGAACCUGAACCAGAGUCGGAGGUAAAUCUUGAGCCAUAUCUAAAGCAGUCUGAAGUUCAAGUACUUGAGCCCUUGACAAUGGUUUUGAAAUAGGAACAUCUUGGAUUACUGCAGACUUGUACCCCUUGGUUUCAAAGGUAAGGAAAGGCAUUGCUUGAGUACAAUUUGGAGGCAGCUUCUUCACCAAUUUUAUUUGGAGGCGAUUGGCAGCGGAUCCAGCUGCACCAAUUUCAGAGCAAAUACUGACACUACUUCGAACAGCACACUGAAGAAGUGAUAUGUCUACGGCAAAGGCAAUGCAGUCCUCAUUUUGGCUUGAGAUGCAGUAAUCAUCGAAGAGAGUUUCCUUGUGAAACUGGGCAACACAUUGAAUCCCUUCGCCACUGAGAAGGUUGUGGAGGAAGUAAGCUUUCUCUCUAGUGAGGAAGAGGUGGCAUACCUUCCCCAUUUUGUCUAGGGCAGGUAGGAAUCAUUUUUCUAAGAGAUUUACUUCAUUCUCUGUGAGAAAUGAAUUGAACUUCAUCCCUCUGUCUCUAUCCUCACUUAUCAGAAAAUAAGUUGAAAGCACUUCGGAGAGAGAGAGAGAGAGAAUUAAGAUAUAUAGACAAGAAAAAUAUUAGACGUUGAUCUUACAAACUAAUACUUCAAGCAGUAUCCUAGAAAGCUAAAAACUGCAAGAUGGCUUGAAAUUUGAAAAGAGCACGUGCUUUUCCUCCUUAACUUGAGAAAAUGUUUAAUAUAGUGCACCUACAGAAGCAUUUAAGCAAUUAGAACUUUGCACAAAAACAUCAAGAAGACUAAACAAAUCAGAUGCAGUGUAUUUGUCCAAGCACAAAUUGCAUUUUGUCCUCAACUUUAAUAUUUAUUGAUGAGAAUCAAUACAGGUCCCUCAUUUGAUAUAGAAAGCUUUCUUUCUUGUAGUCUCACCAGUUAAUUCACAGGUCUAUAAUCAUCUUGCAAAGUUAAGGGCAUUUCUUUCGAUCUAAAGUCUUUGCAUCACCACCUCAUCACACGCCAAGCCAAUAUUCCAUUUACCUCUACAACAAAAAGUUUUAAGUAAACAAUCCUAAUGCACGCAGCCAAAUAAAAUGCAGUAAGAAUAUUCAACUUAAAAAUCUGAAAGCCGACUUGGUGAAUUGCCUCCUUAGGUGAAGUUCCAUGCUUUACUAUAGUUGACAGAACUCAGCAAAAGCUUCCAUACAACAGAUUUUGAAAAUGAUGAUGCCAAUAGAUACUCAUUCAAUCCAUUGAAAAUCCAAAGGUUCAUUGUUAAUAGAAGUUUACAGAGUUUUGGUCAUCAAAUAGCUCAGACCUAAUCCCAAACAAAAAACGAGUGAAAAUUAGAUCACGAGCAGCUGAUUGUAAAUUCUAACUUAACUCUUCAUCUCCUUUGUAAACAAGAAACAAAAUGGAGACACGCAAAAUGAAUAUGGAGAAAAUUUGAACUCAAAUGAAAUGAGGGCACGAAAGCAAACAAAUGGCAUGCACAAAAAAACCAAGCCUCAAUCAAAAACUAAUUAACCAUUAAGAAAAAAAUUGGUCAGAUAAUGAACUACAAAUUCAGGAGUCAAGCAAGAAGCUUUCAUUAUUUCAGAAGCUCCUGUACAAAUUAAUAAGUUAUGCUCUUUGGAAGCAAACCUAAAUUCCAAGAGAAACAGAACCCAAAAAAUUUGCAAUUAUACGCAAAGGGAGUGAAGCACAGGAUUCUAUCACACAUAGGAAUUGUAUAACAAGAGAUCGAUAUAUCGAAUUAGAAAACUCAAUUCGAAUUUGUGUCAAAAAUCAAAAUUAGAAGAUUUCACAUUUCGAGAGGAACAAGCAACAGAUGAAGUUCAAAAUUUCAGCCAUAACAUGCUAAAAAUGCUACACUUAACGGUUCAUUUUCAUGGAUUUUCUCGGGAAACAAACAGAAAAUUACGGUUUAGAGAUUUGACUGACCUUUUGGCUUUUGAAAUUGAGAAGAUCGCACGCCAAAUUGGAAGAGGGAAAGUGAAAGUGCGAGUUUUAAUAUGGGUAUUAGAUAAGGAAAUUUUAUUAGGUUGCGAGGGUAAAAAAGGAAAGAGAUAUCAUUGUUUUAUUAUCGAUAAUUAUUAAAUUUUUUUCCAAAAAAAAAGAACAAGCAAGGAUAUUUUAUUGUCAUUUGCAACCUUUAAUUUUUUAAAUGCUAUUAGAAACACAAGACAAUAAAGAAAUACUUAUUUUUUUCUAAAACUAAAAUCAAUUGUUUAAAAAAAAUUGUUUCAAAAUUACUUGAGUCAUAUCCAAUGGACCAACAAAGUAAUCGUUUUUAUUUUUAUUGAUUUUUGCAGGAAAUUAAUAACUUAAAAAUACUGAAAGCUAUUGUAAAAAUUUUUAUUAUCAACCUCAUAGUUUUUUUUUUUUUUUUUGGGAAGAGAAUUCAAACUUUUUUUUUUAUGAAUAUCGCUGUUUCGUUUGAGUUGGAUGUGAAUUCAAAUACAAAUAUUCUUUGUUUUUCAAUUCUGAACUCAAUUUCUUUUUUUCAAGAAUGUUAUGCAGAAAUGAUUUUUACUGAACGGCAACAAAUGAAAAGGCUGGGCCAAGUGGAAUGGUGGGUUUCGAGGGUGGAUGCUGUUAAAAUUGAAGCUGAUGAACUUAUCAGAGACGGCUCUCAAGAAAUUGACAAAUUGUGUGUUGGAGGCUACUGUUCUAAGAACUGCACGUCAAGCUACAAGUUCGGGAAACAAGUGGCUAAAAAGCUACGAGAUGUGGAGACUUUAAUCGCUGAAGGAGUUUUUGAGGCGGUGGCUACCGAGGUGGUGCCUGAGAGAGCAGAGCCUGUAGCAGAUGAAAGACCUACCGAGCGAACAGUAGUAGGCUUGCAAUCACAACUUGAACAAGUCUGGAGAUGUCUUGCAGAAGAAUCAGAGGGAAUCAUUGGCCUAUAUGGUAUGGGCGGUGUUGGUAAAACUACAUUACUGACCCAUAUCAACAAUAAAUUUCUCGAGAGUCCAACCAACUUUGAUUGUGUGAUUUGGGUAGUAGUUUCAAAAGACCUGCGACUUGAAAAAAUUCAAGAAGAUAUUGGGAAAAAGAUAGGUUUGGUUGGUGAUUCAUGGAAGAGUAAAAGUGUAGAGGAGAAAGCUGUCGACAUCUUCCGGAGUUUAAGAGAGAAGAGAUUUGUAUUGUUGUUAGAUGAUAUAUGGGAGCGGGUUGAUUUAACAAAGGUGGGCGUUCCACUUCCCGGACCCCAAAAUACUACCUCAAAAGUCGUAUUCACAACCCGUUUCAUCGAUGUUUGUGGUAGCAUGGAAGCUGACAGGAAGUUCCAAGUGGCGUGCUUAUCAGAAAAGGAUGCUUGGGAACUGUUUCGAGAAAAAGUUGGGGAAGAAACUCUUCAGAGUCAUCAUGAUAUCGUUGAGCUAGCCCAAAUUGUGGCCAAAGAGUGUGGUGGUUUGCCACUCGCACUUAUUACUAUUGGUCGAGCUAUGGCCUGCAAAAGGACAGCCGAGGAGUGGAGACACGCAGUUGAAGUGCUAAGAAGAUCAGCUUUUGAGUUUGCAGGUUUGGGAAAAGAGGUAUAUCCUCUAUUAAAGUUUAGCUAUGAUAGUUUGCAGAAUGAGACGAUUAGAUCUUGUUUCUUAUAUUGUUGUUUAUAUCCCGAAGAUUAUGGAAUUCUUAAAUGGGACUUGAUUGAUUGUUGGAUUGGUGAGGGAUUCUUAGAGGAAUCUGACAGGUUUAGUGCAGAAAACCAAGGAUACUACAUUGUGGGCACUCUUGUUCAUGCAUGUUUAUUAGAAGAGUUAGAAGAUGAUAAAGUAAAAAUGCAUGACGUUAUUCGUGAUAUGGCUCUAUGGAUAACCAAUGAAAUUGAGAAGGAGAAGAGAAACUUUUUGGUUCGUGCAGGUGCUGGAUUAAAAGAGGCACCGGAUAUUAAAGGAUGGGAAAAUGUGAGAAGAUUGUCAUUGAUGCAAAACCAAAUUAAAACUCUGUCAGAGGUUCCUUCAUGCCCUCAUCUCCAUACUCUAUUUCUUGCCUCUAAUGAUAAUUUGAGGAUGAUCACAGAUGGCUUCUUUCAAUUUAUGCCUUCUCUCAAAGUUUUGAAGAUGUCAAACUGUGUGGAUUGGCCAGUUUCGAAAUUACCUUUGGCGAUGUCAAAGUUGGGUUCACUACAACUUCUUGAUAUUUCACAUACCGGCAUAGAAGAGUUACCAGAAGAGUUGAAGUUGUUGGUAAAUCUGAAAUGUUUGAAUUUGAGGUGGACAUUUGAGUUAAAUAAAAUUCCAUGGCAACUAAUAUCAAAAUUUUCAAGGUUACGUGUGUUGAGAAUGUUCGCUACUGGCUUUGCCCGUUUUGAUGAAGCAUCAGAAGACAGCGUUUUAUUUGGUGGGGGUGAAGUUUUAGUACAGGAAUUGGUCGGUCUGAAAUAUUUAGAGGUAUUGGAGUUGACCUUGGGAUGUCAUCAUGCUCUCCAAAUUUUUUUGAGAUCAAAUAAGUUAAAAAGUUGUAUUCGAUCUCUUCUCCUCCACUUGGCCGGAGAUACAACGUCGAUUAUCGAUGCUACGGCUUUCGCAGAUCUAAACCACCUCAAUGAAUUAUGGAUUGAUAGGGCUAAGGAGUUGGAAGAAUUGAAGAUUGAUUAUACAGAGAUAGUUCGAAAAAGGCGGGAACCUUUUGUUUUCCGCAGCCUUCACCGUGUUACUAUACAUAGCUGCCAGAAGUUGAAAGAUACGACAUUCCUCGUUUUUGCUCCAAACCUCAAGUCUCUCGAUCUAGACCGUUGCGAUGCUAUGGAAGAAAUAAUCAGCGUCGGAAAAUUUGCUGAGACUCCUGAGAUGAUGGGACAGAUAAGCCCUUUUGAAAAUCUCCAAAUGCUUGAUUUAGAAGAUUUGCCACAUUUGAAGAGCAUCUUCUGGAAGCCAUUGACUUUCACUCAUCUGAAAGAAAUAUCUGUGGGUUAUUGCCGUAAUCUUAAAAAGCUUCCACUCGAUUCCAACAGUGCAAAGGAGCGUAAAUUUGUUAUUCGUGGAGAAGAAGACUGGUGGAACCGACUUCAAUGGGAGAAUGAAGCCACUCAAAUUGCUUUUCGUUCCUGUUUCCAAUCUCUUUUUGAUUAACUCUUAUACAUUUUCUCGUCGUUUGCUUCGUGCAAAAAAGACUACGUCUUUUGUUCUCUGUUUUUAUUUCAGUUUCGUUUGUUGUCUCCUGCAAAUCACAAUUAAAUGUUGAAUUAUAUGGAAGUAACGCUUUAUAAAUUUUCCGGCACUGCCAUUUCUUUUUCCUCUUUUUUUUUUUGGGUCGAAUUGAUGCUCUGGCUUUUUUACUUUUUGUCAUCGAAUUUUGCUCUGUUUUUCAAAUUGAUGCUUGAAUAUGUGAAUUCAAUUAAUGCUCACAUAAUUUUGUUUAGUUGCCGUAAAAAGAAUAUAAUUAGACUGCAAUUCGCACUCCCAGAAUGAAUAGAAUCACAACAGAGAAAAUAUUAAGUAUGCUAGCCCUCUUUACAGAAAAUCAAAUGAAAAUAAAAUUUUUUGGAUAUUUGAUUUUCUAUGGUCUACUAUAUACAGUUUAUAAAUUCUUCUGUUCUAAGGAUAACCAAAUCCUUUGUUCAAGGAUUUUUAUUUGGGGUAUUGAUAAUAGUCCACCAAAAUAGUGAAUGCUUGGAUGCUGCUUAAGGAUCUGUAAUCAAUAAGCUGGAAGCAAACGAGAAGGCGGUCGCUACUCUGUACAAAGCCAUGCAGCAAUUGCUAUUCAUCUUAAAUUCUUAAUAAUUACGAAGCUUUGGUAAAAUUUCCGAACAAAGUUGACAUGUUAUUUUGAGAUUUGGUUCCUGAUUUUGUAUGAAUAUCGCUGUUUCGUUUGAGUUGGAUGUGAAUUCAAAUCCAAAUAUUCUUUGUUUUUCAAUUCUGAAAUCAAUUUCUUUUUCUCAAGAAUGUUAUUCAGAAAUGAUUUUUACUAAAUCAUUUUUGAUGAAUUGUUUAAAUUAAACAAUUGGAAUAAGAAUUGUAACGAUUUAUCAUAAGCGUGCUAAUAUGAUAACUUAUUUUACGAACGAUUAAUUAAUUAAUCAAUUAAUGUUAAAUUAUAUAUUAAUCAAUUAGCUAUGUGUUGCAUUUAUCAUGUUUUGUAGGUGAUUCUACAUAAUUUCUAAAAGAAUAUAGUAAAAACACGUUAAAAAUUAUUUAAUGAAGAAAAUUUUAUUAAAUAGGUGACACAAUAAUAAAUGGAUUUCUGUAAGAAUUGAGAUUCUUGAGAUAAUUAUUACAUAAGGAGAAGUUUAGUUGGUUCAAUUUUGACAUGAUAAGAAGACAACACAGCACAGAAAACCCAAAUUGCCACUUCCACUAAUAAAAGAUACCUGUUUGAAAAGUAAUUAUAAACUAUCUUCUUUGUGUUAUUUCUCAAAACUUUUGUGGCACAAAUGUUAUUUCCAUUGACAACAGUACGAAAUACCACCCCUUUCACUUGAGCAGGAGCAAAGCAAAGGUAUGAUGAGCUAUCUCUGUAUAAUUGAAACGCCAUUACUAAACGAUUCUUGAUGAUGGGAGCCACCGUGCCAGCUUUGUCGCUGAUUUGCAUGAUUUAUUAGUUGUCCAGAUGGCGGAUUUUGUACUGUUACCUUCGUUUCAUUCUUCAGAGCCAUGUACAGUUCUAGGAUACCAGAGAAACCAAGGUGGCAUUGAAGUUGCCCCAGUGGUUAGUUUUCCGAUCAUUUUUUUUAUUCAAUUAUUUAUGUUUGUAGAAAAAUGUAGGAAAUAUGUAGAAAUGUUGACAGCUAUGAUUUUGAAACUUUUGCCUAAAAUUGUUAUCAUUACUUCUUGUUUCUUAUUUAAAGAGAAAUUCUAGAAACAUGAAAUGAUUAUUCUACGCUUGUUUUAAUAUUAUGCUAUGAAGAUUAUGAAGGUUUGAUUAUAUGUCACUAUCAAUUGCCUUAAUCGUUUGUCGUAAAUCAAUUAAGCAUUUUGAUGCAAAUGAUUCCCUAUUAAAAAAUUCAAGUCAGAGCUGAAUUGCAAAUUAGUUAGUCGUGCUUGCCAUUCAAAUUAAGUAUUGUAUUUUCUCCCUGAUUUGGUUGAUUCAACUAUGUGCAUUUGCUUAUGAACGUUGUAGUACAGAAAUUGAAACAUCUUGUCUUUUGCUAAGCCCAGAAGCAAAUUCUUUGUAUUCUACUCAUCAGUUUUCUUCAUUCUCUUCGUUGAAAUUUUAUCCAAACAGCGGUUUCGAAAUUGUUUUCACCACAAUACCUUAGUCUUUCAGAUGCUCCCGUCACUGAGUUGCCAGAAGAGCUAAAAGCCUUGGUAAAUCUUAAGUGUUUGAACCGGAGUACACAAAUUAUCUCUCUACAAUUCCAAAACAACUGAUUUGUUACUUUUCGAUGCUACAUGUUCUGCGAAUAUUCAGUUGUGAUUAUCUUGUUCAAAUACCAGAAAAUAGCGUUCUAUUUAGUGGUAAUGAAUUCUUGGUUUGGGAGUUGCUUAGUUUAAAACGUUUAAAUGUAUUAAGCAUCAUCUUGAAAAGUUUUUCUGCCGUCCAAAAACUUAUGAGCUCCCAAAAGUUUCAAAGCUGUACACAAUGCUUGGAGCAUAUAGGCUGUGAUGAUCCAAAGUCAUUUGCCUUGGCAGAGUUGAAACAUCUUGAAAAACUAGGUUUUUCGAGUUGUGGAAAUUUGGAAGAGUUAAAGUUCUGCUGUGUCGAAGUUGCAAAGGCUCGAGAAUGUUUUCGUUUGAACGGCCCUUGCUGAGUUAAGAUGAAGGCUUGUCAUAAAUUGUGGGAAGCGACAGGUUAUUCAAAUAGAAAAAUGUAUGGAGAUGGAUGUUAAUCUUAAGGUUAUUCAAGCAGACAAAUUCGAAUAAAACUUAUGGUAAGUGCUUUUCCAUUUAUUGCAUAUUUAUAUCUAAUUUUUAUUUUCCUUUAUUGUUAAAUUUUGCUCUAUAUUUGUUGUUGUAUGGUGGCAUUCUUGUACAAUUAUUAGCUUUUCAUUUCUCUUCUCACAUUAACUGCCCUUCUGAUCAUGUAGGAUUUGCUGAUGCAAAGAGUCAUAAUUUGGGAUACAAAUGUAAGAAUUAGACAGAUGACGUGUUGUUUUGAAGCUCUCGAAGAAGAAGGACUAAUUAUGUCAUUGAAAGCCUCCAAUUUUGUGAUUGGUUUCUUUUUAUUUUAUUUGUUGUUUUCUCUAUUUUCAGAUCGCUUAAUUGUUAGUUGUUGUAAUGUAAUGUUUUAGUAUAGAAAAUUAUAUUCGGCCAAGACAGCGAUAGGAAGGCACAUUGUGCAUGCACACUAGUGGAUUUGGCAUGCCAACUCCAAUUAGGAUGGAUAACACUUUAUAAGCAUUAGGCUUCUCUCGUACUUGAGUAAUAUAGAAUAUGUUUAUAAGUUGUGAAUCACCCUUUAUAAGUGUUAGGCUUCUGCUAUACUCAGUGAUGUGAAAUAUAUUUAUAAGCACUAAACUUCUCCCAUACACUUUAUGUUAAAAAUAAUAAUAAUAAUAAUAAUAAUAAUAAAAUAAACCCAUUUUAACAGACUCUUUUUUCUUUUUCUAUAUGAACAAAUGCAUUCUUCAAAGCAAUUGUGGGUAGAAGAAGUGAGUAGAGAAGAACUGGGCCCCUUUCAUUCCCCUAAAACCUCACCAAAACCUCUCUUGUAAGCUUUUCGGAUUUUCUUUCUAUAUUUCUUAGGAACUCAUUUUUUAUUGAAUCACUUCUUUUGCAUGCUGCAUUUUUUGUUUGUCGUAUUUGGGUAUUAUCUUAUCUGGAAUACUGUUAUGAUUGAUGGAACAAGUAAUCGAUUUUUGGUCUAAUGGAAGUUGAUUUAUUUAUUUAUUGUUAUUUUUAUUUGAAAUUAUGUACAAUUGCAUUUCAUUCAUUUCUCUCUCUCUUUUUCUUUUUUUCCCCCCAUAUAUUUGUUAUGUAUAAUUGCGUUUCAUUUAAUAUUGAUCAUACUGUAGGUAACCAUGUGAUUGUAGAUUGGGAUUUCAAGUUUGUUGAAUAUUCAUGUAAGUGAAGUAACCGUCACAAUACUAGUGAAAUUGGGAGCUUUAUUCAUGAGUUUGUGGUUUUGAAAAGAACCACAGUUCAACUGAUGAAGGCUCCUUUUUGGGAUUCUUCUUUUUCUAGGCUGCAAUUAGGAUAUGUACAUGAUAGACAAUCUUUUGUUGGCUUGGCAUAUCUUCGCUGAUUUUUUCUUUUAUUCCCCAAUUUUAUAAUUACACACCAUGAAUGUUGGGUGAUUGUAUAGAAAAUUUGUGUUAUAACAAAAACAUUGUGAAGGAGUUUCCGUGCUAAUAGUUAGUGGCUUCUGUUUUAUUGGCAUUGAUUGGGUAGAUUACGUGUUACAGUGAUUCAAUUUGUGUUCCAAACUUUGCUUUAAUUUUCUGUUUUCCCCAACUAUUUAUGUCAAAUUUAAAUCCAGAAGCAUGUACUGAUUUUUUCUUUUUGUAUUAAUCUGUGAAGUUUAUUUGGAAUGGAAGUAACUGGGUCGGGUCUAAUGGAUUAAAUUAUGACAUUGAGGGGAAGGCACUAAAAGGGUUUGCUUGACACAUUUGGUUCUGUGUUUACUCUGCAAGAAAUAGCUUUUGCUUAUUGCAAUGCAGGGGGAAAUCCCGAUUUGGCUGGUGAAUUUCUCUGCAACAAACAGGCAAACACCUCAACCUCUUCUGUCCAUACUUCUGCUGGGGAGGCAAGGGGUAAAGAGUCUUCAAAAUCAUCAAAUAGUAACAUCUCUGAGAAUUCAUUUUAUGGAAAUGGAAAAUCUAGAGCUUCUAAUACAAAAUGGCAUCUGGUAUCAGGACGUACCGUUUCAAGUUUUCUUGGUAAAGAUUAUGUUAAACCUGCACAGCCAGCUAAUGGCACUUUUCUGGCAUCAAAGCCAUUGAAGUUGGAUCCAAAGGAGUUUCCCAUGUCUGCACUUUGCAGAGAAGAAUCUAAACCGAAACAAUCAAAGGAUGACCAUUUGCAGAAGGACAUGGAAGAUUUUCUGUUUAAAUUUCCAGGAGAAGGGUUCCAGCUGAACAGGGAUGUGAUUCAGGAGGUUCUCGGUAAUGUCUUAAAUAUAUUGAUGCCAAUUUAAUACAUAUUGUCCUUUUCAAUGUUCUUUCUUUCUUUCUUUCUCUUCUUUUAUUCUUCUUCUUCUUCUUUUUUCUUUUCGUGUGCAUGUGAUUGCUAAUUUUGUAUUAUUUUUAACUUGCAGAUAGUUGUGGAUAUGAUAUGCAAAAGGUAAGGACUAUAUCCUCCUGAUAGAGGCCUCUGCUUUUUCCCUUCUAUGUACGUAAUUUAGUAAAUCGCAUAUUCUAUAUAUCAUACCAAAAUCCUGUCUUAAAUGCUGCUGGCAUAUGUUAAGGUUCAACUUGCAUUUUGAUUAACGUCCAUUUGCUACGGCUUCCAAAAUUGAGAAUGAGAUACUUUGGUUAAUUUCAGUAGUUGAACCCAAUAGGGUACUUUAUUUAGAUCUUCAUGGUUCAAAGGCCCGAAAAAACUUGCAGGUAUUUGCAAAAUGACAUUCUGUGCUUUUAUUUAUACUUAUUAUUUAAGUGAUAAAAAUUCCCCAAACCUGCGGUCAAGAAAAUUUCAGACAGUUAAAGACUCCAUUUUGUUUCAGCCAAAAAUGUUUAUUUCAAUUAAAGAUUUGAACCAUUUUCAUUUAACCUGAUUGUGAUGCUUUACAUUGUGCACGUUCCUUUCGAUCAAUAAACGUUGAGGUCAUGAUUUUAUAUUCCUAUAUUGUAACCUAAAAUAAUAGUUGGUUUGCCUGUUUCUGUAGCUUGAUAACAUGAAUUUUCCUUCUGAAGUUACUUUGAUCAAUAAAGUUAUUCUUCGGAGAAGAUAUGCCCAUUCUAUAAUCAUUUUCUUAGCUAAUAUGUUUUUUUCACUCUUCUGAGCAUGUCUAAACUAAUUGAUCGCUCGGCAGAGACUGUGGGUAAGAAAACAAAAUUUCAUGGUAAAUCCUCUUAAAAGGUAUGCAUAAUUGAAAUGACCCGCCCCGAAUUCCCCUCAGGCGAGUCUAUCUAGUCUCAUCAAAACGGACUUGAUAAUAAUUCUAUUAGUAAAGACUCUGCCAAAAAUUCGGCAGAAUUUUUUUUUUUUUAUAUAUAACACUCCCAAUCUACAAAUAUGAAUAUAACACUCCCAAUACAAUUCAGUAUACAACAAACUCCAGUGAUCAACAUCUUCAACCAAAAUGCUGAGCUUUAUAUCUCCAGAGUCUCAAAAGAUAAUAUUAUAACUAAUAUUAAUAUCUUAGUUUAUUCUUAAUCCCAAAAGAAUAAUAUAACAAAAUUAUACAAUCCCAACAGGACGAGAUAACCAAGAUGUCCUAACAAAAAUAUUUAUAUCUUCUAACACCAUCACGUGGCCGAGAUUCAAAAUAUAUUUACAGUCGCUAGGUCGGUCUGGUGUACCUGCAACCUCCUGGUGAGGGGGGAAAAAUAUAAUAAAAACGGGGUGAGUUUAAAACUCAGUGAGAUCAGUGAGUGAAUAGUAGUUUUGAAAAUUAAUUCUUACUUUAAAAAAAAUAAUCGUAUCAUUUCCAAACACAAUUUCAUUAAACCAUAAGCGAGAAACCAAUAAUAAAUCAUUAAACAUUUAAAUCAUAUUACUAACCAUAGAAAUCAUAUCACAAUAUCAUAUAGAAUACACAAAUCUAAAAAUCAUCACCAAACAAGUACCCAGAGAAAUAAUCUCGUCAUAUCCGAACCUCAACAGACGGGCAAUGACGUACUAUCUAGGUAACGUCACACCCCGGAGCUACACGGAUAGACAGGGAAAUACCAUCUCAUAUCUCAUCAUAUAUGUGCAUGCAUAAUCUAGUCCCCAAGGGACAAAAGCGCCCAAGCACACGGCCCAAAGCCUCUGUGUAUACUCAGAGGGACCCCAAAGGCCUAUAUCUCAUAUGUAUCAUAUGUAUCAUUUGUAUCUCAAUUAUCUCAUAUCCGUAUAUCUGUAAUCAUCAUACCGCAUGCAUAUGCCCCCAAAAGGAAAAAGCGUCCAAACACACGGCCCAAAGCCUUUAUAUAUAUUCAGACGGGUCCUAAAAGCCUCUCAUCUCAUCUUAUCUGUAUCACUGUAUCUGAAGGGAAUGGUACUGUCUAAUGAUUUCAAAAACAAUCAUUAUACUCAUAUUCACAUACCUCUUAAUCAUAUUUUAAAUCAUACCACAUUUGAAUCCACUUUUCUUAUCUUUAAAAUACUAUCAUGCUUUAUUCAAAGUCGAUACGCAAAAUCAAUAACCAAACAUUUUAAUAAAAUACCAAUGCGUAAAUAAAAUCCAUUUCGAGAAAUCAUUAAAUCAGAACAUUUAAAAUACUUAUUUCGCAAACAUGCUUUACUAUCAUCGCUAACUAUGAAAAUAAGUUUUGUAUAUUCCACUCACAGUGACGGUGUUCACGGUCGGUUCUCGCUCGCGGAUCCUCCUAAAUCAACGAAACGACAUAAUUAUUUUCCGUAAAUCGGAAUUAUGACUAAAUUUUAUGCAAUAAAUUUAAAACGAACAUAUAUUCAUAAUUGACAACUCCUGUGUCCAUAAAAUUACUAAAAUGCCCUUGAGUCUGUAAAUCAUUAACAUGCUUCGAAAUCGUAAAUUACUGAAUUACUCUCGGAAUCGUAAUUACACUCAAUCCUCAAUUCUAGGAAUUACUAACAUAUCCACGGGCUCAGAAAUUACAAAUUUGCCCUCAUAGUGUGAAAUUACCAAAAACUGGAAUUUGGUCAACACUGGCUAGGAAGCUCAAAUCGUAAAGUUCCAAUCACGCUGAGUUCAAUGGUACCGGCGAUGAUCUCCAACGCGCGGCAACGACGCCGGAAUCUAGCUCGGCAGCCGUGAAUUCCACCAAUCGACCGGCGGCAAAACAGUGACUCUCGGUGCCUAUGGAUGGUCGGAAAUGGAAGAGGGAGUCGUGGGGAACAAAAUUCAACCGGUGGUGUAGCCAAAACCGGCGAAAAUCCCGGCGGAGCAAAGUGAAACAGUCGCGGGUUUCAAGCUUCGAUCGCCGGUGUUCCGAUUGGUUUUUGGCGAGGAGGAUGGCAAGGGAACGACGGCCGGCUUCUAAGCUUCAGAUUGGUACCAAGCUCGGCCGAAACGGUGGCCGGAAAUGGGAGAUAUGGCCGGGUCAAGGUCGCGGGUUCCGGGUCGGGUUUUCGGGUCUGUAGUUGGGUCGGUUUGGCAGCUUCUCUCUCACUCUCUGUUACACGUGCAUAUGUUUCCUCUGUUUCUAGCUUAUUCUUUUGCUUUUACUAACUUCUUAACCGCCUCAUACUUAUUCAUUUUUAAUUCACAUAUGUUACAAUAAUUCCCGAGUAUUAAAUAACCAGUGGUCAUAAUUUUUGUACACGACUCUUUUUUUUUUUGGAGAUCGUUAAAAGUGAUUGACGAUCCAUUUUGUAAUAUCAUAGAGGGAUCAUCAAUUCCUUUUCUUUUCUGUGGCUAGGCAACACUUUUUGGCCAAAGUAAGGAAAUCUAUUUUAGGUAAUGUAAAAACCAGUUGUAGGAUGUAAUAGUUUAUUAUGCACUGACAAUAACUUUUUGUAUAAUUGUCAGUUUAAUGAAUACAAGAGGAACUCUGUUGGCAAAUUCAUCCAAGAUAGAUGCUAAAAUUAUUUAUGCAUGCCAGUUGCCUUAACUAAGUUUUCUCAGCACUGGUUUUGAACAGGAAAAUGAAUAUGCAAUUUGUAGAUUGUGCCAUAGUGGAGAAUUUGUAUAUUCUUAUUUAAGUAACAAGGAGAUUAUUUACCUCAUCUUUAAACAAUGAAUCUUUGAGAGAUGAGGAGUGGGUGAUUGGCUGUGUCUUCAUGUAAUUGUUCAUUUAUUUGUAUUUUGAACUGUUAUGAAAAUCUUUAUAUGCCAAAUUAGUAAUACAAGUAUUCAGAUGAUUUUUCCUAUUGAUCAUGCAUUUGUAUCUGCCCACAACCAUUGUAUAUCACUUUAUUCUGAUGCGCAAGCAUCUGUAAUUUAGAAGAAAAGAAAUAAUAAUCAUAUUUUAUUGCUUGGUUCAUGAUUAUUAACGAUUAUGGCUUUAAAAAUCUACAAAUUUCUUGUGUUCAUGUAUGAAUGUGCCAAGUUUGCUGUAUCUUAGAUUACCUUCUUCCAAGAUAACAAGUUCAUAUAUAUUUUUUUUUAAAAUCCUUUUCCAUUACAGUUGAAUUUCAAGUGUUAGUUUUGUUAUUAGUACCUGGUUUCCUGUUAUUAGGAUCUAAUAAACAGUGUACGGAUAUGUGCUCUACUUUUGGAGGGCCUCCACGUGAAAGAAAAUUGCAACAAUUGAAUUCUUCCGGAGGGUAUGGUAAUUAAUUUAUUUUCUCAACUUGUUGUAAGACUAAUAUAUUUCCUUCAGUAGGCACGGCAUGGUGGGAAGGGUUUUUAUUGAAAGAAUUCUGAUAUUUCUUAGACUUUGUUUUGGAAGGGGGUGGAGGGAUUUCUCAUCCAUAUAUGGUUACUUGAUUAGCUUUUGACUGUAUUGUCUCCGUCGUGCAAAGGAAAAUCUAAAUACUAACGAUGGGGAAUUGCUUAGGCACCCAAAAGGCAGAAAUGAAUUACAGAAGGAAGUUUUUGCUGCUUUAUUUAGUGCUGCUGAGAAAUCUGAUGAAUUUCCUGAAAUUACGGUGAAGACCGAGUGGAGGUCCAAAGCAUUAGGAAAGGUGGUGAGUGAACUGCCGGAGGAAUUAGUACCAGAAUACAAGGCUAAUGUGGUGCACUUGCAGCAAGAUAACCAGACCGGUAUGUGCUCUUAUAUUAACUAUAUUGACUGGAUUUGUUAGUGUGUGCAUUUUUUUGUGUAUACUCACUUUUGUAUUUAUGCAUAUUAACAUGUGUAGGAUUCUUGAUUUCUGCCACUUACUGGAGAACUAGUGGAAAGCUUUAUACUGAUAUAUCUGCAAUAACUAAUGGAAACUAUGAUAUGAAUAUUUUCUCUCACCUGGGGAGCUGUGUAACAGAUAUACUUUGUGGCUCUGGAAUGCUGAAGAUUCUGCAAUAACUAAUGGAAAAUAUGAUAUGAAUAUUUUGUCUCACCUGGAGAACUUUGUUACAGAUACCCUUUGUGGCUCUGGAGUGUCUAAAGAAUGCUUCCGUUAGAUCAAAUAUCUUUUAGUUAGAAAAGAUAAAAUUCUCUGAGUCUGAAAGACUGAAACAUUUUGCAUAUUUUGUGAAAGGGAAAUAUCUGUUGAUACUAGCUCAUGCAUUGAGGUAAUAUCGAUGUUAAAGAAAAACAGCAAUGAUUUAUGAUAUAGAAUUGGGUUCACUUGCUUUAAAUGCUGGUCUGAUCAACCAUAUCAACCUGUAAUGAUUCUGCAGAAAUAUAUAUACAAGGAGAAAGUAGCUAAAUUUUUCUUUCAUUUAUGGGUUCGGUCUUUUUUCCCCUUAUUUUUCAGCUUUCCUUCUCCUGAAGUAUGUUAACAAUUGCAGAUAAUGAUGAAGAGGACAGCUUCCAGGCUCUCCUUGGAGCCAUGAUGGAAUAUAGGGGCACAAUGAAGGAAUAUUGUAAAGCUGUAGGUACUUUUUCUCCUGUCAUUUAUGUUUUCUCACACAUUUUGUAUAUGCCCUGAACAUGCACCUUUGUAUGUAUCAAUUGACUUUUAAAUUUUAAAAGCCAUAAAGUAAGAAUACGGUUCCUUGUCAGGCUACUGAUGACAUUCGCUCAGGGGGAUCAUGUUCGAGCAGGAAAAUUUCUAGAACAGGUAAGGUUUCCAUCUACAGCCAUCCAUUGACAGCAGAUAAAUUUUCAUUCAGCAGACUCUGUUAGCAUUCAAGAUGCUGGCAGAUUCACUUGAUUCUUAUUAGCUUGUUUAGUGGCAAAGCCUAUAACCUGUAUUUCAAAGCCAAGUUGUGCUAUUGAUUAUGUUAACUUUUUUGUUAACAUAAAAUGAUAUGGAGGAAAUAAUCAGUGUUGGAAAAUUAGGUGAAAAGAUGAUGUCAAAUCUUGAACCUCUUGCGAAACUCUAAGUUCUUUACUUGAAGAGGCUACCAAAUUUGAACAGCGUCUACUCGAAGGCCUUGCCAUUCCCUGAUGCAUGCAGAAUUUUUGUAUUUAAAUGCCCAGAGCUUAAGAAGCUGGCACUGGAUCUUGAAGGGGCAGACCAAGGUAAAAUUCUUAUCAAGGGAAAGGAAGAUUGGUGGAAACAACUUAAUGGGAGGAUCAAGUAACUCAGAAUACAUUGCUUCCAUUUUUUAAAUCGACUGACAAGUGAUUGAACGGGGCAUCAUCAAUAUCAUCAACAGGGAUGGAGAGAUGCCGGAGCAGAUCAGCAGGGUUUGAAUAUGACCUUCGGCGGUUGCUUUUUUUUUUUGUGAUUUUUUUUCAUUUUUUCCUUCCUGUCAUUUUAUCAUUUCUUUGGCUCUGUUUCUAUUGCGGGUGUUACUGCAUGCUUACUGUUGCUUGACAAAGUUUGCUAGCUUUUUGUUUGCAGCGCUGCUAUACGCCCCGAGUCAAGCCCCGAAAAUUUAUUAAACGACGCCGUUUCGACAGUAACAAUUCUUUUCUUUUCCCUUUGCCUGUUUCUUUCAUCUGCUGUUUCUCUAUCACUUUUCAUUUUUGAUUUCCGUGCUUCCCAGCUGCCCCUAAAUUGUUAUUCUAGCAAUAUACUUUCUCAUCUUUGAAUUUUCAUCCUUGAGUACUCCCACAGCCGUAAUUUCAUCAUUAUAGACUUCACUUGGAAUGCUAGAUUUUUUCGAUUCUUGAGCUACUUCAAUUACAUCUUAGUAUAGGAUCCUCAUCUUCCUUUAUUUCUUCAUCUUAUGAGGUAACAAAUGGAUUUCACAACUCAUCUACUUUUAAGCAAUUACAUAUUAUACCCUGAAUGAUUCAACUGUUCCGACAGUUAAAGAUUUUAUGCUCAACCUGCAGUGCUACGAACAUUGUCCAUGAAAGAUGAGUUUCAGCAUAUAAAAUGAAAUAUAGAUGUUUAAUCUAAAAUAACCCUUCACUGCCAGAAACCUAGGUCACAAAAUUCACAGAUAAUGAUAAAGAACUAAAAAAUUUGAAAAACUCUACAGAUCACACAUCAAGCAAGAUAUCAUGUUUUUUUCCCUCAUUCGGUGGUGAUUGAUUCGCUUUUUGAUGAUGGAUAUGGUAUAAAAGUUUUGACCCAAUUUCAAGCAAACACAAAUAGAAACACAAACACAAUCAGGACUAGAGUUGUGGGCGAUUAUCUCAGGUGUACAAGUGAAACGGUGGUGGCUGUCGAUGGUGGUAGUGGGGUGGUUGGGUAUGCGUGAUGGCUAGAUUUUAGGACAAUAAUGGUUGGAGUUGACCUCAAUCAACGAAGGAAAGUGACAACAAUUUUGACAUCAAAUGGUGCAUUUUUUAGCUUAGUAAAAUGGAACCGUUUUGAAUUUGGGGUUUAAUCCGGGGUUUGACUCGGUGCAAGUAUCAUUUUCCUUUUGUUUAUUAAAUUUUUUAUGGUCACAAAGUAUUACUCGUUCUAUUUGAGAGUGAUGUGAAUCAAUUUUUCAAUUUUAUAUUUUGUGGUCAAUGUGAAUUCAAUUUCAUUUGUCUCCUGCAAUUAUGAAAAAAUUGCAGUCAUAAUAUGGAAAAGUACACCGGCAAAGACUUUGUAAAACCUUCGGAGUGAUACGGGGAAUUCACUUACAACUAAGGACAAUUGGUGGCAAGUUAUUCCAUUCAUUUUAUGUCCAUGCAUCUAUUUAGUUAUUGAAGAUUAGUGGUCCAUUUGUAAAUUUCAGAUUGUCUCUCUCUCUCUCUCCCACUUGAAAUAACAAUAUUUAAUAUAUCUCUUAAAUUAUUAUAAAUUUUAAUUUACUCUCGAUUUAAAAUGGAGCAUGUCGAUAAAUUUUUUUUCUUCUUAAUAAAAUUGACGUAAUUUGUGUUUACAGUAGUUUGAAGUUUGAAAUAUUUUAAAGAUUAUUAUUCUAUAAGGGAGUAAUAUGAAAUGAAAUUUACUUUUCAUGUGUGAACUGAAAAAGGACGAAGCAAGUGUCCCUGCUUUUAUUUUAUUUCAAGGAGGAGUCAUCUCGCAUACUUUGGCUCUUAACAUUACAUUUUUUCUGGUUACAUUUUUUAUUUUUUUUUACACAUGCGUGUGGGUUGCUUUUCUGUAAGCUCCUUAAUAUAUAUUUAAGACAAAUCAUGGAAGAGAUGGGAUUAUAUCAAGAUGAUCAAAGCAUGUAAAAAAAGAAAAAAGAAAAAAAAAAUUAAGAAGUAAGACACUGAAAAUGGAGAAGAGAUGGAAGCAAAAGAUAUUCCAAAACAAAGCAAUCUAUCCCCCUUCGAGGGCAGACUUAUCAGGUUUAAAAAAGUACAUGCUUUGGAUUGGUAGUUGCAAUCAAGGGAAAAUAAAUAGGAUCCAAUGAAAUUUAAAUCUCGGAGAAAAUAAAUAAUCAUGCAGAUUUUCAAGAUUUUAAUAAGGGAUACUAAUAUCUUAUUUUGAUUAAUAACAUUCUUUUACUGUGUUAACUCAAAAAAAAUAUUAUAAUGCUUUACAAUAAAUACAAAUGUCCUAUUAAAUGAAUAUAUAAAAAAUUUAGAAAAUUAUAUAAAAUAAUUUUAAUAUAAUGCGUGAGAUAUAUUUUAUUAAUUUAAAAUGUCAUUUUACCUAAAAAAUAUGAUAAAUUAAUAAUUACAUAUUUGAAGUUAUUUCAAAUAUUAAAAAAAUUUAAUAUUAUUAAUCUUUUAGAUAGAUUAAAUUAUUUUUUAAAGAGAUAGAUUAAAUUAUUUUAAAAUACCUUAAUUGUUUUUACUUUAAACAUUACCGGCCUUUCUUUUAUUUUAUUACAAAUUAAUGCUAACAAGAAAAAGUUAGAUCAUAUUCCACAAAAGCAAAAGUGACAAACACAACCAGCUGGAAUCUUUUAUAAAACUACAAAUUAAAAUGGAUUUUUUUUUUAAAAAUUGUUAUAAAUUGGUGGCCCCUACAAUCCUCAAUAAUUGCACCGAUAUUCACAAGUUGGUGGCCCCUACAAUUCUGUUCCGAUAAUUUAACUGUGCAAGUGCUUAAUAAUUGUUUUGUUUUUUUCUGCAUUCCCUUUCAUGCUCUUAAUAAUUGAAGAGCAUACUUUUCAAAUGUGGAGCCGCAGCUAAUGUCGCUAAUUUAAUUUUGGAUUAAAUUAGGGGACCAUUAUAUUGUAGUGUGCACUAAUGAAUAUGUGAGAUAUUCAUAUUUUAUUAAUUUAAAAUACCAUUUAACCUAAAGAUUUAUUUAUGAUAAAUUAAUAAUUAUAUUUUUGAAAUUACUUCAAAUAUUAAAAAAUUAAUAUUACUAAUCUGUUAGAUAGAUUAAAUUAUAUAUAUUAUUUUCUAUUUAUUAAAAAAUUAAAAUUAUUUUUAAUUACUAUUCAAAAAAUAUAAUGAUAAAAAAAAUCUUAACAUCUUUAUUAAAAAUUUAAAAAUUUACAUGAUCAAUUCUCUAAAUAUUUAGGGUAUAUGUGAACCACGGUGGAGAAGCUUUAUUUAAUAUUAUUGAUUUAAAUAAUAUGUCAAUUAAAAAUGUACAGAGAAGGAAAUUUCGGUGGGUAUUUUAGUCUUUUCAGCAAUUAUCAUGAUCAGAUCAGCCUUUAGCCUUGAAACGUCGAUCAGAAAAGUUUUAAAAUGCUUAAUUGUUUUUCACUUUUAAAAAUUAAUGCUAACAAGAAAAAGCUAGGUCAUAUUCCACAAAAUCAAAAGUGACAAAACAACCAGCUGGUUUCUUUUACUAAACUACAAAUUAAAAUAGAUUUUUUCGAUAAAUUAUAAAUUAAAGUGGAUUCUUUUGAAUACAAGUGAGACAGACGAUUAGGCUCUUUUUAUUAAAGGCAAGUAAAAACUAGUCAAGAAUCGAAUAGUCUUUUUCAAAUUCUUGUUUUAUUAUUUUUCAAAACUAGUUUUUGGUAAUUACAAUCGGGUCAUUCAUUAAUCAUUAUUCAAAGUUACUGUUAUCUUCGGGGGCAGUGGGUAAAAGAUAAUUACUAACUGUUUUUCCUUCAAAAGUUACCGGCUCAUGUUUGCAAGUGUGAAUGUGCGAUGCUCUUUUCUUAAAGGCAAUUACAGUGGGGCCCGAAUCAGAGGUGCCUAAAUCUUUUUAAAAUUAAUAAUAAUAUGAGUAAUAAUUAAUAAUUACAGUGGGUCAACUUUUGAAAUUAGAGUCUAGUAUCUCUCUCCCUGUCAUUACUAAAUUUUCUCUUCCACAGCCUACAGCAGCUUCAGUUUAUCAAACUCAAUCAAUUUUCUUUCUUAACAAAAUUCCAAAGAUGUGUAGUAUUUUUCAGAUCACAUGCGAUGGUGCUCUUUUCAAUCGUUGCUUGGAUUGCUUUCUUGGAAAAGCAGCAUACAUACGUAACCUCCAAGAUAAUCUUGUAGCCUUGGAGACUGAACUGGGAAGACUAAUCGCAGCAAAGAACGAUGUGAUGAUGAGGGUUGUCCAUGCUGAACGGCAACAAAUGAGAAGGCUGGACGGAGUGCAAGUGUGGGUUUCGAGGGUGGAUUCUGUUAAAACUGGAGCCGACGAACUUAUCACAGACGGCUCUGAAGAAAUUGGCAAAUUAUGUGUUGGAGGCUACUGUUCCAAGAACUGCAGGUCAAGCUACAAAUUCGGAAAACAAGUGGCUAGAAAGCUACGACAUGUGGAGACUUUAAUCGCCGAGGGAGUUUUUGAGGCGGUGGCUACUGAGGUGGUGCCCGAGAGAGCUCCGGAACCUGUAGCAGAUAAAAGACCCAUUGAGCCAACAAUAGUAGGCUUGCAAUCACAACUUGAACAAGUCUGGAGAUGUCUUGCAGAAGAAUCAGCGGGAAUCAUUGGCUUAUAUGGUAUGGGCGGUGUUGGUAAAACCACACUAUUGACCCGUAUCAACAAUAAAUUUCUUGAGAAUCAAAACAACUUUGAUUGUGUGAUUUGGGUCGUAGUUUCAAAAGACCUGCGGCUUGAAAAAAUUCAAGAAGAUAUUGGGAAGAAGAUAGGUCUGUUUGAUGAUUCAUGGAAGAAUAAAAGUUUUGAAGAGAAAGCUGUGGACAUCCUGCGGAGAUUAGGAGAGAAGAGAUUUGUAUUGUUGUUAGAUGAUAUAUGGGAGCGGGUUGAUUUAACAGAAGUGGGCGUUCCACUUCCCAGCCCACAAAAUACUACAUCAAAAGUCGUAUUCACGACCCGUUUCAUUGAUGUUUGUGGUAGCAUGGAAAGUCACAGGAAGUUUAAAGUGGCAUGCUUAUCAGAAGAGGAUGCUUGGGGGCUGUUUCGAGAAAAAGUACGGCAAGAAACUCUUGAGAGUGAUCAUGAGAUCGUUGAGCUAGCCCAAACUGUGGCCAAAGAGUGUGAUGGUUUGCCACUCGCACUUAUUACUAUUGGUCGAGCUAUGGCCUACAGAAAGAAAGCGGAGCAGUGGAGACGCGCAAUUGAAGCGUUAAGAAGAUCAGCUUCAGAGUUUGCAGGUUUGGGAAAAGAGGUGUAUCCUCUUUUAAAAUUCAGCUAUGAUAGUUUGCAGAAUGAUACGGUUAGAUCUUGUUUCUUGUAUUGUUGUUUAUAUCCUGAAGAUUAUGGCAUUCUUAAACGGGACUUGAUUGACUGUUGGAUUGGUGAGGGAUUUUUGGGGGAAUCUGACAGGUUUGGUGCAGAAAACCGAGGAUAUGACAUUUUGGACACUCUUGUUCGUGCAUGUUUAUUAGAAGAGUUAGAAGAUGAUAAAGUAAAAAUGCAUGACGUUAUUCGUGAUAUGGCUAUAUGGAUAACCUGUGAAAUUGAGAAGGAGAAGAGAAAAUUUUUGGUUUGUGCAGGUGCUGGAUUAAAAGAGGCACCGGAUGUUAAAGGAUGGGAAAAUGUGAGAAGAUUGUCAUUGAUGCAAAACCAAAUUGAAACUCUGUCAGAGAUUCCUACAUGCCCUCAUCUCCUCACUUUAUUUCUUGACUUUAAUGAGAAGUUGGAGAUGAUCGCGGAUGGCUUCUUCCAAUUUAUGCCUUCUCUCAAAGUGUUGAGGAUAUCACACUGUGGGCAAUUAGAAGGUUUUCAAUUACCUAUUGGGAUGUCAGAGUUGGGUUCGUCACUAGAACUUCUUGAUAUUUCAUAUACCAGCAUAAGAGAGUUACCAGAAGAGUUAAAGUUGUUGGUAAAUCUGAAAUGUUUGAAUUUGAGUUGGGCACAUAGGUUAUAUAAAAUUCCACGGCAACUAAUAUCAAAUUCUUCAAGGUUACGUGUGUUGAGAAUGUUCGCUACUGGCUAUGUGUGUCUUCAUGAAGCAUCAGAAGACAGCGUUUUAUUUGGUGGGGGUGAAGUUUUAGUACAGGAAUUGCUCGGUUUGAAAUAUUUAGAGGUAUUGGAGUUGACCUUGGGAAGUUAUCAUGCUCUCCAAAUUCUUUUGAGCUCAAAUAAGUUGAAAAGUUGUAUUCGAUCUCUUUUCCUACAGUUGUUCAGAGAUACAACGUCGAUUAUUGAUGCUACGGCUUUCGCAGAUCUAAACCACCUCAAUGAAUUAUGGAUUUAUAGAGGUAGUGAGUUGGAAGAAUUGAAGAUUGAUUAUACGGAGAUAGUACAAAAAAGGAGGGAACCUUUUGUUUUCCGCAGCCUUCACCAUGUUACCAUAUAUAGUUGCACUAAAUUGAAAGAUUCGACAUUCCUCGUUUUUGCUCCAAACCUCAAGUCUCUUCAGCUACUCGAUUGCUAUGCUAUGGAAGAAAUAAUCAGCGUCGGAAAAAUUGCUGAGACUCCUGAGAUGAUGGGACAUAUAAGCCCUUUUGAAAAUCUCCAAAGUCUUUAUUUAAAUGAUUUGCCAAUUUUGAAGAGCAUCUACUGGAAGCCAUUGCCUUUCGCUCAUCUAAAAGAAAUGACGGUGCAUCGGUGCGAUCAGCUUGAAAAGCUUCCACUCGAUUCCAACAGUGCAAAGGAGCGUAAAUUUGUAAUUCGUGGAGAAGAAGACUGGUGGAACCGACUUCAAUGGGAGGAUGAAGCCACUCAAAUUGCUUUUCGUUCCUGUUUCCAACCUCGUUCCUGAGCGGUGGUCGCAAAAUUUGAUUUCUGGUGAGUGCGUUUGUCUUUUAAAAGAAGAAUUUAAAAGAAAUUUAUUCUUGUCGAUUGUUUUCUUCUCUGUUUUUAUUUGAUUUCUGGUGAGUGCGUUUGUCUUUUAAAAGAUGAAUUUAAAAGAAAUUUAUUCUUGUCGAUUGUUUUCUUCUCUGUUUUUAUUUGAUUUCUGGUGAGUGCGUUUGUCUUUUAAAAGAAGAAUUUAAAAGAAAUUUAUUCUUGUCGUUUGUUUUCUUCUCUGUUUUUAUUUGAUUUCUGUUUUUAAUGGAAUUAAUGCUUCAUAAAUUUGCCGGCACUGCCAUUACUUUUUUUUUUAAUACAAAUUGAUACUUUAUUUAUAUCUUCUUAGCGAUUUAAUUUCCUGUCAAUAGACGAACGAGAAGAACAUAUGACUUAAACCAAUGCUCGCAUAAACUUGCUGUAAAAAGAUAUAAUCUCACUGAAAUGCACACGUCUAGAAUGAAUAGAAUUAAAACAGGGAAAAUCAAUCAAUUCCACCUUUUGCAAUUUCUUCUGUUCUAACAAAAACCAAUUUCUUUGUUCAAGUAUUUUCGUUUGGGUAUUAAUAAUUCUCCACCGAAAGAGUGAACUCUUGCUCAAGGGAUCUCUAAUCAAUUGCCGGAAGGGCGCCGAGACCUGAUCGGACCUAGGCCCAAGUUUGGUCUUAAAGCCUGGGCUUGAGCCUGGCAAUUAAAUUAAAACAUUAAUUGAUUUCUUGGUUGAUUUGUCGUGUAAUUGAUUUAUGGGGGAUGACACAUCAACAUACUUGAAAAUACACUAAUCUCAGCAUCAUCGGUUAAUAACUUUUAGAUUUAUGCGUAAUCAAUAGUUAAGAUUAGUUGUCAUUAAUACUAAAUAUUUUUUACUUUUUUUGUCUCUUCUAGAAAAAUGCAUCCACAAUUAAAUUUAAUACUUUACAUAAUAAACAAAGCAUAAAUGUUAAAUUUAAGAAACUGCAUUGUAUUUCAGCUGAAGUUGACUUUAAUAUUUAGGGUAGAAAAAAAUUAAAUCCUUAAUGUGUUUAAUUUGUAUCACUUGUGUCAUUAAAAUUUUCUAGUCACCCUAACCAAUUACAUCUCAACCCACUUUGUUUUUGGAUGAUUUUAUUUUUAGACUAUUAUUUUCAUCAUUUUUUUUCCUUUUAACACCAACAUUAGUGUAUGUUACGUAACAUAAUUCAUAUUUGGAUCAUUUGAAAUUUGCUUGUGUUUUAUCUAAAAAUAGAGCUUCAAUCAAAUUGUACCUCAUAAAUUCACAAUAUCUAUGAGGGCUAAUGAGACCAAACUCUGGCAUAUUGUCAAAUGUGCUUAUCCUUUUGCUUGACAUGUCAUUUUAAAAUUGUCAUUCAAUGCCAAAAAAUCACAUCAACUGAUGGCCGACUACUUUAAUUUGAAAGCAUGCAUGCGAUCGCCAAUAAUUAUAACUUAAUUGUUAUUUUGAAAUUUUUUUCUUUAUAAUUUUUAAGUUUAAUACUACUACAUGUGCAGCACAUAAGUUGGAAAAUAUAACAUAAAAUUUGAAAAAUGUGUAGCUUUCGUUCCUUUUUUUUCUUAAAAAUGGGAAAAAAGAAUGUAGUUUUGUUUAAAUUACUGUUGUGAUUACAAUUAUUAUUUUAUUGAUUAAUUGGCAGAGAAUCGUAAUGGUUUUGCAUGGUUGUUAAAACAUUGGAAAAUCCACUACAUCAUCCGUUAAUAACUUUCAGAUUUAUGAUUAAUCAAUAGUUGAGAUUUGUUAUCAUUAAUGCUAAAUAUUUUUUUAAUAUUUUCUCUCUCUCUUAGAGGAUCAUCCAAAGUAAAAAUUUAAUAUUAUAAAUAGUAAACAAAGUAUCAACGUUAAAUCGAAGAAACUGCAUUGCAUUUCAACUGAAGCUAACUUUAAUAUUUAAUGGAGAAAAGUAAUUAAGUCCUUAAUGUGCUUUAUUUACCCAUAUAUAUGGCUAAUUUUUCAAGAUAAAGGGGAAGGAUGAUGCUCAAAAAUAUAAAUUAUAGAAUUAAUUGAACUCUCAAGUAAGUUUAAAGUUCAUUAUUUUUAAUUACUUGUUUAUAAUUUAUUUUUAUUUCGUAUUAAUCUAUGGAUCUAAAUCCCCUUUGGAUUCAUAUACAUAUAUAGACAUAAUGUGUAUGUUAAUCUAUAGGUCUGAAUUCACUUUAGGUCUAUAUAGGUAUUUUGACAAAUGUACUCCAAUCAUGCAUAUUGGCAAGUUCUAACUACUCUAUUGAUAUAUCAAUAUUAUUUCUAACUGCACUAUAGGUCCAAAAAUAAGUUAGAAAUACAAAUUAACAUAAAAUAAAAAUAAUUGGUAGAAAAUACAAAUUAUAAACAUAUAAUUGAAAACGAUAAACUUUAAAUUUACUUAAGAGAGUAAUUAAUUUCAUAGUUAAAAUCUUUAAAUUUUACCCCUCAUCUUAACUUAAGAAAAUUAAUCACUUAUUUUAUUUAAUAAAGAAGAGAUUUUUUUCCCCUAUAUUUCCCAAUUAUUUCUCUCCCUCUCGCUCCCGUAAGUUAUACAACUUGAAGUGAAAUAUGAGUGGUCUGAUUCUAGCUUAAAUAAUUUAUUGUGACAUGCUAUCUAAGGACAAUACAUUACCUAGCUCUACAUAUUUUAUUUAACCUCCGGCCCACCCUGUGCAAACUUGCCUUUCCCCUGCAAGACAAGAUUAAUCAAUGUAUCAAGUCUCAAAUUCAAUUUCGAAUAUGACCAUCGUACGCUCUUGUUCUUCCCUCUUUACGAGUGCAUUCCCCCCAACCUCAAGCUCCCUCUCUCGUCUUCAAUGUCACUGCUUAUAUCCUUAUGUUGUUCUAGUUUGAAAUAGUGGCUUCCACUAUUUCAGGGCCCCCAAAAAUCCAGAAACAUACUAUUCAUCACGAUGACAAAAUUUUUGGCAGGCAGGUGCUUCCUGACUUUCACACGGUAAUUCUCAAAUUCUGAUUUCACCAUAUUUUAAUUACUGAUUAGCAUAUAUUCAAGUGCUCUCCAUUAUAACGGAAGCCGCCGCCUCACUCGUGAUUCCAAACUUUUAUCUUUUUUUCCUUUUUUAAAUUAAUGCAAGUAGCCGCUGUCCUUUUUAUUAAUUAAUUAGUUCGGCCGCCCACAUUUCUUUUCCUAAUGUCUUCUACUGUCGAUUUUCUUUUAUUUUCUCUUUUUUCUUAAAAUAUACUUAUAAUAAUAAAAUAUAAAAAUAAAAAUUAACAUAUCAAAAUAUAAUUUAAUAGAAAAUUAAGAUAAAAAAUAAAAAAAUUAUGAGCAUAUCAAUCAAUAAAUGAAAAAUAAUAAUUUUUAUUUUUAUUAAAUAUAUAUUUUUUAAAAUUAAUCAAUUAUCUGAAUAAAUCAAAUCAUUUAAAAAUAAAUAAAUAAAUUAUUCUUAAAUAAAAAAAAGAAACUUUUUAUAACACUCACUAUGCUGGUUGUAGGGUAGACGCUUUGGGGACUGAAGCUGGUAACUUCUACAAGUAGUCUUAAGUUGACUGGCAACAACUAUAUUGGCAUUUAGACAUAAUGUACUGCAACCAUAUUGGUAUGUUCAAAUGUUCUUACUAUUGUAUUGGUGUAUCAAUAUUAUCUCUAACUGCCUUAUAGAUUAAAAAAAAUCUAAAUUUACAAUUUAACAUAAAUAAAAUAAUUGGUAAAAAAACAAUUAUGGUUUAUUUACUUAUCAGUAAUCAGAAUAGACUGAAAUCGAAAUGAGCUGUAUUACCGUUAAUGUGUUUAUGUUGUCCUUGAAUCGGAAUGAAUUAUUUUAAGUUACUAAAAUAUCAUUGGUUUGUUAUUCUAAUUAUUAUUAUUUAAUAUUUAUUAUAAUAUUUGUCAUAUCAUUAAAAAGAAAUAAUAAUGAUGAUAAUAUUAUCAUUAUUGUUUGUUACAUUAUUAUUAUUCAAAAAAAUUAUUGUUAAUAACAAUAAUUACUUUAUUUCAAUAAUAAUAAUGAUGAAAUUAAUAAUAACAAACAUGACAACAACAAUAAUUAUUUAUUAUGCCAAAAAUAACAAUAAUAAUAAGAAUAAUAAUCAUCAUCAUUUUUUUCCCAAAGAAGCAUUAUCAUCAUCAUUUAAAAAAAAAAUCAUCAUCAUCAUUUUUGUAGUUACUGUUUCAAUUUAGGAAGAAGCUGUUUCGUUGUGCUAACGAUGGGAGAUGUUGUGGCUGCGAUUCGGGGAGCUACUAGUUUAUUGCACUAAUGACGACAGGUGCGGCUGCUUGAUGCGAGGUCCAUGGCCAGUUGUCAGCAGUUCGACUUUGGUAUGGGCGUUGCUGGUUCGAUUUUAGGUGUUGUCUAAUUUCAUUUUCAGGAUUUUAAUUUUAAUUUUUUUUUAUAUUUUCAUUAAUUAAUCAGUGCAAAGUUUGAUUUUAGAAUUUGGAAUGAAGGUAAUUUUGUUAAUCAUGGAAAUGAGAUUCUGAUUGUCGAGAAUGAACUUACAAAAUUGCUGCAAAUUAAGUGAAAACAAAACGCUUUUUCUCUUUGUGUGAUUAAAACAUGAAAUGUACCAUAAAUAAAUAGGUAAAAAAUAAAUCAACACAAUUCAAAAUAGUAAACCAAUUACAAGAGGCACAAAUUUUUAUGUGAAAUACCGAAAAUGAAAAAAAACUAUAGCAUCCUAGUCUAAUAUAAUCUUCUACUAUAUUAAUGGGAUUACAGCACAAAUUCUUCCCUAUCUAACACUAGAGAUUAACAAUAUCAAAAAUCUCAAUAAUCUUAACUUACAAUACAACCUAAUAUAUGUCUCUCUAAUAAGUAGAUAUCUAAAAUAACAGUCUCUAAUAAGUAGGUAUCUCAAAUAAUAGUUAAUAAGAGGAUAAAACAAAAAUUAAGAUUAGUAGAAUGUGUAUAAGGCGAUGCUAUCAACUUAUCUUCUAAAUUUGAGAAAAAUAGUUAAAUUCACUUUUUCGAUUGUACGACCAAAGAUGGAAACCCUUGCCCCAAAACCAAAGGAAUCACCAUUGUGUUUUUUUUCUCUCUUUCUCUUUCUCGUUCUUCUCUUCUACUUUUCUUAAUGUUAGCCGCCACUUGCUUUUAUUCUUUAUAGCAUUUAAAAAGCUACUUUUAAUGGUAAAUUCAUCUAAGUCCAAAACUUAGUGAUAAUUGCACACCAAACAAUCCUUUUUGGACUAUGGACUUUUGGGCCUCCAAAUGAGAUGAAUACAACAAAUCUCCCCCUUCAGAUUAUGUGGGGGGCACUACAAGCCCGCUCUCUGCAUAUAGCUUUUCAGCUUCUCCUUGAAUAAUGACUUUGUCAUCAUACAUAACCCAUUCUUCGUUGUGUAAAUCUUCUCAAGCUAUAACUGUUCUUUCUCAAGCACGUCUCAUAUCUAAUGAUAUCUCACAUCAAUUUACUUAGAUUUCGAAUGGUAUAUCAAAUUCUUUGAACGGCACUCUGACUGUCGCAGUACAUAACAUAGUUGUCUCAUUUUAUAUCCAGCUCUUGUAGGAAAUUCUUCGUCCACAAUAUUUUUUUGCAACCUUCAAUAAUUGUAAUAUCAUUUGCUUUAGUGGUAGAAAAGGCAACUUAUUACUAAAGUUUAGAUUGCGAUGAGCUCCCCCUGCAAAAGUGAGCAAACAUCCUAGUACGAAUUUUUCGGAAUCAACAUCUCCUGCCAUAUCUAUACACUUGUAACACAGGUUUGUCACCACCAAAAUAUAAACAUGCUCUGGAAAUGCCUUUAAGAUAUCUGAGAAAUUUUCACUGUUGUCCAGUGCUCUUUACCGGGAUUGAAGAGAAACCACUGACUACACUAGCUGUAUAAGCAAUAUCUGGUCUUGUACAAAUUAUGGCGUACAAUAAACUGCCAACUGCUGAAGCAUAAGGAACUCCUCUCAUGGAGAAAUGGGUUUUGCUCUUGAGAAUUUUGGGAACAUAAAGAAUAAAGAUGUAAUUUCUUGGACUGCCAUUGUUUCGAGGUAUAUAAACAGAAGACAAGUCGAUAUAGCUUGACAAUGUUUUGAUCAGAUGCCAGAACGAGAUUAUGUCUUAUGGACUGCCAUGAUUGAUGGGUACCUUCGAGUGAAUAGGUUCAAAGAGGCUUUGACGCUUUUUCAGGAGAUGCAAACUUCAAAUAUAAUGGGAGACAAGUUUACCAUUGUUAGCAUUCUUACAGCUCGUGCCAAUCUGGGGGCACUAGAUCUGGGAGAAUGGAUAAAGACUUAUAUUGACAAAAACAAAGUCAAGAAUGAUAUAUUUGCGGGGAAUGCUUUGAUAGACAUGUACUGUAAAAGAGGAGAUGUUGAGAAAGCUCAAAAGGUAUUCAGGAAGAUGCUUUGAAAGGACAAAUUCUCAUGGACGACCAUGACUGUUGGCCUUGCCAUCAGUGGCAAUGGUGAUAAAGCUCUUGAUAUGUUUUCCCAAAUGCUUAGGGCUUCGAUCAAACCGGAUGAGGUAGCUUAUGUUGGUGUUCUGUCUGCCUGUUCUCACAAUGGUAACGAAACUUUUGUGAUAAAUAGUUGCAACUUAAGGUGAGAAUUGGAGGAAAGGAAAUAGACUGAAGUUGUUCAAUCAUCAGUGGUUGCUAUUUGGUUUUAAGUUGUUCAAUUAUCGGUCGUCUCUAUUUGGUUUUCUCCAAUAUCUCAUCUUCAGUUUUGACUCAGAUUCUAUCUUACCACUAUUGUUCUGUUCAUUCUAUUUGUUUCCUACAAAAUAUUUCUCCUGCCUAAAAUUUUUUGAAUCAGUAAGUUUUUAUCUUAUGCAAGAAUUGUGCUGAGAGUAAUUCCAUUUCUCAGUCUCGUUAUGUUUCAAUGAAGACGUAAAACUUGUGUUCUAGUGCACCAAUGUUUAUGCUUCUUACAAUUUGACUUUAAUUUACUUUGUAAAAUUUUUGUCAAAAAGUACUAAAAAGUAGUGCACCAAACACCAACUUUAUUAUAGAGAGGACUUUAGUUAAAUUUUAAGAAAACACUCAAAAGAAAGAGUUAUAAUUUAUUAUAGAAAUAUUUCACAUAAAUAAAAGCCAUCCCAUGCUGCAAAGAUCUUGCUAUAAUCACCAAAAACUAUCGGGAGCUUUUAGGGUUUCCAUAAAAAUGUCAUUUCGUUCCAAAAGUCAAUGGUGGGUAGAAAGUGGUGCAAAUGAGACUCAUUCUUAAUGGUAUAAGUUUUUGCUUAAUUAUGUCUUCCCCAAGAUGAUGAUUUAAUUUCCAUUCUCAAUUAAUUUUCAAGUUUCAACACUUUUCUAUGUAGCAUGACAUUGGAAAGAUCUUGUACAGUUGUACUACUAAAAGCUAGCAUCACACGUUAGUUAUUGUUAAGUUCUGUUUCAACGUGAAAUAAAGGAAGUAGUCCUUCAUUAAAACCAUUAUAGCCAAAUUUCACCUAAUUGGACACUUACAGACUUUCAUUUCAAGUUGGAUUUUGGUCCAACGUUUCAAAGUUUGGCCCAAUUAUUUUUGUCCGGUCAAGUCCUACGCAGCUAAGCCUCUCAAUGAAUGAGGGUGAGAUUGCUAAAAAUUACGACAGGUGAUAUUUUAUUAUUAUUAUUAUUAUUAUUUUUGGGGGAUAAAUCCUCACCAAAGUGAGGAGAUUUUAUCCAAAUCAAAAUAAAAAUAUAACAAGAACUGAAAGUCGGGCAGCCUAAAAGCUAGAUGAACUAAAAGUCAGGCGCCUAAAAACAACCUUAUGCAAAAGAGAAGCAAUAUGAGACCGAUCAAGUAAAAGAAUCCACCGCAACACCUAAAUUGGCCAAAUUAUCUGUUGGUAUUACAAGUUUCUUGUUAUAAAAGUGUAGAAUGAAGUAGGUGACGUAGUUUUAAGUUACAGCUGCAUGCCCAAUCGCAAUAUCAAAUAAUGCUUAAAUAUCAAAUAAUGCUUAAAGUAGUUGCCUAGGCCCGCCACAACUUAUAUUAACUCUUAAAUUUAUAAAUAAUUAAAUUUUUAAAAGUUUGGAUUUAUAUUAAAAAAUCUUCAUAUAAAUAAAUAAUAUAUGCACUUUUACAACAGUCUUUAAAUUUAAAUUUUUCAAAAAAAAUCUUCUGUAUAUCUUUUCUAUUAAAAAAAUUUCCAUAUAAAUAAAUAAUAUACCUAAUUUAAUUGGACCGAGCACAACGCACAUGCAUAGAACACAUUCCGAAAAGCCAUGCUAUUCAGAAAUUGACGAAUGAAAAGUGAGGAGGCAGCAGUCAAUGCUAUUUCGGCUUGGCCCAAAAUUGAUUUAUCAGUUUGACGUGUGCCAGGAAUGAAGAACUGGAAUAUCACCGUCAAGCAGCACCCUGUGGAGCAAUACCAUAGAAUGCACAAUCUGGCUUUGCCAGGUGACACUGGAGGCUUUUUGAAAAGUGCUUCAAAAAGCCUUUUCUGAUCGAGUCUGAGCACUCAAAUUUUGGUCCUCAGAUGGAGCUACAGCUUUCUCUCCAAUAACCAACAAUUUUCUAAACUCAGCUCCUAGUGUGAUGAGAGUUGUUGAUAUUUGUAAAUGGAGAUCCCCGUAUUUGCAAAUGGAGACAUUUACCAAAUCACCAACAUGCUUCAUCCAGUCUACGAAAUUCUGCAGCUGAUUCAAAUCCGGAACCUGAACCAGAGUCGGAGGUAAAUCUUGAGCCAUAUCUAAAGCAGUCUGAAGUUCAAGUACUUGAGCCCUUGACAAUGGUUUUGAAAUUGGAACAUCUUGGAUUACUGCAGACUUGUACCCCUUGGUUUCAAAGGUAAGGAAAGGCAUUGCUUGAGUACAAUUUGGAGGCAGCUUCUUCACCAAUUUUAUUUGGAGGCAAUUGGCAGCGGAUCCAGCUGCACCAAUUUCAGAGCAAAUACUGACACUACUUCAAACAGCACGCUGAAGAAGAGAUAUGUCUAUGGCAAAGACAAUGCAGUCCUCAUUUUGACUUGAGAUGCGGUAAUCAUCAAAGAGAGUUUCCUUGUGAAACUGGGCAACACAUUGAAUCCCUUCACCACUGAGAAGGUUGUGGAGGAAGCAAGCUUUCUCUCUAGUAAGGAAGAGGUGGCAUACCUUCCCCAUUUUGUCUAGGACAGGUAGGAAUCUUUUUUCUAAGAGAUUUACUCCAUUCUCUGUGAGAAAUGCUUUGAACUUCAUCCCUCUGUCUCUAUCCUCACUUAUCAGUAAAAUAGUUGAAAGCACUACAAGGAGAGAAAAGAAGAGUAUUAAGAUAUAUAUAGACAAGAAAAACAUUAGAUGUCGAUCUUACAAGCUAAUACUUCAAACAGUAUCCUAGAAAGCUAAAAACUGCAAAAUGGCUUGAAAUUUGAAAAGAACACAUGCUUUUCCUCCUUAACUUGAGAAAAUGUUUAAUAUAGUGCACCUUACAGAAACAUUUAAGCAAUUAGAACUUUGCACAAAAACAUUCAAGAAGACUAAACAAAUCAGAUGCAGUGUAUUUCUCCAAGCACAAAUGGCAUUGCAUUUUCUCCUCAACUGUAAUAUUUAUUGAUGAAAAUCAGUACAGGUCCCUCAUUUGUUAUGGAAAGCUUUCUUGUAGUCUGACCGGUUAAUUCACGGGUCUAUAAUCAUCUUGCAAAGUUACAGGCAUUUCUUUCGAUUUAAAGUCUUUGCAUCACCACCUCAUCACACACCAAGCCAAUAUUCCGUCUACCUCUACAACAAAAAGUUUUAAGUAAACGAUCCUAAUGCAUGCAGCCAAAUAAAAUGCAGUAAGAAUAUUCAACUUAAAACUCUGAAAGCCAUCUUGGUGAAUUGCCUCCUUAGGGGAAGUUCCAUGCUUUACUAUACUUGACAGGACUGAGCAAAAGCUUCCAUACGACAGAUUUUGACAAUAAUGAUGCCAACAGAUCCUCAUUAAAUCCAUUAAAACUCCAAAGGUUCAUUGUUCAUGGAUGUUUACAGAGUUUUGGUCAUCAAAUAGCUCAGACCACAAUCCCAAACAAAAAAGGAGUGAAAAUUAGAUCACCAGCAGCUAAUUGUAAAUUCUAACUUAACUCUUCAUCUCCUUUGUAAACAGGAGACAAAAUGGAGACACGCAAAAUGAAUAAGGAGAACAUUUGAACUCAAAUGAAAUGAGGGCACGAAAUCAAACAAAUGGCAUGCGCAAACAAACCAAGCCUCAAUCAAAAACUAAAUAACCAUUAAGAAAAAAAAACUGGUCAGAGAAUGAACUCCAAAUUCGGGAGUGAAGCAAGAAGCUUUCAUUAUUUCAGAAGCUCCUGUACAAAUUAAUAAGUUAUGCUCUUUGGAAACAAACCUAAAUUCCAAGAGAAACAGAACUCAAAAAAUUUGCAAUUAUACGCAAAGGAAGCGAAGCACAGCAUUCUAUCACACGUACAAAUUGUAUAACAAGAGAUCGACACAUCGAAUCAGAAGAAUUCAAUUCAAAUUUGUCUCAAAAAUCAAAAUUAGAAGAUUUCACAUUUCGAGAGGAACAAGCGACAGGUCAGAUGCACAAUUUUCAACCACAACAUGCCACAAUUAACGGUUUAUUUCCAUGGAUUUAGAGAGCUGACUGACCUUUUGGCUUUUGGAAUUGAGAAGAACGCGCGCCAAAAUGGAAGAGGGAAAGCGAAAGUGCGGGUUUCAAUAGGGUAUUGGAUUAGCAAAUUUUAUUAGUUUGCGAGGGUAAAAUAGGAAAGAGAUAUCACUAUUAACUUUUUUUUUUAUAAGAAAAAAGAAUAAUAAAGAAUAUUUUAUUGUCAUUUGCAGCAUUUAAUUUUUUUUAAAUGCUAUUAGAAAAAAACGACAAUAAAGAAAUGCUCUUUUUUUAUUUUUUUCUCGAAGGUAAAAUCAAUUAUUUAGCGUCUUAUAUGUAAUCUAACUCCAUUUCUUACUUUAAGUCAUAUCCAACUGACCAAUAAAGUAAUUGUUUUUUUUUUCAUUCAUUUUUACAGAAAAUUAAUAUUGAAAGCUAUUGUAAAAAUUUUUAUUAUCAACCUCAUAGUUUAAUUUUUUUGGGGAAGAAUUGAAUUUUUUUUUUUAAUUUCCAAGAAUUUCAUUCUCUAGUUUUUCCAUUAAUAUUACUUAUCUUGAUACCCAUCUUAAUUAAAAUCUGUAGUUUUAUUCAGGAGUCAUGCUAUUCAUUCACUCACAGACCAAAGGCUUUCCGCAGCAAUAUUAUUAUUUAAAUUACAACAAAGGGGAAAUCAAAUACGUCAUACAGAAGCUUAAAGCUGAAUCUACAAAAUCUAGAGCUCUCAACUACAAAAAUUACACUUGAUGAUCCUCUACAAGAUGAAACUUGUUCAAUAUCUCAUCCAAAGCUUGUAAAGUAACCUUGUAACGAUCUUGAGAUUGCCUGCCUUCCUCGACGACCUGCACGAUGCGUUUGUACAAAUCAUCAUACCUGUGCACCGGAUUUUUAAUAUCAACGCCACUGCAGCUGUGAUCAAGAACAUAAGAGCGUUUAACAUCUUUUCUCCAUCGAGAAAGAAUGUAGUGAGGUGGGAUCUCCUGCAUGCCACUCUGGUUUAGAACACAAAGAAUGUGUCUGCAUAAAUAUCCUCUGAAAUUGAACAACCCACAAACACAAAGCACCUCCUGCAUAAAUAUCUUUCUCGUUGCUACCAAUCUCAAAUUCUUCCUUCACUAUCUAUGUUAUAGGUCCAUCAGCACUGACAUGUUUUGUGCUAUAGCAAGAGUACAUAGCCUCCACCUCCGUCUGAAACUUCCUUAACAUUUCAUUUGUGUACAGUUUUGAGAGUUGAAAUUCAUAGUAACAUCUUGGUUUCUGGAUACAACUUGAAUUUCUUGAAUCCAUAUCUGCCAAGGCUUCCAGUUGAUAAUUCGCCUGCAGUGCUUGAUCAUACUUGUCUAAGAAUUCUUUCAAAGGAGUACUCUUAUCAAGAUAUCCUUCAAAGUAUGAAGUAGAAACCUCAUUCUGCAGGAAUGAAAACACUCCUGAUAAAAAUGCUUCCUUCAAAUAAACAGGAGCCCACCUUUUACGAUCUUCAUAUAAAGUUUGAAUCCAUCCAUGAUCCUUUAUUCCAUGACGUUGAAUCGUGUCCUCCCAAGCUGUCUCAAAUUCCUCAGGCCUAAGAGAGUGAUAAAUUGCUCUAUGCAAUGCAGCUCUAACAGCUUCAUAUUCAAACAAUCCUUGGAGUUUCUCUGAAAUUUUUUGCAUGACGCAUGACAAUGAAAAGCAAUGAUAAGCUCUUGGGAAAGCAUUGCUGACGGCAGUUUUCAAGAUUCUACAUUGGUCAGUGAUGAUUGUUUGUGGACAGCGUCCUAACAUACAUGUAAGCCACGCCCUAAACAACCAUGUAUAUGAUUCUAUAGUCUCACUGGCGAGUAAACCACAGCCCAACAGCACUGAUUGUCCAUGAUGAUUCACCCCAAUGAACGAAACCAGUGGUACAUCAUAUCUUUCUGUCAAGCAUGUAGUAUCAAUUAAGACUACAUCACCAAAGUACCUAUAUGCAACUCUUGACCUGGUAUCAGUCCAGAAGAGGUUUCUCAGGCAUCCCUUUUCAUUUAGAUCCACCACAUUAAAAAAGUUUGGAUCUGUCAACUGCAAACGACAAAAGAAACUCUGGACAGCUUGUGCAUCUCCUGGUUUAAGCUUCAAUUGAUUUGAGCUAUUAACAUCAUUUCCAAAUACUCCAUUAACAUCUAUAUUACCAUUUCCCUCGGUAUCAAGGAUAAGAGUUCGAAACAGUCUAAUUUUUUGAACUUCUUCAGCACCAUCUAAGAGCAAUGUUCUUUUGGUUCCAAUACCCAUGUGCUUAUGAGACUUGUAAAACUUUCCGCUUCUUGGGCUUAACAAACGGUUAUGCUCAAGCUUGACUUCAAUGAUUCUCCACCUUUUGGUUUCCAUCAACCUAAACUUUAUCAUUGCUGGACAGCCAGUUCUUGUUUCUGGUCUUGGGCGGUUUGCCUCGCUUUUCUUCUUUAAGCCUGCACUACUACAGCUCAGCUUUCCUCUAUACUUUUCUCUACUCUUUCGGUACCAUGUAUUGCUAACUCUAACACCAAAACCCUGUUCCUUGGCAUAGCAAUUAUAAAAGUAAUAUACGUCAUCAUACGUCUCAAACUCCAUCCCAACAGCAGGAGGCAAUGGAUUUUGGAUUAUCCCAGUUUGUCCAACAUAUUCAGUCAUCGCACAAUCUCCUAUUCAAAAUCAUCAGCGUCAUCAUCACCUACGGGUUCAGUAUUCAGAGAAACUUCAUCCAUCUACAAUAGAUGUUUAAUGAAGUGAGCUUUAAGGAGAAAAGGCAAAAUCAGUUCAAGGAAUGAUAAUAAAACCGUACAGUUACUUUCACAAAGCUUCGUAUUUCAUCACUACUUUAACAACAUGCAACUGCCUGAGAACAUACAGACAUGUCAUAGAUGCUUGAAUUAAGUAUUGAUACAAAUUAGCACACAUCAUGUGGGACACAAUUUCAGUCACUAAACCCAAUACCUUUUUUUUACAUCAUACCAAGAAACAGAUUAAACCCAAUACCUUCUUUUACGCCAUACCAAAGAACAGAUUAAAUCAUCAAUGAAAAAUUAAUCACAUAAUAAUUUAACUAGACAAUUGAAGAGCUCAAAACAGCACAAUACUUGAAUCUGAUUAUGAUAAUUGUUGAGUCCUUGUAUCGACAGCUUUCCUUCAAUGAGAAGAUUAUGAACAUAAACUACACACAAAAAAAAAAAUUAUUUAAACUGACAGCCCAUGAUAUAAAUCAAACAAAAUUAACUCCUUUUACAAAUCACAUCUUGUAUUCAUUUACAUCGAAACAUAAAAAGGAAGCAGGAGCCAAAAAAAACAACAGCACAGAAACUUCUUUCCAUAAGGUUUACGAAAUAAGGAAUUUAUUAAGACACAAAAUUUGAGGUCACCUAUAAUAAUUUGGUUCUCAUUCUCUUUUUCUUCAUUUUUCACUUAUUGAUGGAGUUAGCAUACAAUCCUAAAUGAUAAAACCCCAUCUCCAUUUUUGAACUAGAGCUAAAGCAAAGCAUUUUAGGAUUCAUCAUUUUUUUUUCUAAAAGACUCAAUAGUACAAUGUUUUUCAAUAUUAAAUACACAACUCAAUCUUCUCCUAAUUUACUCUAAUAAUCUCUUAACUUAGGAAGAUUAAGCUCCACUUGUAAGCUAAAACAAUUUUCUUAAAUCAAGCCCCAAUGCUCUAUACUAUUCAACAAGGCCUCAUAAAUGAUAAAACUACCUCUACAAAGAUACCCAUUUUAGUUUCGCAAACUAAAAUCAAACUCCUGAAACGUAACGAGCAUUAAAACAAACAAGUCCGAACAAGAACUGAAAAAUCAUACAUAAACUCGUUUACACGCUUCGAAAAACACUUUGAAAUUCAAACGAAACAUACCUUAGGUUGAUAAAUUAGUAGCGCAAAAGAAAUUUUAGUGAGAUAUGGGAUCAGGGUUUUUGCCACGGUGAUGUUAAUUGCGACAUUGGGGUGACUCAGCAGCCUUCGAGGCUGAAACUUUGAUUGACCAAAAGCUUCCCGUUCGUUGAUUAUCUAAUUGCAGAAACGAAACUCGCAGUGUACAGAAGAAGUACGCUGAUUUGAUAAUUCUGUGAAAAUCAUUGUUUUUUUGAGAUUUUUAAUGUGUUCGGUAAAUAUCAAAAUCUCAAAAACUUGUCUUUCAUUUUGGGGGGAAAAACCCAUUGAGAUCCUUAUGUUUUUUCUUAUAUAAUCUGGCUUAAUAAUUUGCAAAGUCUAUUACUUUGCACCCAUGCAUGCUGCGUUUCAAUUUUACAAAAUUGUACGUGAGUGCAUCCAGCUAAAAUUUGUAAAAAGAAAAUAACAAUAACAUGUUAAAAAUGUGAUGAUUAUGAAGAAAUUUUAAUUUAGUUAAAUAGGUGACGAUGGAUAGGUAUAAAAUCUGAGAUCUUUUAUGAGAUUAAUAAGUAUGUUGAGUUUGGAUUAGUUCAAUUUUGACAUAAUACAGAAUAAACACAAUCUGCUAAUCUAAGUUAUCAUCUUUUCUCGUCAUCAGGUACCUGUUUGAAAAAUAAUUAUAUACAAUUUUAUUUGCGUUGUCUCUCCAAAAAUUUUGGACUCGAAUGUUAUUUUUAAUUGCUAAAAGUACGAAAAUGCCCCCUUUCUCUUCAGCUAAAGGAGUGCAAAGUCAUCUGUAUAAUUGAAUCUGCAUCAUCAGUUUCUAUUGCUGGCUGGUGUUACUGCAUGCUUACAGUUGCUUGACAAAGUGAGCCAGUUUUUUGUUUAUUAAUUUUUUUUCUUGUCGAGACAGUCACAAAGUAUUACUUGUUCCAUAUGAGAAUGAUGUGAAUCAAUUUUUCAAUUAUGCAUUCUGUGGUAAUUAUUGUGAAUUUAGUUUCAUUUGUCUUGUCUCCUGCAAAUUUUGAAGAAAAUGCAGACAUACAAACUUACAAUAUGGAAGAGUUCACUGGAAAAAACUUUGUGAAAGCUUCCAAGUGAAACAGGGAAUGGGCUUACUAGUAAAGGACAAAUUGGUGGCCAGCUAAUGCAUUCAUUCUAUGUCCAUUCAUCUUUUCGAAUUAUUGAAGACAAGUGGCUCACCACUUUUAGUAUUGGUAAAAUUCAGAUAAUCUCUAUUCCGAAAUAAUAAUAUUCAAAAUAUCUCUUAAAUCAUUAUAAACCUGAAAUCUAUUUUAAUUUUAUUUAAAAGAUAAAAGAAAAAUAGGUUAUGUUGGUGAUUUUUUAUUAUCUUUUUAAUAAAAAUGAAAUAAAUUGAUGUUUAUAAUUAUUUAAAGUAUUUUAAAGAUUGCUAUUUUAUGAGAGAAUAAUAUUUCACUUUUUUAGUGUGAAAGAUUGAAAAAGGACAAACCAAGUUUCCCUAAUUUUUAUUUUAUUUGAAAUUGGUCAUCUCACAUACUUCACCCUUCAACAUUAUAAUUUUUUUGGUUAUAAUUUUAUUAUUUUUUCUCUUUUACACAUGCAUGUGAAUUACUUUUCUUUAAGCUCCUGAAUAUUUAAGACAAAUCAUGGAAGAGAUGAGAGUAUAACAAGAUGAUCAAAAUAUGUAACAAAAAAAUUUUAGAAGUGAAAAAUAUGUUAGAGUCGAAGUAAAACUCUGAGGUGAUGUUUGAUUUGAAGAAAAUGGAGGAGAGGAAAAGAGUGGAAUGGAGAGGAAAAUAGAGAAAAGGAGAGGAGAGGAGAGUGAAAUUUUUUUCUAAUGUUUGGUUUGUCACAUAAUUAUACAAAGAAAAGAAAUCUCUAAUUUUUUAUUUAGACAAUUUUAACCUUAAUAAGUAUUAAGCUUUCAAUAUUUAUCAUGUGUAUAAUUUAAAAAAAGUAAAUGGUAGAAAGCGGUUUCUGAUUCCGGCCACAUCGCCGGCAAUGGAAGGUACUUAUCAGAACAUCAAGAGCCGACCAUCAUUCCCUAGCCAUCACUGCUGUCAGAACACUGCCAGAAAGCUGCCGAUUGAACCGCAAAAAGUCGUGGAAAUCGCUGCCUCAAAUCGGUGAGUUUCGCCUUUUUCUGGUCACGCCGUCACCUUGGCUUUGUCCAUCAAGGCUGCCACUUCCAUUUUCAACCAUCCAUAGCCACUAUUAACGGCCAAAUCGCCGCCGAUCAGCGGGAUAUGUGGAAGUUAAAAAGUUUCUAAAUUUUUUUGACUGGAUUUGAACAACAUACGACCAUUUUUUGAUCUCGAUAACGACGUAGUAAUGUUGAUCAUUGAUCGGCAAGUCGAAUGGUAGUGGCGGUGAGUAACAUGCGCCAAUGACAUCGGCGGCGGCACUAUCCGGCGACUGUUAAAAUUAAUAUUUUAUAUUUUUAGAUUAAAUAAAUUUAUUUUAUUAAACUUUUUAAAUCAUUAUUUAAAUUUAAUUAAUUUAAAAUUAUCUAUAAUGUUGAAUUGAUAAAAUAAAUUUAUAAAUAAUAAUUAUGUGAUUACAUUAAAUAAGUUAAAAAGUUGAAAGGUUAUUUUUGGAAGAUUUAGUUUCCAACACAAAGGGAAUUUGAAUUCUUCACUUCUUAGUGUGGAAUUCAAAUUCUAUAUUGUAAUGGAUAUUAAAUUCCAAUAGAAAUUAAAUUCUUAUAAAUUAUGUCAAACCAAACAACGGAAAUAAAAAAGGAAUUUAAAUUACUUUCCUUUCCUCCAUUGUCUCCUUCCAACCAAAUACAUCCUGAAAAUAGAGAUAUUGAUUAAUUUAGAAGAGAUGCAAGCAAAAGAUAUUCCAAAAAAAAAAAAAGCAAUAUGUCCCUUUGGAGGGCAAACUUGUCAGUUUUAAAAAAGUACAUGCUUUGGAUUGAUAGUUGUAGGAUAUUUGUUUUGUCACUAUGUAUUAGUUGGAGAAGUCAAGCCUUGUGAAGAAUGUUAUGAAAGAGCAAAAGAUAUUCCUGAUAGCUGAUAGAGCUAUAUUUGAUUAUGUAUCCAACGAAUGGAUGUGUUGUUGGAAGAUAUCUGAGUGCAUUAGUUCAUAUGUGUAUGUCAAUGUGCUUUUAAUGAUUUUUCCACUUGUUUGUUGUAAAAGAUUAUUGUAAAUUGAAAUGAACUUGAUGUUGUAAUAUUUUUUCCUUAGUGGAAUUUCACCUAGUAUGUAUUCAGUUGUGUUCUCUAUAAUUUUGCAUUCGAAUAGUUUCACCUAAAUAUAUUAGCAUGAGUAGUGGCCCUUGAAACUUUGGUCAAAAUUAUUGUUAUUAUUUCCGACUAGAUGUAAAUUUUUUAUUAAAUCUCGUUAACACAAUUCUUAAUUAAAAGUAUAGGUUAGUGUUGGUGCAAGAUUUGCCACACCAAAUUCUGCCUAGCUGUCAAAAGUGCAAAAUAAAUGAAGAGAAAGCACAAAUACACGACUUGAAUAAGGAUACAACGAAACUUAAAUUCAAGAGAAAAUGAUAGCUAUAUCUCAAGAUUUGAAAAAAUGAUCAUGUAGAUUUUUAAGAUUUCAAUAAGCGACUGAGAUUCAAAUAAUAUCCUUUAAUUCUAUUAACAAAAAACAAAGACUCAAAUAUUUUAUGAUAAAUAAAAAUAUAAUAUUAAAAUAUAUGUGAUAAUAUACACAUUUUAAAUACUUUCAAUCCAAAAAAAUAGUUAUGUUUUACAAUCUAUUAGACAUAUUUUAUUAAAUUAAUAUAAAUUUUCUAUAAAAUAAGAAUAUAAUAUUAAAAUAAAUUCACUAAACUUUAAAGAAUUUUGAAUGUAAAAUAAUUUUAAUAUAUUAAUACGUGAGUUUUUUUAUUAAUAUAAAAAUUAUUUAACUUUAAGAUUUUUUAAAAUCUUUACAAUAAGUAUAACUAUAUUAUUUACAUUUAAAAAUAUUUAAAUAUUAUUAACCUACAAUUAUAUUUGCAUUUGUUAGAAAUUUUUUAAGUAAAAUAUUUUGCACUUCUAUAUUAUUAGAAUUAUUGCACACAAAGAAAGAAACAUAUACCUUUAGAAAUUGUUUUCUUUUAAAAUAGAGAUGAUGAUUAGUAUAAGGAUGAAAAAAAGGAUAUUAACGAAAUCUCUAUACAAAUUGAUUUUAGUAGGAAAAGAGUGAGAUGAAUGAUUCUUUUACAAUUAGAAACAUAGAUGAUGAUUAUUAUAACGAAGAAAAAAAGAUAAAGAAUAUUAAUUAUUAAUGGAAUCUCUAUGCAAAUUGAUUUUAGUAGGAAAAAAAUGAGUUAAAUGAUUUAGAGUGCGUUUGGAAUUGAGAUUGGGCAGCCAUAGAUUUUAAGUUACAACACUGAAGUGUUUGGUAAAUACUAGCUGCUGCAGAUUGAAAGUUAUGUUGAUAUGAUUUUUCACAUGUAUCAUAGAAAAUAUAUUACAUCUUUAAUAAUUUUUUUAAAAUUUAUAUUUGCUAUAUAUUAUUAUUAUUUUUUUUAUAGUUAUAACUUUUUUUCCACAGCAGCUGUAGCUUAAAAGCCACAGCACCUCAAUUUCAAACAAGUCCUUAGACAUUCAUAGUGUGUUUAUUUUUUGGAUUGGUGAAUAAAAAUUAUUGACAACGCUAACUUCAUCUUCACCGUUCGCAAUCCAACAGCAGCAAUUGUCACCAAUAAUGAUAUCUCCAAUGAUGAUGACAAUUAUUAUUAUUAUUAUUAUUAUUAUUAUUAUUAUUAUUAUUAUUAUUAUUAUUAUUAUUAUUAAUAAUUAAUUAAUUAAUUAAUAUAUUAAUGUUAAGAUUAUUAUUGUUAAGAUUAACAAUAAUUAUUAGUAAUACAAUUUUUUGAAUAAAAAUAAUCACAAUAAUUAAAAUACAAAUUAAUAAUUAUGACAAUAGUUAAUUAAUGUCUUUUUAGUGAAUCAAAAUUAUUGACAACGCUAACUUCAUCUUCACCGUUCGCAAUCCAACAGCAGCAAUUGUCACCAAUAAUGAUAUCUCCAAUGAUGAUGACAAUUAUUAUUAUUAUUAUUAAUUAAUUAAUUAAUUAAUGUUAAGAUUAUUAUUGUUAAGAUUAACAAUAAUUAUUAGUAAUACAAUUUUUUGAAUAAAAAUAAUCACAAUAAUUAAAAUAAAAAUUAAUAAUUAUGACAAUAGUUAAUUAAUGUCUUUUUAGUCAUUUAUAGUAAACAAAUUAUUAUGAUUCCUAUUCUCCUUUCCCAUUUUAGCUCACUUUGAUUUCAGUCUAUUCCGAUUUCUAUCUAAUAAAUGCACCAUUAGUGCUAAAGUAAUAUUUCAUACAUAGAAAAGUAAAAACUACACCUAAGGUUAAGGGAAAGGACUUCAAAACUCUCUUUUGAUUAUAAUACUAGGAAAUAAAACCGCGCUUCGCGCGGCUUUAGAAAAUAAAUUUAGUAUUAUCAAUUUUCUUUCUUUACACUCGACAAAACUGAUAAAAAAUAUAAAUUAAUUUUUUUUAAAUGAGCCAGCGUUAUAAAACUAAUAUUAUUUAUGAAAGUUAACUAUUUUUUUGUUAACUUUAAAAAUAUAUAUUAACGUGUAUAGUUUAAGUGUACAGACUUUAUACCUUUUGUAGUUGAUAAGUUCCAAAUUAAAUUUUGUAAUUGAGGAUCCUUAGCAUUGAAGUAUAAAAGAAAUAAGUAAAAUACAUGUAAAGACUUUUGUAAUUUAUUUCGCAUCGUUUGUAGCUGCGUAGGUGAGCAGUUGUUUAUAUCAAGCUUGCAGCUAUGGCAAGUUCCAAUGGGGAUCAGCAACACCUAGUGCCAAAAUGUUCUUUAUCUGUAUAUAAACCAUGUCUCCAUGGAUUAGAGAGAAUGAAAGGAGAAACAGUUGAUGUAAAAAAGAAUGCUUCUUCACGUACUAUGUUCUUUGGCGAUUAAAUCCUCCAUAACAGCUUGGAAAACUCAGCCAAAUUACCAUUUUGUUGUCUCGAUAGUUCCUUUGAUUUAUCCAUUUGUCUACUGAAUAAUUAAAACACAUAAUAAAAAUCAUUAUUAUAGGGUGAAGUAAGAGCUUGCAAUGUAUAAAUUAAAUUUUAAAAUAUAAUCUAAAAAUGUGAUACCUUGAUUUUGUGAGCUAAUGUGUGAAUAUUUUGAAAUACUUCUUUGUAGACAAUGUUUUUUAUGAAGGUUCGGUCUUCUACCUCUUGAUCGGCAUUUAGUAUGGUCAAUCCUUCUCUUGAGGUAACUCGAGACACGGCGACAUAUAAUUGACCAUGUGUGAAUACUUGCUUAGGGAGAUACAAGCCAACAUGUUUAAGAGAUUGUCCUUGGCUUUUGUUGAUCGUCAUGGCAAAACAUGGUGCUAAAGGAAGUUGUCGUCUGUUAAGCUUGAAUGGCCAUCUUGAUUCAUUAGGAGACAUAAUAAUUCUUGGAAUUGUGACAUUUUGUCCAAUAUUUGUUCCAGAAAUGAUGUCACCUCUAAUGGACCAUUUACCAAGAUGAGUGACAAUUAAUCUUGUGCCGUUGCAUAGGCCUUCUAUUUGAUUUAGAUUUCUGAGAAGCAUUACGGGAGCACCUUCCUUAAGUCGUAUGUCAUGAUUAGGGAUGCCAUUGAAUUUCAAACUAUUCAAAAAUUCAGUUGGAUAUAGAACAUCUUCAUCAUUUGUGUUUGCGCUUGCUUUGCAUAUACUGUCUGAGCUAAAAUAGGUUCUCCCUUGACCAGGUAUUAUAUUCAUAAUCAUCUCGUUCAAUUCAUGCACCAUUUCAUUUUUUGGGGUUAAUAUUGCUCUUUCUUUCAAAUAUGUUGGAUCACUGUAGUUAUGCUGAAUUGAUGGGUAGAUAGUGUCGACUAUUGAUUUUAUCAGAUUUUCUGAUGGUUUCUUACAGAUAUCAGAAGGUAGUUUAACUAAAUCUCUAUCAAUGUCAUCAUAUAAUGAACCAUCUCCAAUCUGCAAUAACCAUUUGUCAAAAGAAGCUAUUUUAGCAGCCUAAGAGCCACUCACACUUCCAUUAUAGAGCCUCAUAUUUUUUUUGAGGUCAUAAAUUUUGAAAAAUGGCCACAAGUAGGAUGAGUUAAGUGAAGCAUCAACAAUGUCUGCUCUUGUCCUCUUUGGCACAACUGGCAAUAUUUGUCGGAAAUCGCCACCACAUACUAUUGUAAGUCCUCCAAAAGGUUUGAUAGAACUAUUUUCAUACAUUGUUCUUAGAAUAUCUCUCAAGGUCCUAUCCAAAGCUUCAAAGCAGAACUUAUGUGUCAUAGGCGCUUCAUCCCAAAUGAUCAAAGAAGUUUUCAUAAGAAGUCCAGCUAAUAAGGUGCCUUGUCGGAUUUCACAAGUGGACUCUGCUGUCACAUCCAAAGGAAUAUGAAAUCGCGAAUGAGCUGUCCUACCAUUAGGCAAUAACAAAGCUGCUAUACCUGAAGUUGCAACAGGCAAGACUAUUUUAGAAUGUGAUCUGAGCUUUGCAAUAAUUGUAUUCCACAAAAAUGUUUUACCAGUACCACUGUGUCCAUUGAUAAAAAAUAAACGCCCUUCUUCAUUGUCAACAGAAUGCAUUAUUGCUUCAUAGGCUGAUUUUUGGCAAGCAUUUAGAGCAGCAAACGAUUUCUCAUGCAACUUCUUUAAUUGAUCACGAUCAUAAUCAAGCUCUUCAUUGACCAAUCGGUUACCUGAAUCUCUUAUCAAAGAAGAAUUAGGAAGUGGCAUUCCAUCUAUGUCUCUCAAACUUUUUCCCAUUUUCAACAUGAUAGUUUAAAUCUCCAACAAUGUGUAUGCUUCAACUUGUUGCUCGGUUAACUGAAGAUCUUUCAAUCUGAAUUUUUUCCUUUGCAAUGAAGUUAUGUCUUCUGAUAAAGUAGUAUAAUUAGAUUUCCAAAGUUGGGGUGCAUCAGAAACCUGACAAUGAAUGAGUAUCGUGACAAAAAGAUGUCUUAAUUCAUUUCCAGUCGCCCAUAUUGCAGCUUCAGUCAAGCAGUCGAUCCAUUCUUUAUCAUCGUCUAAUAAUCCCAAAGCAUAGCACGCAGCUUUAAAAGUUGGAUAUGUCACUCCAUUUACUGUUCUAAUACUUUCAAAUGAAGUGCUUCCUUUUACAAAAUUGAGCAACAUUCUCAUAUAAAAUCGUUCUCCACUUGAAGGAUGUGCAAAGUAAAUUCUUCCGAUUGCUAAGCCAUUUUUUCUCCUAGUCCAAGUUUUGUCUUUUGAAUUCCAUACCCAACAUGUAGGGAAAUCAGAAUAAGUUAACUCUCGUGCAUCAUCAUAAUUCUUGUUUGCCUCCAACCAUUCUGUGAACUUUGUUUUUUCUAUUCCAGGUAUGGUAAGCACAUUUUCUAAGCACUUAGAUUCUUCGAAUAUUACUGUAUGCUCUCCCGGUAAAUGGAACGGCAAUCUUUCAACUGCUGGCUUUCUGUAAUGUAUGUCAAAUUGGAAGAUUCGCCAGCAAGCUUCGGUUGCUGAUAUAUAUCUGCAGUCCAAAUAUGUUUUGAUCUCGUCCAUUUCUUGGGUAGUGUCAAUAGAUUCCAUUGUUGCAGUUGUUCUAUCAGACCCUUUAUGGACAUACUUGAAAAGAUAUUUAACUGAUCUCGAGUAAUUACAAAUCUCAACAUUAAUAUGUGCAUCAAAUUUGACAAUUAAAUUCCUGUGAUAAGGGACCACAUAUCGAUUAUCCAAGAAGACACCUUUCUUUUCGACAUGAAUACCUGUAUUUCUCCUUUUAUAGAUUGGAAAACCAUUUGUAUCCACUGUUGUCUGAUCAUUAAAUUUUUUUGGAAAAUGUUUUGUGCACUUGUCUUGCAUCAUGCAUGGAGAGUGAGAAUUGUGUUUUCCACACGGUCCAUGAAUCAUAAAUUUGUUAACUGCAUUAUAACCAUCAGGAUCAACAUUUAAGUCAGGGAUUUCUGCACUUAUUAUUUUAUCAAUAUGGUCUGCAGAAGGAUUUUUCAUUGUUGGAUGCAAAAAAAGCAGUAUGUGUGCAUAGGGCAAGCCUCUUUUUUUAAACUCAAUUGUAUAUAGACCUGCCACAAAAUAGAGUAAAAUUUAAAAGUUAGAAAUAUUGAUUUUAAUUGUGAAAUUAUUGUUUUUCCCUACACUUUUCAAUAACAAAUGAGUUGAAUUUGUUAUGGAUACGAAUUUGAAGUGAACUUACAUGCAAUUAUUUUUCCAAACGGUUGAUCUUUUUUCAAAUCUUGCAUUAGUUGGAAUAAUUUUAUCUCGAAAACUCUGCAUAUGAUAUCGACUCGAUUGUCAUCAUUAUUUUGUCCAACUAAUCGGAGCAUGUUAUUUAUUUCUUGCCACUUUGGGUUGCAAGUGAAAGUAAGAAAUAAAUCAGGAUAUCCUGCCCAUUUACAAAUUGCCAUAGCAUCUUGAUAAUUUUGUAUUCUAUAUCGUGGUCCCCCCGUGUGUGAUGAAGGUAGAAUAAUCGAUUUUCCAACUUUCGAACAAUCAGAAUCACCUCGAUGAACAGCAUCCAUCAAACCAGAGAAAAGGUCUGAUCGAAGUUUUUGUUGAUUAUUCCGGAUCCAACGAAAUCUUUCUUCUUCAACUGCCAUGUAACAAUCAACUAUAUAUUGUUGGAAUAGUCUACCAGUUUGAAGUAGAGUGUGUCCCUCAUUCAAUCUUUGUUGCAACCUAAAGCAAUAAUAUUGCCUCAUUGUCAGCUUUUGCCUCUUAAAAGGGCUAUCAGUUAUGUCUCUUAAAGAUAUGUCAGGUCUAUAUCCAUCUUCGCCAUAAGGAUAUAUUAACGGGUAUGUCAUGGGCAUGAAGCUUGGAUGCAAAUCUGUGAUUCUCCGAAGUCCCUUUGUGCGAUGCUCUAUAAUAACAUCGCGUUGAAAGUUUGCUUCACUGAAAUCACCAACUAUUAAGCCUGCAACUUCUGAAACUGUUGGUAUAUUGUAUCGACGACCAUCUCUUGUUCUACUAUUAAGGAGUCGUAAACGGAAUGUAGAUUCUGGUUGUGUUUUGUAUCUAUCCCUCGCCAUUCUAAAAGAUUUGACCAAAUUAUUAUGUUGGUCCAACAUUUUAGAUAGUUCAUGAAGAAUUUCGUGAUCAAUUUCUGUCUUCAUUCCAUGUUUUAAUAGAGUGUUGAUUCUAUUGUCUAUCUCAUUUUCAGUAUCAUAGAUAUAGAGCUGAGCAAACUGUGGUUUUUUCCCAACUUCUGGCAACAAAGAACCAAUGUGAUGAUAAUUCUGACCGCUCAUCCUGAAAACAUAAGGACCUUUUGAUCGAUUGAUUGAUGCAUCAACUCGACCUCCCAUAGAUGUGAAAGCAAACAUGGAGUUAUAAGCCCUGAUAUUUUUUCGAAAUUUGGAACCCUUUUGUCCAGACUCUGCCCCGAGAAGAUAUUUGAGUAAAGGAGGUGUUUCUUUCAUGAAUGGAAUCUGCACACGACCUUCCAUACAACAAAAUGUGAAUUUGGGAUGUGAGACCUUUUUGGUUUUCUUGUUCCGUUCCUCGUACCAUAAAAUGGCACCACAAUAUUGACAUGUGUAUGUAGGGGGUCCAAAAUUCCAAGGCGUUGUGUAAUGAACUGUCAAAUUCAACCAAUAAUAAUAUUGUAACAAAGUAUCUUAUUUCGUCUAAGUGAAUAUGGUAAGAAAAAAUAUUACUAAAUAUAUUAAUAUUUUCAUUGUACAUGUAGUUUCAUGCAAAUAUGUACCAUUAUUUGAUGUUACACCAUCCAAUGGAAAGCUUGUGGACUGAUCUAUAUUCUCAUCAAAAGAGAGACACGCUCUUUUUAGUUGUCCAUGUUCAACUGUAUAUUUUUAAAGUUCCAAAAGCAAUGAAUAAGUUAUUAGUUUCAAGUAUUACAAGCAUGAUGAAUAACUAAUAAAGCUCGAUAAAUUUAAAUAUAUAUACGUACAUGUGUGAAGAAGGCGCUUUCCUCUGUUUGUUUGACUCUUUGGAUUUAUAUGUAAUGAUGUUUUAUUAUUAUCAUAUCCAGCUUUACCAGGAGAUUGAAGGAAAUUCCCAAUUGAAAUAUGUUAGAAAUAUAUAUAUUUGUUAAUAUAUAUUAACAUAAAUAAUUUAAAUUAUAUAGGGAUAAUUUUUGUAAUUUGUAUAGUAGGAAUAAAAAUCAUAUUUUCAAGAAUCACAUACCGUUUGAGUGAAGCAAUUUAUUGUCACUUCUAAUGACUUCCAACUUCAUAAAUUUUGUGUAAAAAUUCACAAUUUGUAGCAUCAAAAUGAUUCUCUUUUUUAAAUCAUGUUUGUAUCUAUUAUGAAUAAUCAUAAUUUUCCGCUUAAAUCUUGCAUGCUUGAAUAUGGCCUUCUGCACGACAACAUAUCCAUUGUUUAUUGUGUCACACUGGAAAUUUGAUGCAUAUUUCCUAAGUUUUAAUUUCAUAAUCCUUUCGUGCCGAGCUAAAGAUGAAAGUUGAUGCCGCAAGAGACAAACUUCUGGCGGAAUAUUCCUUGAGUCACCGAAAUCAUUAAUAGUUGCAGAAAUCAAUUCCAUUUACUCUGGUGAACAAUAAAGUGAAUUCAAUAUCACAAAAUAUUCUAAAAUUAACAAAACGUUUUAUUACAAAUCAUAACAAGAGAAACCGAAAAUAUAAAAUGUUUUUUUUCAAAAGAGAGAAUUUUUUUUUCAAUUAUUGAAAUAAGAAUUGCAAUGAAUUUUUCGAACGAAUAUAUACCAUAUGUUAGAAAGAACAAAAAAAAAAUCACUAAAAACAAAACAAAAUAAAAUGGGAUUUAAUUUAACCAAUUCAAUUUAAUUUUAAACUCAUGCCAGUGUCACACUGGCAUUAAUUUUUGUUGUGCUUAUAGCCACGAACAGAGGCUUUUAGAUUACUUCUUUAUUAGGUUAUUAUUCUUCGAAUUUGGUGGGUAAAUUGUGAGCUUUUUCUGUUGUGAUAUUAUCAAAUCAAUCCAUGCAAAAUAAUCAUUAAUGUAAUGUUUUUGUUAUUUUCAAACUGAUAAAUAAUUAUGAAUUGUUUCCAUAAUUGUGUAUUUAGAAACAACGUUAACACAUUUUUUCGGAACAAACUUCUAAGUUUGAUUGAUUUUACGUCUAAUUACGAUACCCUAAAUUAAUAUAGAAAGUCAACAAAAAUCCACUUUAACAGUUCUAAUGUAAAUUUAAAGGCAAUUAAUUUUGAGUAAAUAUGAACUAAAACAAAACUUGAACAAAAUCUGAAUUUAUAUAUAAUAUUAAGGUAGCCACAUUGCAUUUGAAAAUGUCAAUUAGUGGGAUCUAAAUAAAUAAUCACCUUGGAAUUUUUUAAUGGUUGUAGGAGUUAAUAUUACAUACACGGACUAUCAUCUUUGUUGUACAAAUUUCGAUCAAACAUCUCCCCCAACUUUUUUCAUAAAGUAAUCUUUGAUAUCACCGAGCUAUCCAUAAAAAUUGCCACAAGUGAAUAAUGUAAAGAGAAAAACUCAUUAUAAGGAUAUCAUAUUAUCAUUAAAUUCGAAAGUUUCGAAUUACGUUAUUAUACAAUUGGUUACUUUUUAAUUCUAAAUCACCAAUAUUAUUAUUCCCUAUCUCAAUAUGAAUAUUACCACUUGACUUUUUUAUUUGUGUUUAUGAAGAGGUGGGGUGUGAGGAAAAGGAAAAAAUGUUUUUCUUAAGAAUUAGAACAAAUAAUUAGGCAAUAAUUCAAGGAAUUGAGGUUGUUCAUUCUACAUUCCAUUUGGAUUUACAGUGAUUUUCAUAAAUUUUUUCUUUUAUUAAUUAUGCUAACUGCCAUGUACUGUUGUUUAUUCUACUGCGUUUGGGAGAAGAUGCUUGGGCUGCCUAGAACAUAUUUUCUAAUUAAUUUUUCUUGUGAAUACAUUGAAUAAUCUCUAAGGGCUAUAUCCUUUUUCAUUUUACUUUAACGGUUUUUCUUCAACAAAUAUUGGAUGUAUUUAGUGAAAAAGAAAAUUAAAAAUUAGGAAAGAAUUAAUAAAAUUAGUGAAGUCAAAUUGUCAAUCAAUUCUUAUGAUAAAACAAUAAUUAAAAAAUAUAGUCAUAGUUUUCUUGAUUAUAUUCGACUUAUUAAUCUGUUAAAACUUUUUAUAUCUUUUUUUCCAACUUCCCCAUUUGGUGAACUAUAAAAAUGAUAUGUUUUUUUUCCACUCUUUGUCUCUAUCUUUUUUCACUCACAAAGAGUUAAUAGUUAUUAAUCAAUUAAUUUUUUUUGUUUGCAUAAGAAUUAAUAAUGUUGCACACAUGUAUUGUGAAAUAAUUGUUUGUUCAUAAUUAUUUUUUGCAUUUUUUUAGAAGUCAAUAGUCAAAUUAAUGAUAUUGAAUUAAGACAUUUCGAAGUUUGCUAUUUUGUACUUCUAAUAGAAAUGCUUGCAAAUGGGAGGCAUUAAUUUUUCUGUUUACUUUAUCGAAUUUCAUAAAAUUCAAUUCAAACAAAAAAUUGAAGGUUAGAAAAGCAGUUGGAUAGUUUCAUAAAAUUAUUAUUUUAUCAUUUAAAAGAUAUGUACCACAUCAAUUAGGACUAAAUAUUAGAAUCAUUAGCAUUGUUCCAAUCACACAUGCAAAAUCUAUCACUCAAUAGUCAAGUACAUUGUACAAUGCAGUCGAGAACAACUUCAACAUUUAGUUAAACCUUUUCUAUCUGUUUAUUUCCACAAAACACCAAAUAUCCAGAUUGAUACUGGAUCCUCCGAGUCAAAUAUAGCUAGUUCACGUUCAGAAAAGACCCGCCUCUUUUAAUUGUACCUCCUGCAUGCGAAUUAUAUAACAAUUAAAUAAAACUACACCAGAGAUUAAUUAGUCAAUAAAUAUAAACACGAGCUAAAACAUGUGUUUACUAAUAAUUCUUAAACAGGUCUAAGCUUUCAAAGUUUGCAUUGAAAAAUUAAAGUGAAAAUCUUCAAUACCUCCAUGUGUAAAUCGCAUAAAUUAGACAACCAAAGAUUAUUCAAAGAUUUUUCUUUCUUACCUUAUGCUUUUUCGCAAACAAGUAGAUAACAACAAUUGUAAAGACAAGUGAGCAGUAAUCUGUUAAAACAAAGUAAUCCAGUGUUAAUGAAAAUAAGAACAACAUAUUAUAUUUAAAACUAAGUUUUCAUAAUAAUGAAAUCGAGUAAACUUAUUCGAUAAGGAUAAACAAAUAGAACGCAUUGACAAAUUGACAUCAAAUUAAAUUGAUCCAAAGAAAUUGAGAUGCUCAAAUUUGAUUACGUACACAUUAAUUUUCAAAUAAUUAAUCCACACAUUGUUUUAUUCUUCAAACAUCUUUAAACACAGGAGCCAACACUUUCACUCUUAUAUAUUACUGCCAUAGUAACUUGAACUUGGUGAUCAGCUUUUUAAUUGAUUUGCAGUAGCUCACAAUUAAUUAAGCUUGAUCAUCAGUAGCUAUUAUUGAUCAUAAAAAUAUUUGUUUAAUUUACAAUCUAAAGUUACGCUCCAUACUCUAUAUAUGUGAAUUAUAUAUUUGCAUCAUCAACAUUAACAUUAUAAAAUAAUCUGUGCAAUAGGAUGCUCUUGGAGUAUUUUAUUUUCAUCACAAAAUAUAUUAAAAUUAUAUUAGUCAGAGAAUAUAUCUAACACUUUCUAAACACUAAUAUAUAAUAGUUUCUACAAAAUUAUGAAAUAUUUGUACUAAAAUACCAAAAUAUAAAUAUAUAUAACCUAAUUGGAAUCAAUAAUCAAACUUCAAACAUGUCAUACUCUAAAGAAAUUAAAGCAUGAUAGUCUGUGUGUUUGACAUAUUCAACUAAAUGUUUGAUGAGAAUCUGUGAUUGUUAACAGCCAAUAAUGGUUUCUUUAGCAACUCAACUCAACUCAGCAAAACCGCAACCAAUUACAUUUACCAACUCAACUCUUCGCUUCCCCAAUUUCCAACAUUCUCUUCACAUUUACAAAUGGUAGGUGGUCCUAUAAAUCCCAUUCAAGAAUGAACAAUUUUUUUCAGUUCCUAGUAGGUGAAGUUUCUUCCACAUUUACAGAAAUUUCGACAGCAUCUCCCCAUAGUUCUCCAAGUACACGACCUAGAUUUAUGCAUUCAUCUAGUAUGUACCCAGAGAACAUGAGGAGCAGCUAUCGAAAUUUCCUUUUACGUGAAACAAAACUUCACCUACUUGGAACUAAAAAAAAUUAUGCAUUCCCAAACUGUCCAAGUUGGGACAAUUCAAGAAUUAUUAAUAGACAUAUCAUCCUCUUGUCAUCCUAAGAUGACACUGAUAAAACAUGUGUCUACUAAUAAUUCUUAAACGGGUCUUAGCUUUCAAAGCAUGCAUUGAAAAAAAAAACGUAAAUCAAUAUAUAUAUAUAUAUAUAUAUAUAGUUGAGUUUAUUAACAUUACCUAGGUUUGGCGGAGAAAAUAUGAAGAAGAAGAAGUAGUUUGGGCAAAAAUCAAAGGGUUUUGAUUUUCAUUAUUGAUCAAUUGAAAUAGUAGAGUAGUGGACCUUCUCAGCUAGUUCCAUGGAUGUUAAUAAAUCUAAAAUUUGUUAGCACUUAACAUUUGCUAAAGAAACCGUCUUAAGUUUCAAUUCUUUAAAUUAAUGUUAAUUAGAUUUGACAUUGAAGAUUAAUUAUUCACUAAGGCUUAUCAUAUUUUAAAAAAACGAAUAUAAAAGGUUGCAUAUUAAAUAUGGGAUUAUGCAAUUAAAAUUAAACCCUAGUAAUGGCAUUGGUGAGGGAAGAUGAAAGAAUUCCUUCCUAUAUUAAUUAGUUGAUAUAUUUUAAGCCACUAAAGUUUAAUUGUUGGCUUAAUAAAAUAAAUGAAUGUUUCAAGACUUAUAAUUAAUUAUUAUUAAUGGUUAUAUAUUGUUGAAUUUAAAUAGAAAUAGGAAAAGACAUGUAAUCUUUUGUAAUCUAAUAAUCAUUUUCUAUUUAUUUUCUAUUUUUAAUAUUUUGUAAUGUAAUUAUUUUUUAAUUUAAGCUAAUAUAUUAGAUAUUAGAGAAUAUAAAGAGAUGAGAAAUAAUGAUGUCACAAAUCUUAAAUACUUAAUAUUUAUAGAAUUUGAAGAAGCCAAAAAGCACUAAACAAAAGGUUGAAUAAUUAAAUAUGAAAUUAUGACAUUAAAAUUAGGCCCUAGUGGCAUUGUUGAGGGAAGAUGAAGGAACCUUCCUUUCUAUAUUAAUUAAUUGAUGCUUUUUAAAGCCAUUAAAGUUUAAUUAUUGGCAUAAUAAAAUAAAUGAAUGUUUCAAGACUUGUUGAAUUUAAAUAGGAAGAGGAAAAGACAUGUAAUCUUUUGUAACCUAAUAAUUAUAUUCUAUUUUUACUAUUUUAUAAUGUAAUUAUGUUUUAAUCUCAACUAAUAUACUAGAUAAUAAAGAAUAUAAGAAGAUGUAAAAUAGUGAUGCCACAUCACCUCUUGUAGUCAAGGCUUAUAAUUAAUUAAGAGACAUGGAUAGGGAUGGCAAUUUCCGGGUCCGGGUCCGGGUCCGGGUUUGGCUGUUCCGGAUCCGGACCCGGACAUCAAAUUCUCAUAACCGGACCCGCAUUAAACCCGGAUUUUUUAAAUCCGGAUCCGGUCCGGGUUCAACCCGGAAAAAUCCGGGUUUCCGGAUUCCGGGUUUGGAACCCGGAUUGCUUUAUUAUUAUUUUUUUUAGAGACCAUAUGGCUUACUUUAACAAGGCACAGGGGAUGGUGGUUUAAUGUUUUAAUGUUUUCCCCAACAACACAUUACAGAAUACUUCCUAGAAUUGGUUCAAUAAAAUUUGAUGGAUAUUGUUGUUGAGUUCGAAUUUUCCGUCUCUUUUGGUGGAGGUUUCACAUAUUUUCCUAUUACUUUUUGGCAUCUCUUUCUCUUUUGUCUGGUUUGUUUGUCUUUACUUUGCUGCUUCCUUUUCUCCUUUAGCUUAUUCCGAAGAUGCCUUUCUUUCUCAAAUACACCUUGCCAAACGACCUCACCUGUUGACGGCCAUAACCACCGUCUUCUAGGGUGAUCAGAAUCUGCCUCCUCGGCCAUGUCCUCAUCCAUGCUUUUUAAAGUGCUGUAUGAGAACCAUCUGACCCACAUUUGACCUCUCCGACUCUUAAAGUGCCACGCCGCGAAGGAUCUGAUCUGAUCUGAAGAAGAGAUUACAGGAGAGUUGCAGAGAGAGUGAGAGAUUAAGUGACGACGGAGGACUGAGGUGAGGAAUGAGUCACGGCUCACGGGUGAUUUUCCUUGAGAGAGGAACGGAUUACGGUUUACGAAUGAGACUUGAGAGAUUGAAAGGAGAAAUUAUAGAUUUACAGUAAUUUUUAGGUUGAAGGAGAAAUUUCGAGAGAGGAUCAGACGAACGAGACGAGAGAGAUCUAGAUUCUAGGGUUCACUUUUGUUUUUGUUUUUUUUUUAAUUUUUCUAUUUAUAUUUACGGAUUUACGGAUCAAAAUUAAUAUUAAAAUAAAUAAUAUCCGGGUCCGGGUUCCGGGUUUGCGGGUUCAUCUGAAACCGGAUCCGGACCGGAAAAAUGCGGGUUGUCAAAAACUGAUCCGGAUUCCGGAUAAAAACUAUGCCGGUGCGGGUUGAACCCGGACCGGAUUUUCCGGGUUCAAUCCGGGUCCGAUCCGGGUCCGGGUUUGGUUGCCAUCCCUAGACAUGGAUGAAACUAAUGUUAUUUAAGUAACACAUAGUUGAUUUAUAAGCUUAAUGUGUCAAAAUUGUUUAAACCUUUCCAAGAUUAACUAUUGUUUUCUUAUUAUUUCUUUUAUCUAGGUUUAAAUUUUAGGAGAAAUUUGUCAAUUUUCAAUUAUUGGGUGAUAUUGGUAUGCAAAUGAUGUGUUUUAUAGCAAUUUGAAUCUUUCUCAUCUUCAAGACUAUCAUUAGUCGAUAAUGUUGCUAUUACCUCAGGCUCUCGUGAGUCUAAACAUUUUCUAAUUAAUUGAAAAUGAUAUAAUGAUUAAUUAAUUGUUGAUAAUAAAACCAAUUUAAUACGACGUCUCCCCAUUUCUUUCUUUAUUUCUUUUAAACCUCAAUCAUUGUCAAAACCGUUAAUGGGUUGCAAUUAAACACUUAACAAAUCUUAAACUUGUUGUUAGCAAUUAACAUUUGCUAAAGGAAUCGUCUUAAGUUUCAAUUCUUUAAAUUAAUGUUAAUUAGAUUUAAGACGAAAAUUAAUUAUUCACUAAGACUUAUCUAUAAAUAAAAAGUAGAUACAAAUGUUGUAUAAUUAAAUAUGAGAUUAUGACACUAAAAUUAGGCCUUGGUAGUGGCAUUGUUGAGGGAAGAUAAAAGAACCUUCAUUCCUAUUUUAAUUAAAUUAUAUGUUAUGACGUGAAAAAAUAAACAAUCCAUUUUUGUAUUUUGUAGUUUGUGAAGAUUUGAAACAAUGUGCUUUCUUUUCAGAGUGAUAACAAUUGGAUCCAUUGCUUUUUCCUUUUAAUGUUUUAUAAACAUAUAUUGUCUAUUUGCAUCAAAUAAGUCCCAAUCUCUUUUACAAUCACUAAUAAAACACCUUUCAAUUAUUAAACUAUAAAUAUGUGUCAUUCAAAAUUAUGAUGGAAGAUAGAGAAUUUAGGGUGGGUUUCUUCACUGAAGAGUUAAAAAAAAUUGAAAUUUAAAAUUUUUCAAUAAAUACAAAUAUAAGAUGAAUAGUUUCAUUUGUUCAAUAGACUAAUCAUAUUAAAAUAAUGUUAGUAAGGAAAAUAAUUUAAAAAAUAUUCUUAAUUAAAAUAAUUUAAAAAAUGUAAAUUACCUCUCUCACCUCAUUUUUUAAGCAAAAAUAAAAAUAACUUGAAGUUUUAAAAAAUAAUUGAAGUAAUUUAAAAAUAAUCAAUUUGGAAUAAUUCAAAAUUUACCCAAGAGAUUAUUCACAAUAUCAAUCAAUGAAUUAGAAACAUUAAAUGGUAUAACAUAUAACUAUUAUUUUUAACUUAUUGAUCUCAAUCUUGAGCGUUCGGAUUAGAUCUUUGGGGUUUCAUUUUUUAGAUUUCAGUGAUUGAAAGUAUGAAACUCAAAGUAACAAAAAUUAAAUUUAUAUUUUAUCGCAAGUGAAGUGUAGGGAUUAAUCCAAUUAUUUGCGUCUAGCGUUUCUUUUUGUUGCUAUCACUCUUGUUGAUGAUGAUAAGCCUUUUUUUUUUUGCAUUGUCACUACCAAUUUAUUAUCUACAUUCAUCUAUAGAACGAAGCAAGAUGCCAAGAAAGAAAUAUAACACAAGAAAAAUAAGUUAUCCCAAUCGUUCAAAACAAAUACAUACAUAGCCAGAAAAAUAAGACAUAUCAUAUCACACUUAAAUAUUACCACUCUAAAAAGAAAAAAAGGUCAAAAGACUAACACACAUGUAAAAAGAUGACCAACAACAACACUAAACAUGUUUUGUGUAUUGAUUACUUCCACCAUCACUAACUUCAUCAUCAUCAAUAAUUUGGUUUUUUCUCUUUCUAUUCUUACUGGCAUUAGUAACAUGAAAAUCUCCCACAGAAUCUUCCAAAUUAUUUGAUAAGAUAUCAUGAGGAUCCUGUAAUUUUUUAAUCAAGGAAAUUAAAAUUAUGAGUAAACUGAACAUGCUAAUUUUAAUCAUAAAGGAAAACAACUGGGAAAUAAGAGUAAAUAAAAUUACCAUUUCUUGGGAAUGUUCUUCCUUUCUUUCAUAUAUUUCCACAUUUUCAUGAUCUGUAUUGUUUUUUUUCCUACAAAAAACAACAAUUAAAUAAUUUUUUUAACAUUACAUAUAUUGCCUACAAAUUGAACCUAGCACAGGUAGAUAAUACCUUCUUCAAUUCUUGUUCGAGCUCCAAUUUCUCAUCAGGGGUGAAAAGCUUUGACACAGUAAAAUUCUCAAGUCCCUCUUUCAAAUUGUAAUCAUUCAAUUUCAGUUUGUAAUCAUUCAAUUUCAGUUUGUAAUCAUUCAAUUUCAGUUUGUAAACAAAAUCUUUUCCACAAAGGCUUUGAAUUUCUGCAGGGACAUCCUUACUAUAUAAAGGUAGUCUAUUAAACAACUUGUGGGCUGAUGUAUCAAGUAACUUCUCAGCUACAUGAUUGAAUAAGACAAAAGUUGUCUCUGCCGUUUUAUCCAUGACUUUUAUAUGUAUUUUGUACCUACAUUAGAAUAAUGAAUUAGAAUGAAAAACUAACAACAUAAUGAGCAAUUUUUUUUAAAAAUAAUAUUAUUUUUCUUACAUCACAAGAGGAUAGUCACAUUCCUUUUUGCAAGUGCCACACAUAUAAAUACCAUUUGUAGGUAUGACCUUUUUUAUGCAUGUUUUGCACGAAACAUAGUACCAUCCAAAGGAGUUGUCUAUUUCACUAAUCUUGCCCCGCACAGUAACAAUAUAUUCCUACAAUUAAACAAUAAACAUUUAAAAAAAUAAUAAGGACAUUCCAAUAUUUAGGAACAAAUAACACAAAUGGAUGAGCAGGAAAAAAAUAGAAAAAUCACCUUCACUUGAGAACUCCAAUCAGCCUCCAAUAGUUCUUUAAUGCUCAUCCUGUUAAGGAACAUCUCUUCCUCAAAAGUAAUCUUAUUCACAUUCGAACUUUCAAUAACUUGCACAACGUUGGAGACGGUGGAAAAUCUUUCAAUUAAUGAUGCUACAUAAUCUAUUUGAAGAUUUAUAUAGAUUUUUCUUGCACUUGUGGUAGAGAAAUUAACCUCACCUGUUUAGAGCAAAUGUAACGUAAAACGAAACUUGAACAAAAUCUAAAUUUGUGUAUAAUAUUAAAAUAGCCACAUUGCAUUUGAAAAUGUUAAUUAGUGGGAUCUAAAUAAAAUAAUCACCUUGGAAUUUUUUAAUGGUUGUAGAAGUUACUAUCACAAUACAAGGACCCUCGUCUUUCUUGUACAAAUUUGAAUCAAACAUCUCCCCUAACUUUCCCCAUAAAGUAAUCUUCAUUGUUACUGAACUAUCCAUAAAAAUUAACAAAAAUUAAUAAUGUAAAGAGAACCAAUAACUAAAAAAUAACAUAAAUAACUAAAAAAAUAUAAAGUCAUAGUUUUCUUGAUUAUAUUCAACUUACUAAUCCAUUAGAAUUUUUAUAUCUCUUUUUUUCCAACCAGCUCCAACGAUCUCAAUAUCACCCACACCACAUAAACUUCCAAUAACAUCUGUAAUAUUAUGGAAAAAUAACAUAAACAUGUUAAAACAUAAGGAUUAAUAAUUUCUAAUAUACACUUAAAGAUUAACAAACAUUAAUAAUUAAAAAAAUACCUGAGAGGAUUGUGUUAUCAUUCACACGUAAAUCAAUCAAAUUCGAAGAUACGAAUUGAAAUCCAUUAAUCGGAAUCUUGACAGUUCCUUCUUCUAACCUCUUAAGAGAAGUUAUACCAAGAAAAUAAUCUUAUACUGAUUUGAAAGUGGUCUGUACUCGCCUGUAGUUGAAACAACUUUCAAAUUCUUGACAUUGUACAAAGAACCCUCACUCAACAUGUGCUUAAACCUUGUCACUAAGGUUUUCCUGAUUGUUGCAUGCAUUAGAUUUUCCUACGAAAAAAAAAAAACACAUACUACAUUCAGUGUGAAACAAUUGGGAAAAAAAAUUAGAGAAAACAAUGGGAGAAUAAAUUUUUUAUACAACCUUUUCAUCAAUAAAAAUCAUAUCAACACUAAUCAAUUCUCCAUUUUUUUUAGUAUUAGUAGACUCCCACAUCCUACAAAGCCUAACCCUUAUCAUCCAACUAUCUUUAUCAUUGUUCAACUCAUGAAGAAAAGAGUACUCCAUGAAGCACACAAUAUCAAAAAUUCAAAUAAAUCAAACAAUAAAAAUAUAAGUAUUUUUCUAAAGAGGGCGUUGAUUAAAUAAAUAAAAAAACCCUAAACAUAACAAAUCUUAAAUAUUUAGUGUUUAGAGAGCUUGAAGAAGCCAAAAGGCACUAAACAAAAGGUUGCAUAAUUAAAUAUGAGAUAAUGUCAUUAAAAUUAGGAUCUAGUGGCAUUGUUGAGGGAAGAUGAAAGAACCUCUCUUCCUAUGUUAAUUUAUUGAUUAUUUUAAGCCACUAAAGUUUAAUUGCUAGCAUAAUAAAAUUUGAAGGAGCCAAAAGACACUCAACAAAAGGUUCCAUAAUUAAAUAUAUGAUUAUGACAUUGAAAUUAGGCUCUAGUGGCAUUAUUGAGGGAAGAUGAAAGAACCUCUCUUCCUAUAUUAAUAAAUUCAUGUAUUUUAAGCCACUAAAGUUUAAUUGCUAGCAUAAUAAAAUAAAUGAAUGCUUCAAAAUACUUAUAAUUAAUUAUUAUUAAUGGUUACAUAUUGUUGGAUUUAAAUAGAAAGAGGAAGAAACAUGUACAAAGAAUAUCCACUAAUAUUUUAGAUAUUUUAGAUAAUAGAAAAUAUAAAACGAUGAGGUUGAGAGAAUGUGAAAGAACCUCUCUUCCUAUGUUAAUUAGUUGAUGUAUUUUAAGGCACUAAAGUUUAAUUGCUAGCAUAAUAAAAUUUAAAGAAGCCAAAAGGCACUCAACAAAAGGUUGCAUAAUUAAAUAUGAGAUUAUGGCAUUAAAAUUAGGCCCUAGUGGCAUUGUUGAGGGAAGAUGAAAGAACCUCUCUUCCUAUAUUAAUAAAUUCAUGUAUUUUAAGCCACUAAAGUUUAAUUGCUAGCAUAAUAAAAUAAAUGAAUGCUUCAAAAUACUUAUAAUUAAUUAUUAUUAAUGGUUACAUAUUGUUGGAUUUAAAUAAAAAGAGGAAGAAACAUGUACAAAGAAUAUCCACUAAUAUUUUAGAUAUUUUAGAUAAUAGAAAAUAUAAAACGAUGAGGUUGAGAGAAUGUGAAAGAACCUCUCUUCCUAUGUUAAUUAGUUGAUGUAUUUUAAGGCACUAAAGUUUAAUUGCUAGCAUAAUAAAAUUUAAAGAAGCCAAAAGGCACUCAACAAAAGGUUGCAUAAUUAAAUAUGAGAUUAUGGCAUUAAAAUUAGGCCCUAGUGGCAUUGUUGAGGGAAGAUGAAAGAACCUCUCUUCCUAUGUUAAUAAAUUCAUGUAUUUUAAGCCACUAAAGUUUAAUUGCUAGCAUAAUAAAACAAAUGAAUGUUUCAAAAGACUUAUAAUUAAUUAUUAUUAAUGGUUACAUAUUGUUGGAUUUAAAUAGAAAGAGGAAGAAAUAUGUACAAAGAAUAUUCAUCAAUAUUUUAGAUAUUUUAGAUAAUAGAGAAUAUAAAAAGAUGAGGUUGAGGGAAGAUGAAAUAACCUCUCUUCCUAUGUUAAUUAGGUGAUGUAUUUUAAGGCACUAAAGUUUAAUUGAUAGCAUAAUAAAUUUUGAAGAAGCCAAAAGACACUCAACAAAAUGUUGCAUAAUUAAAUAUGAGAUUAUGGCAUUAAAAUUAGGCUUUAGUGGCAUUGUUGAGGAAAAAUGAAAGAACCUCUCUUCCUAUGUUAAUUAAUUCAUGUAUUUUAUGCCACUAAAGUUUAAUUGCUAGCAUAAUAAAAGAAAUAAAUGUUUCAAAAGACUUAUAAUUAAUUAUUAUUAUUAAUUACAUAUUGUUAAAUUUAAAUAGAAAGAGAAAAAAAGUACAAAGAAUAUCCACAAUAUUUUAGAUAUUUUAGAUAAUAGAAAAUAUAAAAAGAUGAGGAAUGAUAUAUAUUAAUAAAGUUACUAUCUAUUAAAUGAGUUAAAUACAAUCAAAUUAAUUAUGAGAAGAUGAAAAGCCAAAUUUAAAAAAAAAAUAUCUAUUUAUUAGAUAAUAGAGAAUAUACAAAGAAGCAAAAUGGUGAUGCCACAUCAUCUCCUCAAGUCCUAGCUUUAUAUAGAUACUAGGAAAUAGAACCGCACUUUGUGCGGCUUUAAAAAAAGAAUUUAGUAUUAUUUUUUUUAUUACUUUACACUUGAUAAAACUGAUAAAAAAAUAUGAAUUGAUUUUCUUUUAAAGAUGACGCAGCCUUAUAAAACUAAUGUUAUUUAUGAAAGUUAAUUAUUUUUUUGUUAACUUUAAAAAUAUAUAUUAAUGUGUAUAGUUAAAUGUAAACAACCUUUUCAUCAAUAAAAAUUAUGUUCACACUAAUCAACUCUCAAUUCUUCUUGGUAUUAACAGACUCCUACAUUUUACAAAGUCUAACCCUUAUUAUCCAACUAUCUUUAUCAUUGUUUAACUCAUGAAGAAAAGAAUACUCUAUGAAGCACACAAUACAAAAAAAUUAAAUAAGUCAAAAAAUAAAAACACAAGAACAUUUCUAAAGAGGAUGUUGGUUAAAUUAAAAAAAAAUCCAAACAUAACAAAUCUUAAAUACUUAAUAUUUAUAUAGUUUGAAGAAGCCAAAAGACACUAAAUAAAGGUUGCAUAAUUAAAUAUGAAAUUAUGACAUUGAAAUUAGGUCCUAGUGGUAUUGGUGAGGGAAGAUGAAAGAACCUUCCUUCCUAUAUUAAUUAGUUGAUGUAUUUUAAACCACUAAAGUUUAGUUGUUGGCUUAAUAAAAUAAAUGAAUGUUUCAAAACUAUAAUUAAUUUAUUAUUAAUGGUUACAUAUUGUUGAAUUUAAAUAGAAAGAAGAAGAGACAUGUAAUCUUUUAUAAUCUACUAAUUAAUUUCUAUUUUUAAUAUUUUGUAAUAUAAUUAUUUUUUAAUCUCAACCAAUAUAUUAGAUUAUAGAGAAUAUAAAAAGAUGAGAAAUAAUAAUGGCACAAAUCUUAACUACUUAAUAUUUAUAGAGUUUGAAGAAACCAAAAGGCACUAAACAAAAUGUUACAUAUUAAAUAUGAGAUUAUAGCAUUAAAAUUAGACCCUAAUGGUAUUAUUGAGGGAAGAUGAAAGAACAUUCCUUCCUAUAUUAAUUAAUUGAUAUAUUUAAGCCACUAAAGUUUAAUUAUUGGCAUAAUAAAAUAAAUUAAUGUUUGAAAAUUUAUAAUUAAUUAUUAUUAAUGGUUACAUAUUAUUGAAUUUAAAUAGAAAGAGGAAGAGACAUAAUCUUUUAUAAUCUAAUAAUUAUUUUUUUAUUUUUAAUAUUUUGUAAUGUAAUUAUUUUUUUUAUAUCAACUAAUUUAUUAGAUAAUAGAGAAUACAAGAAGAUGAGAAAUAGUGAUGCCACAUCACCUCCUCUAGUCCCAACUUUAUAUAUAUAUAUAUCAACUAUAUAUAUAUAUAUAGAUAUAGAUUUUUAAUAUUUUGUAAUGUAAUUAGUUUUUAAUCUCAACCAAUAUAUUAGAUAAUAGAGAAUAUAAAAAGAUAAGAAAUAAUGAUGCCACAAAUCUUAAAUAUUUAAUGUUUAUGGAGUUUGAAGAAGCCAAAAUACACUAAACAAAAGAUUGAAUAAUUAAAUAUGGGAUUAUGACAUUAAAAUUAGGCUCUAAUAGCAUUGUUGAGGGAAGAUGAAGGAACAUUCCUUCAUAUAUUAAUAUUAAUUAAUUGAUGUAUUUUAAGCCACUAAAGUUUAAUUGUUGGCAUAAUAAAAUAAAUUAAUGUUUGAAGACUUAUAAUUAAUUAUUAUUAAUGGUUACAUAUUGUUGAAUUUAAAUAGAAAGAGGAAAAGACAUGUAAUCAUUUAUAAUCUAAUAAUUAUUUUCUAUUUUAAUAUUUUGUAAUGUAAUUAUUUUUUUAAUUUCAACCAAUUUAUUAGAUAAUAGAGAAUAUGAGAUGAAGAGAAAUGGUGAUGCCACAUCACCUCCUCAAGUCCUACCUUUAUAUAUAUACUAGAAAAUAGAACCGCGUUUCACGCGGCUUUGAAAAAGAAUUUAGCAUUAUCCUUUUUUCUUACUUUACACUUGAUAAAACUGAUAAAAAAUAUGAAUUGAUUUUUUUUUUUAAGAUGAGGCAGUCUUAUAAAAAAAUAAAAAAAGUUAUUAACCAGUAAUACAAAUAAAGAAGCAACGCAAGAUAAAGAAUAAAAUGAGAGAAUAUUGUAUAAUGAUUUUAUUCAUUACAAUUGUGUGUGUACAAAACAAAAAGAUGAGCUCUCCUUUGAUAGUUACAUAAUCACUCCAUGAAAUUAAUGAAAAAUUAUGGAUCAUAAUUCCUUGUGAGAUAGUGGGAGUUAUAGGGAAGCUAAAGGUUGCUAAUGAGAGAUAGUGGGGAGACUAAGAGAUAUAUGUUAUGAACAUCUACAUUUAUUUUAAUAAAUUCAUAACACUCCUCCUUGAAUGUUUAUUACAAAGAAUAUGUCUCAUUAAAAUCUUUACAUAAUUGUUAUUGUGUAAUAACAAUCAAAUUAAUUAUGAGAAGAUGAAAAAUCAAAUAUAAAAGAAAAUUUCUCUAUUUAUUAGAUAAUAGAGAAUAUACAAAGAUGAGAAAUGAUGAUACCACAUCACCUUCUCAAGUCCCAGCUUUAUAUAUAUAUAUAGAUAUAUAGAUAGAUAGAUAGAUAGAUUAAUUCAUGUAUUUUAUGCCACUAAAGUUUAAUUGCUAGCAUAAUAAAAUAAAUAAAUGUUUCAAAAGACUUAUAAUUAAUUAUUAUUAAUGAUUACAUAUUGUUGAAUUUAAAUAGAAAGAGAAAAAAAAGUACAAAGAAUAUCCACCAAUAGUUUAGAUAUUUUAUAUAAUAAAAAAUAUAAAAAGAUGAGGAAUGAUAUAUAUUAAUAAAGUUACUAUUUAUUAAAUGAGUUAAAUACAAUCAAAUUAAUUAUGAGAAGAUGAAAAGGCAAAUCUAAAAAACAAAAAUCUCUAUUUAUUAGAUAAUAGAGAAUAUAUAAAGAAGCAAAAUGGUGAUGCCACAUCACCUCCUCAAGUCCUAGCUUUAUAUAUAUAUAUAGAUAUAGAUAUAGAUAUAGAUAUUUUGUCCUAAUUAACUUAAAGAUUUUGAAUCUAAUAUUUUAUAAUAAAUAAAAAUAUAUUCCUAAAAUAAAUAUAAUAUCAAUAUUUAAAAUAUGUUUUAAUAUUUUACAAUCUAUCAUACACAUUUUAUUAUAGUAAAGUAGAUUUUAUAAUAAAUAUAUAAAAAAUUUAGAAUAUGUAGAAUAUUAUAUAAAAUAAUUUUAAUAUAAUGUGUGAGAUAUAUUUUAUUAAUUUAAAAUGUCAUUUUACCUAAAAAAUAUGAUAAAUUAAUAAUUACAUAUUUGAAGUUACUUCAAAUAUUAAAAAAAAUUAAUAUUAUUAAUCUUUUAGAUAGAUUAAAUUAUUUUUUAUAAGAGAGAUUAAAUUAUUUUAAAAUGCCUUAAUUGUUUUUACUUUUAACGUUACCGGCCUUUCUUUUAUUUUAUUGCAAAUUAAUACUAAUAAGAAAAAGCUAGAUCAUAUUCCACAAAAGCAAAUGUGACAAACACAACCAGCUGGAAUCUUUUAAUUACUAUUCAAUAAUUCGAGACGAUUAGGGUCUUUUAUUAAACUACAAUCCUCAAUAAUUGUUUUAAAUUGGUGGCACCUACAAUCCUCAAUAAUUGUACCGAUAUUCACAAGUUCGUGGCCCCUACAAUUCUGUUCGCAAGUGCUCAUUCACAGUCUUCCAGGCCCCUACAAUUCUGUUCCGAUAAUUUAACUGUGCAAGUGCUUAAUAAUUGUUUUGUUUUUUUCUGCAUUCCCUUUCAUGCUCUUAAUAAUUGAAGAGCAUACUUUUCAAAUGUGGAGCCGCAGCUAAUGUCGUUAAUUUAAUUUGGGAUUAAAUUAGGGGACCAUUAUAUUGCAGUGUGCACUAAUUUUUGUGUUUAUCUAAACUCCUUAAAUUUAAGACAUAUUACGGCAUAAAUAAGAAUAUAACAAUAACAAAAGAGUUAGAAAGUGUAGAGAAGAUCUUGCAGAAAUAUAAAUAAUAUCAAUUUUAAAAUAAUUUUUAAUAUUUUAUGAUCCAUUAAAUAUAUUUUAUUAUAUUAAAAUAAAUUUUAUAAUAAAUAAAAACAUCCUAUUAAAAUGAAUAUAUAGAAAAUUUAGAGUAUUUUAAGUAUUAUAUAAAAUAAAUUUAAUAAAAUAUGUGAGAUAUUCAUAGUUUAUUAAUUUAAAAUACCAUUUUAAAAUUAAAGAUUUAUUUAUGAUAAAUUAAUAAUUAUAUUUUUGAAAUUACUUCAAAUAUUAAAAAAUUAAUAUUACUAAUCUAUUAGAUAGAUUAAAUUAUAUAUAUUAUUUUCUAUUUAUUAAAAAAUUAAAAUUAUUUUUAAUUACUAUUCAAAAAAUAUAAUGAUAAAAAAAAUCUUAACAUCUUUAUUAAAAAUUUAAAAAUUUACGUGAUCAAUUCUCUAAAUAUUUAGGGUAUAUGUGAACCACGGUGGAGAAGCUUUAUUUAAUAUUAUUGAUUUAAAUAAUAUGUCAAUUAAAAAUGUGCGGAGAAGAAAUUUCGGUGGAUAUUUUAGUCUUUUCAGCAAUUAUCAUGAUCAGAUCUAGGGAUGGCAAUGGAGAGGGGAGGGGAGGGGACCGAUCUCCCCGUACCCAUCCCCGAUAUUUUGCGUAUGUCCCCGUCCCCUCCCCGUCCCCAUCAGAAUUACUUGAGAGAAUCACCAUCCCCUCCCCGAAUAAUAACAGGGGAUCCCCGAUGGUCCCCGAUCCCCGAAUAACUAAUACAUUUUUUUUCAAUUUUGAGUUAAUCAUAUUAAAAUAAAAAAUUCAAAUAAAAAUAAAGUUCGAAAUAUAUCUUACAUUAAUAUCUAUUACAAAAGUCACAUACAUUAAAUUAGUAAGUAACGCAACAUGCAAGGAAUACAAACUUCUUUUACAAACUAUCAUGAACAAAUUAAUAGUUUAAUACAAAAUUGUUACAAAUAAAAUCGAAUUUAGAUUCAAAAUUAACUUUUUCAAUGGUGGCGUGGGCACUUUAUAAAUGUGGAUUAUUCCCUUUACAACACAAUAGUUAAAUCGGAGCAAAUCAAAAGUAAAUAUUAGAUUGGAUUAGAUUAGAUUAGAUUAGAUUAGAUUAGAUAUUAAAAUUGUGAUUCGCUGUGGACAAUUAUAACAUCUAAAAAUAAAUAAAAAAUAGAUUUAAGUUUAAAAUAUUUAAAGAAUAUUAAAAUUAAAAAAAAAUGUUUGGCUAAUAGAAUCUACUUGGUCUUUUUAAUGUCGUAAAUAAAAAUUUAAGACUUUAAUUAGUUAAUUAGGCCUAAAAAUUUAAUAAUAUAAAUAUUUUGAUAUUUUUUAUUUUUACCAAUAUUUAUAAGUGGAUUCUUUUACUAAACUAUAAAUUAAAAGUGGAUUCUUUUGAAUACAAGUGGGACAGACGAUUAGGCUCUUUUUAUUAAACGCAAGUAAAAAGUAGUCGAAUAGUCUUUUUCAAAUUAUUGUUUUAUUAUUUUUCCUUCAAAAGUUAGCGUGGCUCAUGUUUGCAGGUGCGAAUGUGCGAUGCUCUUUUUUUAAAGGCAAUUACAGUGGGUCCCGAAUCAUUACUAAAAUUUCUCUUCCUCAGCCCACCGCAGCUUCAGUUAAUCAAACUCAAUCAAUUUUCUUUCUUAACAAAAUUCUAAAGAUGUGUAGCAUUUUUCAGAUCACAUGCGAUGGUGCUUUUUUCAAUCGUUGCUUGGAUUGCUUUCUUGGAAAAGCAGCAUACAUACGUAACCUCCAAGAUAAUCUUGAUGCCUUGGAGACUGAAUUGGGAAAUCUGAUCGCUAGAAAGAACGAUGUGAUGAGGAGGGUUGUCGAUGCUGAACGGCAACAAAUGAGAAGGCUGGACGGAGUGCAAGUGUGGGUUUCGAGGGUGGAUUCUGUUAAAACUGAAGCCGAUGAACUUAUCACAGACGGCUCUCGAGAAAUUGAAAAAUUAUGUGUUGGAGGCUACUGUUCCAAGAACUGCAGGUCAAGCUACAAAUUCGGGAAAAAAGUGGCUAAAAAGCUACGGGAUGCGCGGACUUUAAUCAGUGAAGGAGUUUUUGAGGUGGUGGCUGACAGAGCUCCAGAGUCUGUAGCAGAUGAAAGACCUACUGAGCGAACAGUAGUAGGCUUGCAAUCACAACUUGAACAAGUCUGGAGAUGUCUUGUAGAAGAAUCAGCGGGAAUCAUUGGCCUAUAUGGUAUGGGCGGUGUUGGUAAAACUACACUACUGACCCAUAUCAACAACAAAUUUCUCGAGAGUCCAACCAACUUUGAUUGUGUGAUUUGGGUUGUAGUUUCAAAAGACCUGCGACUCGAAAAAAUUCAAGAAGAUAUUGGGAAAAAGAUAGGUUUGGUUGGUGAUUCAUGGAAGAGUAAAAGUGUAGAGGAGAAAGCUGUCGACAUCUUCCGGAGUUUAAGAGAGAAGAGAUUUGUAUUGUUGUUAGAUGAUAUAUGGGAGCGGGUUGAUUUAACAAACGUGGGCGUUCCACUUCCCGGACCAAAAAAUACUACCUCAAAAGUCGUAUUCACAACCCGUUUCAUCGAUGUUUGUGGUAGCAUGGAAGUUGACAGGAAGUUUCAAGUAGCAUGCUUAUCAGAAAAGGAUGCUUGGGAACUGUUUCGAGAAAAAGUUGGGGAAGAAACUCUUGAGAGUCAUCAUGAUAUCGAUGAGCUAGCCCAAAUUGUGGUCAAAGAGUGUGGUGGUUUGCCACUCGCACUUAUUACUAUUGGUCGAGCUAUGGCCUACAGAAAGAAAGCGGAGCAGUGGAGACGUGCAAUUGAAGAGUUAAGGAGAUCAGCUUCAGAGUUUGCAGGUUUGGGAAAAGAGGUGUAUCCUCUUUUAAAAUUCAGCUACGAUAGUUUGCAGAAUGAUAGUUUGCAGAAUGAUACGGUUAGAUCUUGUUUCUUGUACUGUUGUUUAUAUCCUGAAGAUUAUGUCAUUCCUAAAUGGGACUUGAUUGAUUGUUGGAUUGGUGAGGGAUUUUUUGGGGAAUCUGACAGGUCUGGUGCAGAAAACCAAGGAUAUGACAUUUUGGACACUCUUGUUCGUGCAUGUUUAUUAGAAGAGGUGGAAGAUGAUAAAGUAAAAAUGCAUGACGUUAUUCGUGAUAUGGCUAUAUGGAUAACUUGUGAAAUUGAGAAGGAGAAUAGAAAAUUUUUGGUUUGUGCAGGUGCUGGAUUAAAAGAGGCACCGGGUGUUAAAGGAUGGGAAAAUGUGAGAAGAUUGUCAUUGAUGCAAAACCAAAUUGAAACUCUGUCAGAGGUUCCCACAUGCCCUCAUCUCCUCACUUUAUUUCUUGACUUUAAUUAUAAUUUGAGGAUGAUCGCGGAUGGCUUCUUCCAACUUAUGCCUUCUCUCAAAGUUUUGAAGAUGUCACUCUGCCGGAAUUUAACUUUGAAAUUACCUUUGGGGAUGUCAAAGUUAGGUUCACUGGAACUUCUCGAUAUUUCAUAUACCUACAUACAAGAGUUACCACAAGAGUUAAAGUUGUUGGUAAAUCUGAAAUGUUUGAAUUUGAGGUGUACACACAGGUUAAAUAAAAUUCCACGGCAACUAAUAUCAAAUUAUUCAAGGUUACGUGUGUUGAGAAUGUUCGCUAGUGGCUGGUUCAAUUUUCAUGAAGCAUCAGAAGAAAGCGUUUUAUUUGGUGGGGGUAAAGUUUUGAUACAGGAAUUGCUCGGUUUGAAAUAUUUAGAGGUAUUGGAGUUGACCUUGGGAAGUUAUCAUGCUCUCCAAAUUCUUUUGAGCUCAAAUAAGUUAAAAAGUUGUAUUCGAUCUCUUUACCUCCAUUUGACCGGAGAUACAGCGUCAAUUAUUGAUGCUACGGCUUUCGCAGAUCUAAACCACCUCAAUGAAUUAUGGAUUGAUAAUGGUAUUGAGUUGGAAGAAUUGAAGAUUGAUUAUACGGAGAUAGUACGAAAAAGGCGGGAACCUUUUGUUUUCCGCAGCCUUCACCGUGUUACCAUAUAUAGUUGCAGUAAAUUGAAAGAUGUGACAUUCCUCGUUUUCGCUCCAAACCUCAAGUCUCUUACGCUAUUCAAUUGCGGUGCUAUGGAAGAAAUAAUCAGCGUCGGAAAAAUUGCUGAGACUCCUGAGAUGAUGGGACAUAUAAGCCCUUUUGAAAAUCUCCAAAGGCUUAAUUUAAAAGAUUUGCCAAAUUUGAAGAGCAUCUACUGGAAGCCAUUGCCUUUUACUCGUCUGAAAGAAAUGGCGGUACUUGGGUGCGAUCAGCUUGAAAAGCUUCCGGUCGAUUCCAACAGUGCAAAAGAGCGUAAAUUUGUAAUUCGUGGAGAAGAAGACUGGUGGAACCGACUUCAAUGGGAGGAUGAAGCCACUCAAAUUGCUUUUCGUUCCUGUUUCCAACCUUAUUCCUGAGCGGUGGUCGCAAAAUUUGAUUUCUGGUGAGUGCGUUUUUCUUUGAACUCUUGUACAUAUUCUUGUCGUUUGCUUCACGCAAAACACUAGGUCUUUUCUUCAGUCCGUUACCUACACGCAAAACACUGGUUCUUUUCUCUGUUUUUAUUUCAGUUAGUUUCUCUCUCUCUCUCUCUCUCUGUGUCUUCUGUAAAUCACAAUUAAAUGUUGAAUUAAUGGAAUUAAUGCUUCAUAAAUUUGCCGGCACUGCCGUUACUUUAUUUUAGGGGGGUCGAAUUGGUGCUCUGGUUUUUUACUUUUUGCUGUCAAAUUUUGGCCUUUUUUUUUUUUUUAACAAGUUGAUACUUUAUUUAUAUCUUCUUAGCGAUUUAAUUUCCUGUCAAAAGAGGAACGAGAAGAACAUAUGACUUAAACCAAUGCUCGCAUAAACUUGCUGUAAAAAGAUGUAAUCUCACUGAAAUGCACACGUCUAGAAUGAAUAGAAUUAAAACAGGGAAAAUAUUAAGUAUAUUAGCCCUCUUUACCGAAAAUCAAAUGACAAUAAAUUUUUGGAAGUUUUGAUUUUCUACGGUCAAUUCGACCUUUUGCAAUUUCUUCUGUUCUAACAAAAACCAAAUUCUUUGUUCAAGUAUUUUCGUUUGGGUAUCAAGGAUCUCUAAUCAAUAGCUGGAAGCAAUUCAGAGGGCGCCGAGACCCGAUCCGACCUAGGCCCAAGUUUGGUCUUAAAGCCUGGGCUUGAGCCUGACAAUUAAAUUAAAACAUUAAUUGAUUUAUUGAUUGAAUUGUCGUGCAAUUGAUUUAUGGGGGAUGAAAAUUCAACAUACUUGAAAAUACACUAAUCUUAGCAUCAUCGGUUAAUAACUUUUAGAUUUAUGGGUAAUCAAUAGUUAAGAUCAGUUGUCAUUUAUUUUUUGAAAUGUCCAUAUUCAGUGUACAUUUGAAAAAGACCCAAUAAUUUCUCAUAAAUUUCAAUUAAAAAUAUUCAAUUUGUUAUUUCAGUUCUUUUAUUUUUUAUUUUUUCCAACAUGAAAGCGACUUAAUGUUACUAAAUUGAAGCCGCUGCCCCGCCUGUGGUUCCAAACUUUUAUCUUCCUCCUCCUUUAAAUUAAUGCGAGCAGCCUCCGUCCUUGACUAGUUGACUUCUUUUCUUCUUUUUUAAUUAAUUAAUUAAUUAAUUCAGCCGCCCACCUUUCUUUUCCCAAUGUCUUCUACUUUCGAUUUCCUUUUAUUUUCUCUUUAUUUUUAAAAUAUGCUUAUAGUAAUAAUAAAAAAUAAAAAUAAAAAUAAAAAUAAAAAUGAACAUAUUAAAAUAUAAUUUAUCAGAAAACCAAGAUAAAGAAAUAUUAUAAGCACAUCAAUCAAAAAGUGAAAAAAAAAACAAUUUUAAUUUACAUUAAAUAUAAACUUUCAGUGUUAAUCAACUUUUCUAAAUAACUGAAAUUAUUUAAAAUAAAAAUAAAUUAUUCUUCCCAAAAAAACAAAAAUUACACCCACUCUUGGCUGUAUGUCAAGAUUCGCUUUAAGGACUGAAGUUGGUAACUUUUGCAAGCAGUCUUAAAUUGAAUGGCAGCAACCCACGCUUUCAGAUUUAUGGUUAAUCAAUAGCUGAGAGUUGUUAUCGCUAAUGCCGUGUAUUUUUUUUAAUGUUUUUUCUCUCUCCUACAGCAUCUUCUAGGAAAGUGCAUCCGUUGCUAAAAUUUAGUAUUGUAAAUAAUAAACCAAGAAUAAAUAUUAAAUUUAAGAAACUGUAUUGCAUUUAAUAUUUAAGGGAGAAAAAUAAUUGUAGUGUCUUUAUUAAUCAGUAAAAAGAAAAGAUUAGAAUCAUAAUAAAUUGUAUUGUUAUUGAUGUAUUUAUUUUAUUUUAUACUCAAAAUAAAUUAUUUUAAAUUAUUAAAAUAUUAUUAUUGUUAUUCUAAUAAUAAUUAUUAUUUAAUAUUUAUUAAAAUAUUUGUCAUAUUACUAAAAAAGCAAUAAUAAUAAUGAUAAUAUUGGAAUUGUUGUUUUUUAUCUUAUUAUUAAUCAAAACACUUCUGGUUAGCCCAUUCAUACGUGAAGACCAAAACCAAAUCUCUUCUUCUCCUUCUUUUCUUAAAAUACGGGAUGUGUGUGCUCGGACUGCUCUCUCAUUCUUAAAACAAGACUUUUUGAAUUAUCCAAUUAAGUUAAAUUCUGUGGCAUCUGGUAUUUUCAUUUCUUGUUUAUUUCGCAAGUUAUUAUUGCCUAAUGCUAUGUCAACUCUAACAUUAGCAUAUAUAUUUUUUUUUUGGUCGUCUUUUAACACCAAACAUUAGUGUAGGUUAAGUAACAUAAUCAGUACUGGGACAAUUUGAAAUCCCUUUGUGUUUUAUUCACAGUAUCUAUGAGGGUUUAUCCUUUUGCUAGAACAAACUCUAGCAAAUUGUCAAAUGUACUUAUCCUUUCGCUUGAUGACUCAUUUUAAAAUUGUCUUUCAAUGUACACACACAGAGAUAACCACCGACAUCAAGCACCAAGUUUGGAAUUUAAUUGAUAAGCAUACAUUUGAUAAAUUAAUGAAAAGUUUGGGAGAAUAGUUUUGAUCACCCUCGAUUAGGAUGGUAUCACGAAAAAGAUCAAAAAGAAAACAUCGUCUCUUCUUCAACAAAAAUAAAUAUUUUCCGUUAGAAUUUAAAUAAAAUAAUUAUUUUUUUAUUUUUUGAAUUAAAAUUUAAUUAAAUACACAAAUAAAUUAUAUAUUUUUAAAAAAAAAUUUACACCCAGUCACAAGGCUGGCUAUUAAACUUAAAGGGAAGCUUCGGAGACUAAAGUUGGUAACAUCUCCAAGUGGUCUUAAGUUGACCGGAACUACCCCGACUUUAUGUUUGGUAGCCUAGACCUGAUCGGACCUAGGCCCAAGUUUGGUCUUAAAGUCCACAAUUAAAUUGAUUUGUUAAUUUAAUUGUUGUGUAAUUGAUUUAUGGGGAAUGAAUCAGCAUCCCUAAAAUUACACUAAUCUUGACAUAAUGACAUCAUCGGUUAAAAACGUUCAGAUUUAUGGCUAAUCAAUGGUUUGAGAUUUGUUAUCAUUAAUGCUAAAUAUUUUUUAACAUUUUUUCUAUCUCUCUCUCCUGAAGGAAUUUUCUAAGAAAAUGCAUCCACAACACAAAUUUUAAGGAUCACACUAUGUUACGUUAAACGUAACGUACACACACUCACAGCAACAGUAACAGGUCACGUCUUGUUACUGUUGCUGUGAGUGUGUGUAUAUUACGUUUAACAUAACAUAGCAUAGGCCAAAUUUUAAAUUGUAAACAAUAAACAAAAUAUAAACGUUAAAUUUAAGGAACUGCGUUGCAUUUCAGCUGAAGCUAACUUUAAUAUUUUACGAAAAAAAAUAAUUAAAUCUUUAAUGUGAUUUAUUUAUUAAUAUAUAUGACUAAUUUUUUAAAAUAAGAUGCAGGAUGAAACUUAAAAAUAUAAAUUAUAGAAUUAAUUUCUCUCUUCAAUAAAUCUAAAGUUUAUUUUUUUUAUUACAUGCUUCUAUUUUAUUUUUAUUCCAUGUUAAUGAUUGGAGAUUUAAAUCCAUUUCGGAUUUAUAAAUAUGUUUAGAUAUCUAAAUCCACGUGUGAUUCCAAACUAUAACCUUUUUUUUUUUCUAAUUAAUGCAAACAGCCGCCUCUUUGGACUGCUUUUCUUCUUUGAUUAUUAAUUAAUUAAUUCAGCUGCCCACCUUUCUUUUCCUAAUGUUUUCUACUCUCAAAUUUUUUUAAGGACAAGGCUACGUUGCAGACGCUGUACCUAACAGCUGCACCUUAGCCAGCUUCACAAAGGGUGCAUUUGGUAAGCAAUUUUUCUUUCCUGUGCAUAUGUGUCCUUCCACCAUUGGGUGUACGUAACAGAUAAUGUACCGUAACAAGCUCCUAUUUUUAAAUAUGUUUAUAAUGAUAAAAUAUAAAAAUUAAGAUUAAAAUGUAAUGUAAUAUAAAAUUAAAGGUGGAAGAGUAUUAAAAUAAUGUAUAAGAUAUGAAUAAACAAGUCAAUAAGAAAACAAACAAACGGCAAGAGAAAAGGAAUGGUCAUGCAGAUUUUAAGGUGGCAGUGACAAUGAGAUCUCAUUUUAACCGAUAAAGUCUUUUGAAUUUGUCAACUCAAAAAAAUAGAUUCAAAUGUUUUGUAAUAAAUGAAAAUAUAAUAUUAAAAUAAAUGUGAUAAUAUAUAUUUUAAAUAAUUUCAAUACAAAAAACAUUUGAAUGUUUUAUAAUUUAUUAGACAUAUUUUAUUAUAUUAAUAUAAAUUUUCUAAGAAAUAUGGACAUAAUAUUAAAAUAAAUUUAUGAAAAAUUUAAAUUAUUUUGAAUGUAAAAACAUUUGAAUGUUUUAUAAUUUAUUAGACAUAUUUUAUUAUAUUAAUAUAAAUUUUUCUAAAAAAUAUGGACAUAAUAUUAAAAUAAAUUUAUGAAAAAUUUAAGUUAUUUUGAAUGUAAAAACAUUUUAAUGUUUUAUAAUUUAUUAGAAAUAUUUUAUUAUAUUAAUAUAAAUUUUCUAAGAAAUAUGGACAUAAUAUUAAAAUAAAUUUAUGAAAAAUUAAAUUAUUUUGAAUGUAAAAUAAUUUUAAUAUUAUUAAUCCAUUAAGUAUUAAUUAUAAAAAUUAUUUAACCCAAAGAUUAUUUAUAUCCUUACAAUAAAUAUAAAUAUAUUAUUUGCAUUUAAAAAUUUAAAAAUAUUUAAAUAAUAUUAAUCUACAAUUAUAUUUUCAUUUAUUAUAAAUAUUUAAAGUCAAAUCUUUUGCACUUGUAUUUUAUUACAAUUAUGGCGCACAAAGAAAGAGCCAUAUAUGCUUUAUAGCGUUAGAAAUUGGUUUCUUUUAAAGCUGGAAACAGAGAGGAUGAUUAUUAUAAGGAGAAAAGAAAAAGGGAUAAAGAAUAUUAAUGAUUAACAAAAUCUCUCUGCAAAUUGAUUGCAGUAGAAAAAAAGUGAGCUGAGCAAUCUAAUUUAGUGGUAGAGUGAUAUUUCAUUUGUAGCAAAUUACAUCUCAAGGUUAAAGGAAAGACUUAAGAUCUCAGCUUUUGAUCAUAAUACUUUUUUUAAAGAAAAAAAUUAAUUUUAAUAUUUUAUAAUAAAUAAAAAUAUAAUCUUAAAAUAAAUACAAACACACUAUUAAUAGUACAUAUUUUAAAAUAAUCUCAUUAUUUAAAAUUGUUUUAAUAUUUUGUAAUUUGCCAGACAAAUUUUAUUAUUUUCAAGUAAAUUUUAUAAUAAAUACAAACACACUAUUAAGAUAAAUAUAUGAAAAAUUUAAAGUAAUUUGAAUCUUAUACAAAAUAAUUUUAAUAUUGUUAAUAGUGAGAUAAUUCUAUUAAUUUAAAAUGCUACUUAACCUUAAGAUUUAUUUAAGAUAAAUUAAUAAUUACAUUUUUAAAUUAUUUCAAAUAUUAAAAAUAUUUUAAUAUUAUUUAUCUAUUAGAUAGACUAAAUUAUUUAAAUUAUUUUGUAUAAAUUAAUUCUAUUUAAAGGAUAUUAUGAUAAAAAGAUCUUAGUGUUUUUAUUAAAAAUUUAAAAUUUAUAUGACUAUUUCUUUAAAUAUUUAGGGUAUAUAUGAACCACCGAGGAGAAAAGCUUUAUUUAAUAUUUUUGAAUAGUUUUUGAUCAGUACAAUUGCGUCCUUAUUCAGAAUUAUUGUUCUCUUCCGCAACAGUUUUUGUUUAUCAAAGUCAUCAAUUAAAAUUUUAGAAUUCUUAUCAUCAGAAGUAGUCGUUUUAGAAGUUGGGUCUUGGAUCAAAUUUCUACGAGUGCAUGAAUUAACAAUAAAAAAAAUUUCAUUACACACGGUUUAAGCUACAAAACUACUAUUUGCACAGUUGACUAUAAAACUUACCUCCAAUUACACUAAACCUCUCUAUUUGGUAACGUUGAGACUAAAUUAAUUUUAUUAGCAUGAAAAGAUAAUAGAAAUAUUAUCAUAAAUAUAAUUGUUGUUAAUCAAUUAGUACAUGUGAUAUAAAGGUUAAAUGUGCACUAUAUUUAAUAAAUAAUUAAUGGAACAUGUUAAACAAAAUGUUAAUGUAUAUUUAUAUAGUGUUAGGAAUAUGCAAAGUCAAGUCCUCAAUUUGCAUUAUCCUGUAUAGAAUAUUACUCUAAAAAUGUUUUACUAUAAUUGGCUUAGAACAUUUGUAAAGAAAAUAAUAAUCGUAAUAAUAAAUAACAUACACCGUCACAUAGCAUCUAGACAAUGAUAGAAAAUUAUUAAAGGGAGUGCAAACAAUUAAUUAGAAAUUUUUAUGAUAACUUUUAAUAUUCAUGAUAAUAACAAAUAAAUACAUGUACCACUUUUUAAAAAUAUUAAAUUUGACGUGCUCCAUUAAUAAAUUAUUAUUGUAAUUCAGACUCUAUCUAUAUAUCCUUGCAUUAAGAAUAAUUAAGUCAUAAUAAAAAUUUUCGUAACUACAUCUCAUUUCUUCCUCAUAAUAAUAAUUAGAUUGGUUCGAAUAUUAUAACUAUAUAGAUUUAGGGCGUGUUUGGUGCAUGGGAUUAUGUGGUAUUACACUACUAUUCACAUUAGCUUAUUUCCAAGAAGAUGUUUGGCAAACUUUGACACCUCAUUAUGCUGCAUUAUAAUGCAGCAUAAUGAGGCAUGGGGCCGCAUUACGCAAACCCGAGGGAACCUCGGGUUUGCGUAAUGCAGAAGCUUUUUGCCUCAAUUGAGGCAACAGUUAAUGCCUCAAUUGAGGCAAAUUUAUUUUAUUAAAAUAUUAUAAAAAUAAAUUAUUUUAUUAUUAAAUACUAAUAUAAUGAAUAAAAUAUAAAAAUAAAUUAUAUGAUAAUAUUAUUUUAUUUAUUAAUGAUUCAUAUAAAAAUAAUAUAUUAAUAUUAUAAUAUUAUUUACAUUAAUAUUAAUUUUAAAAUUAAUAUUAUUUAAAUUUAUAAUUAUUUAUGUUAAAUUAUAAAUUUAUUAAUAUAUUAAAAUGUAAAAAUAAUAAUAUAUUGUAAAUUAAAAUAUAAUUGAAUAUUAUUGAAUAAUAAUUUAUUAAUUUAUAUUAACAAUUAUAAUAUUAAUUAUAAUCUAAAUUUAUUAUUUACAUAUAAUAUUAAAUUUUAUAAAUUUAUUUUAUCAUAAUUAUAAUACAAAUUUUAGAAAUUUAAUCAUUAAUUUUUAAUAUUUACUAAAAAAAUUGUUAAAUUUCUACAAUUAAGAUUUCUAUAUUUAUUAUUUUUCUAAGUAUUAAUAAAUAUUAAUUUUUAAUUAUUUAAUUUAAUUAAUUAUAAAAAUUAAUACAAUACAAUGUAACACCAAAUAUAGUUUAAUUAAAAAUUAAUACAGUACAGUGUAGCACCAAACAUUGUACAGCAUUAUUAUAAUACAAUACUAACGCAAUACAGCAUAAUACAAUACACCAGCAUUAAAAUAAUGCAAUACAACAUAAUACAAUACAAUGUACCAAACGCACCCUUAGUGUAUAGCCACAUCCAAUUUAAAUAUUGACCCAAUUGGGAUGGUCCCCAAAAAAAAAAUUCGUUAAAGGAUAAUUCUAAUUAUUUUUACUUCUCAAACGUUAGUGGGACGUUUCUAUUAGCGCACUCGUAAGCCAAGUUGUCAAAUAUUUAUAUUAAACUACAAUUGCUGACAAGAAAAAUCAAGAUCGUGUUGCGCAAGUGGGUCCCGAAUAGGACGUGCCUAAAUCUCUCGUAAGCCAAGUUGUCAAAUGUUUAUAUUAAACUAACAAUUGCUGACUAGAAAAAUCAAGAUCGUAUUACAAGUGGGUCCCGAAUUGGACGUGCCUAAAUCUUUUUAUAAUUUUCCCAGUGUAGCGGACAGAGGUCAUUACUAAAUUUCUCUUCCACACGCCACAGCAGCUUCGGUUAAUCAAACUCAAUCAAUUUUCUUGGCUUCUCCGCUUAUCAAUAUUACAAGGUAUGGGUAGCAUUUUUCAAAUCACAUGCGAUGGUACUAUUUUCAAUCGUUGCUUAGAUUGCUUUCUUGGAAAAGCAGCAUACAUAAGUAACCUCCAAGAUAAUCUCGUUGCCUUGGAGACUGAACUAAGGAAACUAAUCGCAGCAAAGAACGAUGUGAUGACGGCGGUUGUCAAUGCUGAACGGCAACAAAUGAGAAGGCUGGACCAAGUGCAAGUGUGGGUUUCGAGGGCGGAAGCUGUUAAAACUGAAGCUGAUGAACUUAUCAGAGGCGGCUCUCAAGAAAUUGAAAAAUUAUGUCUUAGAGGGUUCUGUUCCAGGAACUGCACGUCAAGCUACAAGUUCGGAAAACAAGUGGCUAAAAAGCUACGAGCUGUGGAGACUUUAAUCGCCGAAGGAGUUUUUGAGGCGGUGGCUGCCGAGGUGGUGCCUGAGAGAGCUCCAGAGCCUGUAGCAGAUGAAAGACCUACCGAGCGAACAGUAGUAGGCUUGCAAUCACAACUUGAACAAGUCUGGAGAUGUCUUGCAGAAGAAUCAGCGGGAAUCAUUGGCCUAUAUGGUAUGGGCGGUGUUGGUAAAACUACACUAUUGACCCAUAUCAACAAUAAAUUUCUCGAGAGUCCAACCAACUUUGAUUGUGUGAUUUGGGUAGUAGUUUCAAAAGACCUGCGACUUGAAAAAGUUCAAGAAAAUAUUGGGAAAAAGAUAGGUUUGGUUGAUGAUUCAUGGAAGAGUAAAAGUGUAGAGGAGAAAGCUCUCGACAUCUUCCGGAGUUUAAGAGAGAAGAGAAUUGUAUUGCUGUUAGAUGAUAUAUGGGAGCGGGUUGAUUUAACAAAAGUGGGCGUUCCACUUCCAGGACCACAAAAUACUACCUCAAAAGUCGUAUUCACAACCCGUUUCAUCGAUGUUUGUGGUAGCAUGGAAGCUGACAGGAAGUUCCAAGUAGCAUGCUUAUCAGAAAAGGAUGCUUGGGAACUGUUUCGAGAAAAAGUUGGGGAAGAAACUCUUCAGAGUCAUCAUGAUAUCGUUGAGCUAGCCCAAAUUGUGGUCAAAGAGUGUGGUGGUUUGCCACUCGCACUUAUUACUAUUGGUCGAGCUAUGGCCUACAGAAAGAAAGCGGAGCAGUGGAGACGUGCAAUUGAAGAGUUAAGGAGAUCAGCCUCAGAGUUUGCAGGUUUGGGAAAAGAGGUGUAUACUCUUUUGAAAUUCAGCUAUGAUAGUUUGCAGAAUGAUACGGUUAGAUCUUGUUUCUUGUAUUGUUGUUUAUAUCCUGAAGAUUAUGGCAUUCUUAAAUGGGACUUGAUUGAUUGUUGGAUUGGCGAGGGAUUUUUUGGGGAAUCUGACAGGUCUGGUGCAGAAAACCAAGGAUAUGACAUUUUGGACACUCUUGUUCGUGCAUGUUUAUUAGAAGAGGUGGAAGAUGAUAAAGUAAAAAUGCAUGACGUUGUUCGUGAUAUGGCUGUAUGGAUAACCAGUGAAAUUGAGAAAGGGAAGAGAAACUUUUUGGUUCGUGCAGGUGCUGGAUUAAAAGAGGCACCGGAUGUUAAAGGAUGGGAAAAUGUGAGAAGAUUGUCAUUGAUGCAAAACCAAAUUGAAACUCUGUCCGAGGUUCCUACAUGCCCUCAUCUCCUCACUUUAUUUCUUGACUUUAAUGAGAAGUUGAAGAUGAUCACGGAUGGCUUCUUCCAAUUUAUGCCUUCUCUCAAAGUUUUGAAGAUUUCACACUGUGGUAGGAAUUGGAAAGAUUUGAAAUUACCUGUUGGGAUGUCAAAGUUGGGUUCACUAGAACUUCUUGAUAUUUCACAUACGCUGAUAACAGAGUUACCAGAAGAGUUAAAGUUGUUGGUAAAUCUGAAAUGUUUGAAUUUGAGGUCGACAGAAUUGUUAAUUAGAAUUCCACGGCAACUGGUAUCAAAUUCUUCAAGGUUACGUGUGUUGAGAAUGUUCGCUACUGGCUGGUUAAAUUUUCAUGAAGCACCAGAAGACAGCGUUUUAUUUGGUGGGGGUGAAGUUUUGAUACAGGAAUUGCUCGGUUUGAAAUAUUUAGAGGUAUUGGAGUUGACCUUGCGAAGUUAUCAUGCUCUCCAAAUUCUUUUGAGCUCAAAUAAGUUAAAAAGUUGUAUUCCAUCUCUUUUCCUCCAGUUGGCCGGAGAUACAACGUCGAUUAUUGAUGCUGCGGCUUUCGCAGAUCUAAACCACCUCAACGAUUUAUUUAUUUAUAAAGGCAUUCAGUUGGAAGAAUUGAAGAUUGAUUAUACAGAGAUAGUACAAAAAAGGCGGGAACCUUUUGUUUUCCGCAGCCUUCACCGUGUUUCUAUUGGGGGGUGCGAUAAAUUGAAAGAUGUGACAUUCCUCGUUUUUGCUCCAAACCUCAAGUCUCUUUGGCUAUUCGAUUGCGGUGCUAUGGAAGAAAUAAUCAGCGUCGGAAAAUUUGCUGAGACUCCUGAGAUGAUGGGACAUAUAAGCCCUUUUGAAAAUCUCCAAAGGCUUGAAUUAUGGGAUUUGCCAGCUUUGAAGAGCUUCUACUGGAAGCCAUUGCCUUUCACUCAUCUGAAAGAAAUGGUGGUACAUGGGUGUCAUCAGCUUAGAAAGCUUCCACUCGAUUCCAACAGAGCAAAAGAGCGUAAAUUUGUUAUUCGUGGAAAAGCAGACUGGUGGAACCGACUUCAAUGGGAGGAUGAAGCCACUCAAAUUGCUUUUCGUUCCUGUUUCCAACCUCGUUCCUGAGCGGUGGUCGCAAAAUUUGAUUUCUGGUGAGUGCAUUCGUCUUUUAAAAGAAGAAUUUAAAAGAAAUUUAUUCUUGUCGUUUUCUUCUCUGUUUUUAUUUCAGUUUCUUUCUCUCUCUCUCUCAAGGAUCUCUAAUCAAUAGCUGGAAGCAAUUGAGAGGCGCCGAGACCCGAUCGGAUCUAGGCCCAAGUUUGGUCUUAAAGCCUGGGCUUGAGCCUGACAAUUAAAUUAAAACAUUAAUUGAUUUAUUGAUUGAAUUGUUGUGUAAUUGAUUUAUGGGGGAUGAAACAUCAACAUACUUGAAAAUACACUAAUCUUAGCAUCAUCGGUUAAUAACUGUUAGAUUUAUGGGUAAUCGUAAUCAAUAGUUAAGAUUAGUUGUCAUUAAUACUAAAUAUUUUUUACUAUUUUUGUCUCUACUAGAGGAUCUUCUAGAAAAAUGCAUCCACAACAAAAUUUAAUAUUUUACAUAAUAAACAAAAUAUAAAUGUUAAAUUUAAGAAACUGCAUUGCAUUUCAGCUGAAGCUGACUUUAAUAUUUAGGGUAGAAAAACAAUUAAAUCCUUAAUGUGUUUAAUUUCUAUCACUUGUGUCAUUAAAAUUUUCUAGCCACCUUAACCAAUUACAUCUCAACCCACUUUUUUUGGAUGAUUUUAUUUUUACACAAUUAUUUUCAACAUAUCAUGAUGUAUUCGUCAAAAGCUGGAAAUGACUGUUGCCCGUCAAAAUUCACAUUUUUUCCUUAACGAUAAAGUUUUAAUAUAAUUUUGAAGUUAUAACGUCAUAAAUAUAUUGCAUAAUAAUAAGAAAAAGGACCUAAAUGGUAAAAGUGAUAAAUAAUAAGAUCGAAGUAUCAUUUUCCAAUGUUAAAUGAGGCAAUGCCAUUCUCCGGUUCUCUUCUUUAAAUGCGUGAUGUGUGUGCUCUGUUUUCUCUAUUAUUCUUUUUCUCUUUUAGAUUUUGAGAACGUAAAGGGUGCAGGAGUCUUUAUCUUGUUAAAACAAGUCUUUUCGAAGUAUUCAACUAAAUUAAAUCAUGGCCUAAUGCUGUGUCAAUUCCAUCAUCAGCAUUUUUUUUUUCCUUUUUAACACCAACAUCAGUGUAUGUUUGGAUAAUUUGAAAUCUGUUUGUGUUUUAUCUCAAAGUAGAGCUUCAAUCAAUUUGUACCUCACAAAUUCACAAUAUCUAUUAAGGAUAAUAAGACCGAACUCUGGCAUAUUGUCAAAUGUGCUUAUCCAAUUCCAAAUUAAAAUGUUGACAGUGUUUCAUCAACCAAGAACUUGUCUUCGAUAGUUAAUCGGAUUAAAGGGAAUAAUUAAUGAGAGCAAUUAAUUAAUAUUAGCCGGCAUCGUCUGUUUCAUAGGUACUCGUGGUUCACUAACAUAAGCGUUGAAUUUGUAUAGUAGCUUGUUCCUUUCCUUCGGUUUUACUUAAUGAAAACCUUGGCUAGAUCGUACACCAAUGUAAAAUCGAAAACCCUUAUGCCACGAAGAGUUCUUAGUGCAAUUGAGAUCAAUGAUAAUCAGCUGAUAGGGAAAACAUUGUCUGAUUGUCAUAAACAAACUUCUUGAAAAUGCCAUCAGUAACAUGGAAGAUUUGGAGGUUAUUCAAAUGCUGACUUCAGGAAUGCAGAUUAAUAUAUUAUGGAGACAGAUUGAGUGCAAUGGCUAAUUGUAACAGGGAAUUUUUAUUGUACAAACAGACCAGCCAGCAAAGAAUAUUCCAAAUCUAGGACUAAACAAGUCAAUAAUAAAAUAAACAAACGGCAAGAGAGAGUGAUUAUAUCUACAACACCAUCGGCUACUACAAAUUCAACUUUUCAACAGUUGUUACUCACCAUGAACAGAAAAAAGAAAAUUACAACAAAAAAUUGGUUGCUAAAAGACGUCUAUUCAUGGUAAUGCCUCUCAAAUGGGUUCAAAACAUGGAAGAAAAGCAUUUAGUGUGGCUUCAUCGUCCCAUUUCAGCUCACUCCACCAGUGUUGCAGGGGCUUAGUCAAAGUGGCUUUCAAGAAGUUUUAUUACCACCUCAGUUCAAAUCCUAAGAGAGGUAGGAGGAUAAAAGAAUUAAUUUGGACUUUACCUAGCCCUCUACCUUUGUUAAAUUUAUGUUAAAAAAAAAAAUAGAUUUGAGAUUGGUAAUAUCCUUAUUUUUUGUUUUCAAAGGAAACUGAUUUAGGACCAAUGAGACUUUGAUCCAAUGGGAGAAGCCUUUCACUUAUAAUGUUAAGUAUAAGGGUUCGAUCCUCCAUAAGAGCUUUAUGAAGGUUAAUUUCAGUACUUCCUUAGUUAUCAGUUAAUUGAGUGGAGACAGUCUCUCCCUUACGAAAUGUGAGUGGAGUAGGCACCCCUCGAAUAUUAGAGAAGGUUUAAAGUAUCUGAGCAAGUGCUUUAGUGGGUUAAUAUAUGGCGGUAGUUCCAGUUGUUUAGUAUGAUUGUAGUACGAUUGUAUAUAUUAAUUGUAAUAUCUAAUGUAAUAUCAAUAACAAUCUGUGCAUAACAGAAUUCAAAAAAAGAAAAGAAAAAAGAAAACUGAUUUAGGUGGUUUCUUGGUUAAGACUUUUUCUUUAGCAUACUUAGUUCCACGUGCUAUUUAGAUAUUUUUCGACAUACUUAUUACUUAGUUCCACAUGCUAUUUAGAUAUAUUUCGACCAAAUGAACAAGCGCAAGCCAUUGACACUUAGCUUAAUUUCAGGGUCAAGCUAUAUUUGAAACUCAAAUAUUAACCUAUUAAUAUUUUCAAUUCAUUCAAUUAUAAAUUAGAGAUGAUAGAAAUUCUCAUAGGAACAGGGGCCCUAGGGGAUUUUAGAGGAUUUUUCCCAUUCGGGAAGGGUAGGAGACAAUUUUAUAUCAAGUUUCUUAUUCCCAGAGACUAUAAUAUUUUUUUACCUAAUUUCUUAUUCAGGGAAGAUAUGGAGAUGAUGUGGACUUUCCAUCCCCUCCCAAUUCUCCAUUUUUAUUUUUAAUUUUUAUAUUAUUUUUCUAGAAUUAUUAGUGAAAAUAAUAAAAUUUAAAUUGUAAAAAUUUUAUUAAUGAAUAAAUAAAAAUAAAAAUUUUAGACACCUUUUUCCCAAACUUGUAGCUUGACUUGCAGUUCUUGGAGCAGUAGCCUCCAAGACAGUUUUUCAAUUUCUCGAGAGCCGUCCCUUGUCAAUUCACCAACUUCAGCUUCCACAGCCGCCACCCUUGAGGUGAUGUUUGGUUGGGAGGAGAGAAUGGGGGAGAGGAAAGUAAUUUAAAUUCUACUUUUAUUUUUAUUGUUUGGUUGCACGAAAUAUAUAAGAAUUUAAUUUCCAUUAGAAUUUAAUAUCCUUUAUAAUCUAGAAUUUGAAUUCCACACCAAAGAGUGAAGAAUUCAAAUUCCUCUUAGGUUGAAAACCCAAGUUUCCAAAUUUGUCCUUCAACAUUUUAACUUGUUUAAUGCUAUUAAUAAUUAUUAUUUAUAAUUUUAUUUUAUCAAUUUAAUAUUAUAAAUAAUUUAAUAUUAAUUAAAUUUAAUGAAUGAUUUAAGACAUUUAAUAAAAUAAAUAAACUUAUUUAUUUAUUUAAUAUGCAAAUAUAUAAAUAUAAAUUAACUAUCGCCGGAACUUCGCUGGACCGUCGCCGGAAGCUGUCGAAAUUUCACCGAAAAGUCACCAACCACUGUUGAUCGGCGUUGGCUUAUGUUGACCGCUACUGUUGACCGGCUUUUAUUUAUAUUAAAUUAUAUUAAAUAGUUUAGUAUAUUAAAUUAUUUUAUAUUUUAUAUUAAAUAUAAAUCAUGAAUUGUUUCAUAACUUUUUGAAAUUAAAAAAAAUUGGUAUUAAUAUUAAAUUAUAUUUUAUUACUAAUAUAGAUAAUUUAGUAUUUAAGGUAAAGGAUAAAUUUGUCCAAAGAAAAAAAUUAUAAUUUCUUUCCUUAUCAAAUUUGAUGUCAAACCAAACAUUGAAAUUUAAUUUUAUUAAUCUCUUCCACUCAUUUCUCCUCCAUUCCACUUUUUUCUUCUCCUCUCCUUUUUUAAAACCAAACACCACCUGAAAGCCAACCUUGCACUUUGUUCAGCCGUCUCAGUUGUUGCUGCUCAGGAUUGGCGACCCUCAUCAUCACAUCGUUCUUUGGUUCAAUUAAUUUCUGCAAUUCGGUCUGGAUGGCAACCAGGUUAUCUUCAAGCUGGCUUAAAUAUCAUGCUUUUCUGCGGGUACAAUUUAUGAAGCCAGUGAAAAUUACGCAUACAAUAGGAGUGCAACACAGUGUGUAUUCGGUUGUGGUGUCUAUGAUUUUGCAGUCGCAGAAGCUUAUUCACCUUAUGAAGACUGAUCAGGUGGGCACCGUCGCUCUCCUUACAUUCUUAUGGAGAGCGAUAGUCCAUGUAGUCAGAUCUCACUGAGAGAACUAGCCGAGUGGGCAAUCGCUCCGCCUGAUCAAAAUUUGUCAUCUUAUAAUAAUAUCUUGAGUAGGUCUUGAAUUUUUUUUCCAAUUUUAAUCUUUAAAAGGUAGAAGAGGUGAAAAAAACCUAAAUAGUAUUUGUGUCCUCCUAAAUAACAUUUCUUGAACAUCAAUGGAUCUUAAAACUUAAUUAAGAAAAUAUUAUAGAUUUAUAAAUUAGUGGCCCUUAAAAUUUAUUUGCAAGUAACAAUUAGAGAAAAGUCGUCAGGCCCAAAAGACUUAGAGCAUCACCAAAAGACUCUUCAAAUAAGAUUUUAUUAAUUAUUUGAAGAGCCAUCUCAAUAUUUAAGACUCCAAAAGACACUCCAAUUAAGAUUCUUCAAAUAAGAAAUAAUUCUCUCUCUUCAAAUUUGGAGAGUUGAUUUCUCCCUCUUCAAUUUAUACUUUAUUACUUUCCAUUGGAGAAAAAGAGAGAAGUGCUUUAAUUGCUAUUGACUUUUUCUUUAAAAAAAUAAUUAUUUGAUUAAAAUAAUAUUAAGUUAUUUCUAUUUGAAGAGUCUUUUGGAGAAUAUUAUUUUUUUUUACUCUUCUAUUUGCCACAUAGAUAAGCAAAUAGAUAUUUGAAGAGUAAAAUUUAUAGAGUCUUUUGGAGAUGCUCUUACUAAAAGUCGGCAACUCGUCAUGACCAAAAUUCUUCCGAGUGUGAAAUACGGCAUGCGCAGAUGCAUUAAAAACAAAAGCCAGCUAAGAUAUUCUUUGUAUACUUGCAUUCCCUAUCAUCUUAUUAAUAAUUUCAGACACGUCGUUCGUUCCCUGUGACUUUUCAUAUGCAACAGCACAGUCAGUGUUACAAUUUACAUUUCGAAUUGGGUGUCAUCUAUAUACUCUACCUAGAUCUAACAUGAUAUUGCAGUAUUGCACUGAUUUUUUUGUCGCAGCGUUUCUCUAUGAAUUCCUUAAACUUUAAACACAUCAUGGAAUAAUUAUUUUCUUAAAGACCAAAUUAACAUAAUUCUUAAAUCAUUUAUAAAACAACAUUUAUCAUAUAACAGAUCGUACACGAAUCAAUUUUCCUUGAACAGUAGCAAACAAACAAGAAUCUCAACCACAUCACGAGAUCGCCCACGUCAAACCAAGUAUUCUUAAUGAGUGGACCAGCUAAUAUAUUCAAAAUUGGAAUUAAUUGAGGAUAAUGAUUAGUGCUAAUACAUUUGCAAAGAAAAAUCAUGCCUAUUGAAAAACUCAUCUUAUUAGCAGCAGCGUUAUAAGUAGCAUCCAAUCAUAGUUUCACGCAAGAUUUUGAGAUUAUUCAAAUGCUGAUCCCGGGAAUGGAGAUUAAUAGAUAAUGGAGACAGGUUGACUGCAAUGGCUAAUUGUAAGAGGGAUUUUUAGCCGUAAAAACAGAUCAACUAGCAAAGCAAAUUCCAAAUCUUGGAAUGCAGUAGCAAAAAAACGAAACAAACAAAUGGCAAGAGGAAGUGACUAUACAACAAUAACAUCGACUUGCAAUUCAACAUUUAUACAGUUUUACACACCAAGAAAAGAAAAAAUUACAAUAGAAAUUUGGCCACUAAAAGAUGCUCGUUCAUGCUUAUGCCUGUCAUAUGGAUUUGAAACAUGGAGUAAAAGCAUUUAGAGUGGCCUCAUCCUUCCACUGCAGCUCAUUCCACCAGUAUUGCUCUCCCCUAAUAACAAGUUUUCGUUCCUUGGCGCUGUUGUAAUCGAGUGGAAGCUUCUUGAGAUUCGGGCAGCCAGAUACAAACAAUUCCAAGAGAUUUGGAAAGGGCAAUGCAUUCAAACAGAUCUUCUUCAGAUUUCUUACAACUUGCAACCGAAGAUAUUGGAGUUUCGAAAAAGUUUUUUGCACUGGAACUUCUGGAACUUCUUCCAAUUUCCAAACACUGAUUAUUUCUUCCAUCUCAUAACAACGUUCUACAUGGACCAUCUUGAGAUUUGGGGCAAAAACAAGCCAUGUCAUCUCCCUCAAUUUACUGCAAUAGUCUAUGGUAACACUUUGAAGGCUGUUGAAACCAUAAAGUUCUCUUGUUGUUUGAAUUUCUGCAUAGUCAACCUUUAGCUCUUCCAAACUUGUACAAUACACAAAAUCUAGUUUGUCAAGAUACUUGAGAUCUGCUAUGGACAAAAUAUUCCAUGACCUUGAAUCCUCACAGCGGCGAAGCUCUAAAGCAUAUUUACAACUCUUGUACUGUUGGCAGCUCAAAAGUCUUCGUAGAGCAUAAAAACUUCUUAACGUGACGCUUAAUACAUUUAAAUGUUCCAAAGUAAUCAACUCCUCUACCAAAAUUUCACUACCACCAAAUAGAACGCUAUCUUCUGGUACUGUAUUAGCAGAGCCACAAUCUAGCAUCCUCAACACCUUUAACCCAGAAAAAUUACAAAGCAGUUGCCGUGGAAUCGUAUGGAGAUAACGCAUGUACUCCAAGUUCAAACACUUUAGAUUUUUCAAGGCUUUUAAUUCAUGUGGCAACUCUUUGAUGAAAGUUUCUGAAAGAUUAAGAUAUUGUAGUGAAACCAAUUUUGAAAUUCCUGAAGGCAAUUGACUCAAGGAGCGAUUCUUUGAUAGGUUUAAAACUUUAAGAGAAGGCAUAAAAUCGAAGAAAUCACUAGGGAUAGUAUCUAACAUAUUAAUGCCGAGGAACAAAGUUAUAAGAUGAGGGCAUAUUGGAGUUAUUGGUAAAAUCACAAUUUUAUUUCUCAUCAACGAUAUCCUUCUCUUAUCUUCCCAUUGUUUAACUUCGGGUGGUUCAGUUAAUUCAAUACCGGCAGAAACCAAAAAGUUUUCAUUCUCCACUUCACAGGCUAUCCACAAGGUCAUAUCACGAAUCACAUCAUGCAGUUUUACAUAAUCUGAUCCUGCUUCUUCCAAUAGGCAUGCAUGAACAAGAACACCAAUAAUGUAGUAUCCUUGGUUAUGUACUCCAUUAAUUCCUUCAUAUUCCUUCAGAAAACCCUCACCAAUCCAACACCCUAUCAAUUCAAUUUUGCUAAUUUGAUAAUCCUCAGGAAAUAAACUACAGUAUAACAGACAAGAUCUAAGGACGUCACUAGACAAACUAUCAUAACUGAAUUUUAAAAGACGAAACACCUCUUUCUCCAUACCUGGAAAUUCAUAAGCUGAUCUCCUUAACAUCUGAAUUGCAUAGCUCCAUUCUUCGGGUGUCUUCUUGCUGCUCAUGGCACGACCGGUGGUAAUAAGUGCAAGUGGCAAACCACUACACUCCUUUGCCACAGUUUGGGCUAACUCCGGAAUAUCGGGAUGACUUUCAAGAGUCUCUUCUCCGACCUUCUUUAGGAACAAUUCCCAAGCAUCUUGAUCUGCCAAACACUCCACCUUGAACUUUUUUUGAGCUUCCAUGAGGCCACAGACGUCCACAAGACGAGUUGUAAAGACUAUCUUUGAUGCAUUUCUUGAACUCGCAGGAAAAGGGACACCCACUUUGGCUAAAUCAAUUCUUUCCCAUAUAUCAUCUAACAAUAGCAGAAAUUUCAUUUUGCUCAAUAAAUUGAAUAUGCCUGAUGCUUUCUCUUCAAAGCUUCUAUUCUGAAGCCAUCCUAUUCUUUCUCCGAUUUUCUGUUGUAUUCUCUCAAGUUGCAUGUCUUUUGACACCACCACCCAAAUCACAAUAUCAAAAUAAUUUGGUGUAUUAAGGAACCUGUUGUUGAUUUGGGUUAAUAGUGUAGUCUUGCCGACUCCCCCCAUGCCAUAAAGUCCGAUGAUUCCAAAUUGUCCUUCUACAAGACAUCUCCAAACUUUAUCAAAUGUUGAUUCUAGGCCGAUUAUUGUUGGCUGAAGAGGCCUUUCAUCCACUGCUGGUUGUGGUACCUUUUCAGCUACCACUGCAAAAGCUCCAUCAUCUAUUAAAGUAGCCACAAGCUGCAGCUUUUUAGACACCUUUUUCCCAAACUUGUAGCUUGACUUGCAGUUCUUGGAGCAGUAGCCUCCAAGACAUAGUUUUUCAAUUUCUUGAGAGCUGUCCCUUGUCAAUUCACCUACUUCAGCUUCCACAGCCUCCACCCUUGAAAGCCAACCUUGCACUCUGUUCAGCCGUCUUAGUUGUUGUUGCUCAGCAUUAGCGACCCUCAUCAUCGCAUCGUUCUUUGUUUCGAUUAGUUUCUGCAAUUCGGUCUGGACGGCAACCAGGUUAUUUUCAAGCUGGCUUAGAUAUGCUGCUUUUCUGCGGGUACAAUUUAUGAAGCCAGCGGAAAGGGCAUCACAUAUAAGUUGGAUUCCCAAAAUAUUACCCAUAGUUUGUAUGAGAUUCAGAGUACAAUAGAAGGAAUGCAACACAGUAUGUAUUCGGUUGUGGUGUUUAUGAUUUUACAGUCGCAGAAGCUUAUUCACCUUGUGAGGGCUGGUCAGGUGGGCACCAUCACUCUCCUUACGCUUUAUAGAGAGCGAUAGUCCAUGUGGUCAGAUCUCAUUCAGAUAACUAGCCAAGUGGGCAAUCGCUCCACCUUAUCAAAAUUCUUCAUCUUAUAAUAAUAUCAUGAGUAGGCCUUGAAUUUUUCUUUUAAUUUUAACAUUUAAAAGGUGGUGGUGAAAAAGUCUAAAUAGUAUUUUUGUCCUCGUACUUUAAUAACAUUUCUUGAAAGUCACUCGAUCUCAAAAUUUAAUUAAGAAGAUAUUAUAGAUUUAUAAGCCCUUAAAAUUUAUUUGCAAGUAAGCCCAUAAGACUUACUAAAAGUCGUCAACUCGUCAUGACCAAAAUUGAAAAUUCUUCCGCGUGUGAAAUACGGCAUGCACAGACGUAUUAAAAGCAAAGGCCAGCUAUGAUAUUCUUCGUAUACUUGCAUUCCCUAUCAUCUUAUUAAUAAUUUCAGACACGUAGUUCGUUGCUUGUGAUUUUUCAUAUGCAAAAGCACAGUCAGUGUUACAAUUUACAAUUACAAUUGGGUGCCAUCUAUAUACUCCUUCCUUGUUUUCAAAAUAUGUUGUAGGAUGGGUAAUUGUAACAAAAGUGAUUUUUAAAAAGAUUUAUUAUAAUAUUAAAAUUAACUUUUAAUUUUUUUAAAUUAUUUUUGAGCUUUCUGAAAAAAAAAUCCUAAACCGGUCUCAGAAGUAUAAUUAGAACCACGAAUUUAUAAAAUGAUCAAAGGAAUCCAUCGCCUAAUAUUAUAGUACGCAAUGGAUUGCUAUAAACUAAAUUGCUAUGAUCUCACUUCAUAAUAAUUUAUUUUCAAUCUCCAUCAUGGUAGAAAAAUUUCAUCAAUCAACAUACCCUACCACCACCCAAUAGUCGACCAUUUAUCAUCUUCUAUCCGUAAAAAAACGAAAAAAAAAAAAGAGAAAAGGAAAAAUUUAGUCCACAAAAGAAAAUAUCGCAAGACCAAACAGAGAGAGAAAAUAGAAAAAGCAAAGAGCUGUACUGAAUACCGGCGGUGAUGGCUCGGUACUUGACCAUUUAGGUUUGAUUCUGCAUUAACAUAAUAUUUUUUCUGCACUGCAUUCACAUCACAACCAUUGAAUAGUCGUGAUCUAUUUUUCUAAAGCGAAUAAUAUUAUCUUCUCGUGUCGGUGGCUUGAUCAUAUAACAAAAUAGACUAAUAAUGUUUCAAUAGACAUUUUGGUAAAUGGAAGAAGUUAUGAUCUGUCCAUUUUUAUGUUACUUUAUUUUAAUUUGUUAAUUACUAUUAAUAUCUUUGAGUGGGGCAGAAUCUUGACCUAAGAUAUAGGGAUGGCAAUGGGGCAUAUAUGGGUUGGAUUUACUCUGCUCCAUAUCCAAAUCCAUAAUAAAAAUUAAGAUCCGUAUCUGCUCCAGAUCCGUCAUGAAUCCAUAUUUUUCGGUCCAUAUUCAGAUCCAAAAAAGAAAUAAAUAUCUAUAUCUACUCCAAAUCUGAAAAAAAUUAAAAUCCAAAUCUGCUCUAAAUCUGUCAUGAAUUCUAAAAUUCAGUAAUAAAAAAUUAAUAAUUUUUUAGAUUGAAAAUUGAAGGCUAAAAUGUAUUGAUAACAAAUAAAUUAUAUAAUUUUUCUCAAAAAUAUAAUAAAUAUUGUAUCUUAUACUUUUUCACCAAAACAACAAAUAAGAAAGAUAAUAAAAUAUCAUUUAGAAGUAAUUGCAGGAGUAAGAUCAAUCUAAUAUUAUAUUGUCUCCUUCAUCAUUCUAAUAUCCACGAUACACCUACCCUCAUUCCUACAACAUUAGAUAAUGACAUAUAAAUUAAAUAUGAUUUAUAUUCAGUCCUUUAUUAUUUUUAUUAUGACCAUAUUUGACUAAAUAUAUGAAUAACUAUAUUUCUUAAAAAUUAUUUGGCCAAUAUAAUAAAAUAAAUUGCCAAGUUAUAUUACUUGGCUUACAAUUUAAAUAUUGCAUGUACAUGCUUUGGGGUUGGCUGGCCUUUAAAUUUACAAAACUAACUUUUAAGUUUUAAGAGUUUAAAUGCAUGGUAAAUACUACUAAUAUGCUAUGAAUAAAAUUUAUUAUCAUUAUAAUUCCACAAUUGUUAAGAAACUUUUAAAAUAAAAUAAAAUUAAAAGAUGAGUGGAUAUGGAUAUGGAUUUAGAUAUUAAGAUAGAUCCAAAUCUGCUCCAGAUCCGUCUUAGAUCCGCACAUCGAUAUCCAAAUCCGAUCCAAAUCUAUUUUAAACCGAUCCAAAUCCGAUCCGAUUGGAUUUGGAUCACGUGGAUCUUGGAUCAGAUCCAAUCCAUUGCCAUCCCUACUAAGAUAUGACUAGGCUCCACAUGUUAUAUAUUAAUUUGAUUAAGCCCAGCUAAUUGUUAAUUAUUAAUUUGAUUGCGGCUUUUUAUUUUACCCACAUUUUUUACGCGUGAAAUCUUUCUUAGUGAAAAACUACACGUAUUUGCAAAUAUUCGGAAUGGACAUUUUCGAAAAAACAAGUAAAAGAAAAUGACUAAAAAGUAAAAGAAAAUAGACACCCAAUUGUAAUUACGAGUACAAUAGAAGGAAUGCAACACAAUACCGAUUUUGCAGUCGCUGAAGCUUAUUCACCCUAUGAGGGCUGAUCAGGUGGGGGCCGUCGCUCUCCUUACACUCUUAUAGAGAGUUAUAGUCCAUGAUCUCAUUGAGAGAACCAGCCAAGUGGGCAAUCGCUCCACCUGAUCAAAAUUCUUCAUCUUAUAAUAAUACCUUGAGUAGGCCUUCAAUUUUUUUUUUCAAUUUUAAUCUUUAAAAGGUAGAAGAGGUGAAAAAGUUAAAUAAUAUUUUUGUCCUCCUAUAUAACAUUUUUUGAAAAUCACUCGUUCUUAAAACUUAAUUAAGAAAAUAUUAUAGAUUUUUAAGUUAGUGGCCCUUAAAAUUUAUUUGCAAGUAACAAUUAGAGAAAAGUCGUCAUGCCCAAAUGACUUACUAAAAGUCUGCAACUCGUCAUGACCAAACAUCUUCCGAGUGUCAAAUACGGCAUGCGCAGAUGCACUAAAAACAAAGGCCAGCUAUGAUAAUCUUUGUAGUAUUAAUAAUUUCAGACGCGUCGUUCGUUGCCUGUGACUUUUCAUAUGCAAAAGCGGAGUCAGUGUUACUUGCAUUCACUGUCACCUUAUUAAUAAUUUCAGACACAUCGUUGGUUGCCUGUGAUUUUCAUAUUCAAAAGCACAGUCAGAAUUACAAUUUACAUUUGGAAUUGAGUGCCAUCUAUUUAUUCCAGCUAAAUCUAAAAUGAUGUUGCAGUAUUGCACUGAUUUUUUAGUCACAGCGUUUCUCUAUGAAUUCCUUAAACUUUAGACCCAUCAUAGAAUAAUUAUUUUCUUAAAGACCAAAUUAACAUAAUUCUUAAAUCAUUUAUAAAACAACAUUUAUCAGAUAACAGAUUGUACAUGAAUAAAUUUACCUUGAACCGUAGCAAACAAACAAGAAUCUCAACAACAUCAAUAUCAUAAUCCCUUCUGACCUUAACAGUAAUUUUAUUCGUCCUUAAUUCAUAGGUAUAAGUAUCCCAAUAUAUACUUGAUGUCAACCUUUACAAUUCUUUACAGAAUUGCAGCAGACCAAAUUUGUAUGCAAAACUGAAAUCAUACAGUAAUUGAAUACAGUGAAAAUAGACAUGAUGGGAAUUAGUAUAUAUAAAUAUCUUAAUAAUUUAAAAGUUUCUUAAACUGAUUUUACAUAUCUGAAAAAUUAUAGAAAUCGGAACUGCUGCAGAAAUCAUAAUUUUCCAGCGAAUGUGUUACAACUUCAGAAACUCAUAAGAAAUUAAAUUCUUGGGAUCACAAAAUAAUUCAUCAAUUUAAGAGAUUCAGCAGUACUUUUAUUACAUCAAUUCUUCAAACAAUCACCAAUCUAACAUUCAUCAAAAUUAAGUCAUAAAAGUCAUGUGGUUUAUAAAAAGAAUUACCUGAAAAAGAUUAGCCUUCCCCUUUCAAAAGCAACGAGAAACUCCAAAAACUCUUCUUCCAUUGCCUAUUCAAACAUGAAAAAAAAAAAUUAGUAUCUCUUCUUUAAACGCGCGAUGAGUGUGCUCUGUUUUCUCUGUUCUUUUUCUUUUUUAGAUUUCGAAAACGUAAAGAGUGUUGGAGUCUUUAUUUUCUAAAAACAAGACUUUUCCAUGUAUUCAGUUAAAUUAAAUUAUGUCCUAAUGCUAUGUCAGUUCCAUCAUUAGCAUUUUUUUUUUCCUUUUAACACCAACAUUAGCGUAUGUUAAGUAUCAUAAUCCAUAGUUGGACAAUUUGAAAUCUCUUCGUGUAGUUGACUGGCAACAACUAUAUUGGCAUUUAGACAUAAUGUACUGCAACCAUAUUGACAUGUUCAAAUGUUCUCACUAUUGUAUUGGUGUGUCGAUAUUAUCUCUAUCAGUCCUAUAGAUCCAAAAAUAAUCUAAAUUUACAAUUUAACUUAAAAUAAAAUAAUUGGUAGAAAACAAUUAUGGUUCAUUUACUUAUCAGUAAUUAAAAUAGACUGAAAUUAGAAUGAGUUGUAUUGACGUUGAUGUGUUUCUGUUGUCCUCGAAUCGGAAUGAAUUAUUUUAACUUACUAAAAUACCCUUUGUUUGUUAUUCUAAUUAUUAUUAUUUAAUAUUUAUUAUAAUAUUUGUCAUAUUAUUAAAAAGAAAUAAUAAUGAUGAUAAUAUUAUCAUUAUUGUUUGUUAUAUUAUUAUUAUUCAAAAAAAUUGUUGUUAAUAACUAUAAUAACUUUAUUUCAAUAAUAAAAAUGAUAAAAUUAAUAAUAACAAACAUGACAACAACAAUAAUUAUUUAUUAUGCCAAAAAAUAACAAUAAUGAUAAGAAUAAUAAUCAUCAUCAUUUUUUUCCCAAAGAAGCAUUAUCAUCAUCAUUUCAAAAAAAAAAAUCAUCAUCAUCAGCAUUUUUGUAGUGGCUGCCUAUCGGCUGCUGCUUUCAUGUGAGAUUGACUUGCGACGCUUCAACUACUAUUAUUUCUGGCAAUGUCAGGUGUUGUUGUUUCAAUCUGGGGAGAAGCUGUUUCGGUGAGCUAACAAUGGGAGGUGUUGCUGCUCGAUGCGAGGUCCAUGGCCAGCUGUCUUGUUUUACACCCAGCUCUUGUAGGAAAUUAUUCAUCCACAAUAUUUCUUUGUAACCUUCAAUAAUUGUAAUAUCAUUUGCUUCCGUGGUAGAAAAGACAACUCAUUACUAAAGUCUAGAUUGCGAUGAGACUGCCUUCCCUACAAAAGUGAGCAAAUAUCCUCAUAGGAAUCUUUCAGAAUCAACAUCUCUUGCCAUAUCUGUUAAGAAUAACAUAUGCUGAGUCAGCUACUGAGUCAUCAAGCCACGCUGGAAGUCAGUUUUGCAGUUAGUUAGAGAGCUUAUCAGCUUCUCUCCAAAAGUUUGUUAUGUGUAUUAGAAUAUGUGCUCACGAGUUUUGUGAGUUUGUAACCUUGAAAAGAUUCUCACACUACUAUAAAUUGUAUUGUGACUCAAUUAAUAAAAGUUGUUGAAGCUUUGCAUUUUCUCUCAGUCAAAAUUUUCUCUCUAUUUUUCUAAGUAACCAAACAAAAUCUACAGAGCAUUUUGUAUUUUAACUUGGUAUCAGAGCUUGAAUCCAAUGGCCUUAAUCGGUUCCAAUCAACAGUCGAGCAACACUUCCAUAACUUCUUUCACCUUCACAAAUCCAAUUAAGCUUGAUCGUGCAAACUAUACGAUCUGGAAACAGCAAGUACUUUCUUCAAUUCGUGGCAAUGGUCUUGAAGGCUAUAUUGAUGGAUCAAGGAUCUGUCCUAGUCAAUUUCUUUCUCCAGAGGCUAGAUCUGAAGGUUCUUCUUCUUCUAACAUCGAAGGUCAAGAGAAUCCAGAGUAUGCAGCCUGGAGACGUCAAGAUCAGCUCCUGCUCAGCUGGAUUCUGUCGUCCAUGAAUGUAGAUAUUCUCAGUCUUGUGGUAAGCUCUAAGACUUCUUUUGAGUUGUGGAAAAAUCUAGAAAAACAAUUUGGAUAUGAAUUUAUGGCUAAGAAGGUUCAUCUGAAAAUGCUUUUGAGUAACCUGCGAAAAGGAUCUCUAACCAUGUCUGAGUAUUUUACAAAGCUUAAGUCAGUUACAGAUGGUCUUGCUUUAGUUGGUAGCCCUGUGCAUGAUUUGGAUUUAAUCACUCAUCUUAUUACUGGUCUAGAUCAGUCAUAUUAUCCUGUAGUAGUCUAUAUUGAGGCAAACAUGUUGAAAAUGGAUCUUAGUGAGGCUUAUGCUAUGCUUCUCACACAUGAGGCUAGACUUGAGAAUAAUAAGCUUCAUGAUAGUAAAGAAACCAAGAACAAUUAUGCAACAAAUGUAGCUCAGGUUGGAAAUUUUUCAAAGAAAGGUAAUAACAAUAAUCAAAACAACUGGAAGGAUGGAGGAAACAAUUGGAAUAAUAACUCUGGUGGAAGAGGUGGUUACCAAGGGUUCAAUCCAGGAAGAGGAAACUGGAAUAAUAAUAAUUUCAGAGGUGUUGCUGGUGGAUUUAACAGUGGAUUUCCUGGUCUCGUGGCUUCAAUAACAAUUAUGGCAGAGGUGGUUUCAACUCAGGCCAAAAUUUGGUGGUUGUUGAAGCCAACAAAAAUAAAUUCCUACUCUAAAUAAAUUGUGUAUAGUGAUUGAGCAGGGUCGUGUCCACAGAGAUCGGUAAUUAUUUAAAUCCUUUUGAAACGUAAAACGCAAAAUGGGGGAAUUGUUGACAAUAAUAAAAAUCAAAUUAAAGUAACAAGAAUGCAAAUUAAAGUUGUAAUUCAAAUUGGAGAAAGCUCUGGUUGAAGGAAUUAACUCAGCUUGAUUCGACUACUGAUCAUUGAUUCAAAUAUAGAUUAUUAUUACUCAUGAAUAGACCGGUUAUAGCUACUGAGACCCUCUAAUAGCCAAUCUCUCCUUAACUAGUCGAUAACCAAGGUACGACCGUUGGUUAUUUCCCUAAUCAAUAGACAACCCUAGAUACGAUCAUAGAAUUUAAUCAAUUGACAGCCUGAAAAACCAGAGAGACCCAAAUCCUAAUCAACACAUAUGAUGAUUCAUUUAAAUUAGAUUGUUUAUUCUCACAACACAACUCUCUGCUAUGUUAUUUGUCACAAGCAUUAAAUUCUUCAUACGAUGAAUCCUUUAAUUGACAAUAGAUUAAGUUGAUAAUUAAAUAGUGGCCAAUUACCUAAUUAACAAACAUAAUCAUGAAACUAAUUCAGAGAAUAAACAAAUACCCAAAAAGCAAUAAAACAAUUAAAGCACAAGAAAGAUCUCAUAGUAGUGAUGAAUCAAAGCUUCAUUAACCUUCAACCAGAAAAAUAAGUUUAGUUCUUCAUAGAGAGAAGAGAAAAAUUAAAUCUAGGGUUUCUUUCUUUUUUUUUUUUCCAAUCCAAAAAAUCCCCCUUUUUCACAAUAGAUUCCUCCCUUAAAUACUCUCUCUCUCUUCUCCUCUAGAAUUUUAUUUAAAAUAAAAUACUAAUAUCUGAAAUAUUAAAUUCGUAAUUACAAAAAUAACCAAAAAUACAAAACACGUUAAACUAAAAACUGCAGGUCCGCAGUUGACAGCACGCGCCCACGCCUUAUCAAUAAAGUUCUUCUGACGCUCAUAAUUUCUCCAAGAGAACAAUCAUCCUUAAACAUCAUCUUAUAGCUCAAUUUUAUCACCAACCAAUAGAAUUGCACCUACAAAAGUAAAUCACUAUUAUUAAGUGCAAAACAUCGAUAUUAAAAGAAGUAAACAAUGCAAAACUAGUGCAUAAAUUGCACUCUAACAGAGGUGCUGGAAAGAAUUUUGCUCAGGGAACUGGUGCUGCUUGUCAGAUAUGCUUCAGGUUUAAUCACACAGCAGCUGAUUGCAGAAACAGGUUCAACAGAAAUUUUAUCCCAAAUUUUCCAGCUCCAGCUCCAAAUUACUUCUCUAAUCAGCACCAAGGACCAAGAGCAGCCUUCAUAACAACAUCUGAAGGAGCUGCUGAUCAGGGAUGGUUUCUGGAUAGUGGUGCAACUCACCACUUAACCAACACAGUUCAGAAUCUGAGUGAUGGUAAGAUCUAUUUUGACUCAAACUUACUUACUGUUGGUAAUGGCCAAGGUUUUAGAAUUACUCACAUAGGUUAUACACAACUUCACACUUCUUUUGGCACCUGCUUACAACUACAGAAUAUUUUGUGUGUUCCUCAAAUUACCAAGAACCUCAUUAGUAUUUCCAAACUCCUCACUGAUAAUGAUAUAAUCAUUGAAUUUUUCUCUGAUGUUUGCUUUCUAAAGGACAAGGUGAAGGGCACUCUGUUGGCUUAGGGGAUUGCUAGAGAUGGCCUAUACAAGCUACUGUCAAAAAAGGAAUCUCUCUCUUCUUCCACUUCUGUUCUGCCAGUGUCUCAUCCUAGUUCUAUGAUGUCAACUCUUUCCUGCAAUAAUGUAAUUACUUCUGUUCAAAGUUCAAAUAAUGACUUCUGUUUUAAGUUUACAUUUCCUGUAAGCUUUCAAACUUCAAUUUCUGUGUCAGCAAAUAUAUUGCACAAUAGACUUGGUCAUCCAAGUAAGCAUGUCAUACAAACUAUUCUCAGAAACAAUUGUUUAAUGUCAGCCAAUGUUAAUAAAUCAAAUUUUCUUUUCUGUGAUGCCUGUCAACUUGGAAAGUUACAUCAAUUACACUUUCCCGCUACUAAAAUCAAAACAAAAUAUCCCUUAGAAUUAAUACACACAUACUUAUGGGGACCAGCUCCAGUUUUAUCACUAGAUGGUUAUAGAUACUAUAUUUCCUUUGUUGAUGACUUCACCCGAUAUUGUUGGAUCUUUCCCUUAGUUUUAAAAUCUGAUGCCCUUACUACUUUCAAAAACUUCAAGAGCUUAGUUGAGAAACAAUUCAAUCUGCCCAUCAGAAUUUUACAGUCUGAUAUGGGAGGUGAAUUCAAAGCUUUUCAGUCAUUUCUUCAACAAUAAGGUAUCCAAGCUAGAUUUAGUUGUCCCUAUACUCACCAUCAAAAUGGUGUUGUUGAGAGAAAACAUAGACACUUAGUAGAAACUGGAUUAACACUCCUUGCUCAAGCAAAAAUGCCUAUUUCUUUCUGGUGGGAGGCUUUCCAUACAACCUCUUAUCUCAUUAAUAGAAUGCCUACCACUACACUGAACAACUUAUCUCCCUAUCAAAAGCUUCAUAAUCAGCCACCAAACUAUCAACUUCUCAGAGUUUUUGGUUGUGCUUGCUAUCCUUUUCCCAGGCCUUAUAAUGACCACAAGCUUGAUUUUCAUUCCCAAAAAUGCUUGUUUUUAGGUUACAGCCCUCUUCACAAAGGAUAUAAGUGUCUAACAAAGUCAAGCAAAGUAUAUGUUGCUGUUCAUAUUAUUUUUAAUGAGUCUGAUUUUCCCUAUUCAGAGUUGUUCGCUUCAUCUGAAUCUUCUUCCAAUUCUCUGUCAUCAUACUCUCCAUCUAUUUGUAUCCUCAAUGACAGUGGCUUGCAUCAGUCAUCAGCUAUAUCUCCUGCUUUAGCAGAGUUACCAACUCACAUUCACCUCAACAUCCUCACCAAGCCCCACACUCUCCUUGUCCCUCUCCAGUCUCAAAUUCCUACGGCUCAUCAUCACCACAUUCUUCAUCACAUAAUGCUUUAGCCAAUCCCUCUGAUGAAUUACAACCAUCAUCUCAACCUGUCAUUUCAACUCAUCAGAUGGUUACUCGAGCCAAAUCUAGUAUUUUUAAACCAAAGACCUACCUUACAGCUACCGAAGACCUUGAACCAGUGAGUGUUAAAGCAGCCCUGAUUGAUACAAAGUGGAAAAUGGCUAUGCAAGAAGAGUAUAAUGCUUUGCAGAAGAAUGACACCUGGACAUUAGUUCCAGCUGAAACCGCUACAAAACUCGUUGGAAAUAAGUGGGUUUUUAGAGUUAAAUAUAACCCAGAUGGUAGCAUUUCCAAGUAUAAGGCUCGGUUGGUUGCAAAAGGUUUUCAUCAAACUUAUGGAGUAGAUUUCUUUGAAACCUUUAGUCUAGUUGUUAAACCCUACACUGUUCGUAUUGUUCUCAGCUUAGCAGUCAUGCAUUGUUGGCCAGUUCGGCAAUUGGAUGUUAACAAUGCCUUUCUUAAUGGCAUGCUUACUGAAAAUGUGUUUAUGCCUCAGCCAGAAGGCUUUAUCAGCUCUCAGUUUCUCAAUCAUGUCUGCAAAUUACAAAAAGCCAUUUAUGGUCUUAAGCAGGCUCCAAGGGCUUUGUAUGAUAGAUUGAAAGGGUCUUUAGUUCGGUGGGGUUUCAGAUCUUCAAAGUCAGAUACUUCACUGUUUUUCAAGCAUAUUGGCAAUAAUGUUCUCAUCAUCCUUGUUUAUGUAGAUGAUAUCCUGAUAACAGGCUCUAGUGCUGUUUAUAUUUCAGAGGUUAUCAGUCUACUUAGCUCAGAAUUUGCACUUAAAGAUUUAGGAGAUUUUAACUACUUUCUUGGGGUAGAAGUGACUCCAUCUGCUGAAGGAUUACAUCUAUCUCAAACUAAGUAUGUUGGUGACAUCUUAAGAAAAGCUCAUAUGCUUGAGAGUAAAGGCUGCAAUACACCUAUCAGUAUUGUUGAUAAGUUGCAGAAGGACAAAGGUUGCUCAUUUACAAAUCCCUCACUUUACAAAAGCAUCAUUGGUUCUCUGCAGUAUCUGACACUGACCAGACCAGAUAUCGCAUUCACUGUAAACAAAUUGAGUCAGUUUUUAGCUGCUCCAACUAUCUUGCAUUGGCAGGCUUGCAAGAGGGUAUUACGAUAUCUACAAAGCACAACACAUUUUGGACUGCAGUUCUUCAAGUCAGGUCCUCCAAGUCUCAUAGCAUAUUCUGAUGCAGAUUGGGGGUCUGAUCCAGAUGAUAGAAGAUCUGUUGGAGGGUAUUGUGUUUAUCUUGGAUCCAAUCUUGUGUCUUGGUCAUCUAAGAAACAGAACAUUGUUUCCAGGUCAUCUGCUGAAUCUGAGUAUAGAGCUUUGGCCUUAGCUACAUCUGAGGUUUUGUGGAUUACAUAUCUGUUGAAAGAGCUCAAAGUAUCACUUCCCAAACCUCUUGUUCUUUACUGUGACAACAACAGUGCAGAAGCUUUGGCUAGCAAUCCUAAGUAUCAUUCCAGAACUAAACAUAUAGAACUGGAUUUACAUUUUGUCAGAGAACACAUUGCCAACAAGGAUCUCUUCAUUGAACAUGUGUCUAGUUCUGAUAAGUUAGCUGAUGUGCUUACCAAACCUCUGAGUUUUGAUAAUUUUGCCUAUAUGCGAACUAAGCUCAAUGUCUGCCCACGACCUUGAGCUUACGGGGGCAUGUUAAGAAUAACAUAUGCUGAGUCAGCUGCUGAGUCAUCAAGCCACGCUGGAAGUCAGUUUUGCAGUUAGUUAGAGAGCUUAUCAGCUUCUCUCCAAAAGUUUGUUAUGUGUAUUAGAAUCUGUGCUCAUGAGUUUUGUGAGUUUGUAACCUUGAAAAGAUUCUCACACUACUAUAAAUUGUAUUGUGACUCAAUUAAUAAAAGUUGUUGAAGCGUUGCAUUUUCUCUCAGUCAAAAUUUUCUCUCUGUUUUUCUAAGUAACCAAACAAAAUCUACAGAGCAUUUUGUAUUUUAACUAUAUCUACACACUUAUAACACAAGUUUGUCACCACUAAAAUAUAAACAUGUUCUGUAAAUGCCUCUAAGAUAUCUGAGAAUUCAUUUCACUACUGUCCAGUGCUCUUUGUCCAGAUUGGAGAGAAACCGACUGACUACACUAACUGCGUAAACAAUACCUGGUCUUGUACAAAUCACGGCGUACACCAAACUGCCAACUGCUGAAGCAUAAGGAACUCCUCUCACGGAGAAAUGGGUUUUGCUCUUGAGAUCUUUGGGAACAUGAAGAAUAAAGAUGUAAUUUCUUGGACUGACAUUGUUUCGGGGUAUAUAAAUAGAGGACAAGUGGAUAUAGCUCGACAGUAUUUUGCUCAGAUACCAGAACGAGAUUAUGUCUUAUAGACUGCCAUGAUUGAUGGGUACCUUCGAGUGAAUAGGUUCAGAGAGGCUUUGACACUUUUCCGGGAGAUGCAAACUUCAAAUAUAAGGCCAGACGAGUUUACCAUUGUUAGGAUUCUUACAGUUUGUGCGAAUCUGGGGGCACUAGAACCGGGAGAAUGGAUAAAGACUUACAUUGACAAAAACAAGGUCAAGAAUGAUAUAUUUGUGGGGAAUGCUUUGAUAGACAUGUACUGUAAAUGCGGAGAUGUUGAGAAAGCUCAAAGGGUACUCAGGAAGAUGCUUCGAAAGGACAAAUUCACAUGGACGGCCAUGAUUGUUGGCCUUGCCAUCAGUGACCCAUUUCCUACGAUCAGACCGGAUAAGGUAACUUAUGUUGGUGUUCUGUCUGCCUGUACUCACAAUGGUAACGAAACUUUUGUGAUAAAUAGUUGCGACUUAAGGUGAGAAUUGGAGGAAACGAAAUAGACUGAAGUUGUUCAAUCAUCGGUGGUUGCUAUUUGAUUUUAAGUUGUUCAAUCAUCGGUCAUCUCUAUUUGGUUUUCUCCAAUAUCUCAUCUCCAGUUUUGACUCAGAUUCUGUCUUACCACUAGUAAUUAAAAGUGAGGAGGCAGCAGUCAAUGCUAUUUCGGCUUGGCCCAAAAUUUCACCAGUUUGUUAGUGUUCUGCAGCUCUUGCUGCUUUCCUAGAGAUUCUGCAUCUUUUGCAAUUUGAUUGAUUAAAAAAAAAAAAAUUAGUGGCCAUUUAGAAUGAAGGAGAGAUUUGUGUGAAUGGUAUAGGUGAAAAAUUGGAUGAAAAUAAACAGGCAACCGUCCGUAUAAAACAACAAUAACAAUAUACAAAAAGAUAAGUAGACACUUCUGUAAUUCACGAAAGGAAAUUUAUGGUUGUUUCUGAAAAACAUACAUAUUAAUUUCACUUAUACUCUAAGGUGGGAUAGAUGUCAACUAGCUAUGCUAAUGAUACCUUGCCAUCAUGACUGGACUUGUGAGGAAUUUGGAAACAUGUAUGAUGAUUGUUACUUACACAAUUGUAGAAAGAAAUGCUGAGGUGGCUUGAACCAGAUGGUGAAAUCGUCUAACACACUUAAUUGUUAGAUGUGUUUUGGAUAUUCACAGUUAGGUUGAAAUUUGUAGUUUUCACUUGAAAGAAUUCAGUUAAAAAUUGAUUGGUAGAAUUGUAAAAUAGUCUAAAUUUUUAGUUCAAACCCAUUGCAUAUUUAAGAACAUCUUAAAUGAAUUGCUUAUUGCUAUCAUCAUCAUUAUUGUCCAUAUAAUAAUAAUAAUAAUAAUAAUAAUAAUAAUAAUAAUAAUAAUAAUCAAUAGAAAUGUUAUCUUAUCCACUAUUUUAUAUAUGUUUCCACUAAAAUCUAUUUAAUUAUUCUUUAUUUUUUUUCAACUGUUGCAUGUUAGAUUUAUUCGAUUUCCUAAGUUAUAUCAAUAGAAAUGUUAUCUUAUCCAUAAAAAGUUAGAUCUAACAAUUAUGAAAAUUACUAUAGUGCUGCUUUGAAUAAUUUUUUAAAAAUACCACAAGUAAAUAAUAAUUAGUUUAAAUAGUGGAGACUAAAAAGCAUUCACCCUUAUUUUUUAUCUGUUAUUAGUUUUUUUUAAUCUGUUAUACAUUUGAAACAUUCCAUUAAUUGCCAAUUAUGUAAGCGAGAUAGUAAUUAAUUUUUUUUAUUUAAAAAAAGUGAAAAUUAAUCCUAUGCAAUGUGAAUAAAUUUCUUUCCUUUUUCCUUCACUCUUUUUAUUUGAUAAUUAAGUUUCAAUCUAUGUACGCAAAAUUUCUGCAACAGCUGCAAAACAUAAAAAUAUAUGAUUGUUAAGGGAAACACGCAGAAGUUCAUCACUUCAAUGUUCAGUAUUUCCAAUUUUGGCAUUAAGCUCUUACGAAUAUAUUCCACUUAGAAAGCAAAAUAUUAGAAUUGUGAUUUUAAUUCAUUCAUCAUAUCUCAUUUCAAUCCCAAAAUAUUCAAGUGGAUCCAAGUUACCAUAAGGCUUCAGAGGCUCGAGCCUUAGCCAGAGAUGGUUAAUUGAUAGACUAGGUAAGAGAAACCAAGGUUGAAGUAUGUAGAAAUGUUAUUUCAUUUAUUUUUAUUUAUGAUUUUUUGUAAAAUGUAAGAAAUAUGUAGAAAUGUUGCCAGCAAUGAUUUUGGAACUUUGCAUAAAAUUUUUAUCAUUAUUGUUUUUGGUAUUAAGAAAUCCGAGGCGGUGAUUAGACGUAUGUUGCAACAAUUAAGAAAUUUCUUAUUGGAGAUAAUUUGGUAGGUUGCAACAAUUAGAGAAUCAUUUUCCUGUCAGUUAAUCAAUCAAUAAUAAAUUUCAAAUUGCAGAAAAUAAAAUAAUACUGUCGCACUUAGAAUCAUCUUUUCUAUCUCUUUCAAUUGUGACAAUCAUUUGUAACAAAUAAAUCAAUUUGAUGCACAUCAUUUCCCCAAUUCAAAGUUCAAGUCACUGCUCAAUUGCAGAGUAGUUAGUAGACAUGCAUGCAUGUUUAAUUAAGUACUGCAUUGUAGUAUCGAAAAUCAUAACAUCUCACCAAGCCCGGAAGCAUAGCUCUUUAUCUUGUAAAUGUUGAAAUCUUAUGCAAACUAUGGGAACCAUGAGCUCACUCUCAGUGUCACUUGAUUCCAUUUUCUGUUCUUGCCUUGAUUUCGAUGUUGGGAAUGUGACGUCUGAGUCUAAGGUUGAAGAUAAUCUCGAUGCCUUGCGGACUGCAAUGGAAAUAAAAUAUUUGUGUGUUGAGAAAUGAUGAAAUGAUGCAAUGGAAAUAAAAUCUCAAUCUCUUGAGAAAUGAUGUGAUAAGAAGAGUUACUGUUGCUGAAGGACAACAUCAAAUGCAACGAAUGGAUCGAGUGCAGGGCUGGCUUUCAAGGGUAAAAUCUGUGGAAAAUAAAGCUGAUGAUUUGAUGAGACACAGCUCUCAAGAGAUUGAGAAGUUAUGCCUUGGAGGCUUCUGUUCCAGGAACUGCAAAUGAAGCUACAGCCGUGGGAUAGAAUUUGCAACAAUGCUACGAUUGUGGAGAGUUUAAUGGGUGAAGGAUCAUUUGAAUAGGUGGCUGAGAGGGUGCCAGAAGAUGCAGCAGAGGAGAUAAAUUGUGAGCCAACAAUAGUGGGCAUGUUGUCGACUUUUGAGAAAGCCUGGAGAUGCCUUGAAGAAGAAUCAGUUGGAAUUAUUGGCCUAUAUGUCAAUGGGGGAGUUGGAAAAUAUUUACUCAAAUCAACAACAAGUUCCUUGAUAGUCCAAAUAAUUUUGAUGUUGCGAUCUGGGUAAUGGUCUGCCAAGAUUUGCAACCCCAGAAGUUUCGGGAAAAGAUUGGGAAAAAGAAAGUCUUGUUCGAUGAGUACCGGAUUGAACUAUAUUAGAUUAUAUUUAAAUAAUAUUAAAUAGUAUUUAAGUUGGUAUUCUAAUAUAAAUAUCAAUUAUCCAUGAAAUUUUAUAAUCAUAAUUAAAAUAAAUUUAAAAAGCAAUUACUAGGAAAAUUAAAUAUAUUGCAAAAAGUUAUUGGGUAGUCAUAAUAUAAUAGGCAAAUAAAAUUAAAUAAAACAAAUUACAUAUUUAAUUAUAUUUAUCAAAUAUUUAAAAAUAUUAUAUAAAAUAUUAUAUAAAAUCAAUUAAUUAAUGAUAUUAUUAAUUUUCAUGAUUAUUUUUAAUAUUAUAUUACUGAUUAUUAAAUUUAAUACAAUCAAAUAAUGCAAUAAAUAAUUAAACAUUCAAUUUUAUUGAUUAAUUAUUAAAUAUACAAGUAAUGAAAAUUUUAUCUCAAGAGUUGGUAGAAGCGAAAGUACUAAUUUAAUUAGAUCAUAGAUAAUAAAUAAAAAUAAAUUUUAAGUAAAUCAUAAUAAAAAAUUAAUUAAUUAAUUCAAUCAAUCAAUAUUAGGUGUAAAUAAAAAAAUGAUAUAAAUAAAAAUCUCAUAAAUGUACAACUUUUAUCUUUAAUCUUAUCCUAAAAGAACAAAAAGCAGAAUAUAUAUUGAAGUGUUUUUCACACCUUUUCAUUAACUGGAAUGCAUGUAUUUAUAUACAUCAUUUGUAACUAAUAAAGAGAAAAUAAAGGAAACUAUACAUGAGAGUAUCAAGGAGAAUAAUGGAAGAGAUUGUUGUCCGUAACUUGUGGAGAGUAUCAUGGAGCUUGAGAUUAUCUGAUAUGCCCCCGCAAGAGGGUGUUGCCAUUGGCGACACCCAUCUUGAACCUUAAUUCAGAAAAUGGUCGCUUAGAGAGGGGCUUGGUUAGGCUAUCAGCAAGUUGAUCUGCUGUAGAUACAUAAGAUACGCGCAAUAGCCCUUUGUUGACCCAAUCACGAACAAAAUGAUAAGCAAGAUCAAUGUGUUUUACCCUUGAAUGAAAGACUGGAUUGCGACACAAAUAGGUAGUUCCAAUAUUAUCACAAUAGAUGGUAGGAGUUUGACUCAAUUGAAGGCCAAGUUCUUGAAGUAGAUUCUGAACCCAUCGAACUUCAGAGGCUGCAUUUGCGACAGCCAAGUACUCAGCUUCUGUUGUGGAACGAGCUAUUGAUUUUUGUUUGUUCGAGCGCCAUGAGAUAGGAUUGCCGCCUAGAUAAAGCAUAUAGGCUGAUGUAGAAGUAAUGAAAAUUUAAUCUCAAGAGUUGGUAGAAGCGAAAGUACUAAUUUAAUUAGAUCAUAGAUAAUAAAUAAAAAUAAAUUUUAAGUAAAUCAUAAUAAAAAAAUUAAUUAAUUGAUUCAUCAAUCAAUAUUAGGUGUAAAUAAAAAAAAUGAUACAAAUAAAAAUCUCAUAAAUGGACAACUUUUAUUUUUAAUCUUAUCCCAACUAAACACAUGUGUAAAUUAGGAUUAUUAAUUCCAUAAUUUUCGGAUUAAAUUCAAAUUUAUUCCCCCUUAAUCCAAUUCAACUAAACUUGUCAAACAUGGGAUAAAAAUUUAAUUAUAAAAUUAGUCCAAUUCCAUACUUAAUCCUAGCAUCCAAAUAUAGCUCAAGUUCUUUGCUUAAAGAAGCUACCAAAUUUGAAGAGCGUUUACGGGAAGGCCUUGCGUUUCCCAGAUGUAUGCAGAAUUUUUGUAUCUAAAUGCCCAGAACUUAAGAAGCUGACGCUGGAUUUUGAAAGGGCGGGCCAAGGUAAAAUUCUUAUCAAAUGAAAGGAAAAUCGAUGGAAACAACUUCAAUGGGAGGAUCAAGCAACUCAGGAUGCAUUGCUUCUGUUUUUCAAAUCAACUGACAAGUGAUUGAAGGGGGCAUCAUCAGCCUGGAUGGGGAGAUCCUGGAGCAGAUCAGCAGGGUUUGAAUCUGCAUCAUCAACAUCAUCAGGAUCUCUAUUUCUAUUGCUGGUCGUAAUGCCUGCCGACUGUUGCUUGAAAAAGUGAUUAAGUGAGCCAGUUUUUUGUUUAUUAAAUUUUGUUUUGUAGAGACAGUCACAAAGUAUUUUUCUUAGUUGUUCUAUAUGAGAGUGAUGUGAACCAAUUUUUCAAUUAUAUAUUCUGUGGGAAAUUGCAAGUAUUUUUAAAAUAUGAUCGUUAUUAAAGGAAACAAAGGAAUCAACACAGCAUACUGAACCUCAGCAGUAUGAAGCUAAUGAUUAAACUCCUCACACAAUUCAUAACAUGCAAAACCAUUCACAAAAUCAUCCACAGCAACCAUAAUUGGCGUCCAAUAGAAAUUUACAAGAAUUACUUUUCUGUUCAUGCAAUCGGCGUCUGAACGCGGCUGAUCGGUCACCGGUGUUGGCGUUUACUGUGAUUAGACAAAUUGUAGCACUUCAAAAAUAACUUCUAUAGGGGUAAUUUCGAUUUCACAUAAUUAAUUUUAUUUACAAUAUUUUAUUCCUGCAAGGUCAACUGAGAUUCUUUCCACCGGGCACACCCUUCAUGUUCUUUUAUUUUCUGUCUUUUAUUAGCCGUUGGAUUUUACUACUCUUAUAUCCAACGGCUUGCCACAACAAGACAAAUGAGGUGGUACCUUUCAACCGCUGAAAGGUAGUUUUGGCCCCAAGUGAAAGAGGGAAAUAGGGAAUUGAUGCUAUAUUUUAUAUUUUCUAUUUUACUACUCUUGUAUCCACCGGCCUUUCUUAUAUUUUAUUGCAAAUUGAUGCUAACAAGAAAAAGCUAGAUCAUAUUCCACAGAAAAGUGAGAAAACAACCAGAUGGAUUCUUUUAUUAAACUACAAAUUAAAAUGGUAUCACAAAUUCUCAUCAAUUUAUUUAAAUAUAUUCUUUUAACCCUCUUUUUAAUUUCACAAAUUCUCAUCAAUUUAUUUAAAUAUAUUCUUUUAACCGGAAACAAUUGAUAUCACUUAUUAAGAAUAACAAAAUUUACUAUUUAAAAAUGAAGAUCAAUAAAUUUUUAUCAAUCAUGAAAGUUAAUGAGUGUCAAGAAAUUAAUUUUUGCUAAACAUACAAGCUAAUAACUAUUAAAAAAAUCUUAUAUUAUAGAGAUCAUAUAUAUUAAGAAAGACCAAAAAAAAAAUUAAAAAAAUAGUUAAAUUCAGUGUAUAGUUUAUAGGAUGUGAGAGUGGUAAAAGAAUAUAUAAUUGUAAAAUAGAGAAAAAGAAAAAGAGAUUAGUAGAGAAUAAUUUUGAGAUUUUUUAAUUUUUAAUUUUUAAUAAUAAAUUUAUUUUAAAAAAUAGGUGUGGAGAAAAAUUUGAUGGGUUCAAGCAAUUCCACCUAAUUUUAUAUUAUCAAUACGCAAAUGAAAGUACAAAAAUACCUCUAAUAGAGUGAAAUAAAGAGUUCUCUAAUCUCUAGGGUUUCUCAUUCCAAUUUUGAAAUUUCCCUACUUUAUUUUGAAUUAACCCUCUUUGUUACCAUUGAAUUGUAACAUUCAAAAUUUGAAUAUGUUUUUACAAAUAGAAGAUUAUUGGGACAAAAACAAUAAGAAAUAGAAAACCUAGUUGAAAAAGGAUAUUACAAAAAAAGAAAUUGCCAUUACCAUUCAAACAUUUACACAGUAAAGGCAUUAACAGCAUAAGGCGGCAAUAAAACUUACUCAUAAUUAGGGGUGGCAAAAAAGUCCGAGCCGGCUUAGGCCCGGCCAAGCCCAGUCUAGAUCCGUGGACUUAAAGUCCGACCCGUAAGGAUGUGGGCUUAGAUAUAGACCUAAAAAUUACAAAACCCACAUAUAUUAGACCUAAACAAGAACUUAGCAAAAAAACCCAAACUUUCUAAAUUUAUGAAUAAAAAAUAAAUUUAAUUUAAAUAAAAAAAAUUAAAAUAUUAAAUUAAUUGAAUUUUUUAUAUUAAUAUUUAUUAUUUUAUUAAAUUAUAUUGUUAAUAUUUAAUGUAUUUGACUAUUAUUCUAUUUAUAUAUUAUAUUAUUAUUUUUAAUUUAAAUAUUUUUCUUAAUUUAAAAAAUUUUUAUAAUUAAUUUAAAAAGUUCAGGCCCAGCCCGAGUUCGGUCCAUCCAAAUUUAACGGAUUUUUGAAGAACCUGAACUUCGUUUGAAUGAUAUGGGUCCGGCCCAAGCCCGCAAAUUGCCAUCCCGUGAUAAUAACAAACAGAUAUGGCCCAGCCCGAGUUCGGUCCAUCCAAAUUUAACGGAUUUUUGAAGAACCUGAACUUCGUUUGAAUGAUAUGGGUCCGGCCCAAGCCCGCAAAUUGCCAUCCCGUGAUAAUAACAAACAGAUAUAGAUAGAUCGAUGGAUGGCAUUUUUUAAAUGUACCUUAAAAACCAAAACAAAAGCAAAAAUAUUAAAAUAUUACACCAACUGCUAACUAAUUAAUCUAAUAAAACGCCUCGCUUAAUCAUUUCCAGUCCACUAAACACGCUGAACGGAUUCCAGCCUCUGAAGUCUCAUCUCAUUGUUAAAUUCAUUGAUGAAAGCUUCAACUCGCCGAUUCAACUCAUCUUGACUCAUCGAUUCCUCCCUCCUCAGCGACGUUCUGUCACUGAACGUCUCAGAUUUCCUCAGCUCACGUUUCGCCCAAGCCGUCGGAUCAUUCUCAUCAUUAUCACUACCACAGGCGAUGGUGAUGAUGUGGAAGGUGGAAGAAGCGGCGAUGGUGAUGAUGAUGAUGAUGAUGAUGAUGAUGAUGAAGUUGACUAUGAUGUAAUUGUACGGCGGCGACAGCCAGAACCUCAAAGAAAUGAAGAGGCUAGGGAUUGUCGAUACCGUGAAACAAAUGUACGGGAUUAUUGCUACCUUAAACAGCAUGAAAGUUGAAACAAACCCGGCUGACAAAAAUAACAACUUUGCUACCCGCGUUACUGUCUCUAAUCUGCUUGAUUUUGGGUCGAAAUUUUGAAAAAGAUCCCCCAUUUUUCAAUUUUCACACACAAUAAAGAAGGAAAAAGAAAGGUAGCUAGAUUUUUUUUUUGUUUUUCAACAAGGGAAGAAAUAAGAAAAGAACAUUAAAAGGAUUUUUCAGGCUUUGAUGGUCAUUAAAAUGAGACCCAGGAAACCAUUGAAGCUAAAAAAAAAACGAGAAGCCAUGUAUUUAUAUAUGCUGCUUUGCUUUACAAAAUCUGACUGGCAUCAGGGUGAAAAAAAAGUGCCAUUUGUUGGUACAGAGAGACAGAGGAGAGUAGAGAGGCAGAUGCAGGGGCAGGGGCGAAGUCAAGGGACCAUUGAAUGGGCAAGCGAGGUUUCAAUUUAUGUAACGAGGGACGAUUAAAGUUCUUGCAACUUUCCUGCCGUCUGAUGAAAUCUUGACCGUUCGAUGGUACAAUAAUGGUUAUAAUGAUCUUGAAAGUGUUGGAGAGAUAAGUUUGUACAGAUUAUGUACGCUAAAUAAAAUCACAUUUAAAAUGGUUUUUGAUUUUAUUCUAUUACAGAUUACUUUUAUUAAAUAAAUGAAGGUACAUUGAGUGAGUGAGUGAGUGACUUCACGAUUUUGCACUAACGCCGCUGUGUUAUCCUCCGCGGCACUUGUCCUCAUCAUUUGUAAUUGAAAAGCUGAUUUAAGAUUUUAGAAUAGUGCCUUUUGGAAAAAAAAUAUAUAUAUAUAUCAACGGCCGAUUGAGAUUUCUUUUUUGAAGAUUUAAAAUUAAUUUUUUAAAAAAUUAAAAAUUAAUUUUAAUAUUUUAUAAGUUUUAAAAAAAUUAUUUUUAAUAAAAUCACUUCAUAGUAGAUUCCGGAAAGUAGAUAUCUAUGCUUUUUAAAUUUUAAUUUUAAGAAUUAAUUUUUUACUUAAUAUAAUCCUUGCAUAUAUUAUAAAAUUUUAAAAUCAUCUUCAUUAAUUACAAAAUAAGAUCAUUAAUUUUAAGGAGAUUAUAAUCAUUAUCAAUUAUAGGGAGAUUAAAUGCUUAAAGUGACAAGUGCAAAACUAUUUAAAAAUAGUCAGUAAAAGUAUAGGUGGGCAAUUAGUUCAAUUCUAUUUGAAUCAACUAAAUUAAAUUAUAUCGUGUUUCAUAAAUUUUUAAAGCAACUGAUUUUUUGUUUGGUUUAGAUAAAAAUUAAACUAAACCGAAAAAUCAAACGGUUCAAAGAAAAAAAAGUUAAAAACAAAUUUUAUAAACUGAUCGGUUUCCGUUAGAUUCAAUUCCAAAUCUAAACAAACCAAUCCAAAGUGAAAAUAAACAUUUUUGUUGAAUGCACUUUUAAUUUGUUUGGAUACGUCUCGACCCUCCAGUCUCUUGAUUAAAGUUCAUUUAUUAGGGUCCGCUUGUAAUACAGCGUCUGUAUCUCAUACAGUCAAAUUUAAUAUUUUAUUAAGAAAAAGGGCAACCGUUAGAUAGAAGUAGAUACAUCCAAUGGUUAAUAUCUGUGAUUACUCAUUUUGGUGACCGGAUAUGCCAAUUAUUAUUUCAUCAAUUAACUUACCUAAAAAAUCAUAGCCGUUGGAUUGAGAUGCCUCUCUCUCCCUCAAAAUAACAGCCUUCGUAUUCUCUCUGCUAUUGUUUUGUCCUACAUCUAGAAUUUUGGAUGAAUGAACUUGGUAUUCAAGAACAUUCACCACCCAUCACAGCAAAGAGCAAAGAUAUAGUCGAAGGAGUGCCAUUUAUUCAGGCUUACUUGAUCUGUCAGUCUCGCUUCAAUUCGUCACUCAUUUUCUUGCGCUCAGCUUCAAUCUAUCACUCUCAGCUUCAGUUCGUCACUCAUAGCUUCAAUUUUUUCACUGUCGUGAAUCAUCUCUCUUGCUGUAUCUCUCUCUUAUGUCUUCCAAUAAUUUCGGUGAGCUCUCUCUCUAAUUUAAUAUAUGAUUAAAAAUCUUAUCAUCUUAUCAUGUCAUUUAAAUAUGCUUGAAGUUUCAAUUUAGUUUAUGAAUAUUACUUGAAAUUUUAGAUUCAAUAAUUUUAGUUUUUUUUUUCUCUAUCAUCAAUCAUAUAUUUUUUCUUGCUCUUUAACUUCUUAUCUUCAACUAAAUGUGACCUUACAUUUAUUUAGUGUAUGAUCAAUUUUUAAAUGCACAAUAAGCAUUGCAAAGUUGGCGUUAUGCAAAGGCUAUCACAAUGUGAGCGUUCAAUUGGACAGAGUGUCAUGAUCAUACAUCCUUGAACCCAAUAUUUAUUCCAAUAACAAAUGUAGAUACGUAAACUACUUUUUUUUUUUAAAUAAAAAUAAAAAACUUCAAUGAAUCAAUCAAUUAUUUUCUGAAAUGUUAUGCGAAUUGUGAUUGUGAGAUUAAAAAAAAAUAUCCAUGCAAAUCAAAUUGUAACCGCCCUCUCAAGAUAAACCAAGUAACACAAAGCAUCAUUAACUCUUUCUUGUUUCAGCCACAGUACUAUUUUUUGCUUGAUGAGAAUAUAUUUAAAUAGUAUUUAAGUUGGUAUUUUAAUAUAAAUAUCAAUUAUCCAUGAAAUUUUAUAAUCAUAAUUAAAAUAAAUUUAAAAAGCAAUUACUAGGAAAAUUAAAUAUAUUGCAAAAAGUCAUUGGGUAGUCAUAAUAUAAUAAGCAAAACAAAUUAAAUAUUUAAUUAUUUUUAUCAAAUAUUUAAAAAUAUUAUAUAAAAUCAAUUAAUUAAUGGUAUUAUUAAUUUUCAUGAUUAUUUUUAAUAUUAUAUUAGUGAUUAUUAAAUUUAAUACAAUCAAAUAAUGGAAUAAAUAAUUAAAUGUUUAAUUUUAUUGAUUAAUUAUUAAAUAUACAAGUAAUGAAAAUUUAAUCUCAAGAGUUGGUAGAAGCGAAAGUACUAAUUUAAUUAGAUUAUAGAUAAUAAAUAUAAAUAAAUUUUAGGUAAAUCAUAAUAAAAAAAUUAAUUAAUUGAUUCAAUCAAUCAAUAUUAGGUGUAAAUAAAAAAAUACAAAUAAAAAUCUCAUAAAUGUACAAUUUUUAUUUUUAAUUUUAUUCAAACUAAAUACAUGUGCAAAUUAAGAUUAUUACAUCCUUGAACCCAAUAUUUAUUCCAAUAACAAAUGUAGAUACGUAAACUACUGGGAAGCAGCACACGUGUCCUGAAGAGAGAAAAAAAUCGAGCAAAUGCAGACAAUGGGAGUUGGCUAAAAGUUGGAUCUGCAAUUUACAAAAUCUGUAACUUAUUAGCCAGCUCCCAAAUUGUGUAGUCUUUUUUCAAAUUGUACAGACAUUUAUAAAUUGGUGGCCCCUUGAAAAUUUAAUGCCAAGCAGAUAAAAGUCAUCAAGCACAGUCCUCAAUAGUUGUUUCGUGUAUAUUUAUAAAUUGGUGGCCCCUACAUCUUUAAUAAUUGGGAUUGAAUUACGGUAUAAUUGUAGAAUCAUGUCUCAAUUACAUUCAAUUGUUAGAUAUAUUUACGUUGGUAAAAUUUACUGAUAUCUAAUAAUUAAACGUAACUAUAACACAAUAUUAUAAUUACACCACAAAUUUUCUCUAAUAAUUAUUCCGAUACUUAUAAAUUGGUGGCCCCUUAGUAAUUUAACAGCAGCCUGCAAGUGUCAACUAAUGAAAAGUCAUCAUUCACAAUCUUCCAAGUGAAACAGGAAAUAUACAAAAAUUAAAACAUGUCAUUCUUUUUUUUUCAUUCCCUGUCAUGUAACUUACACCCAAAUACAUAAAUAAUAUAAAAUGAAUGGAGAGAUGCCAGGAGCAGAUCAGCAGGGUUUGAAUAUGACCUUUGGCGCUUGCUUUUUUUUUUUUUUGUGAUUUUUUUUUCAUUUUUUCCUUCCUGUCAUUUUAUCAUUUCUUUGGCUUUGUCUCUAUUGCGGGUGUUACUGCAUGCUUACUGUUUCUUGACAAAGUUUGCUAGCUUUUCCUUUUGUUUAUUAAAUAUUUUUAUCGUCACAAAGUAUUACUCGUUCUAUUUGACAGUGAUGUAAAUUAAUUUUUCAAUUUUAUAUUUUAUCGUCGAUGUGAAUUCAAUUUCAUUUGUCAUCAUGCACAAUCCUCAAUAAUUGUUUCGAUAUUUAUAAAUUGGUGGCCCCUACGUCCUCAAUAAUUGUUCCGAUACUUAUAAAUUGGUGGCCCCUUAAUAAUUGGUGUUUGAGGAAUUAAAUAGAGCGAUCAUGAUCUUUUCCAAAUGAAAGUGAGCAAAUGGUUGAGCAGGUCACCUUGAUCAGGUGGUAUGAGUUUGAUCAAAUCACCUCGACCAGGUACAAUGAGGUUGAGCAGAUCAUCUUGAUCAGGUGGUGUGAGCUUGAGCAGAUGACCAUGUGGUAUGAGCUUGAGCAAAUCACAUCGACUAGGUGCUAUGAGGUGGAGCAGAUCACCUCGACUAGGUACUAUGAGGUGGAGCAGAUCACCUCGACCAGGUGCUAUGAGCUCGAGCAGAUCACUUCGACCAUGUGCUAUGAGCUUGACCAGAUCACCUCGACCAGGUGGUCUAAACUUGAGCAGAUCACCUCGGCCAAGUGAUGACUAGGAAUAAAGACUCAGUUAAAAUAAACCACCACAAAGCUCCUCCGAAAAAUCAGGGCACGAAUCUGAUUAAUCAAUGGUUAUUGUCACGAUCUAAGGUCGUGGGUGUGGGGUGUUUUAUAAAAAUCCCGAGAAAAUCACACCAAGGGAAGGCUCUUUUUCUCUGGAUCUGACGGAGAAAUCCUUUCUGGAUACUCUAUUUUACUUUUCUGCAAAUUAUUCAAAAAGCUUUUGGUUUUAAAAUAAUGUUUAUUUAGCCAUAUGAAAAAUGACAUAUUUGGUUUUUCCUGUAAACCCCAUAACUGACUUGAGCGUUGGAGGGUUUACGCCAGAAAAACUUCCGGCACCUCUGACCAUUCUCUGUAAUUUCAGGUACUUAUUGAUCGUCAGCUUGAAGAUUAUAUGCUCAUGAAUGUUCUGCUCAUAGUCAGAGAAUAUUCUGACUAUAUUAGCCAUGACAUUUUAGUAAUUUCAGGUACUAAAAAAAAAUUAAAAUUGUUGGCGUGAAAAGCACAAAUCCUAUUUUUUGACAAUUUUAUCUUUGUCAAUUUCAAAGAUUUACAAUAUCAUAGGUAAAGAUUAUAACUAUUUCAUCUUCAAGUUUUUAAUUUUAUAUUUUUUGUAGGAACUUUAAGAAAAUAUCAAUAAUUUAAAGAGAAUUUUUGAAAUUUUUAAUUUUAUCUUUCUUGUAGGAAUUUUAAGAAAAUAUCAAUAAUUUAAAGAAGGUAAAAUAACCAAUAAUUUUAUUUUUUUUUUAGUUAUUUCCGUUUAAAAACUGUUCUUUUAUUAGCCGUUGGAUUUUACUACUCUUAUAUCCAACGGCUUGCCACAACAAGACAAAUGAGGUGGCACCUUCCAACAGCUGAAAGGUCGUUUUGGCCCCAAGUGAAACAGGGGAUGCACUUACUAUUAAGGACAGUUGGUGGCCAGCUAAUGCACUCAUUUUAUGUCCUUUUAUCUUUUUGAAUUCCUGAAGACAAGUGCAUUCAUUUUGUGUCCUUUCAUCUUUUUGAAUUACUGAAGACAAGUGGCCAGCUAAUGCAUUCAUUUUUUGUCCUUUCGUCUUUUUGAAUUAUUGAAGACAAGUGGCUCAUCGCUUUUACUGUAGGUAAGAUCUUGAUAAUCUCGAUUAUCAAAAUAAUAAUAUUCAAAAUAUUUCUUAAUUUUAUUUAAAAGAUAAAAGAAAAAUAAGUUAUGCUGGUAAAUUUUUUUAUUUUUUUAAUAAAAAUAAAAUAAAUUGAUGUUUAUAAUUGUUUCAAAUACUUUAAAGAUUGUAAUUUUAUGAGAGAGUAAUAUUUCACAUUUUUAAUGUGAAAAGUUGAAAAGGGACAAAGCAAGUUUCUCUGUUUUUCUUUUUCUUUUUUUAAAUUUGGUCAUCUCAAAUACUUCACCCUUCAACACUACAAUAUUUUGGUUAUAUAUAUAUAUAUAUAUAUAUAUAUAUAUAUUUUACACAUGCAUAUGAAUUACUUUUCUUUUAAGCUCCUGAAUAUUUAAGACAAAUCAUGAAAGAGAUGAGAAUAUAAUAAGAUGAUCAAAAUAUGUAACAAAAUUUUUUUAGAAGUGAAACAUCGUUAGAGUUGAAGUAAAACUCUGAAAAUAGAGAUACUGAUUAAUUUAGAAGAGAUGCAAGCAAAAGAUAUGCCAAAAAAAAAAAAAAGCAAUAUGUCACUUUGGAGGGCAAACUUGUCAGUUUCACAAAAAUACAUGCUUUGUAUUGAUAGUUGUCACUAUGUAUUAGGGUGCGUUUGAAAUUAUAGUGCUGUACCUUUUAAACUACAGUUGUUGUAGAAAAAAAUAAAAAAUAAAAACUACACCUAAGAUUAAGGAAAAGUACUUCAAAACUCUCUUUUGAUCAUAAAACCUUUUGUCUUAAUUAACUUAAAGAUUUUGAAUCUAAUAUUUUAUAACAAAUAAAAAUAUAUUACCAAAAUAAAUAUAAUAAUAUCUAUUUUAAAAUAAUAUCAAUAUUUAAAAUAUGUUUUAAUAUUUGACGAUCUAUUAGACACAUUUUAUUAUGUUAAAGUAAAUUUUAUAAUAAAUACAAACAUACUAAUAAAAUGAAUAUAUACAACAUUUAGAGUAUUUUGAAUAUUAUAUAAAAUAAAUUUAAUACAAUGCAUGAGAUAUAUUUUAUUAAUUUAAAAUGCUAUUUAACCUAAAGAUUUAUUUAUGAAAAAUUAAUGAUUAUAUUUUUGAAAUUAUUUAAAAUAUUAAAAAAAUUAAUAUUAUUAAUCUAUCAGGUAGAUUAAAUUAUUUAUAUUAUUUUGCAUUUAUUAAAAAAUUUUAAAAUCAAUCUUUUUAAUUACUAUUCUAAGGAUAUAAUAAUAGAGGCAACUCCGUUGCGUCAUGGUUUUGGUACCCCGUCGUUUGUCUUUUAGCACAGUCAUCGUUGGAUUUUAUCUCACGGCUGCAGAAGAGACACAGAGACGCUAGGGAGCAACCUGACAAAAAGGUCAUGGGCCGGUAAGCUGCAGGGAAAAUAUUUAAAAUACAAAAUCUUCCCUUAAAUUUUUUUUAAUAUUUAACAUGUUAUAGUUUCUAAUCUCAUGAAUAGUAGAGGAUAAAGUUUUAUCUUAAAAAAAGUAAUCCCAAGGGUCUCCUUGGGAUGAAAUUUUGCCUCUAUUAGAAUUAAGUGGUGGGCUCAUUAUUGUUACUUUUAUUUUUUUUAUACCAAACAUGAUAUAGGAUUAUUUUAUACUAAAAUUAUCCAAUCCUAUGAUAUAUAACUAAAACUAAACAGGCACUUAGGGUAUAUAUGAGCCACGGUGGAGAAGCUUUAUUUAAUAUUAUUGAUUUAAAUAAUAUCUCAUUAAAAAUGUACUGAGAAGAAAUUUCGGUGGGUAUUUUAGUCAAUCACAUGAUCAGCCUUUGGACUUGAAACGUCGGUCAGAAUGAUUUAUUCUAACAAGAAAAAACUAGGUAAUAUUCCACAAAAGUAAAAGUGACAAAACAACCAGCUGGAUUCUUUUAGGAAAUUACAAAGAGUAAUGAUACAGUCAUAAAUUUUUAUAUAAAUUUAUUUUAUAUAAAUUGAUGUGGUAUUAAUUCAUUAGUUGAAUGAAAAUAUAAAUUAAUAAAAAUAAAUUAUAUGGACCAAGUAAUAUUUAAUUCAAUCAAUCUUAUUAUGUCACAUCAAUUUAUAUAAAAUAAAUUUAUAUUUGUAUUAUUACUCAACUAUAAAUUAAAAUAAAUUUUUUCGAUAAACUACAAAUUAAAGUGGAUUCUUUUGAAUGCAAGUGGGACAGACGAUAAGGCUAAAAAUUAGUCAAGAAUCGAAUAGUCUUUUUCAAAUUCUUGUUUUAUUAUUUUUCAAAACCAGUUUUUGGUAAUUACAAUCGGGUCAUUAAUCAUUAUUCAGAGUUAUUGUUUCCUUCAGAAGUUAGUGGCUCAUGUUUGCAAGUGUGAAUAUGCGAUGCUCUUUUUCGAAAGCGCAAUGACAGUGGGUCCCGAAUCGGACGUCCCUAAAUCUUUUUAAAAUUUUUGCCGUAUAACGAACAGAGGUCAUUACUAAAAUUUCUCUUCCACAGCCUACAGCAGCUUCAGUUUAUCAAACUCAAUCAAUUUUCUUUCUUAACAAAAUUCCAAAGAUGUGUAGCAUUUUUCAGAUCACAUGCGAUGGUGCUCUUUUCAAUCGUUGCUUGGAUUGCUUUCUUGGAAAAGCAGCAUACAUACGUAACCUCCAAGAUAAUCUUGUAGCCUUGGAGACUGAACUGGGAAGACUAAUCGCAGCAAAGAACGAUGUGAUGAUGAGGGUUGUCAAUGCUGAACGGCAACAAAUGAGAAGGCUGGACGGAGUGCAAGUGUGGGUUUCGAGGGUGGACGCUGUUAAAACUGGAGCCGAUGAACUUAUCACAGACGGCUCUGAAGAAAUUGGCAAAUUAUGUGUUGGAGGCUACUGUUCCAAGAACUGCAGGUCAAGCUACAAAUUCGGAAAACAAGUGGGUAAAAAGCUACAAGAUGUGAAGACUUUAAUCGCCGAGGGAGUUUUUGAGGCGGUGGCCACUGAGGUGGUGCCCGAGAGAGCUCCGGAACCUGUAGCAGAUAAAAGACCCACUGAGCCAACAAUAGUAGGCCUGCAAUCACAGCUUGAACCAGUUUGGAGAUGUCUUGUAGAAGAAUCAGUGGGAAUCAUUGGCCUAUAUGGUAUGGGCGGUUUUGGUAAAACCACACUAUUGACCCAUAUCAACAAUAAAUUUCUUGAGAGUCCCACAAACUUUGAUUGUGUGAUUUGGGUCGUAGUUUCAAAAGACCUGCGACUUGAAAAAAUUCAAGAAGAUAUUGGGAAGAAGAUAGGUCUAUCUGAUGAUUCAUGGAAGAAUAAAAGUUUUGAAGAGAAAGCUGUGGACAUCCUGCUGAGAUUAGGAGAGAAGAGAUUUGUAUUGUUGUUAGAUGAUUUAUGGGAGCGGGUUGAUUUAACAAAAGUGGGCGUUCCACUUCCCAGCGCACAAAAUACUACCUCAAAAGUCGUAUUCACAACCCGUUCCAUUGGUGUUUGUGGCAGCAUGAGAGCUAGGCCGGUUAAAGUGGCAUGCCUAUCAGAAAAGCAAGCUUGGGAACUGUUCCGCGAAAAUGUUGGGGAAGAAACUCUUGAGAGUGAUCAUGAGAUCGUUGAGCUAGCCCAAACUGUGGCCAAAGAGUGUGGUGGUUUGCCACUCGCACUUAUUACUAUUGGUCGAGCUAUGGCCUACAGAAAGAAAGCGGAGCAGUGGAGACGUGCAAUUGAAGAGUUAAGAAGAUCAGCUUCAGAGUUUGCAGGUUUGGGAAAAGAGGUGUAUCCUCUUUUAAAGUUUAGCUAUGAUAGUUUGCAGAAUGAGACAAUUAGAUCUUGUUUCUUGUAUUGUUGUUUAUAUCCUGAAGAUUAUGGCAUUCUUAAAUGGGACUUGAUUGAUUGUUGGAUUGGUGAGGGAUUUUUUGGGGAAUCUGACAGGUUUGGUGCAGAAAACCAAGGAUAUGACAUUUUGGACACUCUUGUUCGUGCAUGUUUAUUAGAAGAGGUGGAAGAUGAUGAAGUAAAAAUGCAUGACGUUGUUCGUGAUAUGGCUAUAUGGAUAACUUGUGAAAUUGAGAAGGAGAAGAGAAACUUUUUGGUUUGUGCAGGUGCGGGACUAAAGGAGGCACCGGAGGUUAAAAGAUGGGAAAAUGUGAGAAGAUUGUCACUGAUGCAAAACCAAAUUAAAACUCUGUCAGAGGUUCCCACAUGCCCUCAUCUCCAUACUUUAUUUCUUGACUUCAAUGACAAUUUGAAUAUGAUCGCGGAUGGCUUCUUCCAACUUAUGCCUUCUCUCAAAGUUUUGAAGAUGUCAAACUGCGUGAAUUUAACUUUGAAAUUACCUUUGGGGAUGUCAAAGUUAGGUUCACUAGAACUUCUUGAUGUUUCGAAUACCGGCAUAAGAGAGUUACCAGAAGAGUUAAAGUUGUUGGUAAAUCUGAAAUGUUUGACUUUGAGGUGGACAUUUGAGUUAAAUAAAAUUCCACGGCAACUAAUAUCAAAUUCUUCAAGGUUACGUGUGUUGAGAAUGUUGGGUACUGGCCUUUUGAAUUUUCAUGAAGCGUCAGAAGAAAGCGUUUUAUUUGGUGGGGGUGAAGUUUUGAUACAGGAAUUGCUCGGUUUGAAAUAUUUAGAGGUAUUGGAGUUGACCUUGCGAAGUUAUCAUGCUCUCCAAAUUCUUUUGAGCUCAAAUAAGUUAAAAAGUUGUAUUCGAUCUCUUUUCCUCCAGUUGGCCGGAGAUGCAACGUCGAUUGUUGAUGCUACGGCUUUCGCAGAUCUAAACCACCUCAAUGAAUUAUAUAUUAAUAAAGGUUUUGAGUUGGAAGAAUUGAAGAUUGAUUAUACGGAGAUAGUACGAAAAAGGCGGGAACCUUUUGUUUUCCGCAGCCUUCACCAUGUUACUAUAUGGCGGUGCGCUAAAUUGAAAGAUUCGACAUUCCUCGUUUUUGCUCCAAACCUCAAGUCUCUUGUGCUAGGUAAUUGCCAUGCUAUGGAAGAAAUAAUCAGCGUUGGAAAAUUUUCCGAGGUUCCUGAGAUCAUGGGACAUAUGAGCCCUUUUGAAAAUCUCCAAAGGCUUCAUGUAGAAGAUUUGCCAGAUUUGAAGAGCAUCCACUGGAAGCCAUUGCCUUUCACUCAUCUGAAAGAAAUGGGGGUAAGAGCAUGUGAUCAGCUUGAAAAGCUUCCACUCGAUUCCAGCAGUGCAAAAGAGCGUAAAUUUGUUAUUCGUGGAGAAGAAGACUGGUGGAACCGACUUCAAUGGGAGGAUGAAGCCACUCAAAUUGCUUUUCGUUCCUGUUUCCAACCUUAUUCCUGAGCCGUGGUCGCAAAAUUUGAUUUCUGGUGAGUGCGUUUUUGUUAACGCUUAUGUUUUAUUCCAGUGUAUUUUUCUUCUGUCUUCUGCAAAUCACAAUUAAAUGUGUGAUACAUGUUACGGGUAAUAUACAUGCAGUAUUUUUGGUACACUGCAAAUCACAAUUAAAUGUGUGAUACAUGUUUACGGGAAAUUUAUAGACAUGCAGUAUUUUUGGUGGGGUCGAAUUGAUGCUCUGGUUUUUUUUUGUUGUCAAAAUUUUCUCUGUUUUUUCAAAUUGAUGCUUUAUUUAUAUCUUCUUCGUGAAAAGUGAUUUAAUUUCCUGCCAAAAGACGAACGAGAAGAACAUUAGAGUCAAACUAAUGCUCACAUAAAUUUCCCGUAAGAAUAUAUAUAUAAUUAGACUGGAAUAGUAGCCCUCUUUACAGAAAAUGACGCGAAAGUUAAUUUAGAAAGAUAUAUUCUUGAUUAAUCCAUUUUCUGAAGCUUUUAUUUUGUAUGGUCAAUUAUACCUUCAUACUAAAAAUUUCUGAAUUUAUAAAUUAGUGCAACUUGACAAUUUUUACUGAUGAUAUCUUCUAUUUUUCCUUUCUUUCUUUUUUUUUUUUACUCUCAUUGAAUGUUACUGUCAUUUUACUUACAAAUAGGUUUGAAUUUUAUUUAGUUUUCUCAUAGUAUUUGUGCAAGUACUAGAAGGUCAAACCCCGCAUACUUUGAUUGCCAAACCACCGUCCAAUUUAAAAAAAGAAAAAAAGAAAAAAAAUGUGUAAUCCAUGAAUCUGGUUAAUUUUGUUUGUUUGUUUUUUUUUUUUUAAAUAUCAUUCUUUUUCGGCCACCCAAAAUAUCAUUGAUGACUUUUCUGGUCUAAUGCUAUGUAAAUAGUAUGUUAAGUAAAACAUAAUCAAUUAUUUGUGUUUUAUCUCUAAUUAGAACAUCAAUCAGUUCAGUACCUCACAAAUAAUUCGCAAUAUCUACAAAAUACUAUAAUGGCUACAAAACAAAUCCUGCUUGCAAAUUGUCAAGGAUACCUAUCCGUUCGCUUGACAAGUCAUUUGAAUAAAUAUUGUUCACAUUCCUUACUCUGUCAAUUAUCCAAAGCACCAUCAACUUUAGUUUGAAUAGUAUACAUGCCAUCACCAUUACCAAGAAUCAAGCAUGAAAGAGUCAUUCUAUAGAGUGCAGAACAUGACUCUAUGCGGUAGUCAAUUUGACACACGACGAACAACAUAUGCUGCAUAACAUACAAAUUAAUUUCCCAUAUGUGAUGCAAUUUUCUCCUCAACAUAUGCGCAAUUCUUUCCAUUCCGGCCGUUGAUUGAACCCUUUGGCAACAAGACGAGCUUUAAGCCUGUCAGCAGAACCGUUGGAAUGUCUUUUAAUACAAAAAUCCAUUUGCAGCCAACAAUAUUGGAAGGGAUGGGAGGUGGAACAAGCUUCCAUGUCCCGUUACGAACAAGAGCAUCAUACUCUUCUGACAUAGCUUGACGCCAGUGAGGAUUUUUGAUAGCUUGCGUCACAGUUGUAGGUUCACAAUCAGAAGAAGGGCUAAAAUGAGCACGGAGGUUAAGUUUUUGUAACGGCUUGUGAAUCUUAUUUUUAGCUCGGGUAGUCAUAUCAUGAUGAUUUGUGGGGCAAUGAUGUAGUGGAGUUUGGGAAGAUGAUUGAAGAGGAAGUGAAGAAGUGCUUUGUGUAGAGGUAGAAGUAGGUUGGGAGGAUUGCUGCGGAGAUGUUACCGGUAGAGAAGAAGGAGCAGUACACGGUGGCAACUCCAGAGGGCCCAUAGUGAAACACUUGCGUAAUUAGGAGUGGUAGAAGAGCUUGUAAUGAUUUGUAUGGAAAAACAAACUCUACAAAUUUAACGAGACGUGAAAUGAAAAUUUGAAAGGUGGAUGGGUCAAAACAUAAAUAAGCACUUUGAGAUAAAGGAAUAUCCUAUAAAAACACAAGGCUUAGAGGGUGGUUCGAGUUUAUAUGAUGAAACACAAACAUUCAAAAAUUUUAAGUUUAUAUUAAUUAGGAGUGGUACCAAAAAUUAAUUAGGAGUGGUCCGCGGGACAUGUAGCUAUGGGGUUGUUGGAUGUGUUUUGGAUAUUUACAGACAUGCUGAGUUUGAGUUUAUAUCUCAACUUAAAAUUUGUAGUUUUCACUUGAAAAAAUUCAGUUAAAAAUUGAUUGGUAGAAUUGUGAAAAAAGUUUAAAUUUUUAGUUCAACCCGAUUGCAUAUUUAAGAACAUCUCAAAUGAAUUGCUUACUGCUAUCAUCAUCAUUAUUGUCCAUAUAAUAAUGGAUCUUUAUUAUAUAUAUAUGUUUCCACUAAAAUAUAUUUAAUUAUUCUUUAUUUUUCCAUUGUUGCGUGUAAGAUUUAUUUGAGUUCUAAGUUAUAUCAAUACAAAUGUUAUCUUAUCCAUUAAAAGUUAGAUCCAACAAUUAUGAAAAUUACCAUAGAGUUGCUUUCAACUAUUUUUUAAAAAUACCAGGAGUAAAAAAUAAUUAGUUCAAAUGGUGGAGACUAAAAAGCGUUCACCUUUAUUUUUUAUCUGUUAUUUAUUUUUUUCAUUAAUGCACAUGCUAUACAUUUGAGACAUUCCAUUAAUUGCCAAUUAUGUAUGUGAGAUAGUAAUUUAAAUUAAAAAAAUAAAAGUGAAAGUUAAUCCUAUGCAAUGUGAAUAAAUUUCUUUCCUUUUUCCUUUACUCUUUUUAUUUGACAAUAAAGUUUCCAUCUAUCAUCUAUCAUCUAUGUACGCAAAAUUUCUGCAACAGGUACAAAACAUAAAAAUAUAUGAUUGUUAAGGGAAACGCGCAGGAGUUCAUCAUUUCAAUGUUCAGCAUUACCAAUUUUGGCAUUAAGCUGAAUAUAUUCCACUUAGAAAGCAAAAUAUUAGACUCGUGAUUUUAAUUCAUUCAUUAUCUCUCAUUUUAAUCCCAAAAUAUUCAAGAGCAUCCAAGUUACCAUAAGACUUCAGAGGCUCAAGCCUUAGCCAGAGAUGGUUAAUUGAUAGACUAUGUGCCUGGGUCGAGCACUGGAAGCCUGCAAUGCAGACUGAUUGAUUUAUCAGUUUAACGUGUGCCAGGAAUGAAGAACUGGAAUAUCACCGUCAAGCAAGCACCCUGUGGAGCAAUACCGAAGAAUGCACAAUCCAGCUUUGCUAGGUGACACUGGAGGCUUUUUGAAAAGUGCUUCACGCUCACUUGCACAGAUUGAGCAUCCCCUCUGGAUAUUGCCCUCUCUGAUCGAGUCUGAGCACUCAAAUUUUGGUCCUCAGAGGGAGCUACAGUUUCUCUCCACUAACCAACAAUUUUCUAAACUCAGCACCUAGUGUGAUCAGAGUUGUUGAUAUUUGCAAAUGGAGAUCCCCAUAUUUGCAAAUGGAGACAUUUAACAAAUCACCAACAUGCUUCAUCCGGUCCACGAAAUUCUGCAACUGAUUCAAAUCUGGAACCUGAACCAGAGUCGGAGGUAUAUCUUGAGCCAUAUCUAAAGCAGUUUGAAGUUCAAGACCUUGAGCCCUUGACAAUGGUUUUGAAAUUGGAACAUCUUGGAUUACUGCAGACUUGUACCCCUUGGUUUCAAAGGUAAGGAAAGGCAUUGCUUGAGUACAAUUUGGAGGCAGCUUCUUCACCAAUUUUAUUUGGAGGCGAUUGGUAGCGGAUCCAGCUGCACCAAUUUCAGAGCAACUACUGACACUACUUCGAACAGCACACUGAAGAAGUGAUAUGUCUACGGCGAAGGCAAUGCAGUCCUCAUUUUGGCUUGAGACACAGUAAUCAUCGUAGAGAGUUUCCUUGUGAAACUGGGCAACACAUUGAAUCCCUUCGCCACUGAGAAGGUUGUGGAGGAAGUAAGCUUUCUCUCUAGUGAGGAAGAGGUGGCAUACCUUCCCCAUUUUGUCUAGGGCAGGUAGGAAUCUUUUUUCUAAGAGAUUUACUUCAUUCUCUGUGAGAAAUGCUUUGAACUUCAUCCCUCUGUCUCUAUCCUCACUUAUCAGGAAAUAAGUUGAAAGCACUACGAAGAGAGAGAGAGAGAGAGAGAGAGAGAGAAUUAAGAUAUAUAGACAAGAAAAAUAUUAGAUGUUGAUCUUACAAACUAAUACUUCAAGCAGUAUCCUAGAAAGCUAAAAACUGCAAGAUGGCUUGAAAUUUGAGAAGAGCACGUGCUUUUCCUCCUUAACUUGAGAAAAUGUUUUAUAUAGUGCACCUUACAGAAGCAUUUAAGCAAUUAGAACUUUGCACAAAAACAUCAAGAAGACUAAACAAAUCAGAUGCAGUGCAUUUGUCCAAGCACAAAUUGCAUUUUGUCCUCAACUUUAAUAUUUAUUGAUGAGAAUCAAUACAGGUCCCUCAUUUGUUAUAGAAAGCUUUCUUGUAGUCUCACCAGUUAAUAUGGAUAUUAGAUAAGGAAACUUUAUUAGGUUGCGAGGGUAAAAAAGGAAAGAGAUAUCAUUAUUUUAUUAUCGAUAAUUAUUAAAUUUUUUUCCAAAAAAAAGAACAAGCAAUGAUAUUUUAUUGUCAAUUGCAACCUUUAAUUUUUUUAAAUGCUAUUAGAAACACAAGAUAACAAAGAAAUACUUAUUUUUUCCUAAAACUAAAAUCAAUUGUUUAACUUCUUAUUUCAUAAUCCAACUCCAUUACUAAGUUAAAAAAAAUUGUUUCAAAAUUACUUGAGUCAUAUUCAAUGGACCAACAAAGUAACCGUUUUUAUUUUUAUUGAUUUUUGCAGGAAAUUAAUAAGUUAAAAAUAAUGAAAGCUAUUGUAAAAAAAUUUAUUAUCAACCUCAUAAUUUUUUUUUUUUUGGGGAAGAGAAUUCAAACAUUUUUUUUUUUUAAUUUCCAAGAAUUCUUGACACCCAUCUUAAUUAAAAGCUAUAUUUUUAUUCAAGAGUCAUGCUAUUCAUUCACUCACAGACCAAAGGCUUUCCGCAGCAAUAUUAUUAUUUAAAUUACAACAAAGGGGAAAUCAAACACGUCAUACAGAAGCUUAAAGGUGAAUCUACAAAAUCUAGAGCUCUCAACUACAAAAAUUACACUUGAUGAUCCUCUACAAGAUGAAGGUUGUUCAAUAUCUUGAGAUUGCCUGCCUUCCUCGACGACCUGCACGAUGUGUUUGUACAAAUCAUCAUACCUGUGCACCGGAUUUUUAAUAUCAACGCCACUGCAGCUGUGAUCAAGAACAUAAGAGCAUUUAACAUCUUUUCUCCAUCGAGAAAGAAUGUAGUGAGAUGGGAUCUCCUGCAUGCCACUCUGGUUUAGAACACAAAGAAUGUGUCUGCAUAAAUAUCCUCUGAAAUUGAACAACCCACAAACACAAAGCACCUCCAAGUCGGAGGCAUUGUACAAAACAUCGAAAGCCCUUGAAUCUUUCUCGUUGCUACCAACCUUAAAUUCUUCCUUCACUAUGUAUGUUACAGGUCCAUCAGCACUGACAUGUUUUGUGCUAUAGCAAUACAUAGCCUCCACCUCCGUCUGAAACUUCCUUAACAUUUCAUUUGUGUACAGUUUUGAGAGUUGAAAUUCAUAGUAUCAUCUUGGUUUCUGGAUACAACUUGAAUUUCUUGAAUCCAUAUCUGCCAAGGCUACCAGUUGAUAAUUCGCCUGCAGUGCUUGAUCAUACUUGUCUAAGAAUUCUUUCAAAGGAGUAUUCUUAUCAAGAUAUCCUUCAAAGUAUGAAGUAGAAACCUCAUUCUGCAGGAACGAAAACACUCCUGAUAAAAAAGCUUCCUUCAAAUAAAUAGGAGCCCACCUUUUAUGAUCUUCAUAUAAAGUUUGAAUCUAUCCGUGAUCCUUUAUUCCAUGACAUUGAAUCAUGUCUUCCCAAGCUGCUUCAAAUUUCUCAGGCCUGAGAGAGUGAUAAAUUGCUCUAUGUAAUGCAGCUUUAAUAGCUUCAUAUUCAAACAAUCCUUGGAGUUUCUCUGGAAUUUUUUUGCAUGAUGCAUGACAAUGAAAAGCAAUGAUAAGCUCUUGGGAAAACAUCACCAACAGCAAUUUGCAAGAUUCUACAUUGGUCAGUGAUGAUUGUUUGUGGAGAGCUCCCUAACAUACAUGUAAGCCACGCCGUAAACAACCAUGUAUAUGAUUCUAUGGUCUCACUGGCAAGUAAAUCACAAGUCCACAACCCAACAACACUGAUUGUCCAUGAUGAUUCACCCCAAUGAAUGAAACCAGUGGUACAUCAUAUCUUUCAGUCAGGCACGUAGUAUCAAUUAAGACCACAUCACCAAAGUACCUAUAUGCAACUCUUGACCUGGUAUCAGUCCAGAAUAGGUUUCUCAAGCAUCCCUUUUCAUUUAGAUCCACUACAUUAAAAAAGUUUGGAUCUGUCAACUGCAAAUGACAAAAGAAACUCUGGACAGCUUGUGCAUCUCCUGGUUUAAGCUUCAAUUGAUUUGAGCUAUUAACAUUAUUUCCAAAUACUCCAUUAACAUCUACCAUUUCCCUUGGUAUCAAUGAUAAGAGUUCGAAACAGUUUAAUUUUUUGAACUUCUUCAGCACUAUCUAAAUGCAAUGUUCUUUUGGUUCCAAUACCUAUGUGCUUAUGUGACUUGUAAAACUUUCCGCUUCUUGGGCUUAACAAGUGGUUAUGCUCAAGCUCGACUUCAAUGAUUCUCCACCUUUUGGUUUCCAUCAACCUAAACUUUAUCAUUGCUGGACAGCCAGUUCUUGUUUCUGGUCUUGGGCGGUUUGCCUCGCUUUUCUUCUUGAAGCCUGCACUACUACAGCUCAGCUUUCCUCUAUACUUUUCUCUACUCUUUCGGUACCAUGGAUUGCUAACUCUAACACCAAAACCCUGUUCCUUGGCAUAGCAAUUGUAAAAGUAAUAUACAUCAUCAUACAUCUCAAACUCCAUUCCAACAGUAGGAGGCAAGGGAUUUUGGAUUAUCCCAGUUUGUCCAACAUAUUCAGUCAUCGCACAAUCUCCUACGACCUCAAAAUCAUCAGUGUCAUCAUCACCUACUGGUUCGGUGUUGAGAGAAACUUCAUCCAUCUACAAUGGAUGUUCAAUGAAGUGAGCUUUAAGGAGAAAAAGCAAAAUCAGUUCAAGGAAUGAUAAUAUAAUCAUACAGUUACUUUCACAAAGCUUCAUAUUUCAUCACUGCUUUACCAACAUGCAACUGCCAGAGAACAAACAGACAUGUCAUAGACGCUUGAAUUAAGUAUUGGUACAAAUGAGCACACAUCAUGUGGGACAAAAUUUCAGUCACUAAACCCAAUACCACUUUUUACAUCAUACCAAGGAACAGAUUAAACCCGACACCUUCUUUUAAACCAUACCAAGGAGCAGAUUAAAUCAUCAAUGAAAAAUUAAUCACAUAAUAACUUAACCAGACAAAUGAAGAGCCUGAAACAGCACAAAACUUGAAUCUGAUUAUGAUAAUUGUUGAGUCCUUGUAUCUACAGCUUUCCUUCAAUGAUAAGACAAUGAACAUAAACGAGACACAAAAAAAUUAUUUUAAACUGACAGCCCAUGAUAUAAAUCAAACAAAAUCAACUCCUUUUUUUACACAUUACAUCUCAUAUUCAUUUACAUUGAAACACAAAAAGGAAGCAGGAGUGGGAAAAAAACAACAGCAGAGGAACUUAUUUCCAUAAGGUUUACGAAAUAAGGAAUCUAUUAAAACCCAAAACUUGAGGUCACCACUAAGAAUUUGGUUCUCAUUAUUUUUUUCUUCAUUUUUCACCAAUUGAUGAACUUAAAAUACAAUCAUAAAUGAUAAAACCCCAUCUCCAUCUUUUUGAACUAGAGCUAAAGCAAAGCAUUUUAAGAUGUUUCAUCAUUUUUUAAAAAAAAAAAAAACUCAAUAGUACAAUGUUUUUCAAUGUUAAAUGCACAAUUCAAUCUUCUCCUAAUUUACUCUAAUAAUCUCUUAAUUAAGGAAGAUUAAGCUUCAGUUGUAAGCUAAAACAAAUUUCUUAAAUCAAGCCCCAAUGCUUUAUGCUAUUCAACAAGGGCUCAUAAAUGAUAAAACUACUUCUAUAAAGAUACCCAUUUUCUAAAUUAAUUUCACAAACUGAAAUCAAACUCCUGAAACGUAACGAGCAUUAAUAUAAUCAAGCCCGAACAAGAAUUGAUAAAUGAUACAUAAACUCGUUUACACAUUUCGACAGACACUUUGCAAUCAAUGAGCAAAAAAUUAAUGGAGAAGAUAAAAUUCAAACGAAACAUGCCUUACAUUGAUAAAUUAGAAGGGCAAAAGAAAUUUUAGUACGAUAUGGGAUCAGGGUCUUGCCACGGUGAUGUUAUUUGUGAAGUUCGAGCGACUCAGCAGCCUUCGAGGUUGAAAAUUUGAUUGACCAAAAGCUUCCCGUUCGUUGAUUCUCUAAUAGUAGAAACGAGACUGGCAGUAUACACAACAAGUUCGCCGAUUUUAAAUUCCGUUGUUUGAGAUGGAAAAUUUUUUGAAAAAAUUAAUGUGUUCGAUGAAAAUCAAAAUCUCAAAAACCUUUUGUUUUUCAUUUUUUUGGAAAAAACCAUUGAGAUCCUUACUAUUUUUUCUUAUAUCAUCUUGCUUAAUAAUUUGCAAAGUCUAUCGCAUAGCACCCAUGCAUGAUGUAUGCUGCGUUGUAAUUUACAAUAUUGUACAUGAAUAAAUCCAGCUAAUAUUUGUUAAAAGAAAAUAAUAAUAACAUGUUAAAACUUUAAAAUUUGAUUAUUAGAAGAAAUUUUAAUUUAGCUAAGUAGGUGACAUGAUAAUAAAUAGAUACGUAUAAUGUCCGAGAUUUUUUAUAAGAUUAAUAAAUAUGAUAAAUUUGGAUUAGUUCAAUUUUGACAUAAUUGCAAACAAUUUAAUUUGUGUUGUUUCUCUAAAAGUUUGAGACACAAAUGUUAUUUCAAAUUGAUAAAAGUACAAUUUAAUCCCACUUGCUCUUCAACUAAAAAUUAAACAUGCAAAUACACACACUAAUUUAAAGUCAUCUGUAUAAUUGAAACGCCAUGCACUAGUAGUAGGUCAGAGAAACCAAGGUUGAAAUGUGUAGAAAUGUUGAAACGCCAAUAAUAAUUGAAACGCCAUGCACUGUUCGUUUAUUUUUAUUCAUGAUUUUUUGUAAAACGUAAGAAAUGUGUAGAAAUGUUGCCAGCAAUGAUUUUGGAACUUUGCAUAAAAUUUUUAUCGUUAUUGUUUUUGGUAUUAAGAAAUCCGAGGCGGUGAUUAGACGUAUGUUGCAACAAUUAAGAAAUUUCUUAUUGGAGAUAAUUCGGUAGGUUGCAACAAUUAGAGAAUCAUUUUCCUGUCAGUUAAACGGUUCAUUUUCAGCCAUAACAUGCUAAAAAUGCUACACUUAACGGUUCAUUUUCAUGGAUUUUCUCGGGAAACAAACAGAAAAUUACGGUUUAGAGAGUUGACUGACGUUUUGGCUUUUGAAAUUGAGAAGAUCGCGCGCCAAAUUGGAAGAGGGAAAGUGAAAGUGCGAGUUUUAAUAUGGGCAUUAGAUAAGGAAAUUUUAUUAGGUUGCGAGGGUAAAAAAGGAAAGAGAUAUCAUUAUUUUAUUAUCGAUAAUUAUUAAAUUUUUUUCCAAAAAAAGAACAAGCAUGGAUAUUUUAUUGUCAUUUGCAACCUUUAAUUUUUUAAAUGCUAUUAGAAACACAAGACAACAAAGAAAUACUUAUUUUUUUCCUAAAACUAAAAUCAAUUGUUUAACUUCUUAUUUCAUAAUCCAACUCCAUUACUUCGUGCUGGUUUUUUCAGGUGAAUAACAGCUAAAAAUAAUUUUAAAAGCUGUUACCAAUUCUCAUGAACUGUUACAAUUAAAAAAAUCAAGCAUGCAUGGAUGGUUAAGUGUGUAGAGAGAACCUCCAUCCUUAUAAUUCUUACUUAUGCAUGGUUAAGUGUUUAUAUUUAAACACUAAUUUCUAGGCUUCUUUUUCCCAUGUGGGAUAAGCCUCAUUUCCUUUCAAAUUUCCAACUUCAAGGGUGAACUUUGAGAGACAAUUUCUCAUUCACCCAAGCACCAUUUUGAGAAAAUAAAAUUAUACUUUUGAAGUAUGAACGGAAUAGAAUCCGAAUCUCACAAUAUUUCCCACUUUAGUUAAAUAGGACCCACUCAAAAUGUGCUCUCAAAAUAACAUGUUAUGCUAUUUUUUCAACAAAAUUGUGGGCCAACAAUAGUGGGCAUGGUGUCGACUUUUGAGAAAGCCUGGAGAUGCGUUGAAGAAGAAUCAAUUGGAAUUAUUGGCCUAUAUGUCAAUGGGGGAGUUAGAAAAUAUUUACUCAAAUCAACAACAAGUUCCUUGAUAGUCCAAAUAAUUUUGAUGUUGCGAUCUGGGUAGUGGUCUGCCAAGAUUUGCAACCCCAGAAGUUUCGGGAAAAGAUUGGGAAAAAGAAAGGCUUCUUCGAUGAGUCAUGGAAGAUAUGAAGUUUUGAAGAGAAAGCACUCGACAUAUUCAAGAAUUUAAGCAAGAUGAAGUUUGUAUUACUGUUGGAUGAUAGAUGGGAGCAUGUUGAUUUAAUUAAAAUUGGUGUCCCUCUUCCAAGCAGAAAAAUUACAUUCAAGAUAGUCUUCACAACUCGUUCUAUUGACAUUUGUGGCCUCAUGGAAGCUCACAACAAGAUUAAAGUGGAGUGUUUAAAUGACAAAGAAGCAUGGGAAUUAUUCUGCAAGAAGGUUGGAGAAGAUGUGGCGACUCUGUCCAAGUGCUAAGGAGAUCAGCCUCUAGGUAUGUAAAAACAAGUAUAUCCUCUUUUGAAAUUCAGUUAUGAUAAUUUACCAAGCGAUAAAAUUAGAUCGAGUCUGUUAUACUGUAGUUUGUUUCCAGAAGACUUUCCAAUUAGCAAAAUGGAAUUGAUACUGAGAUACGAAAUCAAGGAUACUACAUUAUUGGUGUUCUUGUUCCUUUAUGUUUAUUGGAAGAAGAGGCUCCACUGUUUGUAAAAGUGCAUGAGGUGAUACGCGAUAUGCUUCUGUGGAUAGCUGUGAAGGUUUUUUUUUUUUUUUUUUUUUUUUUUUAUAGGGAUAGCAUGUGAAGUUGAGAAGGAGAGAGAGAAUUUUGCAAGGAUUAACUGAAGUACCAGACAUUUGGAAAUGGGAAGGGUUGAGAAGGGUGUCUUUGAUGAUCAACAAAACUGAGAAGGUAUCAGAAAUUCCUUCAUCUCACGAUCCACUAACUUUGUUGCUUCAACAUAAUUAUUUAGAGGUGAUCAAUAAUGACUUCUUCCAAUCUAUGCAUUCCCUUAGAGUUUUGAACUUAUCAUGUAAUCAUUCUCUAACUGAUAAUUUCAAAGUUAGUUUCCCUACAUACGAGAGUUGCCGAAUGAGUUAACGUUCGUAGUGAAUCUUAAGUUUUUGAAUGUGGAGUAUGCACGGUUUCUUCAUUCAAUUCCAGGGCAAGUGAUAUCCAGUUUUACGAUGUUACAAGUUUUGAAGAUGUUUGGUUGUGGCAGGUCAUCUUCUGAUCGUGAGCCACACCAGAAGAUAGCGUUUUAUUUGGAGGCAGUAAAUUUUUGAUUGCGGAGUUGUUUGGUUUGAGAGACAUUUAGAUGUGUUGACCAUCAUCCUAAGAAGCUCCCAUGCUCUGAAAAGAUUUUUGAGCUCCAACAAACUUCAAAGUUGUUGAUGCCGAAAUCCGGAUGAGUUGAUCGAAUCUCAGAUCCCUGCAUCAGCAUUGAAUUUGUUUGGUGGGAAGCUGAUGAUUAGUUAGCACCAUGAGCAGAUUUUCUAUGAGCAGAUGUUCUGUGAGCAGAUCAGAUGUUCUCCUCGUUCUACGACCAGGGUCUCUGCUCGAUCAACUUCACCACGACCAGGAUCUCUCCUCGUAAAGCUUCUUCUCCAGAGGUUCCUGCGCACACAGACAAGUCAGAGUACGCCGGUUGUUUUCCCGGCGCAAACCCUCCGACGCUCAAGUCAGAUAUGAAGGUUCGGGGAACGCUUGCCACAGAUCUUAUGGCUUUUGUGUAGUUUUCUUUAGAAUUGCUUUUAUCUCUCUUCUAAUCUCAAAAUUGCUAACCCUUUUACCUUCGUUGGCUACCUUUUUAUAGGCUUCCUCUCAAUCCCAGUUUUCCGCAGUCUAUGCCGUUAUCCCACGUUCUCCUUCAAUUUUCAUCCCUCCUUUUUCGGGUAGUGGCCUUUAAAUGCUUUUAAAUGCUACAUCAUGGGAAACGUGGGGUAUCGCAUCUCUCGUAACGGUUCUGGGAAGAAUGUAAACGCCAUAAUUCUGUGGGAUCGUGUUCCUGCUUUUCCAGGAGAUGGGUAUCAGCUCGGGAUACACCUUUUGUCAGUAUCCGUCUCUGAUCGGUUCAUGUUGCCCUCUGCUCUGCUCGUACAGUUACACUUGGCUGAGGUGAUUCAUGCCGGGGGUGAUUCAUGCCGAGGUGAAAACAGUACUAUGGCCGACCUGGUAUCAUUAUUGGCUCAACACCAGUCCCCCAGUUUCUGGUCUUGUGAGUGAAAUGAGUCAAGAGUAGAAACUGAUAUUCAAAUCUUACCAAUCCGGGGGCUUCUCCUCUGGUCUUUCAUCUAUCGGGAUGGUCCUGAGGUAUCAUUUUUCUUCAAGGGAGAUUUUGACCUGAGUAUGGAAUAGGAAGUCAUCUGCUCAAGUUUAGACCACGUGGUCGAGGUGAUCUGGUCAAGCUCAUAGCACAUGGUCGAGGUGAUCUGCUCCACCUCAUAGCACCUGGUCGAGGUGAUCUGCUCCACCUCAUAGCACAUGGUCGAGAUGAUCUGAUCCACCUCAUAGCACCUGGUCGAGGCGAUCUGCUGAAGCUCAUACCAUCUGGCCAAGGUGACCUGCUCAACCAUUUGCUCACUUUCACUUGGAGGAGAUCAUGGUCGCUCUAUUUAAUUCCUCAAACACCAGUCCCCCAGUUUCUAGUGUUGAGAGUGAAACAAAUCAAGACUGGAAACUUUAGUGGUCUGCUCGUCUUCGCUUGGUUGAGCAGAUCCUGGCACGCUUGGCUUCUGUCUCGCCAUAAAACAGGCUUUGAGACUUUGUCGAGCCUUUGCAUGCCUUCGAUUCUUCAAGGAUUGGGAUUCUGCUCGCCUUCUCGUGGCCGAGCAGAUCCUAGCACGCUUGGCUUCUGUCUCGCCAUAAAACAGGCUUUGAGACUUUGGUGAGCCUUUGCGUGCCUUUGAUUCUUCAAGGAUUGGGAUUCUACUCGCCUUCUCGUGGCCGAGCAGAUCCUGGCACGCUUGGCUUCUGUCUCGCCAUAAAACAGGCUUUGAGACUUUGGUGAGCCUUUGCGUGCCUUUGAUUCUUCAAGGAUUGGGAUUCUGCUCGCCUUCUCGUGGCCGGUGGCCGAGCAGAUCCUGGCACGCUUGGCUUCUGUCUCGCCAUAAAACAGGCUUUAAGACUUUGGUGAGCCUUUGCGUGCCUUUGAUUCUUCAAGGAUUGGGAUUCUGCUCGCCUUCUCGUGGCCGAGCAGAUCCUGGCACGCUUGGCUUCUGUCUCGCCAUAAAACAGGCUUUGAGACUUUGGUGAGCCUUUGCGUGCCUUUGAUUCUUCAAGGAUUGGGAUUCUGCUCGCCUUCUCGUGGCCGAGCAGAUCCUGGCACGCUUGGCUUCUGUCUCGCCAUAAAACAGGCUUUGAGACUUUGGUGAGCCUUUGCGUGCCUUUGAUUACUUCAAAGAUUGGGAUUCUGCUCGCCUUCUCGUGGUCGAGCAGAUCCUGGCACGCUUGGCUUCUGUCUCGCCAUAAAACAGGCUUUGAGACUUUGGUGAGCCUUUGCGUGCCUUUGAUUCUUCAAGAUUGGGAUUCUGCUCGCCUUCUCGUGGCCGAGCAGAUCCUGGCACGCUUGGCUUCUGUCUCGCCAUAAAACAGGCUUUGAGACUUUGGUGAGCCUUUGCGUGCCUUUGAUUCUUCAAGGAUUGGGAUUCUGCUCGCCUUCUCGUGGCGAGCAGAUCCUGGCACGCUUGGCUUCUGUCUCGCCAUAAAACAGGCUUUGAGACUUUGGUGAGCCUUUGCGUGCCUUUGAUUCUUCAAGGAUUGGGAUUCUGCUCGCCUUCUCGUGGCCGAGCAGAUCCUGGCACGCUUGGCUUCUGUCUCGCCAUAAAACAGGCUUUGAGACUUUGGUGAGCCUUUGCGUGCCUUUGAUUCUUCAAGGAUUGGGAUUCUGCUCGCCUUCUCGUGGCCGAGCAGAUCCUGGCACGCUUGGCUUCUGUCUCGCCAUAAAACAGGCUUUGAGACUUUGGUGAGCCUUUGCGUGCCUUUGAUUCUUCAAGGAUUGGGAUUCUGCUCGCCUUCUCGUGGCCGAGCAGAUCCUGGCACGCUUGGCUUCUGUCUCGCCAUAAAACAGGCUUUGAGACUUUGGUGAGCCUUUGCGUGCCUUUGAUUCUUCAAGGAUUGGGAUUCUGCUCGCCUUCUCGUGGCCGAGCAGAUCCUGGCACGCUUGGCUUCUGUCUCGCCAUAAAACAGGCUUUGAGACUUUGGUGAGCCUUUGCGUGCCUUUGAUUCUUCAAGGAUUGGGAUUCUGCUCGCCUUCUCGUGGCCGAGCAGAUCCUGGCACGCUUGGCUUCUGUCUCGCCAUAAAACAGGCUUUGAGACUUUGGUGAGCCUUUGCAUGCCUUUGGUAAUUUCUUCGAAACUUGGGAUUCUGCUCGCCUUCUCGUGGUCGAGCAGAUCCUGGCACGCGUGGCUUCUGUCUCGCCAUAAAACAGGCUUUGAGACUUUGGUGAGCCUUUGCGUGCCUUUGAUUCUUCAAGGAUUGGGAUUCUGCUCGCCUUCUCGUGGCCGAGCAGAUCCUGGCACGCUUGGCUUCUGUCUCGCCAUAAAACAGGCUUUGAGACUUUGGUGAGCCUUUGCAUGCCUUUGAUUCUUCAAGGAUUGGGAUUCUGCUCGCCUUCUCGUGGCCGAGCAGAUCCUGGCACGCUUGGCUUCUGUCUCGCCAUAAAACAGGCUUUGAGACUUUGGGGAGCCUUUGCGUGCCUUUGAUUCUUCAAGAAUUGGGAUUCUGCUCGCCUUCUCGUGGCCGAGCAGAUCCUGGCACGCUUGGCUUCUGUCUCGCCAUAAAACAGGCUUUGAGACUUUGGUGAGCCUUUGCGUGCCUUUGAUUCUUCAAGGAUUGGGAUUCUGCUCGCUUUCUCGUGGCCGAGCAGAUCCUGGCACGCUUGGCUUCUGUCUCGCCAUAAAACAGGCUUUGAGACUUUGGUGAGCCUUUGCGUGCCUUUGAUUCUUCAAGGAUUGGGAUUCUGCUCGCCUUCUCGUGGCCGAGCAGAUCCUGGCACGCUUGGCUUCUGUCUCGCCAUAAAACAGGCUUUGAGACUUUGGUGAGCCUUUGCGUGCCUUUGAUUCUUCAAGGAUUGGGAUUCUGCUCGCCUUCUCGUGGCCGAGCAGAUCCUGGCACGCUUGGCUUCUGUCUCGACAUAAAACAGGCUUUGAGACUUUGGUGAAUCUUUGCGUGCCUUUGAUUCUUCAAGGAUUGGGAUUCUGCUCGCCUUCUCGUGGCCGAGCAGAUCCUGGCACGCUUGGCUUCUGUCUCGCCAUAAAACAGGCUUUGAGACUUUGGUGAGCCUUUGCAUGCCUUUGGUAAUUUCUUCAAAACUUGGGAUUCUGCUCGCCUUCUCGUGGUCGAGCAGAUCCUGGCACGCGUGGCUUCUGUCUCGCCAUAAAACAGGCUUUGAGACUUUGGUGAGCCUUUGCGUGCCUUUGAUUCUUCAAGGAUUGGGAUUCUGCUCGCCUUCUCGUGGCCGAGCAGAUCCUGGCACGCUUGGCUUCUGUCUCGCCAUAAAACAGGCUUUGAGACUUUGGUGAGCCUUUGCAUGCCUUUGAUUCUUCAAGGAUUGGGAUUCUGCUCGCCUUCUCGUGGCCGAGCAGAUCCUGGCACGCUUGGCUUCUGUCUCGCCAUAAAACAGGCUUUGAGACUUUGAUGAGCCUUUGCGUGCCUUUGUAGUAAACUUUGACUGGUUUCUUAACUCUAGCCUAGCUCUCUUUUCUUAAAUCAUUCUCAUAUUGAGUAACUUUCAAGAAAUCAAGUUAACUAAGUUAAACAGUCAGCCCUAAUAUAAGCACAAUUAGUUGAAUGAAUAUAAGGCAUCCUCAUAUCACAUAGUAGGAUUUAGAGAAAUAAUUAAAUUUUCAUGAGAAAAUUGUUUGUAAAUAAAAAUUUAACUUCUGACCUGUUCUGAUUUCUGCAAACGUCUGCCUUCAUUGUGCUCUCAUUUAAGGGUUUUGCUACCUUGUUUAAGCACGCUCAUCCAUUUAUGUACUGUAACAUUCUGAUUUGCUUCGACUAGAUGAAAAUUGAUAGAAACAAAAAUUUGGCUUCUCGUACCGGUCCCCACAGACGGCGCCAAAUGUUGAUGCCGAAAUUCGGAUGAGUUGAUCGAAUCUCAGAUCCCUGCAUCAGCAUUGAAUUUGUUUGGUGGGAAGCUGAUGAUUAGUUAGCACCAUGAGCAGAUUUUCUAUGAGCAGAUGUUCUGUGAGCAGAUCAGAUGUUCACCUCGUUCUACGACCAGGGUCUCUGCUCGAUCAACUUCACCACGACCAGGAUCUCUCCUCGUAAAGCUUCUUCUCCAGAGGUUCCUGCGCACACAGACAAGUCAGAGUACGCCGGUUGUUUUCCCGGCGCAAACCCUCCGACGCUCAAGUCAGAUAUGAAGGUUCGGGGAACGCUUGCCACAGAUCUUAUGGCUUUUGUGUAGUUUUCUUUAGAAUUGCUUUUAUCUCUCUUCUAAUCUCAAAAUUGCUAACCCUUUUACCUUCGUUGGCUACCUUUUUAUAGGCUUCCUCUCAAUCCCAGUUUUCCGCAGUCUAUGCCGUUAUCCCACGUUCUCCUUCAAUUUUCAUCCCUCCUUUUUCGGGUAGUGGCCUUUAAAUGCUUUUAAAUGCUACAUCAUGGGAAACGUGGGGUAUCGCAUCUCUCGUAACGGUUCUGGGAAGAAUGUAAACGCCAUAAUUCUGUGGGAUCGUGUUCCCGCUUUUCCAGGAGAUGGGUAUCAGCUCGGGAUACACCUUUUGUCAGUAUCCGUCUCUGAUCGGUUCAUGUUGCCCUCUGCUCUGCUCGUACAGUUACACUUGGCUGAGGUGAUUCAUGCCGGGGGUGAUUCAUGCCGAGGUGAAAACAGUACUAUGGCCGACCUGGUAUCAUUAUUGGCUCAACAAAAGUUGUACCUGAUCUCUCUAUCCUAAAUGCUUUGAUUCGAAGUCAGUUGAUGUUUUUGGCUAGGCUGAUCUGAAGCAUCUCAAUAGGCUAUAGAUAUUGCGAGUUGUAAGCUUUUGGAAGAAGUGAAGAUUGACUUUGUUGGGAAAGCACAAUGAACCCAUGGUUUUCACAGCCUUAUGUCACGGAAGUUGUCUAAAUACUGCACGGGUUGCUGCGCAAAGUAACCAUCCUAUGACAUUGAGCCAUGUUGAAAUAUCAUUUUGCUGUAAACUGAGGGAUUUGACAUAGCUUGCUUUUGCUCCAGACCUUCUUGUUGUUUCCAGAAAAUGUUGCCAUGAUAUAGAGGAAAUACUCGGUGUUGGAAAAUUAGGUGAAGAGAUGACGUCAAAUCUGGAACCCCCUGCAAAACUCCAAGGUUACGUUUGGCAUAUAGGAUUGGAUUAAAUUGGGUUCUAUUUAUAUUUUUAUGUUUGGUACAGUUCCGGAUUGAACCAUAUUAGAUUAUAUUUAAAUAAUAUUGAAUAGUAUUUAAGUUGGUAUUUUAAUAUAAAUAUCAAUUAUCCAUGAAAUUUUAUAAUCAUAAUUAAAAUAAAUUUAAAAAGCAAUUACUAGGAAAAUUAAAUAUAUUGCAAAAAGUUAUUGGGUAGUCAUAAUAUAAUAAGCAAAUAAAAUUAAAUAAAACAAAUUAAAUAUUUAAUUAUUUUUAUCAAAUAUUUAAAAAUAUUAUAUAAAAUCAAUUCAUUAAUGGUAUUAUUAAUUUUCAUGAUUAUUUUUAAUAUUAUAUUAGUGAUUAUUAAAUUUAAUACAAUCAAAUAAUGUAAUAAAUAAUUACACGUUUAAUUUUAUCGAUUAAUUAUUAAAUAUACAAGUAAUGAAAAUUUAAUCUCAGGAGUUGGUAGACGCAAAAGUACUAAUUUAAUUAGAUCAUAGAUAAUAAAUAAAAUAAAUUUUAAGUAAAUCAUAAUAAAAAAAUUAAUUAAUUGAUUCAAUCAAUCAAUAUUAGGUGUAAAUAAAAAAAGAGUAACGAUAUAUCCACAAACUCUUACACAAACUCAUGUGUCAUGAUAAGAUUGAUUGAAUUAAAUAUCACUUGGCCCACAUAAUUUAUUUUUAUUAUUUUAUAUUUUCAUUCAACCAAUGAAUUAACGCCACAUCAGUUUGUACAAGAUAUGUUUGUACAGGAAUUUGUGGCUGUAUCAUCACUCAUAAAAAAAAGAUACAAAUAAACCUCUCAUAAAUGGACAACUUUUAUCUUUAAUCUUAUCCCAACUAAACACAUGUGUAAAUUAGGAUUAUUAAUCCCAUGAUUUUAGGAUUAAAUUCAAAUUUAUUCCCCCUUAAUCCAAUCCAACUAAACUUGUCAAACAUGGGAUAAAAGUUUAAUUCUAAAAGCAUCACUAAAAGGCUCUUCAAAUAAGAUUUUAUUACUUAUUUGAAGAGCCAUAUCAAUAUUUAACGCUCCAAAAGACACUUCAGUUAAGAUUCUUCAAACAAUAGAUGAUUCUCUCUUUUCAAAUUUCGAGAGUUGAUUUCUCCCUCUUCAAUUUGUAUUUUAUUAUUUUUCAUUGGAGAAAGAGAGAGAAGUGCUUUAAUUGCUAUUGACUUUUUCCUUAAAAAAAUAAUUAUUUGAUUAAAAUAAUAUUAAUUUAUUUCUAUUUAAAGAGUCUUUUAAAGAAUAAUAUAUUUUUUUAUUUUUUUUAUUUAUCACAUAGGUAAAUAAAUAAAUAUUUAAAAAAUAAAAUUAAUAGAGACUUUUGGAGAUACUCUAAAAUUAGUCCAAUCCCAUACUUAAUCCUAGCAUCCAAAUAUAGCCCAAGUUGUUUGCUUAAAGAAGCUACCAAAUUUGAAGAGCGUUUACGGGAAGGCCCUGCGUUUCCCAGAUGUAUGCAGAAUUUUUGUAUCUAAAUGGCCAGAACUUAAGAAGCUGACGCUGGAUUUUGAAAGGGCGGGCCAAGGUAAAAUUCUUAUCAAGGGAAAGGAAAAUCGGUGGAAACAACUUCAAUGGGAGGAUCAAGCAACUCAGGAUGCAUUGCUUCUGUUUUUCAAAUCAACUGACAAGUGAUUGAAGGGGGCAUCAUCAGCCUGGAUGGGGAGAUCCUGGAGCAGAUCAGCAGGGUUUGAAUCUGCAUCAUCAACAUCAUCAGGAUCUCUAUUUCUAUUGCUGGUCGUAAUGCCUGCCGACUGUUGCUUGAAAAAGUGAUUAAGUGAGCCAGUUUUUUGUUUAUUAAAUUUUGUCUUAAUUGGCGUCCAAUAGAAAUUUACAAGAAUUACUUUUCUGUUCAUGCAAUCGGCGUCUGAACGCGGCUGAUCGGUCACCGGUGUUGGCGUUUACUGUGAUUAGACAAAUUGUAGGACUUCAAAAAUAACUUCUAUAGGGGUAAUUUCGAUUUCACAUAAUUAAUUUUAUUUACAAUAUUUUAUUCCUGCAAGGUCAACUGAGAUUCUUUCCACCGGGCACACCCUUCAUGUUCUUUUAUUUUCUGUCUUUUAUUAGCCGUUGGGUUUUACUACUCUUAUAUCCAACGGCUUGCCACAACAAGACAAAUGAGGUGGUACCUUCCAACUGCUGAAAGGUGGUUUUGGCCCCGAGUGAAACAGGGGAUGCACUUACUAUUAAGGACAGUUGGUGGCCAGCUAAUGCAUUCAUUUUAUGUCCUUUCGUCUUUUUGAAUUAUUGAAGACAAGGGGCUCCUCGCUUUUACUGUAGGUAAGAUCCAGAUAAUCUCGAUUAUCAAAAUAAUUAUUUUAAAAUACCUUAAUUAUUUUUUUUUUUAUGUUGCGUUUAUUAAACUAGAAUAAAAAUGAGUUGAAAUCGGAAUGAGUAGGAACAAGAAUGAAAAUGAAAAUAAUGAAUGGGAAUCAAAAUAAGUUGUUUACUUGAACUAUAGAAAUCAAAAUCGUAAUGAGUUGAGUUACCAUUAAUGUGUUUAUUUUGUCUUGGAAUCAGAAUCGAAACAAAUUAGAUUGUAACAAAUUACUAAAAAGUACUUAAUGGAUUAUUGUUAUAAUUAUUAUUAUUAUUAAUUAAUUAAUUGUACAAAAUUUUAAUUAAUUAUAAUAACUAUAAUAAAAUUAUUAUAAAAAUAUAUUAACUAAUAAUAUUAAUAUAAAUUACUUAAUUAAAAUAAUAUAUUAAUUGUGAUUAUUUAUUCAAAAAAUAUAAUUAUUAAUAAUUAUUUUUAAUAAUAUAUUAAUUCAUAGUAAUAAUUAUAUAUAUAUAUAUAUAUUUAUUUAAUUGUAUUAAUUUUAUUUAUUUAUUAUUAAUAAUAAAUGAAUUAAUUAUUAUAAUUAUUGUUAAUAAUUAUUAUAAUAGUAUAUUAAUUAAUUAAUUACAAUAAUAAUAUAUUAAUUAAUGUGAUAUUUAUUUAGGAACAAUAAUUAUUAAUAUAUUAUUGUUAAUAAUAUAUUAAUUAUUGUGAUUAUUUAUUCAAGAACUAUAAUUUUUAAUAAUUAUAGUUAAUAAUUUAUUUAUUUAUUUAUUUAUUUAUUAAUCAUAAUAUAUUAAUUAAUUAAUUAUAAUAUUAUAUUAAUUAAUUAUAAAAGAGGAUAAAGUGGAUAUUUUUAAUUUUGGGAAGGGCAAAAUAGUUAAUCCUAGGAAUGAGAGACUCUUUCUCACCUCUGCAUGGGAAUCAAUCUCUCAUUCUCUAUUCUCAAAUAGUAGUAGACCCCAUCAUUUCGAUUCUAAUUCUUACUCCAUAUUUGUGAAGUAAACAUCAUCAAUCAUUCUGAUUCUGAAUUUUUGUGAAUGGAGAGAUGCCGGAGCAGAUCAGCAGGGUUUGAAUAUGACCUUUGGCGCUUGCUUUUUUUUGUGAUUUUUUUUUUUCAUUUUUUCCUUCUUGUCAUUUUAUCAUUUCUUUGGCUUUGUCUCUAUUGCGGGUGUUAUUGCAUGCUUACUGUUGCUUGACAAAGUUUGCUAGCUUUUCCUUUUGUUUAUUAAAUUUUUUAUGGUCACAAAGAAUUACUUGUUCUAUUUGAGAGUGAUAUGAAUCAAUUUUUCAAUUAUAUAUUUUGUGGUCAAUGUGAAUUCAAUUUCAUUUGUCUCCCGCAAUUAUGAAAAAAUUACAGUCAUAAUAUGGAAAAGUACACCGGCAAAAACUUUGUAAAAGCUUCGGAGUGAUACGGGGAAUUCACUUACUACUAAGGACAAUUGGUGGCAAGCUAUUCCAUUCAUUUUAUGUCCAUCCAUCUAUUUAGUUAUUGAAGAUAAGUGGUCCAUUUGUAAAUUUCAGAUUGUCUCUCUCUCCCUCUUGAAAUAACAAUAUUUAAUAUAUCUCUUAAAUUAUUAUAAAUUUUAAUUUACUCUCGAUUUAAAAUGGAGCAUGUCGAUAAAUUUUUUUUCUUCUUAAUAAAAUUGACGUAAGUUGUGUUUACAGUAGUUUGAAGUUUGAAAUAUUUUAAAGAUUAUUAUUCUAUAAGGGAGUAAUAUGAAAUGAAAUUUACUUUUCAUGUGUGAACUGAAAAAGGACGAAGCAAGUGUCCCUACUUUUAUUUUAUUUCAAGGAGGAGUCAUCUCACAUACUUAAGCUCUUAACAUUACAUUUUUUUUUGUUACAUUUUUUUUUUAAUUUUUUUUUUUACACAUGCGUGUGGGUUGCUUAUCUGUAAGCUCCUUAAUAUAUAUUUAACACAAAUCAUGAAAAAGAUGGGAUUAUAUCAAGAUGAUCAAAGCAUGUAAAAAAAGAAAAAAGAAAAAAAAAUUAAGAAGUAAGACACUGAAAAUGGAGAAGAGACGGAAGCAAAAGAUAUUCCAAAACAAAGCAAUAACAAAGCAAUCUAUCCCCUUUCGAGGGCAGACUCAACAGGUUUAAAAAAGUACAUGCUUUGGAUUGGUAGUUGCAAUCAAGGGAAAAUAAAUAGGAUCCAAUGAAAUUUAAAUCUUGGAGAAAAUAAAUAAUCAUGCAGAUUUUCAAGAUUUUAAUAAGGGAUACUAAUAUCUUAUUUUGAUUAAUAACAUUCUUUCACUGUGUUAACUCAAAAAAAAUAUUAUAAUGCUUUACAAUAAAUACAAAUGUCCUAUUAAAUGAAUAUAUAAAAAAUUUAGAAUAUUUAGAAUAUUAUAUAAAAUAAUUUUAAUAUAAUGCGUGAGAUAUAUUUUAUUAAUUUAAAAUGUCAUUUUACCUAAAAAAUAUGAUAAAUUAAUAAUUACAUGUUUGAAGUUAUUUCAAAUAUUAAAAAAAUUUAAUAUUAUUAGUCUUUUAGAUAGAUUAAAUUAUUUUUUAAAGAGAUAGAUUAAAUUAUUUUAAAAUACCUUAAUUGUUUUUACUUUAAACAUUACCGGCCUUUCUUUUAUUUUAUUGCAAAUUAAUGCUAACAAGAAAAAGCUAGAUCAUAUUCCGCAAAAGCAAAAGUGACAAACACAACCAGCUGGAAUCUUUUAUAAAACUACAAAUUAAAAUGGAUUUUUUUUUUGAUAAAUUACACAUGAAAGUGGAUUCUUUUGAAUAUAAGUGGGGUAGGCUCUUUUAUUUUAUUUUUGAAUAUUGUAUAACGGGACUGUAGACUCUUUUAUUAAACUACAAAUUGUAUAGUCUUUUUAAAAUUGUUAUGAAUUAGUGGCCCCUACAAUCCUCAACAAUUGUACCAAUAUUCACAAGUUGGUGGCCCCUACAAUUCUGUUCCGAUAAUUUAACUGUGCAAGUCCUCAUUCACAAUCUUCCAGGUCAUGCUCUCAAUAAUUGUUUUUUUUUUUUUUUUUUUUUUUUUUUUUCUGCAUUCCCUUUCAUGCUCUUAAUAAUUGAAGAGCAUACUUUUCAUUUUCAAAUGUGGAGCCGCAUCUAAUGUCGCUAAUUUAAUUUGGGAUUAAAUUAGGGGACCAUUAUAUUGCAGUGUGCACUAAUUUUUGUGUUUAUCUAAACUCUUUAAGUUUAAGACAUAUUAUGGCAUAAAUAAGAAUAUAACAAUAACAAAAGAGUUAGAAAGUGUAGAGAAGAUCUUGCAGAAAUAUAAAUAAUAUCUAUUUUAAAAUAAUUUUUAAUAUUUUAUGAUCCAUUAGAUAUAUUUUAUUAUAUUAAAAUAAAUUUUAUAAUAAAUAAAAACAUCCUAUUAAAAUGAAUAUAUAGAAAAUUUAGAGUAUUUUAAGUAUUAUAUAAAAUAAUUUUAAUAAAAUAUGUGAGAUAUUCAUAGUUUAUUAAUUUAAAAUACCAUUUUAAAAUUAAAGAUUUAUUUAUGAUAAAUUAAUAAUUAUAUUUUUGAAAUUACUUCAAAUAUUAAAAAAUUAAUAUUACUAAUCUAUUAGAUAGAUUAAAUUAUAUAUAUUAUUUUCUAUUUAUUAAAAAAUUAAAAUUAUUUUUAAUUACUAUUCAAAAAAUAUAAUGAUAAAAAAAAAUCUUAACAUCUUUAUUAAAAAUUUAAAAAUUUACAUGAUCAAUUCUCUAAAUAUUUAGGGUAUAUGUGAACAUCGGUGGAGAAGCUUUAUUUAAUAUUAUUGAUUUAAAUAAUAUGUCAAUUAAAAAUGCGCGGAGAAGAAAUUUCGGUGGGUAUUUUAGUCUUUUCAGCAAUUAUCAUGAUCAGAUCAGCCUUUAGCUUGAAACGUCGGUCAGAAAAGUUUUAAAAUUAAUGCUAACAAGAAAAAGCUAGGUCAUAUUCCACAAAAGCAAAAGUGACAAAACAACCAGCUGGUUUUUUUUACUAAACUACAAAUUAAAAGUGGAUUCUUUUGAAUACAAGUGGGACAGACGAUUAGGCUCUUUUUAUUAAACGCAAGUAAAAAGUAGUCGAAUAGUCUUUUUUCAAAUUAUUGUUUUAUUAUUUUUCCUUCAAAAGUUAGUGUGGCUCAUGUUUGCAGGUGCGAAUGUCAGAUCACAUGCGAUGGUGCUUUUUUCAAUCGUUGCUUGGAUUGCUUUCUUGGAAAAGCAGCAUACAUACGUAACCUCCAAGAUAAUCUUGAUGCCUUGGAGACUGAAUUGGGAAAUCUGAUCGCUAGAAAGAACGAUGUGAUGAGGAGGGUUGUCGAUGCUGAACGGCAACAAAUGAGAAGGCUGGACGGAGUGCAAGUGUGGGUUUCGAGGGUGGAUUCUGUUAAAACUGAAGCUGAUCAAUUUAUAAGAGACGGCUCUCGAGAAAUUGAAAAAUUAUGUGUUGGAGGCUACUGUUCCAAGAAUUGCAUGUCAAGCUACAAGUUCGGGAAAAAAGUGGCUAAAAAGCUACGGGAUGUGCGGACUUUAAUCAGUGAAGGAGUUUUUGAGGUGGUGGCUGACAGAGCUCCAGAGUCUGUAGCAGAUGAAAGACCUACUGAGCGAACAGUAGUAGGCUUGCAAUCACAACUUGAACAAGUCUGGAGAUGUCUUGUAGAAGAAUCAGCGGGAAUCAUUGGCCUAUAUGGCAUGGGCGGUGUUGGUAAAACUACACUACUGACCCAUAUCAACAAUAAAUUUCUCGAGAGUCCAACCAACUUUGAUUGUGUGAUUUGGGUUGUAGUUUCAAAAGACCUGCGACUCGAAAAAAUUCAAGAAGAUAUUGGGAAAAAGAUAGGUUUGGUUGGUGAUUCAUGGAAGAGUAAAAGUGUAGAGGAGAAAGCUGUCGACAUCUUCCGGAGUUUAAGAGAGAAGAGAUUUGUAUUGUUGUUAGAUGAUAUAUGGGAGCGGGUUGAUUUAACAAAGGUGGGCGUUCCACUUCCCGGACCAAAAAAUACUACCUCAAAAGUCGUAUUCACAACCCGUUUCAUCAAUGUUUGUGGUACCAUGGAAGUUGACAGGAAGUUUCAAUUAGCAUGCUUAUCAAAAAAGGAUGCUUGGGAACUGUUUCGAGAAAAAGUUGGGGAAGAAACUCUUCAGAGUCAUCAUGAUAUCGAUGAGCUAGCCCAAAUUGUGGUCAAAGAGUGUGGUGGUUUGCCGCUCGCACUUAUUACUAUUGGUCGAGCUAUGGCCUACAGAAAGAAAGCGGAGCAGUGGAGUCGUCCAAUUGAAGAGUUAAGGAGAUCAGCUUCAGAGUUUGCAGGUUUGGGAAAAAAAGUGUAUCCUCUUUUAAAAUUCAGCUAUGAUAGUUUACAGAAUGAUAGGGUUAGAUCUUGUUUCUUGUACUGUUGUUUAUAUCCUGAAGAUUAUGGCAUUCUUAAAUGGGACUUGAUUGAUUGUUGGUUUGGCGAGGGAUUUUUUGGGGAAUCUGACAGGUUUGGUGCAGAAAACCAAGGAUAUGACAUUUUGGACACUCUUGUUCGUGCAUGUUUAUUAGAAGAGGUGGAAGAUGAUGAAGUUAAAAUGCAUGACGUUAUUCGUGAUAUGGCUCUAUGGAUAACUUGUGAAAUUGAGAAGGAGAAGAGAAACUUUUUGGUUCGUGCAGGUGCUGGAUUAAAAGAGGUACCGGGUGUUAAAGGAUGGGAAAAUGUGAGAAGAUUGUCAUUGAUGCAAAACCAAAUUGAAACUCUGUCAGAGGUUCCCACAUGCCCUCAUCUCCUCACUUUAUUUCUUGACUUUAAUCAGGAGUUGGAGAUGAUCGCGGAUGGCUUCUUCCAACUUAUGCCUUCUCUCAAAGUUUUGAAGAUGUCAAACUGUUCGAAUUUGAAAUUACCUGUUGGGAUGUCAGAGUUGGGUUCAUCACUAGAACUUCUCGAUAUUUCAGAAAACAGCAUAACAGAGUUACCGGAAGAGUUAAAGAAGUUGGCAAAUCUGAAAUGUUUGAAUUUGGGGUGGACAAGGGAGUUAAAUAAAAUUCCACGGCAACUAAUAUCAAAUUCUUCAAGGUUACGUGUGUUGAGAAUGUUCGCUACUGGCCGGUUCAAUUUUCAUGAAGCACCAGAAAACAGCGUUUUAUUUGGUGGGGGUGAAGUUUUGAUACAGGAAUUGCUCGGUUUGAAAUAUUUAGAGGUAUUGGAGUUGACCUUGGGAAGUUAUCAUGCUCUCCAAAUUCUUUUGAGCUCAAAUAAGUUAAAAAGUUGUAUUCGAUCUCUUUUCCUCGAGUUGACCGGAGAUACAGCGUCAAUUAUUGACGCUACGGCUUUCGCAGAUCUAAACCACCUCAAUGAAUUAUGGAUUGAUAAUGGUAUUGAGUUGGAAGAGUUGAAGAUUGAUUAUACGGAGAUAGUACGAAAAAGGCGGGAACCUUUUGUUUUCCGCAGCCUUCACUGUGUUACUAUGAUUUCGUGCCGUAAAUUGAAAGAUUUGACAUUCCUCGUUUUUGCUUCAAACCUCAAGUCUCUUCGGCUACGCAAUUGCUAUGCUAUGGAAGAAAUAAUCAGCGUCGGAAAAUUUGCUGAGACUCCUGAGAUGAUGGGACGUAUAAGCCCUUUUGAAAAUCUCCAAAUGCUUGAUUUACAAGGUUUGCCACAUUUGAAGAGCAUCUUCUGGAAGCCAUUGCCUUUCACUCAUCUGAAAGAAAUGGAGGUACUUAGGUGCGAUCGGCUUGAAAAGCUUCCACUCGAUUCCAACAGUGCAAAGGAGCGCAAAUUUGUUAUUCGUGGAGAAGAAGACUGGUGGAACCGACUUCAAUGGGAGGAUGAAGCCACUCAAAUUGCUUUUCGUUCCUGUUUUAAAAGUGAUGCUUUAUUUAUAUCUUAUUCGUGAAAAGUGAUUUAAUUUCCUGCCAAAAGACGAACGAGAAGAACAUUAGAGUCAAACUAAUGCUCACAUAAAUUUCCCAUAAGAAUAUAUAAUUAGACUGGAAUGCACACCUCUAGAUUGAACAGAAUUAAAGCUGAGAAGAUAUUGAGUAUAGUAGCCCUCUUUACAGAAAAUGACACGAAAGUUAAUUUAGAAAGAUAUAUUCUUGAUUAAUCCAUUUUCUGAAGUUUUUAUUUUGUAUGGUCAAUUAUACCUUCAUACUAAAAAUUUCUGAAGUUAUAAAUUAGUGCAACUUGACAAUUUUUACUGAUGAUAUCUUCUAUUUUUCCUUUUUUUUUUUUUUUUCACUUUCAUAGACUGGCAGCGGAUCCUGCGGCACCAAUUUGAGAGAAUAUACUGACACUACUUCGAACAGCAAGCAGAAUAUGUCUACGGCAAAGGCAAUGCAGUCCUCAUUUUGGCUUGAGAUGCAGUAAUCAUCGAAGAGAGUUUCCUUGUGAAACUGGGCAACACAUUGAAUCCCUUCGCCACUGAGAAGGUUGUGGAGGAAGUAAGCUUUCUCUCCAGUGAGGAAGAGGUGGCAUAUACCUUCCCCAUUUUGUCGAGGGCAGGUAGGAAUCUUUUUUCUAAGAGAUUUACUUCGUUCUCUGUAAGAAAUGCUUUGAACUUCAUCCCUCUGUCUCUAUCCUCACUUAUCAGGAAAUAAGUUGAAAGCACUAUGAAGAGAGAGAGAGAGAGAGAGAGAGAGAGAGAGAGAGAGAAUUAAGAUAUAGAGACAAGAAAAAUAUUAGACGUUGAUCUUACAAACUAAUACUUCAAGCAGUAUCCUAGAAAGCUAAAAACUGCAAGAUGGCUUGAAAUUUGAAAAGAGCACGUGCUUUUCCUCCUUAACUUGAGAAAAUGUUUAAUAUAGUGCACCUUACAGAAGCAUUUAAGCAAUUAGAACUUUGCACAAAAACAUCAAGAAGACUAAACAAGUCAGAUGCAGUGCAUUUGUCCAAGCACAAAUUGCAUUUUGUCCUCAACUUUAAUAUUUAUUGAUGAGAAUCAAUACAGGUCCCUCAUUUGUUAUAGAAAGCUUUCUUUCUUGUAGUCUCACCAGUUAAUUCACAGGUCUAUAAUCAUCUUGCAAAGUUAAGGGCAUUUCUUUCGAUCUAAAGUCUUUGCAUCACCACCUCAUCACACGCCAAGCCAAUAUUCCAUUUACCUCUACAACAAAAAGUUUUAAUUAAACAAUCCUAAUGCACGCAGCCAAAUAAAAUGCAGUAAGAAUAUUCAACUUAAAAAUCUGAAAGCCAACUUGGUGAAUUGCCUCCUUAGGUGAAGUUCCAUGCUUUACUAUAGUUGACAGAACUCAGCAAAAGCUUCCAUACAACAGAUUUUGAAAAUGAUGAUGCCAACAGAUACUUAUUCAAUCCAUUGAAACUCCAAAGGUUCAUUGUUCAUAGAAGUUUACAGAGUUUUGGUCAUCAAAUAGCUCAGACCUAAUCCCAAACAAAAAACGAGUGAAAAUUAGAUCACGAGCAGCUAAUUGUAAAUUCUAACUUAACUCUUCAUCUCCUUUGUAAACAAGAAACAAAAUGGAGACACGCAAAAUGAAUAUGGAGAAAAUUUGAACUCAAAUGAAAUGAGGGCACAAAAGCAAACAAAUGGCAUGCACCAAAAAACCAAGCCUCAAUCAAAAACUAAUUAACCAUUAAGAAAAAAAUUGCCCAGAGAAUGAACUCCAAAUUCAGGAGUCAAGCAAGAACCUUUCAUUAUUUCAGAAGCUCCUGUACAAAUUAAUAAGUUAUGCUCUUUGGAAGCAAACCUAAAUUCCAAGAGAAACAGAACCCAAAAAAAUUUGCAAUUAUACGCAAAGGAAGUGAAGCACAGGAUUCUAUCACACAUAGGAAUUGUAUAACAAGAGAUCGAUAUAUCGAAUUAGAAAACUCAAUUCGAAUUUGUGUCAAAAAUCAAAAUUAGAAGAUUUCACAUUUCGAGAGGAACAAGCAACAGAUGAAGUUCAAAAUUUCAGCCAUAACAUGCUAAAAAUGCUGCACUUAACGGUUCAUUUUCAUGGAUUUUCUCGGGAAACAAACAGAAAAUUACGGUUUAGAGAGUUGACUGACCUUUUGGCUUUUGAAAUUGAGAAGAUCGCACGCCAAAUUGGAAGAGGGAAAGUGAAAGUGCGAGUUUUAAUAUGGGUAUUAGAUAAGGAAAUUUUAUUAGGUUGCGAGGGUAAAAAAGGAAAGAGAUAUCAUUGUUUUAUUAUCGAUAAUUAUUAAAUUUUUUUCCAAAAAAAAAACAGGCAAGGAUAUUUUAUUGUCAUUUGCAACCUUUAAUUUUUUUAAAUGCUAUUAGAAACACAAGACAACAAAGAAAUACUUAUUUUUUUCUAAAACUAAAAUCAACUGUUUAGGGCCCGUUUGGUAUUGUUUCUAAAUUUAUAUUUUCUGACAAUAAAAAUGAAAAUGAAAAUGAUGUUUUGCAGUUGCUGUAUUUUAAAUUUAAGUAUACGUUUGGUAUCAUUUUCUAUAUCCUAUAUUUUAAAAUUAAAAAUAAUAAUAUGUGUUUGGUAAACACAUUUGAAAAUAAUAAAAACAGAGAAUAUGCGUUUGGUAAUACUUUUUUUAAAAAGAGUUUUUACUAGUAUUUACGUCAUAUUUAUAGUUAUAAAAUAAUUAUUUAGCUAAUACAUACACAAAUACAACAUAAUAAUUUAAACAAAAUUAUUAUAAAAAAAUUACAUGAUAAUAAAGUUUUAGAAUUAGCAUUAAUUAAAAAAAAGUUUUACAUUGUCAUUAUUUUUACACCAUAAUUAAGAUAUAUAUUACAACACAUGAUUUAAACAAAAUAAUUAUAAAAAAAUUACAUGAUAGGCAUUAUGCAUUACGCAUGUAAUCAUGCCACAUAAAAGCUGCAAUUCUAUCUCUUAUAGCAUUCAUCUUUGCGACACUUGAAGGAGAUAAAUCAAUAUUAGUAAGUGACCUACUAGUGUCUCCUUCUUCGUUGGUAACCAAAUCUUGCACAUCAAAGUCUCCAAAUAACCUAUCACAGGCAAUAAAUUCAAAUUGUGAAUCCCAUCUAAAGCAAUAAAUUGAAAUUACAGAUUGUUUGAUUGGAUUGAAUCCUAUCCUGGGCAAAGCUUGAAAAAACUUUAUUUCUCUCUAGUAACAAAAGUCCUAUUUGCCUAAUGCAUUUUCUCUGUAAAAAAAAAAAAAAUUGGAGUGACAUGCAAUAAAUUCAACUUGUGCAUCAUCAACAAAAUGGAAUUUGGAGUAAAAUCAACAUCAUGGCAAUGACAAUCGUGAACAAUAUCAUCUUUACAUGCUAUUAAAAACAAUUAAAAUCACUCAAAUAAUUUCUGAAAUUUUUAUUAAAUUCUCAGGUUUUUUUUUUUCAUUCUAAAUGUCAUAUAUACAAAUUCAUUACUGUCCAAAAACAUCCUACUUUAAGAAAUAUUUAAAAGUUAAUUAAGUAAAAAAUCUUGUAAAUUAUAAUGUCUUUUUUUUUUUUCGUUUUAAAUUGGUUUCCAAAGAAUGAUGUCUAUGCUUACAGAAGCAAAACAUGCCAAACAGCAGCAGCGACAUUUUGUGAAUUGUUUUUAACUUAAACAAAACAAAUACCGGCAAGUGACAGAUCCGAGAGAGCAACAGCAGCUGGCGUGAAGACGAGCAGCAACGGCUGAGCAGAGCAACAGCGGAAACAGAGCAGCAGCGAAGACGAGCAGCAGCGGAGCAGAGCAGCAGCAGAAACAGAGUAGCGGCGGCUAUGGCGGAAACACAGCAACGACAGUGGUUGAGAGUGCAGAUUUGCUGAGGAAAGGGAGAGAGUGCAGAUUUAUUGCAACUGAAUCAAGAAGGCUGCGGGGGAAAGGGGAAGAGAGAGAGGCAAUGAAGAGAUAAGGAGGAGAGAGUGGAUCGGGAGAAAUAAAGAGAGAGAAAGAUGUUGGAUGAAGAUAAGGGGAGGGAGAGAGUGCAGAUUUGCUGCAACUGGAUGAAGAAAGUUGGGGGGAAGAGAGAGCGGCAGUGAAGAGAUAAGGAGGAGGUCACGAUUUUUCUUUUGUUUUUUAAUUCAUUUUUAGGUUUAGGUGGCGUUUGUUUUUUUGUCUGAAAUCUGAAUAGACUUGAAUUAGUCUGAAUUCUGAAUAGGUCUGAAUGUCUGAAUCUGAAUAAUAUGUUUGUUUUUUCGUCUGAAUCUUGAAAAAUAAGUAUUAAGUUGUUUGUUUUUUUCAACUUAAAAAGCUGAAAAUAUAUACUUUUACAUUUGUAUCCUUAUUAAAUUUGAAUGUCAAAUAAAUAAUAUAUUAAAUACCACAAUAUUUUAACAUUUAUAAGUAAAACUAUAUUCAAGUGAAUACAUAAUUAUUUUAGAAUUUUAAUAUAUAAAAUACCAUAAAUUUCAAAUUUUAUCGUAUAUAAUAUAAGAAAGAAAAAACAGGGAUAUUUUUAUGUGGGGUAGAUAUCUAUGGGUGAGUUUUGGGAUAGACAUGAAAAAUAAAUUAUAAAACAUGGAUAUUUUUGACAUUAGCAAGUAAUUGACUUAAUUUAGAUUUCUCCAUUAAGUAAAAAGCCAAAAAAAUUAGCUUAUUUUAUUAAGUCAAAAUUAUUUAAAAAUUCUCAUUAAGUUAUAAAAACAAACAACUCUAAUUAACUUAAUUAAUUAAGUUAAGUCACUUUAAGUCAUUAAGUUAAAAAACAAACGCAACCUUAGUCUGUAAAAUUUGGAGAACAUGUUUAACUUGUUUUCAGUUGUAUAGUUAUAAUAAUGAAUCCGAAUUUUGUGUUUUGUAAUUUGUUUUGUGAAAAAAAUCCACCAAACAUGUUUUAUGUGUGUAUUAUAAAAAUGAAAACGCAAAUAUGGCUUGAAAAACGGUACCAAACGGGCCCUUAACUUCUUAUUUCAUAAUCCAACUCCAUUACUAAGUUAAAAAAAAUUGUUUUAAAAUUACUUGAGUCAUAUCCAAUAGACCAACAAAGUAAUCGUUUUUAUUUUUAUUGAUUUUUGCAGGAAAUUAGUGGCUUAAAAAUACUGAAAGCUAUUGUAAAAAUCUUUAUUAUCAACCUCAUUGUUUUUUUUUUUUUUUGGGGAAGAGAAUUCAAUUUUUUUUUUUAAUGAAUAUCGCUGUUUCGUUUGAGUUGGAUGUGAAUUCAAAUUCAUUUGAGUUGGAUGUGAAUUCAAAUUCAAAUAUUCUUUGUUUUUCAAUUCUGAACUCGAUUUCUUUUUCUCAAGAAUGUUAUGUAGAAAUGAUUUUUACUAAAUCAUUUUUGAUGAAUUGUUUAAAUUAAACAAUUGGAAUAAGAAUUGUAACGAUUUAUCAUAAGCGCGCUAAUAUGAUAACUUGUUUUACGAAAGAUUAAUUAAUCAAUUAAUAUUAAAUUAUAUAUUAGUCAAUUAUAUAUGUGUUACAUUUGUCAUGGUUUGUGCGUGAUACUACAUAAUUUCUAAAAGAAUAUAGUAAAAACACGUUAAAAUGUUAUUUUAAUGAAUAAAAUUUUAUAAUUUUAUUAAUUAGGUGACACAAUAAUAAAUGGAUUUCUGUAAGAAUUGAGUUUCUUGAGAUAAUUAUUACAUAAGGAGAAGUUUAGUUGGUUCAAUUUUGACAUGUUAAGAAGAGCAUCACAGCACAGAAAACACAAAUUGCCACUUCCACUAAUAAAAGAUACCUGUUUGAAAAGUAAUUAUAAACUAUCUUCUUUGUGUUAUUUCUCAAAACUUUUGUGGCACAAAUGUUAUUUCCAUUGACAACAGUACGAAAUACCACCCCUUUCACUUGAGCAGGAGCAAAGCAAAGGUAUGAUGAGCUAUCUCUGUAUAAUUGAAACGCCAUUACUAAACGAUUCUUGAUGAUGGGAGCCACCGUGCCAGCUUUGUCGCUGAUUUGGUAUUAUUCUUAACUUGCAGAUAGUUGUGGAUAUGAUAUGCAAAAGGUAAGGACUAUAUCUUCUUGAUGGAGGCCUCUGAUUUUUUCCCUUCUAUGUAAUUUAGUAAAUCGCAUUUUCCUUUGUGAUUGAUAUAUCAUACCAAAGUCAAGUCUUAAAUACUGCUGUCAUAUGUUAAGGUUCAACUUCCAUUUUGAUUAACGUCCAUCUGCUGCUGCUUCCAAAAGUGAGAAUGAGAUACUUUGGUUAAUUUCAGUAGUUGAACCCAAUAGAGUACUUUAUUUAGAUCUUCAUGGUUCAAAGGCCUGAAAAAACUUGCCGGUAUUUGGAAAAUGACAUUCUGUGCUUUUAUUUAGACUUAUUAUUUAAGUGAUAAAAACUCCCGUAACCUGCUGUCAAGAAAAUUUCAGAUUGUUAAAAGACAACAUUUUGUUUCGGCCAAAAAUGUUUGUUUCGAUUAAAGACUUGAACCAUUUUCAUUUAACCUUGAUUGUGAUGCUUUACAUUAUGCAUGUUCCUCUCAAUCAAUAAAAGUUGAGGUCAUGAUUUUAUAUUUCUAUUUUGUAACUUGAAAUAAUUGGUCUGCCUGUUUCUGUAGCUUGAUAACAUGAAUUUUUCCUUCUGAAGUUAAUUUGAUCAAUAAAGUAAUUCUUCGGAGAUGAUAUGCCCAUUCUAUAGUCAUUUUCUUAGCUAACAUGUUUUUUCUUCACUCUUCAGAGCAUGUCUAAACUAAUUGAUCGCUCAGCGGAGACUUUGGGUGAGAAGACAAAAUUUCUUAGUAAAUCCUCUGAAAAGGUAUGCAUAAUUCUCGAGUAUUAAAUAACCAUUGGUCAUAAUUUUUGUUCUUUUUUUGGAGAUCGUUAAAAGUGGUUGAUGACCUAUUUUUUACUAUCAUAGAGGGAUCAUGAAUUCCUUUUCUUUUCUGUGGCUCGGCAACACUUUCGGGCCAAACUAAGGAAAUCUAUUUUAGGUAAUGUAAAAACCAGUUGUAGGAUGUAAUAGUUUAUUAUGCCCUGACAAUAACUUUUUGUAUAAUUGUCAGUUUAAUGAAUACAAGAGGAACUCUGUUGGCAAAUUCAUCCAUGAUAGAAUAUAGAUGCUAAAAUUAUUUAUGCAUACCAGUUGCCUUAACUAAUUUUUCUCAACACUGGUAUUGAACAGGAAAAUGAAUAUGCAAUUUGUAUAUUGUGCCAUUGUGGAGAAUUUGGAUAUUCUUAUUUAAGUAUCAAGGAGAGUAUUUGCCUCAUCUUUAAACAAUGAAUCUUUGAGAAAUGAGGAGUGGGUGAUUGGCAGUGUCUUCAUGUAAAUGUUCAUUUAUUUGUAUUUUGAACUAUUACGAGAAUCUUUGUGUGCCAAAUUAGUAAUACAAAUGUUCAGAUGAUUUUUCCUGUUGAUCAUGCGCGUGUAUCUGCACACAACCAUUGUGUACCACUUUAUUCUGAUGCGCAAAUAUCUGUAGUUUAGAAGAAAAGAAAUAAUAAUCAUAUAUUAUUGCUUGGUUCAUGAUUAUUAAACGAUUAUGGCUUUAGAAAAUCCACAAAUCCUUUGUGUUCAUAUAUGAAUGUGCAAAGUUUGCUAUAUCUUAGAUUACCUUCUUCCAAGAUAACAAGUUCAUAUAUUUUUUUUAAUCCUUUUUCAUCACAGUUGAAUUUCAAGUGUAAGUUUUGUUAUUAAUAGCUGGUGUCCUGUUAUUAUGAUUUCAUAAACAGUGAGCGGAUAUGUGCUCUACUUUUGGAGGGCCUCCACAUGAAAGAAAAUUGCAACAAUUGAAUUCUUCUGGAGGUUAUGGUAUUUAAUUUAUUUUCUCAGCUUGUUGAAAGACUAAUAUAUUUCCUUCAGUACGCACGGCGUGGUGGGAAGGGUUUUUAUUGAAAGAAUUAUGAUAUUUCUUAGACUUUGUUUUGGAAGGGGGUGGAGGGAUUUCUCAUCCAUAUAUGGUUACUUGAUUAGCUUUUGACUGUAUUGUCUCCGUCGUGCAAAGGAAAAUCCAAAUACUAACGAAGGGGAAUUGCUUAGGCACCCAAAAGACAGAAAUGAAUUACAGAAGGAAGUUUUUGCUGCUUUAUUUAGUGCUGCUGAGAAAUCUGAUGGAUUUCCUGAAAUUACGGUGAAGACGGAGUGGAGGUCCAACGCAUUAGGAAAGGUGGUGAGUGAACCGCCGGAGGAAUUAGUACCAGAAUACAAGGCUAAUGUGGUGCACUUGCAGCAAGAUGACCAGACCUGUAUGUGCUCUUAUAUUAACUAUAUUGUUGGAUUUGUGAGUGUGUACAUUUUUGUGUGUAUACUCACUUUUGUAUUUAUGCAUAUUAACGUGUGUAGGAUUCUUGAUUUCUGCCACUUACUGGAGAACUAGUGGAAAGCUUUAUACUGAUAUAUGUGCUAUAACUAAUGGAAACUACGAUAUGAAUAUUUUCUCUCACCUGGAGAACUGUAUAACAGAUAUAAUUUGUGGCUCUGGAAUACUGAAGAUUCUGCAAUAACUAAUGGAAAAUAUGAUAUGAAUAUUUUUUCUCACCUGGAGAACUUUGUAACAGAUACAUUUUGUGGCUCUGGAAUGUCUAAAGAAUGCUUCAGUUUAGAUCAAAUAUCUUUUAGUUAGAAAAGAUAAAAUUCUCUGAAUCUGAAAGACUGAAACAUUUUGCAUAUUUUGUGAAAGGGUAGUAUCUGUAGAUACUAGCUCAUGCAUUGAGGUAAUAUCAGUGUUAAAGAAAAACAACAAUAAUUUAUUAUACAAAAUUAGGUUCACUUGCUUUAAAUGCUGGUCUGAUCAACCAUAUCAACCUGUAAUGGUUCUGCAGAAAUAUAUAUACGGGGAGAAACUAGCUAAAUUUUCCUUUCACUUAUGGGUUUGGUCUUUUUUUCCCCUAUUUUUCAGCUUUCCUUCUCCUGAAGUAUGUUAACAAUUGCAGAUAAUGACGAAGAGGACCGCUUCCAGGCUCUUUGUAGAGCUGUGAUGGAAUAUAGGGGCACAAUGAAGGAAUAUUGUAAGGCUGUAGGUACUUUCUCUCUUGUCAUUUAUGUUUUCUCACACAUUUUGUAUAUGCCCUGAACAUGCAGCUUUGUAUGUGUCAAUUGCCUUUUACAUUUUAAAAGCCAUAAAGUAAGAAUACAGUUCCUUGUCAGGCUAUUGAUGCGUUCGCUCAGAAGGGUCAUGUUCAAGCAGGAAAACUUCUAGAACAUGUAAGGUUUCCAUCUACAGCCAUCCAUUGACAGUGUCAAAGUAUUUGGCUGCAGCUUCUAGAAGCUACAUCUAGAAGCUUUGAUGCAGCAAAUGUUGAAGGCACCGCCAAGGAGAAAAAGAAGGAAGAAUGAAGAAGAUGUUGCAGAAGUUGAUCUUGACAAAUGAUGGUUGGAACGCCAAAAUGGAAGAAAGAAAAAAGGUUGGAACACGGCUUUGAAGAAGCCACGAGAAGAAUAAAGAAAAUAUUAAAAUAAUAGCUAAUUUUGGCUAUAUAAAGGAAGCUCCCCUUUUUUUGGUUUGUGUAUCCAAUCCUCAGUUUCUCUUCUUCAUUCAGAGAGUGUUUCUUUGGGGUGUAUUUGGGGAUUAGGUGAGAGAAAAUUAUUUCUGAAAGAGUGGUUGUAAUAAUUUUCCACAUAGUGAAUAUUUUUUCUCUGGUUGUCUUUUUGACAACGGCCGUGGUUUUUCUCCAUAUUUGGAGUUUUCCACGUAAAUCUUGUGUUGUGGGAUUGAUAUUAUUUUUCAUUUAAUUUUUCUUGUUAAUUUGUUAAUUGAAAAAUUGCUUGGAGAGAUCCUGGGAGGAAGCUCAAUUUCCUAACAGUGGUAUCAGAGCCAUUGAUUGAAGUUUUUUGGUGUCGGGGCACUGCUCACGUAUACGGUACUGUUUACGUAUACGGUACUAUUCACGUGAAGCAGUGGGAGCCAAUCCAAACAGUUCGUGGUGAAGAGUAAAAGCUUAUCUGCAAAGCAAAUAUGUCAGGAUUGAAAUUUUCAAGUCCGGUGAAAUUUGAAAUAGAAAAAUUCGAUGGGAGAAUUAACUUUGGCUCGUGGCAAGUUCAAGUCAAAGAUGUGUUGAUUCAAUCUGGGUUACACAAGGCAUUGAAAGGGAAGCCAUCCCCUGCUUCCAGUAGUGGCUCUGGAAAAGCUAGUAUAAGUGAUGAAGAUUGGGAAGAAUUAGAUGAUCGAGCUGCAAGUGCCAUACGACUAUGUCUAGCAAAGAAUGUUCUUGCAAAUGUAGGAAAAAUUCCUACAGCGAAAGAACUUUGGGAGAAGCUAGAAAAGUUGUAUCAGACAAAGAGCAUCUCAAAUCGAUUGUACCUGAAGGAGCGAUUUCACACACUGCGAAUGGCUGAAGGUACAAAAAUUUCUGAUCACCUCAGUGUUCUCAAUGGUAUUGUGUCAGAACUAGAAGCCAUUGGAGUUAAAAUUGAAGAUGAGGACAAGGCGCUUAGGUUACUAUGGUCACUUCCAACUUCCUACAAACACUUGUUACCUACUUUGAUGUACGGGAAGGAGACAGUAGAUCUUGAAGAAGUUACUAGUACUUUACUCUCAGAAGAAAGAAGACUGAAUGGUGAAAGUACUAAAACUACAGAUGUCUCGGCUUUGGCAGUUGUAGGGAAUUGGCAGAAAGAUAAAUCUAAGAAGAAAGGAGUCUGCUGGGGGUGUGGACAAUCGGGGCACUUAAAAAGAGAUUGUCAUAGUAGAAAUAGAGUAGGAUCGGCAAGUGGCUCCAGAUUAGAUAUUGAUAGUAUUGCUAGUGGUAAGUCUCUCAUCAUCGUGGGAGACGAUGAUCCCUUAUAAAAUGGAUGAUGAUGACAUCCUCAUGGUAUACCGCUAGUACCAUGAAAGGGGAUAUGUUACUACUAGCGGGUCCACAAGAUUUACACACAAGGCAUGGUUGGCAUUGAUGCAGGGUGUGUGGUGGAAUUUAUGUCGAUGGCUGACAAACUUCCAGGAAGACCAACAUGGAAGUUGCACCAUAAAUUUCAGCAAGAUAUUUCGACAUGUGCCGAUGUAAAAUUCUUAGAAUUGUUAAUUAAUUCUAAGUGGUAUACUCUUUAUGGUGGAGUAUGAUAAUUCUCUAUGGUGAGGAUUAUGACUAAGGUGAAAAUAGUAAGGUUAGUGUGGAGAUUGAUUGAUUCUCAAUCAAAACUCCAAGUGGGAGAAUGUCAAAGUAUUUGGCUGCAGCUUCUAGAAGCUACAUCUAGAAGCUUUGAUGCAGCAAAUGUUGAAGGCACCGCCAAGGAGAAAAAGAAGGAAGAAUGAAGAAGAUGUUGCAGAAGUUGAUCUUGACAAAUGAUGGUUGGAACGCCAAAAUGGAAGAAAGAAAAAGGUUGGAACACGGCUUUGAAGAAGCCACGAGAAGAAUAAAGAAAAUAUUAAAAUAAUAGCCAAUUUUGGCUAUAUAAAGGAAGCUCCCCUUUUUUUGGUUUGUGUAUCCAAUCCUCAGUUUCUCUUCUUCAUUCAGAGAGUGUUUCUUUGGGGUGUAUUUGAGGAUUAGGUGAGAGAAAAUUAUUUCUGAAAGAGUGGUUAUAAUAAUUUUCCACAUAGUGAAUAUUUUUUCUCUGGUUGUCUUUUUGACAACGGCCGUGGUUUUUCUCCAGAUUUAGAGUUUUCCACGUAAAUUUUGUGUUGUGGGAUUGAUAUUAUUUUUCAUUUAAUUUUUCUUGUUAAUUUGUUAAUUGACAAAUUGCUUGGAGAGAUCCUGGGAGGAAGCUCAAUUUCCUAACAGACAGCAGAUACAUUUUCAUUGAGCAGACACUGUUAGCAUUCAAGAUGCUGGCAGAUUCACUUGAUUCUUAUUAGUUUGUUUAGUGGCAAAGCAUAUAACCUGUAUUUCAAAGCCAAGUUGUGCUAUUGAUUAUGUUAACUUUAUUGUUAACCUAAAGUGAUAUGGAGGACAUAAUCAAUGUAGGAAAAUUAGGUGAAGAGACGAUGUCAACUCUUGAACCUCUUACAAAGCUCCAAGUUCUUUACUUGAAGAAGCUGCCAAAUUUGAAGAGCGUCUACUGGAAGGCAUUUCCAUUCCCAGAUGUAUGCAGAAUUUUUGUAUUAAUGCCCAGUUCUUAAGAACCUGCCACUGGAUUUUCAAGGGACGGGCCAAGGUAAAAUUCUUAUCAAGGGAAAGGAAGAUUGGUGGAAAGAACUUCAAUGGGAGGAUCAAGCAACUCAGAAUGCAUUGCUUCCAUUUUUCAAAUCAACUGACAAGUGAUUGAAGGGGGCAUCAUCAACAUCAUCAACAGAGAUGGAGAGAUUCUGGAGCAGAUCAGCAGGGUUUGUAUAUGAUCUUUGGUGGUUGCUUUCUUUUGUGAUUUUUUUUUUCUUCCUGUCAUUUUAUCAUUUCUUUGUCUCUUUUUCUAUUGCUGAUGUUAGUGUAUGCUUACUGUUGCUUGACAAAGUUUGCUUGCUUCUUGUUUAUUAAAUUUUUUAUGGUCACAAAAUAUUACUUGUUCUAUUUGAGAGUGAUGUGAAUCAAUUUUCAAUUAUAUAUUUUGUGGUCAAUGUGAAUUCAAUUUCAUUUGUCUCCUGCAAUUAUGAGAAAAUUGCAGAGUCAUAAUAUGGAAAAGAACACCAGCAAAAACUUUGUAAAAGCUUCGGAGUGAAACAGGGAAUUCACUUACUACUAAGAACAAUUGAUGGCGAGCUAUUCCAUUCAUUUUAUGUCCAUCCAUCUAUUUAAUUAUUAAAGAUAAGUGGUCCAUUUAUAAAUUU